CCUUGGCUCAUUGGUUGACUAAGGGUUGAUUAAUGCUUCUACACCAAGAGGUCUGGGGUUCGAGUCUCAGGUAUUGCGAUUUAUUAAUAAAUUUGCAGAUUAAUGGAGGCAAGUGUGCAAGAGAUCUCCAGCGAUGUACAAUUAUAGCCGUUCGCCAGGAUUCUACGCAGAGAAGGAAGUAUCGCCAGGUCGUGGAUCAUUGAAGGUAUUCAUCAAGAUUACAAAGAAAGGAAGUGUAGUCUGUCGUGGAUCUAGUAAGGGUCGGAAGGAAUUGUCAGUUGUAGAAUCGUCUAUGUAACAGUUCUCAUAAUUUGCAAUUAAUAAUAAAUUUAGACGACAAAAAACAAAAAAGAUAUGAAGAUUAGUUGUCUAAUUAUUUGUUUUUAGUUAUAAUUUCGUUUUUUAUUUGUGUGAUAUAUAUAUGUAUUAAGACUAAUGGCAAAAUCAGUAAAUAGUCUAAUAAAAUUUGGGUAAUAAUUUAAAUAGGUGGAAAAUCACUCUGAAAGCGACAUGUUAGCAUGACAGUUUAGUUAAUAACACGUCAAAGUAAGGUUUAUUUUUUAGAGUGCUUCACUAUCAAUAUAUAAGAGAUUUCUCGGCAUCUGAUAUUCGGUUCGGUUCUGUCAUAUUUGUCGAAAAUUCAGCCAAAUUUUAUUCAAAUUUAACCAUAUUUAAAAUUUAUUCCAAUAUUUCAGGUAUUGAUAAUCGAACCGAACCGAACCCGAACAAAAACUUUAAAAUAUUUGAAUGGGGCUUCUAAAUGCUUCUAUAGUUCUAUCUAAAAUACAUCGUACCAAACGAGUCUUAUCUAAAACCGAACCGAAUAUCGUAUAGGUAGCCACUUAACGAUAUUCUCGAAACUAUUUCCAUAAAAAAUCUAAAAGGUCAAAGAAAGUUUCCUAAAAUUUAUUUUAUGCUUCCGAAAUUUAGUCGAAGUGUGAAUUCAUCGUUAAUUAAAUUGAAGGGAAAAGAAAGCACAGAAACCCUAAAACUCUUAAACCUGGCAGAAACAGAACACAAUGACGACAACUCUUCCGACAUCGUUUUCUUCGUUACCGGAAGACAUCAUUCUCAGUUGCUUGGCUCGUGUCUCAAAAUUCUAUCGUCCGACUCUAUCCUUAGUCUCCAAGUAUUUCCGAUCUCUCGUAGCUUCUCCUGAUCUUGAGGCCACACGUUCCCGCAACGGGAUAACAGAAGAUUAUCUCUGCGUCUGCUUAAACGUGGGGUCUAAGCCUCGCUGGUUCACACUUGCACCAUUCCCACAACAACAGAAACUCAAACCAAUCCCUCCUUAUUAUAAACAUCCCAAAUCCUCCACCGUUGUUUCAAUCGGUUCAGAGAUUUACAUAAUCGGAGGCUCCCUUCAUCAAAAGAAAGGCAACAGAGUGUUGGUUCUUGAUUGUCGAUCUCAUCUAUGGCGUAGACUACCAAACAUGCGUCUAGCUAGAGAAACUCCAGCCGCUGAUGUAAUCGAUGGUAAGAUCUACGUGAAUGGAGGCUCUACGUCGUACAAAAUCGAGAAUUGGGGAGAGGUUUAUGAUCUAAAGACCCAAACUUGGGAGCCAUUAUUGUUUACAACACUUGAUCUCACCACUCAUAAGAGUGUGGUUCCAGGUAAAUUGGUAAUGGGUGGAAAAGUUUAUUCUAUGAAUGAUGAUUUGAAGAUUAGCUUGGAGAAGAAUGUUUGCUUGGUAGAGAUAGAGAACAUGAUGUGCCAAAUAUCGAUUUCGAAGGGGAUGUUAGUUUGGUAUAAUCCAGAGGAGAAUUUGGGGUGGAGUAGGGUUGAGGGACUUGAAGGAGUACCUCGUGAUCCAUAUUUUCCUGGUUAUCUAACUUCGGUGGCAAGUUACGACCGAGGAAGGAGAGUAACGGUUUGGUGGAAGUUGAUAGUGAGUCGUUGUUGGCCUGAUUGGAUGGAAAGUAAAACAGAGAUUUGGUGUGCAGAGAUUUCGUUUGAGAGACGAGAUUUAGGAAAGCUUUGGGGUUUUGUUGAAUGGUCUAAGAAUGUGUUUAUUUUCGACGGAGGCGUCUCUUCUGAUUUCUUUUUGCAUUAGGCUAUUGUGACAUACUGAUCAUUGUAUUGUAGUUUUGAUAUACAGUAAAACCUCUAUAAAUUAAUAAUGUUGGGACCAUGAUAUUUUAUUAAUUUAUAGUGAUAUUAAUUUAUCUAUAAAUUAAUACGUAUUAAUUUAUAGCGUAAAUUAAUAUUUAUUAAUGUAUAGAAAAUUUUGUUUCACUUGUGAAAACUUUUUUUUAAAAAAAUACGAGUUAAAGCAAUGUGAUCUAAAUAAAUUAAUGUUUUGGAUUUUAUAAAUUUUAUAGUUUUAGCCUAAAACACUUAAUAUUUCAAAGAAAAAAUAAUUUAUUUUGACAAUGAAUAACAUCGAUUAUAGAAUUCACAUAUACAAACGAUAUACAUAAAUUAAAAUUCACAAAUAGUGACAUCCAUUGUUGUAUUUUAAAAACCUAUACGACUAUUAAAAUAAAAAUUAUGCAUAUUCAAAAUUUGAAAACUUACAAAUGGUUUUGGCUAUUUUUAUGAAAACACUAAAAAUAUUAUAUAUAUAUAUAUAUAUAUAUAUAUAUAUAUAUAUAUAUAUUAGUGUGUGCAAAUUUACAUGAUUAUUAAUUUAUAAUAUUAUUGGGACUAUAUUUUUACAUUGGAAUUUCAAAAAAAUUUUAUUAUCUUAUUAUCUUAUCAAAUUUGUUUAAUUUUUAUACUGGCCCGACUCGGGACCGGCCAAAUUUAUUAAUUUAUCGUGGUUAUUAAUUUAUCGAGUACUAAUUUAUAAAGGUUUGACUGUAUUUUUAGAAUUUGAAGGGAUUUUUUUUUUCUUAAUAUUUUGAGCAUUUUAAGAGAUAAUAAACCAAAUUACAUUGGUGAUUUAAUGUGAUUUCUUAAACCAAAUAACAGCGAUAUCACACUUAACGAGUACGCAGAUCUCUACGCCAACAAAUAUUGAAUGCUACGUUUACAGUUCAAUAACACAUCUAAACCACCUUCCAAGUAAAAAAUUUGGAAGCAACAAUAUAUUUCUAACAAAAGUUCGAUGAAAUUACUAAUCUCUUCCCUGCUUUCAAUCUUUGGUUUCUAGAUUUAAUAAAACUUUCAAGAUCCAGACAACAGAGAAGCAGAGCACAAGUGUGAAAAACUUACCAUAAGAGCAUCUAGCGAAAGAGAUAUAUCUACAAUUACAAAGAAAACUAAAUCGAAUCCUGAGUCAUGUAAACCACAAAUAAGACCAAUCUGACUCUUAUUAUAUCAGGCAGAGGGCAUUGAGGUAGAUAUCACGACAUAAGACAGGUACUGAAGUCCUUCCUGGAUCUUUGUGAUAGCUGUGGUUUGGUCAGAGCGAAGACUAUCGUUGAAGGUGCUUGCUUUUUCCUGCAUGGUUGAUGUUUUCAGAAGAUCAUCUUUGGAAUCAGCAGCAGCAACUCCUUUAAUCGCAGCUGAGUAUGUUUCAGAUACAUCUGAUAUACCUGCAAUGUGGAAAAGGGUAUUUGGAAACUGUCACUUUUCUUCUAGUGUUCCGAGUUUCACAAAUCACAAGCAUAUCUAUCUUUUUUUUUUUUAACUGGGUUAUAGUAGAAGAAAUGUUGCUUCUAUCUUCUACUCUUACAAAUGAAAUGGCAUACUAUCCAAUAAGAUGAUUCUAGCAACCCAGGAUACUCGGUAAGAAAUGCGAAAGAGGUUAUAAGUCGAAGUAAGUUGAAUAAUUGUGGACCAACCUGUUAUAAAACUGUUGGAAACUGCUUCAACAUAUCCAGUCAUCGAUUCUGCCUUGCCUUUAAUCAGCUUAGCUUUCUCAGUAGGAUCCUCUGGCCACUCGAUUUUCAAUGCCUCGGUGUCUUCAUCCUGAACUUUGUUGGCAUGAGAUAUCAUGGACUUACUGAGAAUAAGCAGAUGAGUGACUGCAAAACAGCACAUCUCUGAAAGUCUCUGCAGAACGAGAUUUUAUCUUUUUAGUUAAUUGAGUCAUAUUUCAGCCAAAAAAAGGAAAAAUACUGAUGGGGGUAGAAAAUUCUUCAAUAUUUAAAAUAAAUAAGAAGGGACCAAGCUUCGUACAUGAACUCCUUCUGAGUGAAGAGAUUCAAGCCUGCCACCGGUCCGCUGGAUCAUAUCGUUUACGUUUAGUCCCGCUAAAGCAUUUGUGAACCUGAUAAACAUAAGUGACGAGCAAAUAAAAAAGCAGGUCAAAGAAAUAUAUUCCAUACACAUUUAUCUUCUUAUCUUAACAUGAAAACUUUCAUGAUGCAAGGAAAUCAUAGAAAGUACUUCUACAAAGGUCCAAGUUUCUAAUUUUCACCUUCUCUCUUAUGAUAUAGAGUAUUGCAUUUGUUUAUUGAUAUGAAGGGAUAAUAACAGAUUCCUAUAACAUUGCUGGGGGCUGAAGGGACGUAUUGUGGUGAUUUUUAGGAGAAAAUACAGACAACGGAGACUGAUGGAAAAACAAUGUAGAAUCUGAGAGGAAAAGGGGGACAGUCAUAAUUACCCCGCAGCCAUAUCAGCAGCUUUGCUGACACUCGAGUUAUGCAGAUUCUUCAUGUCAUCAUCAUUGCCUUCAGUUUUGAUAUCUAUUUUCUUCCCUUUGUCAGACUCUGCUUUACUUCCGCUCAUUUCGUCAGCGAAGCUAAACAGUUGCUGGAUUUGUUUGAGCUUCCCGUCAUACAAGGAUUUUUGAUCUGGUGACAAUUUCCCCUUUUUCCUGUUGAACAACAGAGUAUAGUGGCUUGCCAAUGCUUCCAAUUCCUGUAAACACCAUGCAUUGAGAAACUGAGGAAAGACAAACUCGAUUUUUCAAGAAUGAAUGUACAGGUGGUUUUCAGCAAUAAGUAGGUCACCUCAAGCUGCUCAGGACCACCAUAAAUGUAAAAACAUCGAUCAAAUGUCACUUCCUCAAGUACUUGAUCCUUAAAGUCUACCCUAUCCUUCUCAGCUCCAAUACCAGUCUCUGUAAUCAGUAAAUCCAUGGUUUCCUUGCCCACAAAUUCAAGUACUUGCAUUCCUUUAGCAGUUAAUGCUUUUCCUGUCUGAAGAUCAGAAGUAUGGGCUAAAUGAAAUGUUAAGCUAGGAAAGACAGAAGACGACACAAACAGCACAAACCUCCAGUAGGGAAGGUGCACCAGAUCCAGCUUCCCUAGGAGAAGAACCUUGCUCGACACUGUUUUCAAGCCUACAGAAAAAAUAGUGGAGCAUCAAUAACUUGAUCUUCUUCGUAGGGGAACAGGUCUGUACUCAUGAAACAGACGACUUCUGGAUUCAAUAAGCCAGUCUCACCAGUCAUCGGCAAACAUUGUAUUCAGGAAAUGACACAUAGCUUGCCCAACAUUUUAUUAUUAAUGAAACAAAAAUAAGCAACCUAAUUUACCAAAAGAAGAAUCUAUUAAAGUAAAUUAACUUGAGUAUUAAAUGCUCAGAGCCUCAGACUCUUGUUAUGUGCAGAAACGGAAUGCUAAACAAAUGAAGUAAUUAAUUUUAAUGCAGACUUUCCAUAAGACAAUUCAUGGAGCAUUGAUAAAUCUUUGUAAACAUUUAAACUGAAGGAUUACUUUCCUUCUUGUCAGGAUAUAUAAACUCAGUGGCCUAAACCAUUUUCGUUCACAAAGUUUGUACUUUGUCCACAGUUAAGAUCAAAGCUUUCAGUAAAACAGAGACAAAUUAAAAGAAACAUACUUUUGCACCAAACUUGUGCCCCCUUUUAACGCAUUUCCAAAUGCCUGCCAAGCUCCAGAAGUGAAACUCUCAACUGAAUCAUCGAAAACCUUCAAACCCUGGAAGAUGAAACAUCGAGAUACUAUAUUAAUUCUAACAUAUGAGCAAGUGAAGAAACAAUGACUUGAGCCAACUGACAAACCAGCAGAAAAAUCAUAUGGAGUAACAAAGUUCAAUGCAGGAAAGAGGAUUAUCACAUUUCCAACAUUAUCACCAUGAGCAUGAACAAUGACUUGCCUGGCUAAGAAGCGACUCUUCACUUGCCCCCUCCAAUCUCGCAAGAGCUGACUUCUUUAACUUUGCAUUCUCAUCAUCACUAUCCUGCUCUGUAUCAGCUUCUUCAGUUUUCUCUUCUUCCUUAGCAGAAGAUUCAGAGUCUUCAUCCACUUCUCCCAUAUCUGCAAUACUUUUCGCCGCUUUCUCCGCCACCGCUGCAGCCUACAGUAGUAGGAAAAAUCAAGGAUCAUUACUCACAAAUUAGUAAAGAGUUUAGAUCAAAGAAGUUCCUUCAACAAACCAUAAAACCUCUAUCAUUUGGUACCAUAAGUUUCGGAUCCAAUAUCAAAAACACAAAUUGAUAAAAUUAGGUCAAAAUUGGAGUGAGAACAUACAUUACGAGAAAUCUCUUCCGCAGCUUUUUGAAGAUCGGAAAGUACAGAGAAGCCAGAGAAACCCCAACCCCAACCACCGGUACUCUUCGGCGGCGCAUCGGUAUCGGCCACUGUCAAUUUCUCAAUCUCAGGCUCUUCUCCCUUAACCGGGGAUGAUUUCUCCUCGUGCAUUUGCUUGUCUUCCUCCAUCGUCGAUAGCGAUCUGGAGAUCAAAUUAGGGUUUCACCAAAAUCGGAUUUACCAGAAAUGAGAUUAGGAUUGUGUGAAGAUUUGUCGAAGGAAUGAAAAUGGGAUUAAGAAUUUCGAAUCGAAAACUGUAAUUCAGUUAGCUGUGAAACUCAAAAGACUUGACCGGAAAAUCAUGCUUAUGCUUCGUCGUGCAGCAAAAGCAUCUUCAACUAUACGCCGUCGUUUUUAAUAUUACAGUCUAACUUAUCUCAAUCUUUUUCCAAUGGCCCCAAUGGCCCAAUGGCCCAAUGGCCAAUGGCUUUGCUAAACUAAAUAAUGAUCUCUCUUCAUAUGUUUUUUUCUUUAAUACAAAAUAUGAAUUUUCUUUAUCCAUAACAUGAACGACACUAAGAAGUGUAUUAUUUGUUCACUUUGUUGAACAAAUGUGGCAAGUGGCGGAGGUAGUGUUAUACCAUAGGGGUCAAUUGACACCCAUGGAUUUUUAAAACUUAGUUUAAUUUGAUUAAUCAUUUAUAAAUUGACUCCAUUACAAAAUAUAAGAGAAAACCACUAAAUAUUAUAUAUCAAAAAGAAUUAUUAUAAUUAAACUCAUUACAAAUAAAUUUUAAAUAUAUAUAUAUAUAUAUAUAUAUAUAUAUCCAUUAAAAUGAGUUCAACCUAAAUAUCACUAUUCUUUCGCUACUUAUGAUUUUUUUUUUCUUUUCCUCUAUUUCAAUUAACAUUAUCCAUUGAAAAUCAUAUUGGAAAUAAAAUUUUAAGUUAAAAUUUAUAUAUUUUUUAGUUUGACAUGAAACGUCUUGAUGAUUUUGUUCAUAUAUUACAAAGACAAAUAUGUCUCAUUUUUUUAUUUAUCGACUUUUAAAAUUAUUUUUUAUGUUUUAAUUUGCAAUUGCAACAGUUAAAAGAAAUUUCUUUACUAUGAAUAUUUUGAAAACGACUUUGUAUCGUUGAUACAAUUUCAAAUAACUUUCUAGUUUUUGAAUGAAAAAUACGUAACAAUGUGACAAACAAAAAAAUAAUAAAACAUUUACAAGAUAUAAAUAAUUUUAUGAUAGAUUUCUAAAAAUUAUAUUUUAUUAUAUUUUAUUUUUUUAAUAAAAUUAUAUAUUUUCUAUAUUAAAAAAAAAUUGACCCCUAUAAACAAUUUUUUUGGCUCCGUCACAUCAACGAAGUUCAUUUUUCAACAUCGGGAGCAGAAUUUAUGUGCAAAUCUACUAGCCAAAAUGGCAAAUAUUUGUAGUAAUCAAUAUUUUAUGUAUAAUUAAUGUCCUACUUUCGUACAACUCUUAUAUCGAUGAUGCUGAUUAUAGUGAUUAAUAAAUUUAUUGAAAGAAACAAAAAAAUUAUUUGUACAUUCACCAGAUUCACUCAUUAUUUAGUUAUACUAAAAAUGAUAAUUUGCUUUGUUAAAGAAGUUGAGAAAUUUUAUUUUUCUUCCAGAAUCAUUAAACAUUGAAAUGAGCACUUCUGUGAAAAUCUAACAUGUGACUCUGAACUAAAACAGACGGACAAAAAAAAAACUAUUAAGAGGUUCAUGAUAAAUCCAAACUACUCAACUCCAUGGUGCUCUGGAGGGAAAGGAAGAUGUCUAUGAGUUUGCUUUUGUGGCGUAUGCAGUCACUGAGCUCCCUUACUUUGCCUCACUGCAGACUAGGAAAAAAAAGAAUGAAUGAAGAGAUCGAGUCAGACCUCCACGGACUCACCAAAUAUGAGGAGAAAGCAUUGGAGACUAUCAAGCCCAAACUGAAAGCUGACAUCGAAAAUCCCAAAUUAAACUUGUAUCAUUUUGUUUUUGGAUUUCCAUAAAUAUAAAUAUGGCUGGUAUGCUUUACUAGAUUAAUUUAGUUUAUUAUUUUAAAUUUUUAGAAUCUAUUUAUGGAUAGAAGGUUAGCUUGGUUUACUCCAUCCAUUGAUGUCUAGUAUGCUUUACUAGAUAAUGAUCCUUUUAUAUUACAAAAGAUCGAGGCAUCACCUUAUAUACACCGCUUCAUGAAACAUCAAAUUUUAGAAAAAUAGACAUGGCCAUGGAGUUAAUGCCAUCGUUAAUGUUUUAACUAAAUACAUGAGGACUUAGACUAUUCUAUCUUACAAUAGAGAACAAUCAAGUCGAGAUCUCACUAGAGCUAUGUGGAUGUCGGAUUCUAACACUCAAAUAUUUAUAUUAUUUAUGGGCUAAAACUCUUAAGGUCAAAAGUACAAGACAAAUACGUAUAACAAAAAGUAUGAAGAUGUGAGUAGAAACGUAAACAUAAAGUAGUAUUGUAUUAGUAAUGUAUGAAAAUUUAGGUAUAUGGGGUCUUAUAUUUAUACACAAUGAUUUACACUUAUGAUUUACACUUAAAUGACUAAUAAAUGUAAUAAUUCUCCUUCAAUGUGUUUGUUUUGAUUUUGUCUUCAAUGUUGUAACGUUCUUGUUUAAAUUCCUUCGGACCUUUCUUUGGCUUUUAAUAUGCUUGGUCCACCCUCUGAAUUCGAAAUCCCUCUCAGUUUCACCUCUCUUAUGCGAGUUCUUCCGUUUGUCGUAACGAAUAUUAUGACUUCAGCUCGGAUACUCAGUUGUGAGCCCCCUCAUGAUGAUUUGGUGAUACGUGGAUAUCUGCUUUUGGAUCCUGAACUGAGAGCAAGCUAGUCAAUUUUGAUCACAAUUUGAUUCAUCUUUGCGUCAGAGAAAAUAAAUUUCUCAAUAAUAACUGUAAACCAUUUAUAUUUUUUUUUUAAAAUAACUCCUUAUGUAUGAAUUUUCAUAAUUCGACAUAUUCGCUAUGAGGUAAGUUAAUUUUCGUUGAAAAAGAUUUUACUAACUUAUCAGAAAAUUUUGUGAGGGUGAUUUGAUUAUGAUAUUAUUGCGGUUAAUGCAGUGUUAUGAGUUAAUACAUUCAUUCGCUAUGAGGUUUUGUUUUAAAUUUAAAACCUACUAGCUUAAAACCCGCGCUACGGGGUAUUUUUCUUAAAUUGUGUUUGAAACUAUUUUUAUAUCUAAAAAAAGCACAAACUUAUGAAAUAGACCUUCUCUUUUAAUGAUUAUUUUCUUUUCAUAUAACCUUGUUUAGAAUUGGGAUGUAUAGUUGACCAAAUUUUGAAGGUUUUUCUUCAGGCGGUAGUAGUGAUUCUAAUAUGUAAUAAACUAUACAUCCCUUGAAUUCUGAAUGUGUAGGGACUGAAACCAAACAUGAUCCACUUUGGCUCCAAUAGAAGUGAAAGCUAACACCAACUUGUUAACUUUUAUAGUCUCUUUAAAGACUGGUGAUUCCAAUAACUCUGCUACAAGUUCUGGGGGAUUUCUUACGGCCGAUAAAGUUACUCUUCCAUUUUGGCAGCAUAGGCCUGGGCAUUUGGGUACCCGUUCGGGUUCGGUUCUUUUUUUUCGGAUAUCGGGUCUAUUCGGGUAGGGGGUCAAGACCCAUUCGGGUAUUCUAAAAAUUUGGUUCGGGUUCGGUUCGGGUUCGGGUCGGUUCGGGUAUUUUAAUAAAAAAAAGCAAAAUACUCGAAAAUAACCAAAAAUACCCGAAAUAUUUUCGGGUUCGGGUCGGGUUCGGGUUUUUAACUCAUAUAUACCCAAAUCUAACCGAAAUACUCGAUUUAUCGAAAAUACAAUGGUUACUCUUUACCCAAAUAUAACCAAAAAUAUCUAAAAUACCUAAUAUAUUCGGAUUUAUGAUUGUAAUUUUAGGUAUUUCGGGUAUUAUAAAUAUAAAUAUAACUAAUAUUUAUAGGUGUAUAUUUGUAUUCGGGUACAUUCGGGUACAUUCGGGUAUUGGAUUCGGUUCGGGUUCGGUUCGGGUUUUUUUCGGGUAGGAGGUUAGGACCCAUUCGGGUAUUUUUAAAAAUCGGGUUCGGGUUCGGUUCGGGUAUUGUUCGGGUUUUUCGGUUCGGGUAUUCGGUUCCGGGUAUUUUGCCCAGGCCUAUGGCAGCAUAUUGAAAACAAUGGUUUUCCUUCUUUAGUUUUCUCAUUGUUUUCUUUUUCCCAAACCAAGAGUUUGACAUGAAGGACCUUCAAGAAGAUUGAUUGUAUCUGAAACUUAUAAAAACAAAUUAGAAAAUUUUGGCUUUGUAAGAUAUUUGUAUAGCUUUUUAAUAUAUACCUUUGUAAGACAAAUAUACAAUCAUGAUACACAUGCAAGCAUGCGAACUUCUCUAUUUACCGUAACACUCCCUAGCAACAACUUAAUGCAAAACUAAACACUUAGGUUGUACUCUCACUCACAAUAUCAAUGUUUAGUCAUUACCAGAUAAUAAUGCUGAAAACGAAGUGGAUAUUCACAGUAAAUUUAAUGCAACCGGUUAGGAUCCUACUUAUGAAACGAGAAUGGACCUAAAGUAAUAGAUAAGGAACAUAUGUCAAUCAACUCAUUUGUUAAUUGAUUUAAAGUUUAAAGCUCUUAAAACUUACACAAAUACAUUUAGUACGGGCAUAAGAUGAACUGUACAACGACAACGGUAGUGUUGUUACGUAUAACUUUUUUGUAUUUGUCAUAUUUUUAAGAGUUGGAUUUGAAAUCCAAAUUCCAACAAUUAAUAGGCUACAAGUGGCAGAGACAUUCUAAACGCUUUAGAGUUUCUAAAAGUCUCUCGAAUCUCUUUGUACUGAUAAGCAUUAUCUUAAGUAAUUAGGUUCAUGAUCUGAGACAAGGACAACUGAAUUGUGGGUCUAAAUUAGUUAGAUUCUCAAGUUCUCACCGUCGACUCUUAACCGUAUAAGUAAUUUAUUUCCACUUCAGCUGCAGAUCAUGAACCGUAUCAGUUUCUCAAACAAUUAUCAAAGCUGAAAUAUAUUUCCACAGAAAUUAAAGUAUAUUAGUUUCAGCCAUAGCUUUUUAUCAAGACGAUAGAGUUCUAAUAUCAUUCACCGAUUCAACACCACUUCAAAUUUCUAUCGUUCAAAAAUCAAAACCUUGUCAAUCUCGAGCUUAUUGGAGAAGAGAAGCUUCACUGUUAGAGAAAAAGUCUCGAAUCGAAUUGGGCUCCAAUCAAGAGAUGAGCGAUGUAACGUAUUCGGAGACACAAAGGAAUGAGAAACUCGGUCAAAUCAAGUUCUUGGAUGGGUAAAAAAGUAAUCAGAAUGUUAUGUUCAGUCACGGAACCGAUCAGUGAACACUCAGACGGAUUCACCCUAUAUCGCUCAUGAAUUUGAAAGAGAUAAAGAAAGAAGAUAAAACCAGAGACGACACGAACAAUUAACAAGUUCCCCUAAGCGAUCCACUAUCUCAACGAAAUUAAUGACCGGAGUUUUCUGUACAAGGUUCGGAGCUAACGCUCUCUCAGAAGAAGAUGAAACGAAGCAAGAGCAAUUGUAAAAAAAACAUCUCACGAUCCUCUCUCUAAUUUAUCUAACCUUCUUAAUCAUGUCUUACUUAACUAAUCCAUCGUAACAGCCUACACAUGAACCAAUUACUAAGCCCAACUUAUCCCAAACCUAGAACUAACCCCACACACAAUAUGGAUGAUGUAUAAAAAAUUAAAGCUGAAUCAUAUUAAUGAAAUGUUUUUAUUGGAAGAUAAAAUGGCUGAUGUGUCACUUCCAGAACAUUCCAAAAACCUGAGGUGUCAGCACUGGAGAGAAACUUAGUAUUUUUAUUGUAUUGAUCACUUGGAAUAUGAAAUUCAUGUUGUUUUAAAAAUUUUAUUUUUUUUCAUACAAAAUUAACAUAUUGUCUUCUCUCUUUCUUGUGAUUUUGUCAUCUCCCUUUGAAAUAAAUCCAGAUUCAAAUUGCGAGUUGUCAUAUUUCUUUGCAAAUCUUUGAUUUUCCCCUUCUCUAUAUUUUCUCCUUUAACACAAAAAAUCUAAUUAUAUAAUUCAAAUUGGAAUAAUACCACAAUGAGACACUUUAUUCAACUUAUUUCCACAAUGAGGCACUUUGAAAGUUGAGAGCACUUUGGAUAAGUUAUUUGACCCAUUUGCCCUCUAACUACAUCUCGCUUUGGUUACAAUAUCUUUUCUCUCUCAUUCUCAUAUCCAUUCUCUCUUUCUCUCUCUCUCGGCAAAGAAGAAAGCCAAGUCCAGCUUCUUUCUUCCUUCUUCAACAAAUCAUCAGCUUUCUAAAGAAAGAGAGAUUGAACAUUCAGAUGAGGCUAUUUAAUUUUUCCGGUUAAUCGGAUCUCCCGAUUUCUCCGUGUCUGUUUUGAGCUAACUUCAAGGAGACUUUUUUCAGACCACCAACUGGAGCAUCUGUCCGAUCUGGCUGGUUUAGUUACCUGAUUCGUUGAAUCGGCUUUCUGUAAACUCGGGUCUCUCUUGGAUGAGUUUAGUGGGAAAAGAGAGAGGAUCUUUUGGAAUAAAAGAACUGCCAUGGUAAUAUCAUCACAGCCUCUUCGUUUUUUCCCCAUUGCUUAUUGUUUUUGCUCUUAAAUGUCUUAUCUUUCGAUUUUAUCAAAUUAAAGGAUUGAUUUUUAGACAAUUGUUUUGUUUUAUUUGGUUUGGUGCUCGUUAAUAGAAAGAUCGAUUCUUGGAUAAUCAAAGAUUAUUUGGUUUGGUGCUCGUUAGACAAAUCUUUUACAAUAAUCAAAGAUUAGAAGGUUUCGCCAAAGUGUCCAGAAUUAAACGCAAUCCACUUCAAUCCAAAUCCCAUACUUGAAAAAGUUUAAACACACAAAGAAAUUCAAUUCACGUUCUGGGUUUCUUUAAACUAUGGCGGCUAAUUGGACAAGGGUUAGUUUCUUCUUAGCUUUGGUAAUGACGGUGGCGAUUCUUUCCCCUGCUGUCGUCUCCGGUAGAAAUGCUUUUUCCGAUUUUAAAUCAAUCGAAGACGAAGCAUACGCCGUCGCUUCUGCCGCCGUGAUUAGUGACGAAGACGGGAUCGAAAUUCUUAAAACUUAUUCUAAAGAGAUUAGUAAAGGUAUGCUUGAAUUUGUGAAAGCUAAGACUAAUGUGGCUUCUCCUCCACCAAAGGAUGGUGAUGGAAUUGAAUUAGCUGCAGAUUCGAAGCUUGAUUCAAGUGAAGAUUUUAAAGAAGAUGAUUGCAAAUCCAAAGCUUGACGAGGCUUGAACAUGGUGUUGUUCUCUUAUAAUAGAUUCGUAUGAGAUUAUCUUUGUAGUGUGACUUGUUGAUUUUUCAUUUCUUAGUAAUAUGAAUUUGUGUUUGCUUUGGUAAUUGUGCUCAUUUAUGCUAUAUCUUGAGAUGUUUGGUAAUUAAAAUCAAACUUGGACUUCUAUUUAGUGUUAUAUAUUUAAAAAAGUUAAAUAUCGGUUUGGGUUUAGUAGGUAGGGGUAGGGUUUAGUGUUAUAUAUUUAAAAGGAGUUAAAAUAUCGGUUCAAGUGUUUUUCAUGUUUAAAGAAAAAUGGACGGUCUAAGUGUUUGUCAUGUUUGUCAUGUUUCACCAUUACUCCACAUGGUCAAGUCUAAGUGGACAAGUUAACAUGGACCCAAACUAUCAUUAACUACUUGGGUUUUGAGUGUUGAUAUUUGAAAGCAAUGUCUACAUUGUUAUUGGGGUUUGGAGACCUAUAGGAUUAUUAGUUUAUACAUAAUGAAAUCAUGUUGGAAGCUUUGACAGUUUGUCUCCAUGAAACUUGUCCAAUUAGACGUGACCAUGUGGAAAUAACUGAUUCUCAUAUGCGAAGUAAAGUGCUCUUAGCUUAGAGGUUCAACGAAACAUCAAUUUAUCAAGCUAGAUUCAAUUAAAAGAAGUUAAAUUUCGGUUUGGAUUUAAUUUGUUGACGAAGUUAGAUUUCGGUUUGGAUUUAGUUUGUAGGGGGUAGGGUUUAGUGUUGUAUAUUUAAAAAAAGUUAAACAUCGGUGUGAGUUUAUAUUGUUGACGAAGUUAGAUAUCGGUUUGGGUUUACUAGGUGUAGGGGAUAGGGUAUAGUGUUAUAUAUUUGAAAGAAGUUAAAUAUCGGUUUGGGUUUAGUAGGUAGGGGGUAGGGUUUAGUGUUAAACUUUUAAACCGAAUUUUCAUCUCGUUUUAGGUUUAUAUUGUUGACGAAGUUAGAUAUCGGUUUGGGUUUACUAGGUAGGGGGUAGGGUUUAGUGUUAAAUAUUUGAAGAAGUUAAAUAUAGGUUUGGUUUAGUAGGUAGGGGGUAGGGUUUAGUGUUAUAUAUAUUUGAAGAAGCUCUACACAUGAAUCAUUUGUGUUCAAGUGUUUGUCAUGUUUCACCAUUUACUCCAAUUGGUCAAGUCUAAUGGGACAAGUUAACAUGGACCCAAACUAUCAUUAACUACUUGGGUUUUGAGUGUUGCUAUUUGAGAGCAAUGUCUAUAGAUUGUUCUUGGGGUUUGGAAACAUAUAGGAUUAUUAGUUUAUACAUAAUGAAAUCUUGUUGGAAGCUUUGACAGUUUGUCUCCAUGAAAACUUGUCCAAUUAGACGUGACCAUCUGGAAAUAACUGAUUCUCAUAUGCAAAGUGAUAUAUUUUUAAAAAGUUAAAUAUCAGUUUGGGUUUAGUAGAUAGGGAGUAAGGUUUAGUGUUAUAUAUUUAAAAGAAGUAAAAUAUCGGGUUGUAUAAACUUGUGCAUUGCUAUGAAACAACCAUGUGAGUUACUAGAUGACCUUUUGGACUUGACUGUUUAGACACUAAUAAAUGGACAACUGUGUCUUUGAUUUGCUGCAAAUGUGUUUUAUCGCUUAGUAAAAUUAUCACUUUUUUUAUGGUUACGAUAUAUUGGAUGGUUUAGAGUUUUGGUUUACGGUUUAAGAUUUAGUGGACAAGGAUUAGGGUCUUGGGGUAUAGGGUCGAGGGAUAGGAUCUAGAGUUUUAAUUUAAUGUUCAGGGGUUAGGGUUAAGGUUUACAAAGUGGUUUAUCCAUAUGGACAACAAUUAUAUGGUAUGGUGCAUCCAAGCACAUCCAUAAACAAUUUUGGACAUGAUUACGUAAAUAAAAAAUUGUAAUUGGUCCAUACAACUCUAACUAUGUGGAUGGCUACUUGUAAAGUGUUAGAUAUCGGUUUGGGUUUAGUAGGUAAGGGGUAGGGUUUAGUGUUAUACCUUUAAACCGACCUUUCAUUUCGUUUUAUGUUUAAAUUGUUGACAAAGUUAGAUAUCGGUUUGAGUUUAGUAGGUAGGGGAUAAGUUUUAGUGUUAUAUAUUUAAAAAAGGUUAAAUAUCGGUUUGGGUUUAGUAGGUAGGGGUAGGAUUUAGUGUUAUAUAUUUAAAAGAAGUUAAAUAUCUGUUUGGGUUUAGUAGGUAGGGAGUAGGGUUUAGUGUUAUAUAUUUAAAAGAUAUUAAAUAUCGGUUUGGGUUAAGUAGGUAGAGGGUAGGGUUUAGUGUUAUACAUUUAAAAUAAGUUAAAUAUCGGUUUGGGUUUAGUAGGUAGGUAGUAGGGUUUAGUGUUAUAUAUUUUAAAGAAGUUAAAUAUCGAUUUGGGUUUAUUAGAUAGGGAGUAGGGUUUAGUGUUAACUAUAUUUAAAAGAAGUUAAAUAUUGGUUUGGGUUUAUAUUGUUAACUAAGUUAGAUAUCGGUUUGGGUUUAGUUGGUAGGGAGUAGGGUUUAGUGUUAUAUAUUAAAAAGAAGUUAAAUAUCGGUUUGGGUUUAGUAGGUAGGGAGUAGGGUUUAGUGUUAUAUAUUUUUUUAAAAAGUUAAAUAUCGGUUUGGGUUUAGCAGGUAGGGGUAUGAUUUAGUGUUUUAACCUUUAAACCGAACUUUCAUCUCAUUUUAGGUUUAUAUUGUUGUUGUGACUGAGACACUAAAGAUGGUGAAUAGGAUUUAGUGUUUAACCUUAUUCCACAAUAAUUCGUAAAAUCAUAUGAACAUAACCAUAGGAAUGAUCUUAUAUUUUUUUUUUGACAUCUUUGGAUCGACAAUGCCCGAUCCAUAACCAAUCCCUACUAUGCGGGGUAACGCGACUUACUGGAGUCAAACUCCGGUGGAGAAGGCGGAGUCAAGUGGACUUAACCACUUGACUAAAGGCACAUCCCCGGAAUGAUCCUAUAUUUUACAUCUCUUAAAUUAAAAUGUUUUAGCUCCACAAACAGAGACACGAUGGCGAACAUAUCUAAACAUUGUUCACCAAAAUGAAAUACAAGAACACCUUAUAAGUUGGCGAACAUAUCUUCGAAGGAUAAUAGACGGAUUCCUAUGGUUGACAAUACGCAAGUACGCGUUCAUAUAUGACAUUUAGGAGUGAAGGUGUAUCCAUGUAACAUCGAACAAAUGGAUAUAGUGUAAGAAAUGACGGUGUAUCCAUCUAGCGGAGACCAAAUGGAUAUGCAUUUUAGUAUUUUUUCGUAAACCAAACAAUUAACGUUGAGUAGCAUUAACAACAGAGCUAAAUCAAUAACAUCAUGUCCGGUUUGACGUAAUAUGUGGACAGCCACAAAAUGGACAAAAAUCAUAUGGUUAAAGAGGUGGGGAUUGGUGCGUACCUAUGGGCAAGAAAUUAAACAAGGAAUUCAAGGUGUCCCUAGAAAAGGGUAUUGGAAUUUUAACUGGAAAACCAGAUGCAUCUUAACAAAUCAAAUUUCAAUGUCAAUUCACAACAUUCAUAUCACGAAAAUUAUGAAAAUUAAUUUGCUAAUUAUAGAAUUUAACAUUUUCGUUACCACAAAUUUUUAUUUCUUUUUCUCCAGAAUGGCUACGGCUACGUUUCACCAAUCAAUCGUUUUCAUUUGCUUCUCCUUCUUCCACAAUCUCUCAAUAUGGAUUCAAGAUCGAUUUUUCACUGAGUUUUAUAUCAAAAAAGUUAAACUUUUGCAAGAUUAAAGCAAUGGCAUCAGUUUCUUAUAACAACACUCUCUUGUCUUCUUCCAAGACCAUCCCUGACAAUUCUCUAAAGACAUCAAGUACAUGCUCUGCUUUUUGAAUUCCUCAAAUCUCAUAAGAAACAUUGGUUUAUGAUCAUUUAUCUAAACAAGUUUAUGUUUUGAUGUUUAGAUGAAGCUGCUCUUAAAAACCAGAUAAAGCAAGUAAAAAUCCAAUUCCAGAGAGAAUCAAAUUUGGUUAAAGUUGCUCUUACCUCUCCCAAACCAUUUAUCAAUGAAUUUCUUGUUAUAAACAACGAUUCGAUUUUUCUUCUUCCCCAAUUGAAACAUCCCUCGUGAUCUUAGUUCAGACCAAUACAAUCUGUAUUAAAUCACCGGUCCGGCGAGCCAACCUAGCUGCGCCGUAGCCUACGCCAGUGACAAAACUCCCUAACUUAUCACCGUCGUUAUUAUUCCCAGUUUCUACUUCAUCAAAAGCAAAUAUGUCAUUGCCUCGGUGACGGCGGCGACCAAUCGAAAUAUUUUAUGAGAAGAUUAUAUCUCUAAGAUCUAGGAAUUUUCAUGGAAGGGGAGAAAGCAGAGCGAAGAGAGAGAUAAUUUUGUUUCACAUCUGGGCAUUUGUUUCUAACUAAUAUUUCUUAUGGAACGAGAGAAGAGAGAAAGUGUGUAACAUAGCUUUAGUUAAAUGAGGGGCAAAAUUGUCUAUCUUUAUUCCAAAAACAAGGUAAAGUGCCUCAUAUUUCUAAAGUGUCUAAAGUGUAAGAACUUUCAUCAAAAGUGUCUUAACAUGCAAAUCACCCAUUCAAAUUUGGUCAAACUAGUUUUAUAUGGCUACAUCUAAUUGCCAAAUGAAAUGGAGACAAGUACCACACAAAACCAAUUCAGUUUCUUCCACAUCUUCCUUCUCCACAUUUUUUUUAGUAGGAAUUUAAUUAGACGGGCAACACACAAAAUCAAAAUGAAGAAAGAAAGUUUAUGGGUUUAUGUAACUUUCUUUAAGGACCCAUAACUUUCUCAGUCGGCCUAGUGGCCCAUUAGCUUUGCAAAACAAAGUCAACUAUUUAUUUAAAGACCCGCGCUUACUCUGCUAGUCUAGAGUAAAAAAAUGAGAUUUUUAACCGCUCUACCCUCGAAUCGUGUUUUCAUUUUAUUUAAUACCAUUUAAAAAAAGUCGUUUCGGAAACAGGUCAUAUUUCGAUUUCGUGGCACAUGGAAGAUACGAGUUUGCCCUCAUGGACAUUGGCGCGAGACUACGUGAUGGGAUACCUGUCUGACUGUAAAAACAAACUAAAAAACCUAGUCUGAUUGCGUAAGCUCGUAGGUCGUACAACUGCAUUAAUGGUGCAUUAAUUGUUGGUAAUCAAGUGCUAAAAUUUAUUUACUGGAUAAAAGAGUGGCUGGUUUACUUUAACAAUCAGAGAGAUAUUGAUUUAGGAGAUCCCUUGAUUUAGAGUUGUUGUCUACAAUUUAAAAGAAAACACGAUUCCAUUUGUUUGAAGACGAACGGCGAUUUCGAUUUUGUGGAGUCGAAACAGAGAAAUUUUAGUUGGUUGUCCACCAAACUUGUAAGAUCUUUAAGAGUAUAAAUGUUUGUGUUUUUUUGUUAUUGUAGACAAAAUUUUAAAUUUUUAAAGUUGAUUUUAAUGCAUUUACUUCAGGUAUUUUGGUAAGAUCUAUGUAAUAAAUGUUGUUUGUUAAUUUUUUCGGCAAUAAAUGUGUGUUCUUGUUCAUCAUUCUUCUAAUAAAUGUUGUAUUUAAACGCAAGUGCUGGACAUUUGUUUGAUGGACGAAACAGUACUCGUAAUUUCUGGUGAGUGGAUAUGCUCGGAAGUUGGUAAGUGGGAAUUCCGAGUAGCUCCAAACCGUCAGGCGAAAUGUGUUUCUUUCAGCGAAGGUACACGUUACGAAGAUUUAUUGGCCGGAGUGGUUCGAGCAUAUGGUUUAAACAUGAACGAGGUCCGACCAAGUCUCAGCUUCUGGUUUUUUGGCGAGACGCAAGUGUUAACUCAAGGUCAUAUGCCUCCGGUUUCCAUAGGGUGCGAAGUUUCACUCGGCAAAUUUAAAAGUAAAAGGAAGGACUGCAAUGGGUUGAACAUGUUCUUGACCUUGGAGAAGGUAGAUAGUACUGUUCCAGUCGUAGAUGUUGUUUGUAGUCUGGGCGACGACGAACUUCUUGCAUGUUGUAAACAAAUUGAAGACUUGUAUCGCGAAUCCGUUGAAGAAGAAAGCGCGUUGAAGAAGAGUGAUGGAUGUUUUCAAGUUGUGGAUCCCGGAGUGAAUAUGGAGAAAGUUGUGGACAAAGUAAUGGGUCUUGGUACUGUCGACAAAGGUAAAGGGUUGGUCUAUGAGGGGGACUCUACUAAUAAUGAGCCCGUCUAUGAAGAUGAAAUGGAAGAACCAACAUAUGAUUUUGACAGAUGGACAGAUCUGAUUAACAGGGAAUACCCUGUGGACUGGGAUCCCUAUGUUGGACGCUGUGGACAGGAUAGCGCCAAUGCAAAUAGGAAAUAUGGACCAAACCAUAUAGGUGAAACUGUGGUGGACAACAAUGGUGGGGGACAAGAGCUGAUUGUUUUUGGAGGGAAUAUCAAAGCUGUUGGUGCUGCUGAUAAUGUAGUUGGUCCAAUCGAAUCGAGUGGAGUGGAUGCGGUACUAUCUAUAGGAACUGCUAAUUGCGAAACCCGAGAACCCGAUAAUUUGUCCCCGAUAGGUGAUCAUAUUAUGGGUAUCGACGAUUGUGAAAUGUUGUUACUAGAUGAUCAGCCAUUCAGAGACAAUAUUAGAGGUCUUGGCAACGAAGUUGGAAACAUGGAUUUGAAAAAGGCUGCAGAUGCUAUAUAUGUUGGAAGAGUUUUCAAAAACAAACUGGAGCUGCGAGACACUUUACGUGUGUUCGCCAUGAAGAGGUUGUUUCAUUUCAAAGUGAAGAGAUCAGACAAGGGAAGAAUGAUAGCAGAUUGCGUGGAUCCUAAAUGCAAAUGGAGGGUGUUUGCAAAAAAUCAUGCAAAUUCUAAAAACGUAGAAAUAAGAAAAGUUCAGUUGAAGCAUACAUGCGACGUCUCAUAUAGGUCAAAGUUCGGGAGGAAUGCAUCGGCUAGGAUUCUUGCCCAACUUAUGAAAGCGAAAUUUGCGAAUGGCAAAAAGGGUCCACGUGCAUGCGAACUACCAGAGAUGGUUUUGGCGGAGUUGAAUGUAACAAUUUCAUACAUGAAAGCUUGGAAUGUGAAGGAGAUGGCAAUUUGUGAGGCAAGAGGCAGUGAGGUAGGCAGUUACAAGUAUUUGAACACAUAUUUGCAUUUGUUGAGGACAUCUAACCCGGGGACAAUAACAGAUGUUCUCACAUCUGUGGACAAAAAUGGUGAGAAGGUGUUCAAAUAUAUGUUUUUUGCGCUGGGGGCAUCUAUAGCUGGGAUAAAGUACUUGAGGAAGGUGGUUGUGAUUGAUGGAACUCAGUUAAAAGGUAGGUAUAAAGGGUGUCUUGUAGCGGCCAGUGCACAAGACGGUAAUAUGCAAAUUCACCCCUUAGCUUUUGGUGUGGUGGACAACGAGAAUGAAGCCAGCUGGGUAUGGUUUUUCAAGAAGCUAAAAGAGAUAGUACUAGACGAGGAAGAGCUUGUCUUCGUGUCGGAUCGACAUGCGGCUAUAAUAUCUGGACUCAAAACCGAGUAUCCUUUGGCACAUCACGCUGCUUGUUCGGUUCACUUAUAUAGGAACGUCAAGCAUAACUUUAAAUGUCCUUGGUUGGCUGGGAUGGUCUCAAAUGCUGCUAGGUCUUUCACUACUGGUGAUUUGGAUUUUUGGUUAGCAGAGAUUGGCAAUCGCAAACCAAAAUGUAUUGAAUAUCUAAUGGACAUAGGUCUUCCCUUUUGGACACUCGCACAUUGUCCACAAAAGAGGUAUAACUUGAUGAGUAGCAAUAUUUCUGAAUCUUUAAACGCGGCGUUGGUGAAAGCUGUGGAUUAUCCUAUUGUGUCUAUGGUGGAGUUUAUUAGGACAAUGCUGAUGAGAUGGUUCUACUUACGGAGGAAACUAGCUGCAAAAACUGAAUCUCGAUGCACCCCAGAGAUUGAGGAUAUUCUCAUGGACCACCUUGGAGAUUCUAUUGAUUGUGCUGUUUUGUCGGCUAGCGAAUGGAUUUAUCAAGUCAAUGAUGGGAUGGGUUGCGUAUAUGAAGUCGAUCUACAGAGUAAAACUUGCACAUGCAAAGUGUUUGAUGUUUUGAUGAUUCCAUGUUGUCACGCAUUAGCCGCAGUUGGAGUUAGGAAUAUAGACAUUUACUCUCUUAUUGGUGAAUGUUACUUUGUUGGUCCAUGGAGGAGGAAGUACGAAACAGUUAUUCGUCCAAUACCCAAGGAGGGAGAUGUGAUAAUACCAGAAGAAGUCAAGGUUGUGGAAAUGAAACCUCCGAAAACAAAAAGAGGUGGAGGAAGACCGAAGAAGAAGAGAAUUCCUUCGAAAGGAGAAACCAAAGUAAGUAUAAUUAUUUGUCUACAAUUAUUUUCAACGUGGACAAGAAAAUAAUUAAGUAAUACUGCAGGGGAAAGCGAAGAAGAAAAAUAAUCCACACAAAUGUAGCAGAUGAUUGGGAGUUGGUCACAACAAAGCUACUUGCAAGAACCCCAUCUAGCGAUGGGUCGGUGUAGCGGGGGAGCGACAUGUUUAUUUUGUCCAUGUUGGAAUAUCGAUGUCCACUUCUUUUGUUUAGGUAAUUUGUCCGUCAUUUUCGCACAUUCAAGAUACCCAAUUUAGCGAUGGGUCGGAGGAUCGGAGUAGCGAUUUUUUGGUGUUUAAUGUUCACGAAGUUUUUUUAUGGAGUGUGGAUGUCCACUUCUUUUUUUUAGCUAUUUUGUUUACAACAUGGUAUGUGCUCUUUUGGUAUGUGAUGGCAGCUUUAAUAUGUAAUAUUAUUGGAUCUUUCGAAACCUAACUUCGUAACCCUUUGUUUACUUUUAUCCGAGCUUUUUGGUCUUGGUAUCCGUGGUGAUUGUAAUGAUAGACAAACAUAAACUUUGUUGAUAUCAUGGAAAAACAUAUAAACAUUACAACAUUUCUUGAUGGAGACAAUAAACUGGCCAAGUUUUAUCAUUUAGCAAAGCUCGCACAACCUCAUCGAGUUCCAGUAAAAAAAACACUAUGACAUGGUAAUUCCAUGCUACAAUGGAAAAAACAAUCGCAGUCAUCAUCGCACAUUCGGGCUACACAUUGAGGAACCGGUUUGUAAGACCAAGUCUUCACGAAUCUACCAGAUUCAGCGGGGACCAUAGACUUGAUUUGCAUAAAUAUCAUGUUGCAAAUUUUUUCGGCCUCUCCUCCCUCACCGCAUGUGUACAAAGGCUGAUUCGGAUGCGAUCUACACAGUGGAGCAAGGGUCCGGUCGGAUGCGGCUUGGUUGCCUGAACAAAUGUAGAACGGCGCUAGUGCGAAAAUUGCAUACUUCAAAUGUCUGGAUGCUCCUUCGAGUAAAAGAAUAGCUCGAUCUAUUGGACCAGCUUGACAACCAAGCCUAAGACCUUCGAUGUAGAGGGCUGAAGGGUUUCCUGCUCGUAGACAUUUUAAGAAAAAUGGUCUAUAAGGAGACUGCUCGUUUAUUCGGGCUGGGGUGAACAACAACUCGUCGAUAUCAGCCUCUUUCAACACACUUCGGUCAUAGGCCGCAUCUCUCCCUUCCCGACCUGCGAAAAGGAAGGGAUAUAGAUUUCGGAAGCCCCCAUGCCCUGCAGCUCGAGCAAUGAAGGGUAGAUAAUAUGAAAUCUGAUUUUCCAUGAAAAGUUUAUUAAAAAAAAACUCGUGUCGAAGAUUGUUUUGGUUUUGGACUUCAGUCUUUGCGAUUCGUAUAUAUAGGCCCGAUUUUCUAGUUGUAGAUAUUGUUGGGGGUUUGUAAAUCAUAAGUAGGUCAUAAAUGAGUAUUAAAUUGGAUCAGAAGGAGUUAGUCUUAGUGGGUGGUGUAUUGAAAAAGUAUACCACAAUCUUUUUUUUAAAUCUUUUUUCAGAUUGACAUUACUUUUUUUGAUAGACCAAAUUACAAAACGACAACAGAGAGUAUUUUUGUCCUGUUCAAUCAGAAGCUUAAAGCAAUUAUAACCAAUACUUGAACGACAAUGACUACGAAUAAAACACUGAUAGUUAUGGUUUUGUUUCUGCUUUGUGUCUUGAGUUUCUUGAUAAUUUCUUUGUGGACCACUUAUCUCACUGUUGACCUUUUUGUCUCUUCAAGCAAUUCUCCUAUUUUCUUGAGUUUGUUUCGGAUAUCGGUCUGUGAAUCUGUCCAAGCAUUCCGUGGACGUGCUUCAGGGUCGUACUCGUCCACCCAACAGAAGAAAUUGCACUUAGCUCCCGCCUGGUAGAAGUAAGAGGAAUAAGCUCUAAAUCCAGAAAAAACCUAAUUAGAUCUCCGAAUAUUUACCUUGUAACGUUCGCAGCCAAAAAAAAGUCUAGAAUCGUUUCUUUCUGUCCUCGAUUUCAAGAUCUGAGCUGGUAGUCCACAGUAACAACAAACCCGAUCUUAAUAGAAGCGAGUUGCGGUAGAGUAUUGUCUGAACGCCAUCAACGGGGAAGAUGACUAGAACCACUGGUUUGUUUAGCUGAACACUUGUCCCCGGUGUUUUAUCUUAAUGGAAGUGUAAUGAGAUUACACUACGAUAAAGUAGUGAAGUGGGAGAUAUUUUCUAAAAAACAUGUAGGGAAUCGAGAGUAAUUAUGGACCACAAAAUACAAUCAUUUAUUUUCUUUCCUUAAAGCAGUGGACAUUACAUAUACUCUACCCGAACAUAUAGAAAAACUUUAUAGAACACCCCCAACUAAAACACCGGGGACAACGGUUGUCCACGUCGCAUAGAUAACCUGGUCCUGCGCAUACUGGAACUUCCUUGAAUCUCCAUGUGUCGCAAAAUCGACGAAUUGUUACUGGUCCCAUUUGAACAAUUUGAUUAAAGACUGCUUCAGCAACCAUUUCUGUAAAUGCAUGGCUUGGGCAAAUAGAUAGGAAUAUUGAUAAUUCGCUCACACCGCCAUAAUACUCUCCGGAACAUAAUUUGAAAAUUCCAAGGCAAAAAUACAUUUCUUUGGUUUUAUAGUCAGCAUUAGAUAAAAGGAGUAUUGCUUCUUCUAUCUUCCCUUCUUUCGUAACAAGUCUUAGAGACUCUAGGUAAGUAGCAUCUAUGUUCCGUGAAUAAUAACAACGAAGGAAGAAAGAUCGAACAUGCGAACCAAUAUUAACAUGGUUGGGAUAUUUCAUUAAGUAAUAGAACGAAACAAGCCUAAGUACAUUCUUAUCAUUACAUAAAUACAUGAGAGAUUUACACGUCGACAUCAGCUUCCCUAGAUGUCGAUAUCCAUCUUUAGCAACUCGGAUGGCAAUCUCGACGACUAGAUGGCUUGGUAUUGAGAGGAUGUGGCACUUAUUUGAGAGGGAUUUUGUUGUCAAGUGGGUUGUGGACAUUGUUUUUUUUUGAAAGAUUAAGGGAGAUUUAAGCUUAUAGGGAGAUAGAUUUGUAGAUUUGCCUUUUAUAGAUGAAAGUCCUUUUUGUCAUUUUUGUUAGGGUUUUAAUGGUUUCUUUAAUGGAGUAGAUAGAUGUAGGUGAAAUAGUUAGAUUAGUAUUUAAUUCUAGUAUCUAACAACUUUGCAUUUUUCGAGUCUUUCAGAUUACAUAAAGGUACUUAACUAACCAAUUCCUAUAAUCUACCCUCGAAUCGUGUUUUGUAUACUUAGAUUAGUAUUAUUGUAGAAUAUUAUUAUGGUUUUUCGAGUUAUUAAUAUUAUUUAAAACUUAACUAACCAAUUCGUAUUGUUCAAAGUUAUAGCCAAAACCAAAUAUAAAAUGCAAUAAUCCAAAUGUUACCAAGUUCAAAAACAUACGACGAGGUUCACACAUAAAUAAAAGCAAACAGUUCUUAAAACAACAUAAAUAACACAUAACCAUUAGUUGCUAAAUGCACCCACAAACUCCUCGUAAACGUCCAUAGCAUAAGUAAGCCGGAAGCUGUCCACCAUUUCAUCCGUGAUACCAUCAACGCCUAAACCCUGCCCAUGAAGUUCAAUUAACUUCACUGAAAAUGGCCCGCAGUCACCAGUGCGUUCAUUUUGAGAGAUGGCAACAAGUCUUUCGAAAGUAAAUGUGUCGGGCCGCGGGUACGCUGUAGGUGAAGUGACCUCAUCCCUAAUUAGACCGGGAAGCAUCUCCACAAUAGGAGUCAUGAUCUUUUUUACCUUUUUCAAAUCGUUUCCAGAGAUUAGUGGGUCUAAAAUAUCAAUCUUACCCUCUUUUAACAGCACCACCAGGCAGACCCAAUGACCCUUUCUCCAAUUCAUAGGCAGGUAGAUUAUAUCGACAUCUUCAAACCACAUUAUAUUCCCUGACCGGCUUGGCACAUGUCCACGGACGUAAUUCUUGCACACUGAGUUCCACUGGAAAGGUACACUCUUAUUCCACUUCUUGAAUCGAGGGUAUUCAUUGCAAAGCAUACUAGUAAACCAGGUAUCUAGAACAGCAAUCCUUGAAUUGUUGAAUGAUUCUCCCAGCUUUCGCCAAACUAGGCUUAGCAUAGCUUCCAUCUCCUAUUUUUUAUUGAUGGACAAAUAAGGAGAUGCCUUAGCAUUGAGGGAAAUUUAGAUUUUCAAAUAACUAUUUUAAAAAAGUAGUGGACUUACAGGUGUAUCAACCCAAUGCUUCGGCGUCAUAAUCUCAGAGAAGAAAGUGUUUGGAACAGGAUGUCCAUCGAUUAUGUAUUCCCUAGGAAGGGGAAAAAUAAGCAAACUUUUUUUCCGUGGACAAUAUUUUAACUAAUCACAUAUGUAAUUGACUUACUUUUUCUUAUAGCUUGACAACUUUGCAAGGAACUUCUUUUUUUUCAAAACAUCAACUUUCCGGAAUGGAGUGUACAGUUCAAUUCCCCCAGGUUGUCGUUUGUUGUCAGGAGUGUCUCCAUAUCUGUUAGGAGCUUUUUUGACUCGUUUUGAAGGCAAAGUUUUGUUAAUGUCCUCAUGACGUUUUAUCCCUCGUCGUCCUUUGACGUUGUCUACAACCUGCUUUCCAAUAUCAUCUUCCUCAAAACAUUCUUCUUUUUUGUCCACGACAGUUUCCAUCUCCAUCAUAACCUCUUCCUAAACCACACAAUAUAGAAGAAUGAGUCUAAGUUUCAAUAACCAAGUAAGAAUCUUACUACAAAUUUAAAAUACCUCGUUAGAUUGACCUUCCUCUUUUUCUUCAUCAUUCCCCUCAUCAUUUACAUCUACACGUUCCGUUGGUUCAGUGGACCUUUUUUCAUCAUCCUCCUAAAAUAACAGCAUUAUAGCAGUAAUAUGAAAAGUUUAUGCGCACAAAUAUUAAAAAUACAAAUCAGAUUACCUCGACGGAUUGAGUUUCCUCUACACCGUCCUUGCUUUCACUGUGGACAUCUGCACCGUCAGCAGGUUCGGUGGACUUCUGUUGUUCUGAGUCUAUACUAUUGUCCACCACUUUCUCAGAUUCAGAAUUGUCUACAACUUUUUCUGAGUCUUUAAUGUUGUCCACCGCCAUCUCAGAUUCAGAAUUGUCUACAACUUUUUCUGAGUUCUCGAUGGAUAUUUGACUGAUUUUUUCUUUGUUAAUGUCCAUAUUUUCACUGUGUGGCAGAACGUACUCGGCGUUUUCUACAAACCCUCUUUCCUUCGCUUCGAUCUCGUCCCUGUCAUCUUCAUUUGUUUCAUUGCAGUCCCCCUCCCCUGAUGUUUCAUCAUCUUGUCCAUCACCCGAUCUUUCUUCCCCCUCUACGUCAUCAGAUUUCUCAACGUCAUCGUUUUCAUCUUCUUUUUCUUGUCCAUUGUUUUCUUCUUCGUACUCCGUCCCAGUUACCUAUUUUUAAGAAAUUAUUAGUCAAGAACAUCAAACUUAGUAAUUGAACUUAAAAAACCUAUUUACCUGCUCAUGAAGACCUCCCCCAGUUUCAUCAAUGUUUUCACUCUGUACAUGAUAAAUGAGGGAUUAGGAGCAAAUAUAAAUAAUGGACAAACAAAUGGAUACUUUGGAAGACAUCUUUUACUCACGAAUUUUAAAAAGAAAUCUCCACUGUUUAAUUAUGAGUACCUCUUUAUAAAACGUUGUAUCAUCUUCAAUCGAAUGCUCUUUUUCGGUCUUCUCUAAGCCUUCAAAUCCAGAUUGAAUCAUCGGAUCAUCUUCAACCUGAUCAUGGACAAAUAUUACGGACGGUUUUGUCUACUAGGGAGAUGUAAAACAUUUACGACUUACCUCAACUUCUCGCGCUAAAUCCGACUGUCCACCAUCGUUGACUUUCAUACUUUUAAGUACAUCAUUAACCCCUAAGUAGUCGUCCACAUCUACCUGCCCAGACUCAUCGACGACCCCUUUCACUUUCUUAAUACGAAUUCCUUCACGCUUUCGCGUCAGACAUGCUUGCACCUUUUUACCCUCACACUUUUCAGAAUUUUUCACGCCACACUUUUUAAUUCCAACCUUCCCAAGCUCUUGUCCUUUGCCCGAUUUGAUUUCCCUCAACAACUCAGUUCUUAAAGUCAACAUUUUUUUGUCCACCAUAGACAUUAAUUCCUUCUUAUGGGCUUUUAUUUUCUUGUCCACCAUCGAGACGACAUGUCCAUCUAAUUGCAUAUUCACUUGCUCUCCAACCACAGGUUCAUCAUCUCUGACGUCUUGGUUAUCAUCUCCGGCGUUGCCAUCGUCCGCUACUUCCUCUAUUACUUCUUCUUUCCUAGAUCUCUUCCGAGGGAUGGGCAAUUUUUUUUCCUUUUUCACAAUUUUCGGACCUGGUAUAGACAUUCUUGGUAGACCAUCAUAUCCACCAUGCCAGAUUUCUUUGCCAAUUGUGACACCUUUCUCUAAAAGGCUCAUUAUAUACUCCACCCCCGGAUCUACGACUUCGUCUUCCCAACCGUAUUGACCUUCAUCAAUAGGCUCUUCGGUCUCUAAGAUAGAGAUUACAUCCAACUGAAAAACAAAAUUCGUGUUAAUAUUUUUUAUAAAUUGAGUCUAUUUUCCACAUAUAUUUAUGAUUUUUACCUCCGGAUUGUUUUCAGCUUCCAAGAUAUUCGAGUUGUGGAAUGAUUUCAGCUUCGCCAGUUGGAACACAGAACGGUCGGUGAAGGUCUGUUCAUCGUCAUUGUCGGGAAGAUAGGUCUCCAACAGUGGGAUGCAAUGGAGAAUCAGAAGUUGAAGCGACAAAAUGAACCCGUGUGUUGCUACGUGAGACUGUUUCAUUUUCGCAACUAGUGAUUCCACAGAAUCUACUUUCGAGCCCACUUUAACCAUCCGCAUGGUCAAAUUGAAAGAUUCACGUCCCCACGGAUACGAAAAAAAAGUCCCCAGGUUCCUCACCAUUUCAACCACCUCCGAUGACGCUCUCACCGGCUGGCUGUCGCAUAUCAGAAUUCCCUCCACAAUCACUACAAGUGCAAGCCUCAAUUUUUUCCAUCCAGGCAUUUGUCCCUCUGGUGGUUUCCUACUGUCCACCUUCAACGACCUAACAAUAUCAUCGAUAGUAACCACUUUCUUAUUCCCAAACAAUGUCUUCCAAAACGGUUCUGAGUUCCCUGUUGCAGUUUGAGCCUUUGUUAUCUCUUCGGCUGGUGGAUAUGGAAAACAUGGAAGCCCCGUCACGAGACCAAACUCUCUAAGGGAGAAACGAAAUGGAUGGCCUCCGAAAACGAACCACAACUCAUGUUCCUUUGCUGUAACAAGUGAACGGCAUAAUAUGUUGUGGACCAGUUUACCCGAUAGGGAGCAUUUCCUAAUUGGCAACUCAAACAGAGAACCCAACGGCGAAUUUUGCAGAUAUUCCAAUUCCUUGGUACCCUGCAAAACGUCUACAAUGUCGAGCAAAUACUCAGGUUUUGAUUAGGAGUUGAUUCUCCCUUUUACAGGGUAUCGAUCUGUCGCGAAUAGCCUUUCAGGUAGAAGUUCCGGGACAAUUGUAACUCCCCCGUCCCUGUCCCACUCUACCCGAUUUUGAUCUUUACCCGCCUGAUACUCAAUUAGCCCUUGCGUAUCCUCGUCAAAUUCCAUUAUUUUAAGACCUGGAAAUUGUGGACAUAAAAUUUUUGUUAACGUGGACGUAAUUGAUAUACAUAUGGACAACACAACUCACUUUUUUUCACAAUAACAAUGACAAUGACGAUUAUAGAGAGAUUCAGUAUGAUAUUUACCUUUCUUUCCCUUCGGUAUAUCGUGGACGAAGACUACCAAAUACCAGAAUAAAGUUCCAGUUUUUUAAAGUUAAGUUUACAGAAGAUUGAAAAGAAGUAGAGCUCCUCGAUUAGGUUAAAAUGGUGGAGAGAGUUUUAUUGGGUAAAAUUCUCGAUUUCUUCCUCUGUAAAGUAAUGUCGUUUCACUUUUUCAACUUUUAAUCUUAAAAUAUUUUGUCGCUUUGGAAACGGAAACCCGGCUACUAGACCGUAAUUAAUAGCGCAGGCACGUCUCUCCAAACGUCACAUCGUCUUCUCUUACACGGUAAAGCGAGAGCAUUUUCGUCUUUCUAAGUCCCAAAAAUGGCGUUGCCCACGAUGAGUUUUUUAAAUGUCAUUCCCAAAAAUUAAAACUCAAAAGAGGGCAGUAUUAUCAAAAUUCCCUAAAAAAAUCGAGUCCAUAUCUUUAGCUAGUUUGAUCGGUAAUUUGUUCACCUAAGAAAAUAUCUUUAUUAACGAAUAAGAUAUCGCAAAUAUGUAGAUUCUAGGAUACCAUCAUAAACGGCCUUAAAGCACAAGAGAAGAAGCAUAACAACAACAACUCUGUUUUUUGAAGUGUUAAAAUCUUUUAUGGACCCAAAAGAUGUUAUAAACUGUUACUACACAAACUUUGUACGAUUCUUUAAGGAGUUAAUGCCACUACGAUACAUUGCCCUCCCUUUCUUUUUCUUCUUCUUCUUCUGUCUUCUUCAAAUUUUGUUAUCUUCUGUUUUCCUCAUGACGUGAUUCAUAUAAAGACUUCACUCUCUCUAAAUUUAGUAGCCUUGGAAUAUUGGAGGUGGUGGUGAAGCAUAUUGGUGGCCGAUGAAUGGUGGAAUGAUGAAUUCCUCACUUGGCGGUGGUGCUUCUACUGUCCGUGUUGGUGUUUGUGGUGGAGGAGAGUUGACCGGUGUUUGUGUUGGUGGUGAACUCAUUUUUGGCGGUAAAUGUGGAGGAGAGUAGACUGGUGGUGGUGGUGGUGGUGGUGAGUUUACUGGCGGCGGUGGAGGAGAAUGUACUGGUGGUGGUGGGGAAUAUACAGGUGGUGGAGGGGAGUGGACAGGUGGUGGUGGAGAGUAUACCGGUGGAGGUGGUGAAUGGUCUGGCGGUGGUGGCGGUGGAGGAGAAUGGACUGGUGGGGGUGGUGAAUGGACUGGCGGAGGAGGAGAAUGUAUGGGCGGUGGUGGUGAAUGGACUGGUGGUGGUGGCGGUGGAGAAUAAACUGGUGGUGGAGGUGAAUAGACUGGUGGCGGUGGAGAAUGGACUGGAGGUGGUGGUGAAUGGACUGGCGGGGGAGGAGAGUGUACCGGUGGUGGUGGUGAAUGGACUGGCGGUGGAGGAGAAUGUACUGGCGGUGGAGGAGAGUGCACUGGUGGUGGUGGCGGUGGAGAAUAAACCGGUGGUGGUGGUGAAUAGACUGGUGGUGGGGGCGGUGGAGAAUAUACUGGUGGUGGUGGUGGUGGAGAGUGAACCGGCGAUGCAGGUGGGGGAGAGUGAACCGGAGGUGGAGGUGGACUACGCCGGAACUUCACAGGAGACUGAUCAUAUGGGUCAUUUGGUUGCGGCGACUCUUUCGGUGGUUGAGGUUUAUGAACCGGUGAUGGAGUUGAAUGGACCGGCGGUGAGGGAGGAGGAGAUAAAACUGGCGGUGUAGGCGGUGGAGAGUGAACCACAGGGUGAUGUGGUUGUUGUGGUGGAGGCGGGCUUCGCCGGAACUUUACUGGAGACUGAUUAUAUGGGUCAUUUGGUUGUGGUGAUUCUUUCGGUGGUUGUGGUUUAUGAACUGGCCUAGUUGGCACAGGUGAUGGAGACUUCGACGGUGUAACGUAGCUAGAACCACCAGCACACUUGUCCUUACUACAAUCGACUGGACGGCUAAUCACCACCGCACAUUCCUUGGCUGAUCGUUGCUUAGGUCGAUCUGGCAAGCAGUUGCGUGUAUCAUCCAAUGCAAUCUCCUUCUGACUACCUGGGACACAUGAAUCACCUUGCCCGUUGAAGUAAUUGUAGGCGUACGUCAAGUUAACUAAUUUAGGCAACUUGCAGAUAUUCUCUGGCAUGAACCCAGUGAGUUUAUUCCCAGAGAUAUCAAACUCUUCUAGACUGGUAAGCCCGACAAAGCUUGGAGGUAGAACACCGGUGAAGGAGUUCAUGCUAGCGUCAAACACGUUCACAUUGGAUAGCUUCCCGAUCUCUGAUGGGAAACAACCGCCAAGACUGUUGUCCUUAAAGAUAAUCUCGUUGAGAUUCUUCAUGUUUCCAAUACUUCUAGGGAUACAACCGCUGAAUUUGUUGUGAGCAAAGGUCACGACGGAGGCUGAGGAUUCUCCGAGAGAAUCAGGAAUGGUAGACGUGAAUCUGUUGUUGUUCAAGAAAAUGGCAUCGAGAUCCUUCUUGAAAAGCUCAGGAGGGACUUGACCUUCGAAAUCAUUGUAUCUAAGGUCGAUGAACUUAACGGCCGGCCAUGAGAGGACUACGGAAGGGAAAGGUCCAACAAACCGGUUGUUGCUGACAUCGAACUCGUGCAUUAGACUCAACUUCUCGAAACUUUUAGGUAUGAUACCACAGAACCGGUUCGAAUUCAAAUGAAACAUUGCAACAUCUGUCAUCAAACCAAGUUCAGCCGGUAAAUGCCCUGCGAUAUCCGCACCAUUCAAAUCAACCCCCGCCACAACCGCAACGUUAGGAUCAUCAAGAGCUGGGGCGCAGAACACGCCCGUGUAGCCACACACAUGAGGGCCAUGCCAGUUUCCCGUGGUAUUAAACGGGUCUGAAUACACCGCCUUUUUCCAGGCUUGGAGAGCAAUAUACGCUCUCUUAAGCCUAUGGUUGGCAAAUGUCACCUUAAGAUCAACCUCAUACUCAAUAUCAUCAGGAAGUUCGCCAUUUUCAGGUAACGUCAAGAGCUGUCGUUGUGCAAUAAAUGAAGCUUCUGCAUCGGUGAGUGCUAAAACAACAGAAGAAAAGAAGAAGAAGAAAGAAAAGAAAAAGAGGAUGCAGCCAAAGGGCGAGAAAGAAAAUUGGGGUUUAGUCAUGGCUUAGAACAAAACCUUGGACAAUACCCAAGGGCUGCUUAUAGAUAUGGGGCAUAGAAAGGUUCGAUGAAAACACCAAAGGGUUAUUAUUAAUAAUGUCAAACAAUUUUCAUUUCGCAUCACCAAACAAAUCUUUUGCCUAUAUUUAGAAGACUCUUGUUUUCCUUUCAAAGAUUUAGCUUCACAUCCGGAGAACAAACAUAAUCAAGAAUAGAAAUCUCUUCGUAAACCAAAACCGCGUAGUACUAUAAUAGGCACACGGCAUUAAACAAACUGAAAACAUUCGCGAACAUCAAGCAAUAACAACCACAUUUCUAUGGCAAUAUGUUCACAUCUUAAACAAAGAGGACACUAUAUGAUCUAAAGCAAAACCAAGAACUAUAUUUACAUAUAAGUGUGAUAAGAAAACAACUUUCUAAAGGUACCGUAAUCCACUUCAGUCGGUUUCGUGAUCAGGAGCGUGAGAGAACCAAGCAGGGAUAGUUCCUUUAGUUCUAAGCAACCUAGUGAAAGCGGAAUCCGGCAUUUUCGAUUUCUCUUCUUCCUCCAAUUCUUGUUCAGAUUUUGGUAAACCAUCAGGAAUAUGAAUAUGCAACUUCAUUCCUUUCUCUCUAUUUAAACCAUUCUUGGUUUUGUUGUCUUUCUCCAUUGACGCAACUCCAUGUAAACACCCGAUUAGCGAUUUCACACCGCCUGUUUGCAAAAUCAAAUUCUCAACUUCAACCUUAGGCUUCUCUCUCUGCAAUCACAUAGACCAUAACAAAGAGUAAAAGAUUGUUUAAGUGAUUAAAAUUCUCAAGUAAAAUUCACAAAUUGCAAAAAUAUAAAGAAUUAUUUACUUCGAGAUCUUUGAGUUCAAAGUAAGCUCUCCAGCAACUGUAAGAAUCAUCACCUUCAAGCGUCGAACAGUAAUCUGAAAUCAAAAUCAAACCCAAAUCAGAACAUGUUCGUCUGUGUAUCGAAAGCGAAUGAAAUUGUUGAACCUGAGAGUUCGGUUUCGGCUUUUUCGAUUAGAGGCGGAUCUUGAAGAAUCCGGUCGAAUUUUCCGCGGCUGAAGAGUUCAAGCUUAGGGACGUCUCUGGUGCUUGAACAACGAACCACCGGGAAGGAUCUCGCGGGGGGAAACGACGGUGCGGCGAAUUUGGUGUCGUUAAACUCAAUAGGGAGAUGAAACGAGCGAAGAGUCACUGAUUUUAUCAUCUCUGCUGAAGAUAUUAUUAUGAAACUAGGAGUGAAGUGGAUAAGGAUUGAGAUUUUUGUAUUUAUAGAGAGAAGAAAAAGUUUUGAUAGUGACGGAGAUAGUAAUAAAGUGAUGAUUUCAAUAUGGCCCAUAGUAUAAGCGCCGUUGAUUUUUUUUUUUUUUUUUUUUUUGUGUAUAUUUCGGAUAAGAUUAUAAAAUAUCUUAGAUUGGUACACCUAGGCCUGGGCGUUCGGAUAUUCGGGUCGGGUUCGGAUCGGAUUUUUUGGGUUCGAGUUUUUCGGAUAUAUAAAACUAAGACCCAUUCGGGUAUUUUAAAAUUUCGGGUUCUGGUCGGGUUCGGAUCGGAUAUUUCGGGUUCGGAUUCGGGUUUACCCGAAGUAUCCAAAUAUUAAAAAUUUUGUAUCCGACUCUUUGCAAAGUAUUGAAAAAUACUCAAAAAUCUAUAAAACCCAAGUAUUUUUUAACCGAAUCUAGCCAAAAGUAACUAAAACACCCAAAAAUUCUUAACAUCCAAAUAAUUUAGGCACUUAAGUUUUUAAAAAUAUAAAUAUUACUAAUCUAUAUAUAUAAUGGGAGAGUUUUCUCUCCUCUUAGGGUGUCCACAUCAUCACCAAAUUAAUAUUAUGGAUCCUACUAAUAAUUAUUUCAAAAUAUUUAAUUUCAUAGUUAAUUACAUCUCAUUAUCAAAGAAGUAAUCAUCAAUUAAUGCACAGUUUUAAAUAAAGGUUACAUGAAUAAUAAUAACACAAGUGUAACAUAUUUACAUAUAAAACACUUAAAUUAAUUUUUUGUUAAUAUAUAACUUAAAAUGAACAUAAUACCUAAAUAUUUAAUUAAUAAAUAAAAAAAUAAUUAUGAAAAUUUCAUAAAAAUACCAAUGUUAUUAAGAUGGACAAAAAGCUUCUUAAUGAAAUUUAUUAUACAAUUAAAAACAAAUAAUAACUUAUUAAAAAUAAAAAACGUUUAAAAACUAUCAUUUUUAAGAAUAAUAAAGAAACCUCAAAUAUAAUAUAGGAUGAAAAAAGAAUUGAAUUGAAAUGGAAAGCUAUAAGAGUUUUUUUUUUUUUAAUAAUAAGAAGAUAUUCAUAUUUCAUGGAAACAUUAAAUUAAAGAGAUCAUAAUGAAGUGGAAGAAAUUUAUUUAAAAUAAUAUUAUUUUUAGAUUAAAAAAAAGGUUAAAUGUUAUAGUAAAUGUAUGAUUGUAAAAGUUUUUUUAAGAUAUAAGAAAUAAUUCAUAUUUAAAAUUGAAUAUUAUAUUUCAAGAGAGUAAUAGUAUAAAUUCACAUUGACGAAAAAAUAUAAAAAUUAAUUGUAUCUUAAUAUUAAAUUAUAGUAAAAUAUAACAAUAAAAAUAAUAAAGUUAUAUCUAUAUUAUUGUUUGCUUUCUAAAUAAAAAGGUGAAUAUGUUUAAAUAUAGGUAAAAAUCUAAAUAAGUAGUGUUGAGGAAAUUUUAACAAAUAUAUAUCUUUCGUAAAAUUAUAUUACGUUGAAGCAUGAAAACCAUAUAAUUAAUAAAAUAAAAUAAACUAAAAAGAUGAAAAUGAGGAAAUAGUUUUCAGUUAAGAAUCAAUUUAAAGUUUUAUUAAAGUGAGCAUAGAAGAUAAAAAAGAGUAGAUGUUGGGAAGCGAACAAAUGCAUCAUAGAAGAUGACGAAAAAUAUUUGAAGAGAAAUUGAGUAAUGCUUGAAGCAUCGGAUAUAUGUAUGCACAUGACUAAACGAUAUUCAUCAGAUAUAUGUAUGCAUUAUCGGAUAGUUUGGUUUAGUAAACCAGACUAUCAUAUUCAAUAUCAGGUUAAAUCGUCGAGCCAUGUAAGCGUAGUAGGAUAGAUAAGAUUAAGACAUUCAUGAUUUGGUCAAAACUUUCCUUAAGGUAUGAUGGUCUUGCUUCAAUAGGUAAAUUGUGCUCUUCAAACCUAUUGAAGCGGCAUGAAUAUUACGUUUAUAUAUUUUCAUAAAUUGAUGUUCAAACUCAGCAAAUUUACUUUUAGUAUGAGGUACGAAUAGGUCAAAACAUCAAAGACAGUUAUAUUUACAAGAUUUGUUUAUGGAUAUAACUCUCUUUUUGAUAAAAAAAAAUUCAUUGAUGACUACCGAGACCGAUUAAUCUUAUAUAACUUUUGUUAUUACGCGGUACGUACCAAAUAUAUUUUAUAAUUUUCUAUGUUGUAGAUUGUUUUGUAAAACAAGUAUGAAUAUAUAUAUAUAUAUAUAUAUAUAUAGUUUUUAAAAUUCAAGUGAUUAUGAUUAUUCUUAACAUUUUGUAUUAUACCCAGUUGAAAUUUGAUAUUCCGCGCAAUGCGCGGACGAGUAAAUCUAGUAUAUUAUAACUAUGUACUUAUAUUUCGGGUAUGUUCGGGUACUUGUUCGGGUUAGGGUUUGGGUCGGGUUCGGGUUUGGAUUUUUGGGUUGUGAAGUUUAGAACCCGUUCGGGUAUUUUAAAACUUCGGAUUCGGAUUCGGAUCGGGUUUUUUGGAUCGGGUUCGGUUCGGUUCUUCGGGUUCGGGUAAUAUGCCCAGGCCUAGGUACACCUUGGCCAGAAGAAUAAAGAUAGCUGCCACCACUGUUUUCAUUUUCUUAAACUUUUUUUUUCUUUAAAAAAGUGAUAAGAUCAAGGGAACAUUCAAAAACAAAUACAAGAUGAAAAAAAAAAAAAACCAAAACAAAUACACCAAGAUUGCUUGACUUGAAGAAGAAAAAGACAAUCCCAAAAAUAUCUUUUAUCUUCUCUUCUUAUAAAGACAUAUGUACUAGCAGUGUUCAGUGCCGGCCCUGUGAAAGAAGAGGCCCGAUACAAAUUUUUUUUUUUUGAUGGAUUUUGUAGAAUAAAUUAAAAUUUGAGACCAAAUCUUAAAAGUUUAGAAAAAUGGGGCCUAUUUUGGCAAUAACAAAUAGAUAAAAUUUAAAAAUUGAGACUAAAUCUGAAAAUUUCAGAAAAAUAGGGUCUAUUAUUUGCAAUGACAAAUAUUUUUGAGGCCUAAUUUUGACACUAAAAAACUUAAAAAAUAUGGAGGCCCAAUACCCAUGUUUCAUAGAAAUGUGUGGUGGGCCGGGCCUGACAGUGUUGCAUGGAAACGGAAACGAAAACGUGGAAGCGAAACGUUUCGAAAACGAGAAACAAUUUUUUUCUAAUAUUAGAGAUUGUAAACGUUUUGGAAACGUAUACACAUACAUAUAUAUAAUAUAUGUAUAUAUAUAACAUUAUCAUAAAACUAUAAAAAAAAUGGUUUAAUUAAACAAUACAAGUUCAAAACAUCAAUAUUAAAUAGGUUAACUAAAAUUAUAAAAGAUAAAGAUUAAAAGGAUCAAGUUCAAAUAUUUAAUUAGACCAACAUUUUCAUUCUUAUUUUCAUUAGUUUCAUCAUAGAUCAUAUAAAGAUGCCUCCAAAUCUAGUUUGUCGAUAGAAAGAUCUUACAUUAUAUAUAUUAUAAAUCUUAAUAUUUUCAACUUGUUGUAAACCACAUAACGGAUGGACUCCAUAACCGUGGCCCAUGUCCAUGUUCUAGAAGGCCCAUGUCUAGCUUCUAGAAGACUCGCCCAACCGACCAAGGCCAAAGACGGUUUAUGUUAGUCUUAGUGGGCUUUAGUGUUUCCUAGUCCAAUUGGGAUUUGUCUCCCCUAUUGUGUAUAUAUAUAAAUUGUAACCUCAUUCAUUAAUCAAUAAGAAUACACGAGAUUCAUAACACGUUAUCAGCACGACUUGCUCUUAACGAUCCUAAAACCUAAUUCACUAAAAACUCAUGAUCGCCAUUACCACCGUCGGAAUCACCGUCGGAUUGCUGUCGGAUCGCUGUCGGGACAUCGUCGGAUCGUGGCCGUUUCGCGUCGGGCCACCGUCGGAAAACAACAAGUUCGUGAUAAGUUUGAAAACCGAGGUCUUUAGCUCCCGGUUCACAUCCAUACAAGCCCCAUAAGGUGAAAGGUAAAAACGAAACCCUAAAAGCUUAAAGACCAAAAUCGAACUUGAACCUAAUGCAAAGCGAAAUCUUAAAAACGGAUAAUGAUUGAUUAAGUGAUUGCUUUUGCUUGUAUGAUUCGAUUGCUUGACUCGUUUAAGUUGUUAGAAAAGUUAUUGCUUAAACCUAACUCUCAAACUCGAAAACACUUAACCAUGGCUGAAACCUUAAAACCUAAAUCAAAUCAAAUCCGAAAUCCCUAAAAUAUUAAUCGAUUGAUUGAAGUUGUUUAGGUUGUUUAGAUUGAUUGUUUCUAUGAUUGGUUGCAUGCAUAAAUUGAUAGAAAUCAAAACCUAAAAUCGCAUGAACCCUAGACACCUAGAAAAGGAAUAAUCCUAUUGUGAAUAGGAGAAUCCUAAAAACCCUAAAUCUUAUUCUAAAUAGGAAAAGCUAAAUCCUAAAGAAAACAGGAAAACCUAAAUAAAAAAGAAAAAUUCUAAAUCCUAUUGAAAAUAGGAAAUCCUAAAUACCCUAAAUCUUAUUCUAAAUAGGAAAAGCUAAAUCCUAAAGAAAACAGGAAAACCUAAAUAAAAAAAGAAAAAUUCUAAAUCCUAUUGAAAAUAGAAAAUUCUAAAAAACCCUAAAUCCUAAUUAAAUUAGGAAAUUCCUAAAACCUAUUCAAGAUAGGAAAACCUUAAGAAAUAGAAAUCGAUUCAUGGUUCGGUCUUAAAUACCGCAUGACAUUAACGAUUACAUGAUUUUGACUUAAACCUCUUUGCUUGUAGAUGUUGAAUUACAACUUGUAUUUUACUGCCCUAAAUCUCUUAGGAGAUAAUUAUUUGAAAUGGGCAAUGGAUACUAAGAUUAUCCUAAAGUCAAAAGGACUUGGUGAAUGUAUCACAUAUGGCAAUAAUGCCAAGAGAGAAAGAUAGAUACAAGGCAAUUUUAGCCACCAUCUUAUUGAGAGUCUCAGAAUCUAGGACUAUAAGUCUUUGGAUGAGUCUAUUGCUAGUUGAGCAAAAUAAUGACUUACUGAAGGAAAAAAAGUAAAUUAAGACCUCAUAGAUUAACCCCAUUACUUGAUGCCAAUAAGGCCGCAGAGGAUAAGAAAAAAAAUUCCAAAGAAACUAACCACGUCCAGAAUGAUAGACCACACGGCCGUGGCCGUGGUGGAUGGAAAGGACGUGGCCGUUGCCACUAUAAUUCAUCCGGCCGUGGGAACCACUAUAACCGUGGUUGUGAGCCCAAUUUUGGCCGUGGUCGAGGGCGAGGACGCUAUGGUAUUUCCAAACCACAACACUCGACCAAAUAAGUGUGCCAUAGAUAUGGAAUGGGGAACCAUUGGGCUAAGAUAUGUAGGACUUCCAAACAUCAUUGUAACCUCUAUCAAGAGAGUGUGAAAGGAAGAAUCCUAAAGCCCAUUUGGUAUAUAUAAAGAUGGUGAAAAUAAUUUUGAACAUGAUCAAGAUGAUCUAAUGGAGUAUAAAACUUCUGAUUGCCUAAAAGAAUCAAGUUGGUAAAUCUGAUUUCGACAUCAAAACCUUUGUGUGUUCUUUGCCGUUUUAUGUGUUCAUUAAUUGUUAUCUCCUUGAAUUUAUUUUAUAUUACUUUAUGUUUAAAACAUGAUUCUUGUCCAUAUAAGAAAUGACUAAGGACAAGAAGAUACUUGUGAUUGAUAGUGGAUCAAGCCACAUGAUCUUAAAAGACAAGAGAUAUUUUCUAAAUCUCAUAAUGAAAAAUGCCAAUAUUAGCACUAUAGCGGGUAUAGCAAGUCUUAUUGAGGGCUACGGCCAAGCCCAUGUUCUAUUACCAAAUGGCACGCAUCUUGAACUAAGCGAUGCCUUGUAUUCACCCAGCUCAAAAAGGAGCUUAUUGAGUUUUAAAGAUAUAAGAUUAAAUGGUUUCCAUAUUGAAACAAAGAGUGAAGGGAACAAAGAAUUCCUAAAUAUAAUUGAGAUCACCAAAGGACAUAAGAAAGUCCUAGAGACUAUACCCGCAUUAUCCACUGGUCAUCUACUAUGCUAAAAUCGAUAUGAUCGAAGCUAAUAUGGCAAUGAACAAAGAGUUCAUUGAGAAAUUCACUUUAUGGCAUGACCGGCUUGGCCAUCCGGAUCAUAGUAUGAUGCGUAAACUAAUAACUAAUUCAAAGGGGCACACCCUAAGAGAGAAAAGAGUUAUCCCUAAGAAUCUCACGUGUGAAGCAUGUUCACAAGGGAAACUCAUUAUAAGGCCAUCACCGGCAAAAGUUAAUAAAGAAACCUUAAACUUUCGAGAAAGGAUACAAGGGGAUAUAUGUGGACCAAUACACCCACCAUGUGGGACAUUUAGAUAUUUCAUGGUCCUCAUUGAUGCAUCGACAAGAUGGUCGCAUGUGUGCUUAUUAUCCUCUAGAAACCAAGCGUUUGCUAGGUUGUUGGCCCAGAUUAUAAGACUGAGAGCCCAUUUUCCAGAUUUUCCGCUUAAGACUAUACGUCUAGAUAAUGCCGGUGAAUUUACGUCCCAAGCGUUUAAUGACUACUGUAUGUCCAUGGAGGUAAGUGUGGAAUAUCCCGUGGCACGUGUACAUACUCAGAACGGAUUAGCGGAAUCCUUCAUUAAACGAAUUCAAUUGAUAGCUCGACCAUUACUCAUGAGGUCGAAGCUUCCAGUAGCCGCUUGGGGACAUGCUGUUUUACAUGCAUCAGAGCUUAUACGCAUAAGGCCAUCUAGUGAACAUAAAUAUUCACCAUCCCAGUUACUAAUGGGUCAUGAGCUAGACAUAUCCCAUCUUAAGACAUUCGGGUGUGCCGUAUAUGUACCGAUUACACCACCACAUAGAACAAAGAUGGGACCUCAAAGGAGGAUGGGAAUAUAUGUUGGAUUUGAUUCUCCCACCAUUAUUAAGUAUCUAGAGCCAACUACGGGUGAUCUAUUUAAGGCUAGAUACGCGGAUUGUCAUUUUAAUGAAUCCGAGUUUCCUACUUUAGGUGGAGAGACGAACAAGUUGGGUAAAGCAAUAAAAGAAAUAUCAUGGAAUCAAACAUCCUUAAAUUAGCAAGAUCCUCGGACUCUGGCAUGAGAAUCAGAGGUCCAUAAGAUUAUACAUUUGAAAAGCUAGCUAAUCAAUUGCCAGAUUCCUUUGCUGACCCAAAGAAAGUUACAAAAUCGUACAUACCAGCUUGUAAUGCACCAGUACGAAUUGAUGUCCAAAAGGGACUUAGUCAAGUUGCUACAGAGUCUAGACAACGUAUGAGACGUGGUAGACCAAUAAGGUUCCAAUGAUAAAAAAAAAAAAUCCUCGGAAAUUAAAGAAAGGUGCAAUAGGAACCGAGGUUAUUAAGGAAACCAUCCCAGACAUGGAGAUAAGGCCGGCCGGCUCUAAGGUACAGGUACCAAACAAUGUAGCUUGGGUCGCCAAGCUGUAAAGUGUUAAAGGUCUUGAUAAUAAUUAAUCUCAAUCGAUUAUAUCAUGUCUGGAACAUAAUGGAACCCAUAAGGAAUGUCGACAUAAGAUGAUUUAUUUACAUACAAGGUAGCACUUGAAUAUAUGAAUAUAAAUGAGGAUCAGGAGCCCACGUCUAUACUAGAGUGCACUCAAAGACUUGAUUGAUUAAAAUGGUACAAGACCAUAAAACGUGGAGCUAAGAAUCAUUAAGAAAAGGGAUGUGUUUGGUCCGACCUUAAGGACACCAUCUGAUGUAAAACCAGUAGGACACAAGUGGGUCUUUGUGAGGAAGAGAAAUGAGAAUAAUGAAAUCGUGAGAUAUAAGGCACGGCUUGUAGCACAAGGAUUCUCACAAAGACCGGGGAUAGAUUAUGAAGAGACAUACUCCCCUGUGGUGGAUGCUAUGACAUUUAAAUUUUGCUAAGUCUGCUAUAUAAAAGAAAAUGACUUGAUUUGCGGCUAAUGGAUGUAAUGCCUGCAUAUUUAUAUAAGUCCACUGGAUAAUGAAAUAUAUAUGAGAUUACCAGAGGGUAUUGAGCUCAAAGAUAAAGAUAAGAAAGGGUCUCGAGACCAAUACUGCAUACGGCUGAACAAAUCGCUUUAUGGACUGAAACAAAGUGGGCGCAUGUGGUACAAUAGAUUAAGUGAGUACCUAGUCAAAGAAGGCUAUAAGAAUGAUACCAUCAGUCCAUGUAUUUUCAUAAAGAAGUUUGCAAACAAAGGAUUUGUAAUCAUAGCAGUAUAUGUGGAUGAUUUAAACAUCAUUGGAACCUCUGGGGAAAUCGCCCAAACAGUCGAAUAUCUAAAGAAAAAAUUCGAAAUGAAAGACCUAGGCAAGACAAAAUUUUGUUUGGGAUUGCAACUUGAGUACGUGAAUAAUGGAAUCCUUGUGCAUCAAAAGGCAUAUACUGAAAAAGUACUCAAGAAUUUAAUAUGGACUAGGCCCACCCAUUAACCAGCCCAAUGGUGGUGAGAAGCCUUGGAUUGGAUAGUGAUCCAUUUGGUCCAAAGAAGGACGAGGAAGAAGUUCUCGGUCCUGAAGUGCCAUACCUCAGUGCCAGAGGAGCGUUAAUAUACUUGGCUAGCCACACUAGACCAGACAUAUGUUUUGCCGUGAACCUCCCAUCGAGAUUCAGCUCAUGUCCAACCCAAAGGCACUGGAACAGAAUUAAACAUCUUUUACGUUAUUUACAAGGAACUGUUGAUUUGGGUCUAUUCUAUACUAACCAUAACAAAGAAGGUUUAGUUGGUUUUGCUGAUGCAGGUUAUCAAUCAGAUCCGCAUAAUGGUAAGUCACAAACAGGUUAUGUGUUAACACACGGUGGAACCGCGAUUUCGUGGCGUUCAAUGAAGCAAACCAUCUCAGCCACUUCAUCCAAUCACGCGGACAUCUUGGCAAUACAUGAGGCCAGCCGUGAGUGUGUGUGGUUGAGGUCGAUGACUCAACACAUACGAUCUAAUUGUGGUAUGGACGAUGAGAAGGGACCAACGGUCAUGUACGAGGACAAUGCGACCUGCAUCGCUCAGCUCAAAGAAGGUUACAUCAAGGGAGAUCGGACGAAGCACAUCCUACCUAAGUUCUUCUUCACACAUGAUCUACAAAAGGAUGGAGAAGUUCAAGUGGUGCAGAUCCGAUCCAGUGACAAUUCAGCCGACCUAUUCACUAAGGCAUUACCAACAUCGACAUUGAGGAAGCUCACGCAUCAAAUUGGAAUGCGGAGACUUAAGGACUUUCAGGGAUGACCAAAACAGGAGGAGUAAUACGUGCUGUACUCUUUUUCCUUCACCAUUGUUUUGUCCCAAUGGGUUAUUCUGGUAAGGUUUUAAUGAGGCAGCAUCCCCAAGCGUAUUACUGAGAUCCUUUGGCAUCUACACGGUUAUGUCAUCCAAGGGGGAGUGUUGUAAACCACAUAACGGAUGGACUCCAUAACCGUGGCCCAUGUCCAUGUUCUAGAAGGCCCAUGUCUAACUUCUAGAAGACUCGCCCAACCGACCAAGGCCAAAGACGGUAUAUGUUAGUCUUAGUGGGCUUUAGUGUUUCCUAGCCAAUUGGGAUUUGUCUCCCCUAUUGUGUAUAUAUAUAAGUUGUAACCUCAUUCAUUAAUCAAUAAGAAUACACGAGAUUCAUAACACAACUUUUAUUUAUUAAGUUUCCAAAGUCAAUAAAAAGGAUUUGACGUGUCACGUUUCCAUCGUGUUUCCAAACAUAGAUUUUUAGGAAACGCGUUUCCGUGACAUUUUUUGUAUUUCUGAAGAGUUUCCGUUUCCGAAACGUUUCGGAAACGGGAAACGGACCUCGAAGAGAGUUUCCAUGCAACAUAGCAUACUAGGUAAGAACCUAUAUUAUGUUAUUUAAUUUUAUAAACAAUAAUUAAAAAAUUAACUAAAAGUUUUUAUUUUAAAUUGUGAAUUGUCAAAACUAAAUUUUGUAAAUGCGCUAAAAUAUUUUAAAUUAAAAUAAUGAUAUAUAUAUAUAUAUAUAUGUAUAUAUAUAUCAUGCAACAAUACAGUCUUUUGGUCUAUAAAUAAACUUACAAAUUAAAUAUUAUAUGUUAUAUUGGUUUCUUCAUCACUAGCAGUCUUAUAAUUAAAAGUGUUUGACAAGAUUUCUUCUCCUGGUAAAUCUUCAUCUUUGCAUUCUGGUUUGUUAGGAUUCGUUGUUAUUAGGCUCUGUUUGAUUUGGGUGGCUAAUUAGCCAGCCACAUGUUAGCCUUAUGGCUAUUGUUUGUGUGAAUGGUCAGUAAGCACACCUAGGCCUGGGCAUAUGGGUAACCCGUUCGGGUUCGGGUAAAACAUGUUCGGGUUCGGGUUGAAUGGGUAAUGAAGUUAUGGCCCAUUCGGGUAUUUCUAAAGAUUCGGUUCCGGUCCGGUUCGGGUAUUGUCGGGUUCGGGUCGGUUUGGGUAAUAAGCAUGAGAACCGAAAAAAACCCGAAAAAUUUGGUUCCCCACUGGGUUCGGGUCUAAAUGGGUAAAAUUACCCAUAAACCCGAAAUAUGACUCCAAUACCCGACGUUUUAAAUCAUUGUACAUGCUCAAAUGAUCAAAUAAAGAGAACAAAACAUCAAACAUGACAUCUAAAGACUAAAUCCAAUCCAAAAUCACAAAGAUGACUACUUAAGUCUUAAGUGUUAAGAGUAAAUCCAAUCCAAAAUCACAUGACAUCAGAAUGUUUGGUGACGGUAAGGUCGCCGAGAGUGUCACGACGAGGGUUUCCAGUUUCGAUAAUGAGACUCAAAAGGGGAUUUUAAGCAGAGAUUAUCGAGGGAAUAGGGAUUCUAGAAGGAAAUUAGAAAACUCAAUCGUCAAAACUCAAAAGCUAGGGCUAUAUGACUAUAUAACUAUAUAUCUAUAUACAUAUAUAAACACAAGUCUAAAAGUUUCGGAUUUAUGGGUACCCUAAAUGGGUAACGGGUAUUCCCCGACCCGAACCGAUACCCACGGGUAGACCAAAACUCUACCCAAUGAAGUAAUUUCCUAAUACCCUAACCCGCCCCAACCCGGUUUUUUCGGUCUGGGUAUCUGUUCGGGUAUCGGGUCCGGUUUUUUUGCCCAGGCCUAAGCACACCUAUAGCAAUGUCGUUGGUGGUUCGUUUCAACACUAAAACAGGAUUCAACCCAGUUUUGGUUAUGGAUCAUCAACUAUAUCUUUGUUUAGAGUUUCUUGUAACUAUGUAACAUAACAAUGGUGCCCAAUUAGCCGAUCACAUAUUAGCCAUAUGGCUGCCACUUUCUGUGAUUGGUCAGUAUGUCACCAAUAGCACUAUCUUCUUGGUAGCCUUUUCUGAUUGUGAGCAAAUUUGUGUUCUCUUUUCUUGGCUAUUAAAUGUACAAGGUACACAUUAAAGUACUCAUUUUUAUGAACCACAUUCUCUUCAGCUAGUAAGUAGUUCCUAAGUAUUUGUUUCUCUAAAUAACAUCACAACAUUUUAAUAUUGAAAUCUCUCUAUGGGUGGACACGUUAGUUAGCCACAUUCUUUUAUAUGCGGGUGGCCGUAAUGCCCACCCAGAUGUUUUGUUGGUGGCUUCUUGCAGGAAAAGAGAUUUAUGGUUUGACUUCCUAGCUACUAGGCCUGGGACUAAAUAUCCGGAUUCGGCGGAUAUUCGGAUCAGGAUCCGUUAUCCGAUCCGGAUCCGUUAUCUGAUCCAAAAAUCCGGAUAUCCGGAUGACCGGAUCCGGAUCCGGAUCUCAUGAAAAUUUAGGAACGGAUAUCUGGAUCCAAUUAUAAAUUAUAUAAUAUUUAGAUUUUCAUCAGAUCCAUUAAAAUGAAGCCCAAUAUUAUACCAUAAAACCAAAAAUGAAAUUAAAAAGCCCAAUCGAUUAUCUCUCUCCAAGUCACGACAAUAUUAAAUGAAAAGACCUAAUUAAUUAUAUCUCUCUUCAAGUCACGACAAACACUUCUUCUUCUACCUUUGUCUCUUUUUUUGUUCUUCCUUCGUCUCUGAUUCCUUCCGAAAAGACCAAAACAUAGUGUUUGAUUCGUCUCUGCGAGGAUUUGUUGUGGAGGAGGAAGUAUAGUAUUGUUCGUUGAGUGCAAUUUCGGUGACGAAUUGGCGGGAUUGGUGUGAGAUCUAGAAGAUUUUGAUGGCCAUGGCAGAUCUCUAGCGGCGGUGAAUAGAGAACGGAUCAGUGAAAGGAAGCGUGGUGGAUCUGUUAUGUAGUUGAGAGAUCUGGUGGUUGAGCUCGUGAAGAAUCUUAGCAAUCGUGACUUGGAGAGAGAUUGGGAUCGGAUCCGGAUAUCCAGCGGAUAUCCGGUUUUUCUUACGGAUACCCGGAAACCGAAUAUCCGGGAUUCUCGGAUCCGGAUCCGGAUAGUAAUAUGACAGAUCCGCCGGAUCCGGAUACACUCAAUUUUGCUGGAUAUCCAGAUCCGUCUCAGGGCUACUAGCUACCAACUACAUUUUUGAGUUAAAAAUAGUUUUUGAUGGAGAAAUAUCUUGCUUUACCAUCUUAAGUGUACUUUUAUUUUGAGGUUUUGAGAUCUUUAUUCUUUUGGAUAUUUUAGGUAGCAACCUAGGCUGCAUGGAAUCGGAAGCGGGUACGUGGAAGCGGAAGCGUUUAGAAGCGGAGAAACGAGUUUUUUUAAAAAAUUAGGAAGCGGGUACGUAUUGGAAGCGUAAAUAUAUAUAUAUUAUAUAUAUAUAUAGAGAUUUAUUGAAUAUUUAAUUUACUUUACACUAAUCUUUCAUUCGAAUAAUAGAAAAUCAAAUGAUUACAGAAACUUAAUUAAUAAGCUUCUCAAAACCCUAACGCCACCACUACUCUGCUUCUACGGAAAAAAAGUCAAUGACUUUUUGACCCAAGGAUUAGAGAGAGAAAGGCACUGAGUAGAGAGAGAGAGAGAGAGUGUGUUGUGUAGUAAAUGAGACGAGAGAUUGGUGGUGAAAGGAGUCAGCUUUGCAUUUAUUAUCAUCAUCUUCUUCUCUAAAAUCUUCCCAAAAAAAAAAAAAAUACAGAGCAAAAGCUUUCACAAAAUUCAUCUUCUUCCUUUCACAAUUUUGGGAUCUGACUGUUUGUUUGAAAAUUCUGCUAAUUCUCUUCCGUGAAAGUCGUUUACUUUUUUGUGGGUUUUGUGAAAGUUUCCGUUUUUAGUGGCUUCUCUUGAUCUUCUUCAAGAUCUUCACUUUUUAGGGUGUUUUUCCUCUUAUGGGCUAGAGAUCAACACCAGCGACGCUUCCGAUCUACCGCAACGGCGCUUCCAACUCUGAAUCGUCGCUUCCACGACGCUUCCAAACGCUUCAUUUUGGGAAUCGCGAUUCCAACGCGAUUCCGAGCGAUUCCGAUGCGCUUCCGCUUCGCUUCCGCUUCCGGAGCGAGAAACGUAGCUUCACAGACGAUUCCGUGCUUCGUAGGUAGCAACGCUGAACAGUCGAUAGUAUGGUCGGUAUCAGGAGAAAGCAUGUCUCAGUUCGGAAAACUGGGUGCUGUCCUCAUGGUCUACAGGUUAUGCCAUAAGAAAGGUGACCACUGGACAUCAAGGUGCUAACAGAAGGAUCUCUUAGCCUUAAUGGACGAGCCUUUAACAGCACAAACUUCUACACUGACUAUAGCUGGAACUGGAACUGGCAGUGCUGCUUAUGUCUCACCAAGCAUGAGAGAAGGUGCAGACAGAAAAGCUGGUGGUUCAGACAUGAGGAGUAGAAAUGAGGGGAACUGACUGUCCGUGUGACUAAUUUGUCUGAAGAUACCCGUGGACAGGAUUUGAUGGAGUUGUUUUGUCCGUUUAGUGCUGUAACCUGUUGUCAUGUAGCCAUUGACCAGAAGACAAGCAUGAGCAGAGGAUUUGGAUUCGUCAAUUUUGUCAGCAGGGAAGAUGCACAGCGAGCAAUCAACACAUUGAAUGGAUAUGGUUAUGAUAACCUCAUUCUUAGGGUUGAAUGGGCCACUCCUAAACCCAAUUAGAUCUUUUUCAUUCUCUAAUGAUAAUAUUCUUUGUAAGAUGUUAAUGCAUAUGAAUUCUUAACUAUAAAUUCUCGAGAUAAAUAGGAUUCAUGUUGGUCUCUGAAUUUGAUUUACACUUGCAGUAACCAUGGGUCUAAUUGCUGAAUUUGCACUCGUAUGAAAGUUCCUACUAAAUGCAUUUCUAGUGAAUACGUGCAAAAAGUAAUAAAACUCUCUUUAAUACUGCAAGCAUGUUAAAACUUAGAAAAGAUUUAUAAGGGUGAAGUCAUUUCCAUUUUCCAUUGACCAUUUUACCAAUAACCAAGUAAAAAUCAUCAAAUUCAAAGAGAUGGGAAACAAGGAUUCGAAAGGCUCUUCUACGACCGAUCUGAAAGAGGUGAUUGUGGCUACACCUCAGACUCAACAGCAACAACAGUCACCGCAAUUGAUCCGAAAGUCGCAACCACAGCAGCCACAUUCAUCUGAGAUGCCUCUUCUCUAACCCUGUUACAAAAAAGAAUACUACGAGAAAAUGAGCGAAGAGAAAAUCGCUAUGCUCUUAGAGACUUACGGAAUCAUGACAGUCCCUGGUGAUUUGGCUAACAAGAGAAACUUUGCUUUUGAAACCUUUCGUUGGGAUCAUAAGAACAAUCACCCUAAAGCUUAACAACUAACUACUUGUAUAGUACAAUAAAACUAACGUUUUAUGAUUGGACCUAAACACAUUCAUAAUUCUUUCAUCGAUUCACAAGAAAAUAUAAAGAGAAUAUAUACAAAGUAACCAUGGAUUCAAAAAUAAUAUACAAACUAACCAUGAGCUACAGUAACAUGUCUGUAACAUGUCGGAAUGCAUGUGUAAUUACGUAAAUGUCCUUUGUAACACGCUUUCUUUUCGAAUUACAUGUGAUAACAUAAUAUAUCUCUUUUUAUCAUGUAUUUUUCUCGUACUACACGUUAUUUAUAAAGAACACAUAGUAUUUCUUGGAAAAAACAUUCUAUUCAUUGUAAUAUCUAUCUUUAUCAUGUUAUUUUGUAAUAAUACACAUGUUUUAUUAAGAUCACAUGUGAUUUCUUUUAAAAAAGAUGAUUAUUUUUUAGUAAUACACGAUUUUUAUUAAGAUUACAUGUGAUUUCUUUUUAAAAAGAUUCUAUUCAGAUUAAUUUUUUCAUAACAAUAUUUUUUCUUAAAAAGCCACUACAUAACAAUGUUUUUUCUUAAAAAUUCACUAUGUUUUUUGAAAUAUCAUGUCUUUUAGUUCAAUAUAACAUGCGAAGUUUAAAUGUUACAUGUUAUUUUGAAAAAUCUCACGAAACUGUCUCGCAUAUCGUUGAUCUCGCAACAAACAAAGGAUAGUUUUGGUAUUUCACAUCAUCCGACAACGUGGGUCCAUAACUAUUUUGCAACAAAAAAGUUUCUUUCUGCUAUUUUCUUAAUUUAAGUGUUUUAUUUGGCUAUUCCCUAAUAUUACCCAAAUAUAAAUCAUAAUGCUACUACAAUAACGAAUAUUAUAAUCACUUUAGCAUCUCUUGAACAAGUUUCUAAGAAUCCAAGAGAUGUUAAAAUAUUAGUUAGAUAACCAGAAGCAAUAAUUCACAUAUAUAUAUACAUGAAAAAUGUUACUCUUUAUCUAUUAAGAUGAAAUGUAUAUAAUGUAAAUCUAUUUGUAUAAUAUAGUAGAUAGUUAAAUUGUUAUAGAAGAUGUGGAACAAAAAAAUUUGCAUUACAAAAUAUAAAAUGCAUGAGGUUCAAAUCCGGCUCGGGAAAAAUAUGAAUUACCAUUUAGAAUUUUAUAUGUAUUUCCAAAACCUGCAUAUUUAUGUGAGACCUUUAUAUUGUGAUAAACUAUAAAUAAAAGGCUCAUACCAAAAAAAAAAAAAACUAAAUUAAAAGUUUGUGUCAGACUUAAAUAAGGCAGAAUGUGGUGCUUACACUUGAACAAACUAAAUCUUAUUUAAAUUAAUAAAAGCAAAUAAAUAAACUAAGAGUGGAUGUAGUUAUAACCCGUUCAACACCAAUGUUUAUCUUUGAAUAUAUUAGGAUACAAAGAUUUUUAGUUAUUUUUUUUAAAAAAAUGUAUAUCUUUAUAAAUCACUUUAAUAUGUCAUGAGGUUUUGCUAAUUUAGGUUAUUCUAAGUAAAUAAAUAUUUAAAUUAUUUUAAGCUACUAUAUAUGUUACUAUAUACUCCCUGUGUUCUUUAUUAAUGUAGUUUGUAGGAUUUUCACAUAUAUUAAGAAAACAUAUUAAAAAUUGAUUAUAAAUAUAUUAUUUAUGUGAUUAACAAUUUUUCAUAACUCUAAAUCAAUAGUAUUCAAAUAGAUUGUUCUUGAAAUGUACAAUUCAUUAAUAAUAACUAAUAAAUAUUGCAUAGAAAACUUAAAAUAUUUAUUUUUUUGAAACUAAUUCUUUUUUUUUUAAUAAUAAGGAACAAAGGGAGUAUAAAUUAUGAAUUAUUGAAAGAUAAUGUCAUCACUAACAAAUCAUAAUGAUAAACUCAUCUAAAAAAAAUCUCAUAGCCACCAUCUCUUCAAUAUUUACUAUAUGUAUAGUGAUGAUAUAUGUGACAUGCUAUGAAACGUUUUCAACAAGAUGGAGAACCAUUUCCAACUAGAGGGCCUCUUACGACGAUCACGGUACGAAACAAUAAUGACUAUUUGCUUGGAAUCCACCGUAAAUCUAAAGAUGAUAUCUCGGUUUCCACGUUCUCAAAAAAGGUGAAUUAUAUGGUUGGAAAUUUCAUGUAAACGUACGAAAUUCAACACUUUUGUUUUCUGUGGAUUUAGCCAAGGACAACAUAAUAAAGGCGUGUCCGAGAUUUACAGGGCGAAAAGAGAUUUUUAUAGAUGUAGAAACUGUAUAUGGGAUGCAACAAAAGAUGGUCUUUAUGGUUAUAGCAACUUGCCUCAAAAAGUUAUAUGGUUUUUCAAGUGGUUAAAGUAGUAUUAAAUUGUAUUUUUGAUUCAAAUAUAAAUAAAAUAAUGUUUUAAGAACUGUAUAAAAUUUGCAUAUGAUGUUGUUAACCUAAAAAUAAAAAAUUGUUGUGAAGUAUAUUAGAGCAAGUUUUAGCAAGAGAGCGAAUAAGAUAUAUGUGAGCCAAUAAAAGUAGAAACAUCAAGAAGUGUGAAUGGCGGCUGGCUGGCAAAGAAGUUGCUAUGGGCUGGUUGAUCAAAAGAGGGACAUGCUUGAAAACAUGUACUCGCAUAUCCAAAAUAAAAAUUAUCUCUAUCAAACCGAUGAAAGUUCAGUAAAAUAUGGAAAGGGAGAUAGUCUAAGGAUAUAUUAAUUUUAAAUAUUAUAUUAUUAUUAUUUUAUGGAUAAAAUUUGAGAAAAUAUUCAAUUGUUAUUUGUUUUAAUUAACAUGCACCUAAAAUUAAAAAAUCAUAUUAAUCCAUUUUAAUUUUAUUAGGAAGAUCCUCACUUAAUUUAAAAGAUAACUAUAUCCUCAAUUAAUUCUAUUCUUAAUUAUUUUUUAUUUAUAUUUUCUUAUAUUUUCCUUCUGAUUUUCUUAUAUUUUCCUUCUUGUUUUCUUAUAUUUUCUUUAUAGAAUUCAUAGCCAAGCACUAUAUGUACUUAUGUAAUCUCUGAUCCGCUUUCGCUUAAAUAAUCUAGACCUACUUACAAGAAGAAAACAAAUUCAAACCGGAAAACCAAACAUUACCGAAUGAUUACUUAAACCGGUUAUCUAACUUUUAGUUACAUUGGCUUUGAAUGUGAUUUUGGAUGGUCAAAAGGAUAUUCAGUUGGGAGUGGACCGAGACGGCAAAAACUCUUUUUUGGUAAGGCAACCCGCUUGGCCGUUAAUGGUAGCUUCCAACCUGCCCCGGCCUAAUAGUAUUUAGAACCCUAGGACCAAAAAAAUACAAAAAAUAUUGGACCCUUAACUAUAUACACUAAAUUUUAUGUAUAUAUUUAGACUUAUUUAAUUUAAAUAUAUUUGUUUGGGUCGUUUUAAACUUUAUUUCUGAAAAAUGUAUCGUAAUAUACAUUUCAAUGUUAAGAAAUUGGGCUAUAUUUUAAAAUAAAAAUGAGUCUUAAACAUAAGAAAAUUUUUAGAUGGUCCCAUGGACCACUAUCCAUUUGCCCUACGCAUUUGGACCGGACAUGUUCCCACCAGAUAAUGUCGGCAGGGCAGUCUCUCACCCAUGGCAACAUAGGCAUUUGCCAUGGGUCCAAAAUUUUUUUCUAAAAAUUUUUUGAAAAAAGGGCCCAAUUUUUAGAAUUUUUUUUUUAGUAAGAGAACUUAAUUUUUUUUAGUUUUGCUAAGGGUCCUCCCAAAGAUUGAGACGACACUGAAUGUCGGUGAUGGUAUCGAGCAGCUUAAAUGAGCCUUCAAGAUGUGAUCUUCUUCUUGAAAUUCUUUUCACAAUCUUUUCUUCGAUAGUUUUGAGACGGUGGCCGGAGAUAUUUUACUGGAGUUCUUGGAGGUAAAUCAGACCCAGAAAGAAAAGGAUGUGAAAUUAGAUGUUACCUUAAACGAGGUCCUAAAUAAAAAGAAGAGACGUGUGAGAUAGAGAAAGGGCCUUGAUAGUAGCCCAUAGAUACGUCCCUUCAUUGUUUUUUGCCCAAUAGGAAUCUGUAUUUCACGGCCGACGAAACUCACUUUUGUUUGUUUUUUUUGACACGGUUAUGAGCAAAUAAAUACUCUAAUUUUUGACGUCUCAUAACAUUAUUAAACACACAAAAGCAACGAUCUCUUUGCAUUUCUCCCAGAUAUAUAAAAUUGAUUUGAAGUCUCAAUAAAUUAACACUCAAAUAUAAGAAGCCAAUUCAUUUAAUGCCUCCACUCCAGCAAUUCUCUUCUGCAAACAUGUCGAGAAGUGAAAGUGGUAAGAAUUACCUCUCAUUAUACUGCAAAUAUUUUUUACUAUAGUUACUAUUGUUUGAUAAUUAGUAACAAUGUUUAACUAUAAAAAAAAUAGUGGUUCACAACAUUGGUUUAAACCCUAUUAUGGAAACAGUUCAUACCUGGAAUUCGAAAAAAUGUUAACAAGGAUGACUAUGAUAGAUAUAUCAUAUAUCAACACUCAGGGUCGGCCCAUAGCUAAAGCCCAUGAAGCAAGGGCUUUAGGCAUCAAAUAAUUAUAAGUAGAUUUAAGGGCAUCAAUUUUUAAAAUGUUACUAUGGUCUAGUGGUUAGUUUGAAGUCUUUUGUUGUGGAAAAACAGUCUAUUUCUCCCCGAGAAGUAUCGCAUCAUAACAGAUAGAGCCCAAUCUAUGACUACAUGCUAAAUGUCUCCGAAACAAUAUUUGUCAACCUAUAUCUCCCCGAAUCCAUAGUUUUCAUCUAUUUUCCCAUAAAUCUAGGUUAAAUCGGUUUACGAACUAAAUCUAAUAGAAAACCAAUCAAACCGAUACCAAACCACUUAUAUCAAACUUUCUUUUGAUAUAGAAGGUUUCAAUAAUUUAAAAAAAAAAAAAAAAAAAAAAACGAAAAAAUUGCAGCACGUUGUUCGUCUCUUCUUCAUUCUUAGUCUUCAAAGUCCAAAUCUUUUUGAAAACAUUGAAGCACCGUUAACAAUCUCCAGUGCCUUAUCCACGUCUCUAUUUUUGCAAACACCAUUAAUUACUGUGUUGUUAUUGAAGAUAAACUCGUUCAAUUGCAACAUUGCAAAUACAACAAUCUAAUUACCCCAAAUCAACAUCUCUAUUAUUACAUUUGUUUUAUUGAAUUAUCUCUCUGUUUGUUCGAUUUCUCAUCUUAAAAUCAAUUGGGAAACAAAGUACAAAACCCAUAAAAGAAUCAACACAAACCAUCAAGCCGACAAUGGCAGAUUCAACGAUGAAUUUUCAAUUUGGAUGGGAUAAUGUCGGAUGGUCUCGAGUCGGGUUUAAUCAAAGCCGAUGAAGCUCCAAUAGUGAAGCAGAUCAGGGCGGAGAGGAGGAACAAGAAGAAGAGGGGAGCUGCUGCAAAAUAGAUUUAUAGCCACCAUCACCGGCAUCGACAUCACUGUUCACCGAAGGGGAACGAAGAAGAAAGCCAUCGUGUUUUUUUUUUCUUAAUUAUUCAAUAAAAAUUGCCCAAACAUAUUAUACAAUUAAUUAAAUUAAAUGUAUUCGGUUAAAUCGGGUUGUCAACGGGUUUAAUCUGGUUAUAAUUAGGUUUAGUUGGUUUGUUUAUCGAUUUUGAAUACAGUAAACCGAUUAAACCCAGUUCUGUGUGGCUUUAGCUCUCGAACUAUUAAAUCGGGGACAUUCAGGUAUUGAACUUUGAAUUCAUGGGAAAAUAGGAAUAGAACUUUCAUUUCAUGGAUAUUAGGACCGAGGUUAAAGUUUGGGCUCUAUCUGUUAUGAUGCAAUACUUCUCGGGGAGAAAUAGACUGUUUUUCCCUUUUGUUGUACAGGUCACGGUUUCGAAUCCCAAACAUGUUAAAACUUGUAUUUUUUUUUAAUAACAGUUUUUCUUAAUAGGCCAAAUUUUUUUUUGCUUUAAGCACUCAAAUAGUUUGGGCCGGCCCUGUCAACACUAGAGCUACUCUUCCGACAACAGAGAAACAUCAAAACGGUGAUGUAUCAUCAAAUGGGUCAAUUGGAUCAAAAGAGAAAAGCAACGUGGGCCGAGUCAACAACACAAAACCCACGAAGCCCAUUUGGAUUCAUAUGGCACCUUCACCAACGGCUCUUUCACAUUGAGACUCGGAAGUUUGGAGACUCAAAAAAUAAUCUAAUUAGAAACGUGUUUGAACAAAACACAACCACUAUGUUCAAAAUAUAUUUUCAGACAUAGUAAGAUUUUUUUUUUUUUUUGGUAGUAGUAAGAUUUUUUAAUAUGUUCAAAAUAUAUAGAUAUAUUACAAUUCAUAAAAUUAAAAAACUUAACAUUUGUCCUAGCCUAAAUGGAGAGAAGACUAGCCUAAAUGGAGAGAAGACUCUCCCAAAAACGAAUUAUUUAACAUUUGUCCUAGCCUAAAUGGAGAGAAGACUCUCCCAAAAUUUAUAGUAUUAUUUUUGUUAUUUUAACAUCUUAUAUAUUUUAAAUAAUUCGUUUUUUAUUUAUUUAAUUUUUCUAUUAAUUAUAAGUAACAUAAAUAUGCACUAAAUGAAUAUUUUAAAUUUAUUUUAAUGUAAAAUAAAUAGUGUUGCUUAUGUGGAUGAUGAUGUGGAUAGCCUAAAUGGAGAGAAGACUCUCCCAUUAUAUAUAUAGAUUUUCCUUAUAGAAUUCAUAGCCAAGCACUAUAUGUACAUAUGUAAUCUCUUAUCCGCUUUCGCUUAGAUAAAAAUGAAAAAUCUAGACCUAAUUACCAAAAAAAAAAGAAAUUUCAAACUAGAAAACCAAACAUUACCGAACAAUUACUUAAACCGGUUAUCUUAUUUUUGGUUACAUUGGUUCUGAAUGUGAUUUUGGGUGGUUCAAAAGGAUAUUGAGUUGGGAGUGGACCGAGAUGGCAAAAACUCUUUUUUCGUAAGGCAACCCGCUUGGCCGUUAAUGGUAGCUUCCACCCUGGUCCGGCCUAAUAGUAUUUAGAACCCUAGCUAGGACCAAAAAAAACAUAUAUGUAUUGGACCGUUAACUAUAUACACUAAAUUUUUUUGUAUAUUUAGACUUAUUUAAUUUAAAAAUAUUUGUUUAGGUCCUUAUAAAGUUUAUUUCUGAAAAAAUGUAUCGUAAUAUACAUUUCAAUGUUAAGAAAUCGGGAUAUAUUUUAAAAUUUUUAAAUAAAAAUGAUUAUUAAAUAGAAGUAAAUUUUUAAAAUUUUGAUGGUCCCAUGGACCACUAUCCAUCUGCCCUACGCAUUUGAACCGGUCCUGUUCCCACCGGAUAAUUCUGGCGAAGGUAUCGAGGACCUUACAUGGGCCUUCAGGAUGUGAUCUUCUUCUUGAAAUUCUUUCCACAAUCUUUCCUCGGAUAGUUUUGAGAUGGUGGCCGGAGAUAUUUUACCAGAGUUCCUGGAGGUAAAGAAUUUACAAACUUUGAAGAAACUCAUCAUAUUGUUUUUUUCCCUCUAUGUAAUCUGUGUCUGAGAGAGAAAAAUGGAGAGAGAUAGAGAAAGUAUGUUUUGCUCAUACAUUAUUUAUAUUUUUUUGAGUAUUUAUUUUGUUUACUUAUACGAUGGAAAUUACAUAUGUACAUCAGUACAUAUAGUGCUUUCUCGAAUCAUUUACACAAAUUUUAAGAAAACAAUGUUAUUAUUUACAUAAGCAUGGUGGAAUCUAACUAGAAUAUGUUUGUAACCUAUACUGUUUACAUUAUCAAUGAAAUAUUUAUAAUUCAGUAUAAAAAAAUAAUAAAGGAAAAAAAAAAUCUUGCUCGAAGAAAAAUUCAACUUGUUUUUCAUUUUGACAUCAAAAUUUAAUAAAAAUAAAUAAAUAUUCUUUUUGAUUAGUUAAAAAAAAGGUGUUAAGACUUUUUUUUCUUAUUUCUUUAUUUCUUAUUACAUAUCCACAAGGAUCCGUCGUGCUUUUUCUGGAAAAACACCGGUGCGCCAUAAGGAGCCUUCGAUGGUCUCAACAUCCCAGUUGAAAGUAGUUCUUCGAGUUGUUUGCGAAGUUCUAUGAGUUCGAAUGGAGCCAUGCGGUAUGGGGUCAUCACAGGUGGUUUGGCUCCUACUUCCAACUCGAUCCGAUGAUCCACCUCUCUCCUAGGUGGUAGUUUCUCCGGCAACUUAGGCGGCAAUUACGUCUUUAUUCUUUUCAAAGACUUUCUCAAUCACCGGCGGGAUGACAAAUUCUUUUCCAAACCCGUCAUCCAACUUCAAAAACACAAGGAAAGAUGGGUUACCUUUCUUCACGCCUCUUGAGAACUGCAUUCCCGAGAGUUGCCGAACUUCACCAUCCUUCUUAUUUUCAGCUUCCAUGGUGGGGACCAUUCAUGGUGAACCCUUCUCAAGGAUGCUUACCGUACUAAGUGCGGGCAUAUUUGCCGAUACUUGUCUUUCGAAUUCGAGCACAAGUACCACCUUGAAGUCGUCCAUAGACACCACCGAGAAAUUCACCAUUCCCUUCCAAGCCCCGAUACUAAGCUCCACGCCUUGUGCAACACCAUGGAGUGGUUGAGAUUUAGCAUUCACCGACUUCAACCAACCAUCACCCUUUGUCCAUGUUAGACCGAGCCUCCUAGCUUCUCCCUCGGACACAAAUUUGUGGGUAGCACCUGUGUCCACCAUCGCUUGAGUUGCCCGCCCAUUGACAUGGAUAUCCAUGUACAUCAAACCUUUACUCUUUGCCUUAGACGUUGGAGUAGUCUUAAGAGCAUUGAAUAGCUGCAAGGACCCGAUCAUGCCCGUCUCUUCUUGGACAUCCGCCUCUGCUUGCUCAAGGAGAGCGGAUAAUGACCCAAGUUUCGGACAAUCCCUCACAGGAUGGGGUCCCUUGCACACAUAGCACCCACUCCUCGGAAUAAAAGAGCGUUUCUUCGCCUCAUAUUCUUCCAUCCCCGAACUCUUCUCUUGACUCCGAGGGUAAGUUGAUGUUGGCUGGUCCCUCCUCUCUCCAUUGCCCUUAGGCACCACUCUCUCCUUCUUCUUGUAUGUUUCAGGUUGAUUUUGAGUGACAAAAUCGGAAAGAGAUUCCACCGCGGCUAUAGCUUCAUCCACCGACUUCACUCCGCGUAGCUGCAACUCUUGUUUUGCCCACCCUUGGAGUCCAUCAAUCAAAUGGAACACCAACUCUUGAUCGGACAGAUUUGGAAUCUGCAACAUUAGGGUAGUGAAAUUCUUGACAUACUCUCGGAUCAUACUCUUCUGUCGCAAUUCCCUUAACUUCCUCCGCGCUUCGUAGACAAAAUUCUCGAGAUAGAAUUGGCUUUUAAGUUCUUUCUUGAACUCCUCCCAAGUAUCCACCAGACAUGUGGCCCGCUCAAUAUCAGCGUGACGCCUCCGCCACCACAGCAUGGCCGUAUCCAUUAGGUAGGAUGUGGCUGCCUUGCUCUUUGUAGUCUCGUCUCCAAGCCUGAGAUUGUCAAAGUAUUGCUCUAUCUGCCAUAUGAAAUUCUCAACUUCCUUACCAUCUUUUGCUCCAUCGAAUCGAGAUGGUCUCGGGUAAUCCAUCAUACCCGCACCCGCAUUGCCAUUCCCCCCAUUGGCAACCGCCCUUUUUCACAAUGCAAGGUUUUCUUGCAUCGCCUCGAUGCUCACCUGGAAUGCUUUGACCGCCCCCAUCAUCAUCUCUUCAAGUUAAACGAAUUGCUCAUCAAAUCCGCUCAAGUUGUUCUUAACUCCACCGAUCUCGGUGAACACUGUGUUCUCGAGUUCGGUAGUCGAGUGCUCAACACGCUCGAGCCUCUCCCCCAACUCGCUUACCGCGACACCUAAGGACCCAAGCUCAUCUCGAACCCUGCUCUUGUCAUGCUUCCUCUUCGGCGCAUUCGCAUCAAAGGCCUCCUGCCCAUCGAUGUUGAUGCUGUCAACACCAUCGGUAACAUCAUCCUCGUUACGACCCACCAUCUUUCAAUAUCUCGUUUGCCUUUGAUCUAACAUGGCUCUGAUACCAUGUGCCACGGACUUGAACUUUUGGGAACAAAUCUGCGGCCCUAUAAUAUUUUUUCCUCGAGCAAAUAGACUAGGCAGCCUUACUCUCUAAGAAAUCUGGCCCUUUGUGAGAAAAAGAACUCAGAAAGAGUGAAAAAAUCAGGAAAAGACAAGAGAAUACUAAAUUGCUCUGAUAUUGAUAAAAAUGCUGGAUGAUUACAAAUAAGGGAUCUCAUCCCUAUUUAUACAAAAACACCUCUUUAAUGGACGGUGGAGAAUAAAGCGAUCUAAUGGCCGAUAUUGAAGAUAUGGCCUUGAUUAGCAAGAUCCUAAUAAAUGUGACGGAUUUGUAGGGAUAUUUCUUGGGGACAAAGUCUUGAGAAAUAUCCCCCAAGUCUUUCCAUAUCUUCCUCCAAACGUUUCUACAAGAUUCUAGAGAAGAUCCAGCCCAUGAAAUGGGGAAAAAACCCAUAAAGAUGUAAUGUGUCCUUCUGGUCCGGCCCGGAAGUAUGUUUAAGAGAAUGGGCAGUGACAUAAGGCUCUUGUCCCUACUUUGUUUAUGAGGUAAGUCGAAUGUCUCACCGCUUCUCCCCACAGAUAAUUUGGCAUGCUCAUGUGUUUCAAUAUACUUCUAGUCAUCUCCAACAAAUUAAAGUCAUGUUUCUUCUUUCAACCACUUCGUUUUGCUGAGGAGUGUAUGUCGCUGCUAGAUGGCUGUUGAUGCCUUCUCUUUCACAAAAAUCUUGAAACUCAUAAGACAGGAACUCUCCUCCUUUAUACGUUCUAAGUGUUUUGAUUUUAGCACCACUCUCUUGCUCAACUAGCAUCUUGAAACCUUUGAAUUUCUCAACUCCCUCACUUUUCUCCUUGAACAAAAUCGACAACAUGUAACAAGAGUGAUCAUCGAUUAACACAAAUAUGUACCUCUUUUUGGCAGUUGUAGGAGGCGAUAUAGGUCCUCAGAGAUCACUGUGAACAAGGUCUAGGACUUGAAAUGCACGAUACGAAGUUUUCUUUGGAAACAUUUGUCUUGCUUGUUUUUCAAGUAAGCAGGAUGCACAUGUUUCUUUUACCUUUGGAGCACUAGGUAUCCGUAUGACUAGUUCUUUUGCAAUCAUUGUCUUAAUGGUUUCAAAGUUAAUGUGUUCAAGUUGAGCAUGCCAUUUUGUUGAAUUGCUUGAUGCCACAAGCUGCAAACAAUUGGUUUCUUCUAAUUCCAAAUUCACUUUGAACAGCCUGUAUCUUGAUCGUGUUGCUUUUACUAACAAGUUUCCAUCUCGGUCAUGUAAGGUUAAGUAGUCUUCUUUCAUUCUGACAUCACAUCCCGAUUCAGUGGCUUGUCCUAGGCUUAUGAUGUUGCUUUUAAGGUCUGGUAUAUAAUACACAUCGGCUAGGAUCUUUCGUCCUCCGGUUUUGCUUACAAACAAAAUUGAACCCUUACCCUUUAAGUCAAUACGUGAAUCAUCCCCAAAUCUUACUUUACCUGUGACCAUCUCAUUUAUCUUGCAAAUCCAAGCACGAUGUCCUGUCCUAUGAUUACUAGCGCCAUUGUCGAGAUACCAAGCUUUUCGGAGCAUGUAUCAAAGUCUUUUGGCAUCACAUUCUUCUCAUUCAAAUAUACUACCUAAUGCAUCAUAAGUGAUUCAGCUUCAUGAGUAUCAUCUUCUUCCUUCUCUUGCAUUUCUUGAAGCUUGAUUAAUUUGAGAAAUCGAUCCGGACAGUUCGAAGCAUACUGCCCUGUUUUGUCACAUCGCUAACAUGUUACCUUGGACUUGUCUCUCUGUUGAUAGCCAAACUCCCUUAGUUGGUAACCGUAAUCUCUGGAUUGGUAACCAAACCUUCCACGGCCUCUUCCAAAUCGGCAAAUCGACCACGGCCUCGUCCUCUACCACCAUCUUGGGAGUCUGAGUUAACAUACAUGAGCUUGCCUUGGUCUUCUGUGAAUCUUCUUCAUCACAAACUUGAUCUUCUUAUGUUUUAAGCAUUCCUACAAUAUCUUCAAGGUUAUUGUUUUGAGAUCAAGAACUUGUUCUAGGGCUGCAAUUAUAUGAAUGUAUUUCUUCCUUGGCAAGCUCUUGAGAAAUUUCUUAACAAUCUUUGUUUCUUCAAUGUUCUCACCCAAAGAUGCUGCUUUUGUAGUCCUGAUAAAAUCAUCAAUGGUGUCGCUCUCUUUCAUCUUCAAUCUAUUGAAUUCAGUCAUAAGGGUUUACAAUCUUGCUUCUUUGACUCGAUCGGCACCAAGAUUUCUAGCUUUGAUGGCAUCCCAAACGGCUUUUAAGGUUUCAUGGUUGCCAACUUGUAGAAUUAGCGACUCUGGUAUGGAUUGAAACAAGAGGGCUCAGGCCAUCUCGUUUUUCUCUAUGUCCUCUGAACCAGGAUCGUUGUCUCCCACACCCCUUAUUCACUCGGAGAGCAACCUUCAUCCUCAUGGUCCAAACAGUGUAGUUGGAACUGUUUAACAUCGAACAUUGUAUGGAUGAUGGUCCUCCUUCCUUUGGCUUGUUAUCCAUCGUGACCAAUUCACUCAUGCUUCGGAUGAUCUUCGUACUUGUCAACACUUGAGAAACAAAGCUGAAGGCUCUGAUACCAAAUCUAGAAUCGAAUACUUUGAUCAAGGAUUUAUAAAAGUACUUCUUUUAUUAACAUUAGAACUAACUCAAACUAAAGCUCUCCUUAAUCUCUCUCUCAAUUCUCUAGGUUUACCACAAACUUUGGCAACUCUUAUAUAGAGACCCAUAAAAAUUAAUUUCCUAAACAAAGUAUAAUAUGUUUUAGAUAACUCCUAACAUAUAUCAAUGGAUAACUUCCAAAGAUUUAAUAAUAAUCUCUUCAUUUAAAUAAAUAACUUAUUCCUCAAGUUACUUUUUCUUCAAGCUUACUCUAACAAUGAUGCUCUCGCAAAAGUCAGUGGGGGAAAACUCAAGAACCCAACUUCCUUACUUGCUCGAAUGCUAUUGGCUAAAAUAAUACUGCCAUGACUCCAUAAAAAAUAUAUGGGUGUCGAAGAACCCAUGGCUCUCUCUCUUAUUCAGUCUCUUACUCCAGUUGGAGCUGUACCAGAGGAUCAGUUAAAUCUCCGAGUCUCAGACUCACUUGAAGCUGGUACUAAACUCUGGAAUUGGCCUGCAAUAAGACCAUUUCUUACCAGGGAAUGAUCAUAUCGUUAAAUGACUCCCACCUGGUUCUUAAAGAUUUCCUCAUUACCGGUUCAAUAAUAUGAUACGACCGAGAACUUGAAGUAACCAGAAAUGGGGGAAAACGGAGGAAGAGUUGAGAAAGAAGAGAAACAGAGAGAAAGAAAUAUCAACUUGAUUUCUUUAUCGAUGUCUCUUACAAGGUUACUAAAAAUUUUUUAUACUAGGAUGCAUAGGGCAACCCUAAACAGAUGGGGUUCAUAAAAUAGAUAGAUAAAAGGACUCAUUCUCAAGCCCCAUAACUAGCUUCUGGCCCAGCAAUGACAAUUAUUUAUUUAUGGUAUAAGGAUUUUCUUCUCUCGAGUCUUCAUUGCUAGGAUUUGACUUCUUGAAACACUUAGCCACUUUGAGACAUCUUCUUCUCCAGACGGCUUGCUCUUCUCCCUGAUGUCCUAUGUUUCUUCCUGAUGAAAGCUAAAGGUAUAGCCAACCUAUCAUAAUACCAGUUGUCUUGUUAUGGAAUCACUUUAGUUUCAGCGGGCCCCUACCACUCUCAUUCUUCUUUUUAAUUGGCAAUCAAACUUAUGGAGGUUACAGACAGUCCCUAAAAUCAAAACUUCAAGUGCAAAUUCAGCUUGCUCGUACGGGUGUUACUCCUGACUUUUGCUUGUGGCUUGCCGGAAUUAACUUUCCGAAGAUGGAUACACUAGCGACUGUUUGAAAAUCGAGCUUCUCCUUCCUCCAAUCCAAAUUCCAAUUAGAAAAAGUUCGUCGAUUUGAAUGUGAAUUAGUAGCUAAUGUGAGUAGCGCCUCGCGCUUGGUAUCAAGAACUUCGCAGUUUUCUUCUCCAAGCCGGUUUCGCAAAUUCUCUCGCUGAUGCCUCUCUCUUCAUCUAUCAUCGGAACAAUGCCUUUAUCUAUGUCUUGGUAUAUGUUGACGACAUUAUCAUCGCGGGAGAUACUGCUCUUGUCAAAGCUUUCAAUGUUUCACUUGCAGCUCGGUUUUCACUCAAAGAUCUCGGAGCCCUCAGUUACUUUUUGGGAAUCGAAGCAACAAGAACCCGCCGAGGCUUACACUUGAUGCAGCGCAAGUAUAUAAAUGAUCUACUUCAAAAAUAUAACAUGCUUGACACAAAGCCUGUUUCAACACCAAUGUCUCCAACACCGAAACUAUCUCUCCUCUCAGGUACGGCCCUAGAUGAUGCAACGGAGUAUAGAAUGAUUCUUGGGAGUCUCCAAUAUUUGGCUUUUACGCGACCGGAUAUUGCUUUUGCGGUGAAUCGCCUUUCACAGUUUAUGCAUCAUCCCACAAAUGAACAUUGGCAAGCGGCUAAAAGGAUUUUACGAUAUCUUGCGGGCACCAAGUCACAUGGGAUAUUUCUUCGCUCGGAUACACCUCUUACCAUACAUGCCUUCUCAGAUGCUGAUUGGGGUUGUGAUUCGGAUGCUUAUCUCUCCACGAAUGCAUAUAUUGUGUACUUUGGUGGCAGCCCGGUUUCGUGGUCCUCGAAGAAACAGCGGAGUGUGGCACGUUCGUCUACGGAAGCGGAAUAUCGCGCAGUUGCUAACACAGCUGCGGAACUGCGAUGGAUAUGCAAUCUCUUGACAGAAAUGGGCAUUCCUUUAUCCACUGCACCGGUAAUCUAUUGUGAUAAUAUAGGGGCUACUUAUCUAUGUGCGAAUCCGGUCUUCCACUCACGUAAGAAGCAUGUUGCUCUUGAUUAUCAUUUCGUACGUGGCUAUAUCCAAUCAGGUGCUCUCCGUGUAUCCCAUGUCUCAACAAAGGAUCAGCUCGCAUAUGCAUUAACAAAACCACUUCCACGGCCACGCAUUACUGAACUGAUUUGCAAGAUUGGAGUGCAAGAAGUCCCUCCAUCUUGAGGGUGUGUAUAAGGAGUUGUAAAUAUUAAGGAUCUAAUUGUAAUUAGUAUUAGUCUAAACCAUAGUCUAAGUACUAUAUAUGUUGUAAAUCAUUUUCCCUAAUGAAUGAAUUGACUCUCAUCUUACAGAAUCCAUAUUUGGUUUUGCUUGAUGAGUAGACGAACAAUUGGUUUCAAGGUUAUUUAAUGGAAACAUCUAUUACUCUGUUUUCCUAAACACAGGGAGUACUAUUAAUUAUUUUAUAUAUGAAUUAAUGUUAUUUCAAAAAUAAGAAGGAUAAAAUUGGGAAGUAUAGUAGUUUUGGAGAAAAAAAUCUUGAUUAUUGUGGGUUAUUUAAACAACUUCCAUUUAUUGUAAUUAUGAAAAUAUAUCUAGUGAUUUUUUCCUAAUUUAGGUUAAUCAAGAUAAAUAUCUAUUUUCUUUAAAAGCUGAUAUAUAUCACUCUACAAAAUUUUACAUAUCUCAAAAAAAGCUAUCAUUAACCAACAGUCAUGAUAAACUCAUCCAGAAAAAAUCUCAAUUCUUAUUUCUGCUCAAUUUUCACUAUGUCCAUAGUUGUGAUAUCUUUGAUAUGUUCAGAAGCUUUUCCAAUUCAACAAGCUAAAGAACCACCUCGAGGUCAUCUUACGAGAGUCACGAUUCAAAAUGAUAACGACUAUCUUCUUGGAAUCCAUUGUAAAUCAAGAGAUGAUGAUUUAGGAUUUCACAUUCUUGCUAAAGGUGAAUUAUUUGGUUGGAAGUUUCAUGUCAAUUUUCGUUAUUCAACGCUCUAUUUUUGUGGUUUUAGCCAAGGAAAAAUAAAGAAAGGCGUGUUCGAAAUUUACAGAGCGAAUAGAGAUUUUUAUAGAUGUGCAAAUUGUACAUGGAAAGCUGAAAAGGAUGGUGUUCAUGGAUAUACCGAUAUUCCUAAGAAAAGUUAUUUAUUUUAUAGUUGGUUAAAGUAAUGUAAAAUUGAGUUAUUUAAGAAGAAAAAAAUGUAAUGCAGUUGCUUAAAAUAUAAAUAAAAGUAUAAUCUAUGAAUAUUAUUAUUAUUAUUUCUUUUGUGAGAGCAGUUUCUAAAAUUCUUGUUGAACCUCGUUUAAAUUUCCCUCAUUCAAAAAACUUCACCAACAAUUAGAACCUUGAAUCGGAACUCUCAACAUUUAUUAAUUAACUUGAAGUCUUGAAGAAAAUAAAAAGGGCGAGAGAGAGGGAUGCCUAAAAACAAAUUUAUUCAGUGGAAGCGAUCACGCAUGUCCCACACAAAACACAACUCAUUCCAGUAGUCACAAUUAGGCCUGCGCGUUCGGCUAAACCGGGUUGUUCGGAUCGGGUUAUUCGGUUUGAGGGAAAUUCGGUUUUUUAAAAAUCCCACCGAAUAGACCCGAAUUGAAAUUCGGUUCGGGUCGGUUCGGUAAUCGGUUUGUUCGGGUCAGUUAUUAGCUAAAAUUUUUGUUUUGAACAUGAGCCGGGUUUUUUAUUUCUCCGGUUUAUUCGGUUUUUACUUCGGUUUACAUAUUAGAAAAAAAAAAACAAUUACUCUAUUACAAACACAGAUCUUACAAAAUAAACCAUUACAAAUAAUAUUAAAGCCCAACCAGUAAGAGUUGCAUUAGUAUAAUUUUUAACACAAUUUGAUAAAAUAAUAAAUUGUGUUAAUAAAUUGGUAGAGACAAUUGUCUCUACUCCUCCUACCAAAAAAAAAAAUUUGAUAAAAUAAUAAGAUAAUAUUUUUUUUUGAAAAUUUUAUAAUAACAUAUGGUCCAACCAGUAACAUAAAUUAAUAGUAUAAAUUUGUAAUAUAAAUAUAUACAUAUAUGUAUGUAUAUAUAUAUAUAUAAAAAUAAAAUUUAGAGAAAUAUGAUUGUAGUACUAUUUGUUUUUCUUAAAUUUGCAUUAAUUCUUGGUAAAGUUGAAUUUUAUUAUUUUUGCUGCAUCAAAAACUUUUUGAAUCGUUUCCUAGACAACAUUAUUAUUUUUUAACUUGUAAUAUUGGUUCUACAAAGAUGGUUAUUAAAAAAAAGAGAACUUCUUUUCAAAUAUAAGUUUUAAAAAAUUAUAAAUUAGUCAAAUCUCACUAUAAUUUAAUAUAUUGAUAAACUAAUACUUUGAAUAGAAUUUUACGGUUUUAACAUUAUUAGUUUAUAGAUAUUUUACUGUACUUAAAUACAAUUUUGGAAAAUUACAAAUUGUCGAAGGUGCAAAUAAAGAACUUGUAAUCUCUAAAGUCUAAUCGAAUCCGAUACCAAACGACAUCGUAGUUUCGUCCAGAACAAUUGUCUCCGCAGUCUAAUAAGAGAAAAAAAAAAAAGCCAGAUAGGUUGAUGAAGAAUAGAGAAGAAUCCUCCAUGUUUGAUCAUCAUCAUUACUCUUGAUUCAAUUCUCUACGAUCUUGUGUCCAGCUUCACUUGAAUUUCUUCAAUUCCAGCAUCUCGAUUCCAUCACAGUAGCUAGGGAUUGUUUUCAAGAAAUUUGAGAUUGAAAAAGCUCAAAUUGGAUCGAAUUUCGUUGGAAUUAGUCUCCAAUUUCGGCGUUUUUCUCAGUGGGAAGAUGAAGGCGAUGGAGACUAUACAGGAUCUGAUCGAAGAAGCUAAAGUAAGGGCCGUAUGGUGGGCCUUGUGCAUCUUCUCCGUCACCUAUUUCUUGUCCCGUAUGUCACUUUUUGCUCCUUUUUUUCUCUUCGAUUUUGCUGUUUCAGUUUUGGACUUCCUAAUUUUAGAUAACAACUUCUACAAUGGUAUAUUGGUAUUAGUCUAUAGAGUAAUUGGUUACUCUGUUCUUAGUUUAUUUGUUUGGAAUCAAAGUUUAAUCUUUAUAUACAUUGUUUCUCUAUAUAUUAUGGUGUUGGUGUUAAGAUAAUGUUUUUGUUCGACUAUAUUUAUAUGCUAAAUCUCUGCUUUUUUUCCUUGUUUGGGAUUCUUUUGUGGUUUCAUGCAGAUACAAGUAAGAAUAUGUUGAUGAAUUUGCCAAUCGCAAUCCUUGGUCUUGUCGGUGUGCGGAUUUUUCUUAAUCAGGUUGAAUUCACAUGGAAAGUUGUGUCGACUCCUAGAAAAAGUCAGUUGUCUUAUCUUGAGAAGAAGCAGUUGUCUGUGAAUGAUGCACGUCUUUCUGGUAUCCCACCUCCUCCUAGGUGGAAGAAGAAAAUCGACUCUCCUGUAGUGGAAGCUGCAAUUAAUGAUUUUAUUGACAAGAUCCUUAAUGAUUUCGUGGUGAAUUUGUGGUACUCUUUGAUUACGCCUGAUAAAGAAGCGCCUGAACUCAUACGUGCAGUAAUCAUGGAUGCUCUUGGUGAAAUUUCAGUGAGGGUAAAAGAGAUCAAUAUCGUUGACUUGCUGACGAGGUAGCCUUCUUUAUUUCUCUUCCCUUAUAUCAGUUAACUUUUCACCUGAAAAAGUCUCGAGUUUUGAUUGGAUCAUUACUGCUUGAUAAUGAAAUCAAUGCCUAAUUGUGUAGGGAUAUAGUUGAUCUGAUAGGUGAUCAUUUGGAAAGUUUUAGAAGAAACCAAGCUGCUAUAGGUAUUGAUGUUAUGAAGACAUUGUCAUCUGAGGAGAGAGAUGAAAGAUUGAAAUACCAUCUUAUGGCUUCUGGGGAACUCUAUCCUGCACUCGUGUCACCUGAGAGUGAGUACAAGGUAUGAGGGAUAGUUCUGAUGAAAAUUACGCUGCCCUCUUAAUUUGGUUACUCUAUACAUAUAUGCUCUUUGUUUUUUUAACAGGUUCUUCAGAAAAUAGUUGCUGGCAUAUUAUCUGUGGUUCUCAGACCACGAGAAGCUCAGUGCCCUCUUGUUCGAACAAUAGCUAGAGAGAUUGUUACUUCCUUAGUAAUUCAACCUCUUUUGAAUUUAGCAUGCCCCGAGUAAGUUCUCUACAUAUAUCUCUGUCUUCUAGAAAAUUAUUUUUGGUAUCAAAAUCUACCUUUCAGUCUUUUCCUUGACCGAUGUGUAUACUGCAAACUAGCUAGGAACAAGUAUUGAUUCCAGAAUUUCUAUUGAUAAAAUAUAAUGUAUAAAAAGAAUAACUGCAGAUAAAUGUAUCAUUUUUCCUGGGUUCUCUUCAGUGCUUGCCAUUUACUUCAAACUCUGCCUUUCAUUUUUCUAAGGCAGAGAUGCUAAUAUUUUUUUUUUCCUGCCCCAGGCGUAUCAAUGAGGUGAUUGAGAUCGUUAUCAAUCUUAUUAAAGAGGGAAACUUUGAGCAGUUCACUGGGGAAGAGCAGAAUGUCAAUUCUGCCCCAUUGUCAGCCUUCGAUAGUCAAGCAAAAAGUAUGAAUUUCACAAAAGCUAUUGAGCAGAAAUCACCAAACAUAAAUGACAGACACCCAGAUCUACACGUUCAACAGCACUCUGCAGAUUGGGCUCGGUUGCUAGAGGUUGCGACGCAAAGGAGAACAGAAGUUCUUACUCCUGAAAACCUUGAAAACAUGUGGACGAAAGGAAGGAAUUAUCAAAAGAAGGAGUACAAAAAAUCUCUGAAAAAGGGUUCUUCUACUGGAGCAAAGGAAAAUGCAGUGGCGCAGUUACCCCCUAAAGUGAGCAUUGAUAAGCAGUCACAAGCACAGAUGACUGAGGAAUUUAGUACAUCAUCUUUACAUGAUGGAGGGCACCAGAUUUAUGAGGCUGAUGUUAGAAAGGAUUCUCGUUCAGAUGGGAAUAAAAAUAGGCUUAAAAGAUCCAAUAGUACAUCAGAUCUUAAUCUACGUCCUGAAACAAGUCUAGCACUAUUAGGAGUCAGUGAGGGGCCUCUAAUCACAGAAUUUUACACCACAGAUUUUAUCAAGCACAAUGAUAACUACAUUAGUGAUAAUAAAUCCCAAAGCAUUGUUCUUCACAAAGAGGGUCAGCACUGCCUAAAGCUCAAAUGUCGAGUAAGCUCCUGUCUUAAUAUUUACUGUUUCUUUAAUUUUCUUUGUUUCUGUGACACAUCCACUUGACCUUUUCCAUUUGCCUGUGUAUGAGUGUGUGUGUGUGUGUGUGUUUUGCAAAUAAUUAUGCUAUUAUUAGCUUAAGAUUAUUAUUUCGUAUGUCUGUGUGUGGCUGCAGGUUCUUGGAGCUUAUUUUGAGAAGCAAGGAUCAAAAUCAUUUGCAGUAUAUUCUAUUGCGGUGACAGAUGUGGAAAACAAAACUUGGUUUGUUAAGAGAAGGUUAUUUUCUUAGCAUUCUGAUUACGGGAAAAUCAUAUCAGUACAUCAUUGAAAUUCUUUACUCAUGUCACUAGCUUUUGAUAUAUAUUUCCAUCGUAAAAGGCAGAAGAUAGCUGCAACUUGAUUGUAAAAUAUUUAUUUGUUUCCCUUCAGAUACAGUAAUUUCGAGCGAUUACAUCGUCAACUCAAAGAAAUCCCGAAUUACAAUUUACAGCUGCCUCCCAAGCGUAUUUUCUCAUCAAGCACCGAAGAUGCUUUUGUUCAUCGCCGCUGUAUUCAGCUGGACAAGUAUCUACAAGUAUUAUUUAUCCCCUUAGCAACUUUAAAACCAUAGUUACCAUCAACAUUUCUCUUAUAAAGACAUUUUUUCCUUGGCUGCAGGAUCUCUUGUGUAUAGCUAAUGUUGCUGAACAGCAUGAAGUUUGGGAUUUUCUAAGCGCAGCCUCUAAGGUGUGGAUCUGAUUAAAUGCCGCCCACAAAUUUCAUUACUUUCUAUUUUCAUUAGGUGGAUGUGUUCUAAUGAUUGUCUUUUUUUGUUCUGUAGAAUUAUUCUUUUGGAAAGUCUUCAUCAGUGAUGAAAACUCUUGCAGGUAUUGUUCGCUGCUGUUUUAGUAACAUGUAUGUAGCAUAAAAGUCAGCCCUCGCUUUCUAUUCCAUUAAUAAAAUAUUUUUAAUCCAUCCUGUUUUAUGCUAAAAAACUGAAUUCUGGGAAAACGAUCAGAAUGAAGAGAGAAGUGUACAUUGUGUUAUGUGGUUGCUUUACUUUUCCAUUUUACUUAAUUUUGUUCUUGGAAUUGAGCAGUUAAUGUUGAUGAUGCCAUGGACGAUAUUGUACGUAGUUUCAAAGGUGUCUCAGAUGGCCUUAUGCGCAAAGUUGUAGGAUCCCCACUAGAAGAGCAUGAUCAUGCUCCUGCCCGCCACCUCUCCUGGAGUGUAAAUGAAAUAAGCACUCAGCUCUCUAGGGAAAGCGCAACUGAGUCUAUGCACAGCAGCAUUUCUGAUACUGAAGACAUCGACAAACUUGGAGAGAACACCCAAGGGGAAGGCAGAUUUGACUCAGAAGCCAAUGGGUGGCACUCAGAUAAUGAAUUGGACUCAAAGUAUGUUCCACCGAGAGUGGUUAGGCGUCUCGGAGAGCCUGAGAGUUCGCUCUCGGAGAAGGAAAAUGAUUUUAAGGCAAAAUCUCAAGUUAGGGGGUUCACUGAUUUGCAGCAUGCUGAUCCAUUGACAGCUUUAGUCCAAAAUCCCCAUGGCAUGCCACCCGAGGUACACCAUAUACCCCUAAAGUUUUAUAUACAUUGAUUAGACUUUGUAAUUAGGCUUAUGUAUGUUACCUGGCUAAAAACUUUCAUGACUACAUGCACUACUUUUCACGCACCUGAAAUAGAAUUAUACUUAUUGAUACAUUCUCCAAAGAGAUUUUAGCCUACUUUUUUGGAAUCUUCUAAUUUUGAUUAACGUCAUUCUUAUCCUCUGUUUUUCAUUACAGUGGAUGCCGCCCAAUGUCAGUGUACCAAUUUUGAACUUAGUUGAUAAAGUGUUUCAGUUAAAUAGAAGAGGUUGGUUAAGGUGAGACAAAGUAGUUAUUCUUUCUGAUUUUAUUUGUCUUUGAUCAUGCUAUUCUAUUUGAUUAGGUUCCGUUUUCGAAUAAUUUUAAUAUGGUGUCAUUAUAGGAGACAAGUCUUCUGGAUAUCAAAGCAAAUAUUACAAUUAGUUAUGGAAGAUGCUGUGGAUGACUUACUCCUGAGGGAGAUAUGUUGGCUGCGGAAUGAAGACACUGUCGCUCAAGGAAUUCGUUGGGCUCAAGAUGUAAGAAUUGGGGUUUCUCUGAUCUUGUCCAGAAGUUAACUGAAUCUUCUUCUAUACUCUUAGGGACCCUGCCAUCAUGUUUGAUCAUUCGCUGAAAUCUAUUAUAACUCAUGUAGAAAAGUCGGUGAUCAUUAAGGGAAAUCAUUAUGCCAGAUAUUUCUAGUUUACUUUGAUUGUUGCAGGAAGGCAGAUCAAAUAAUAGUACUAGUAAAGUGAUCGCUCUUUUUGUUGCUUACAAUCUUAUUUGCAUUUUCUCUCCAGAUUCUAUGGCCAAAUGGUGUAUUCUUUACCAGAGUGAAUGACAGUCAAGAGGAAUUGGAUGAGACCGACCCUAGUGAAAAAACUUUCCAAAUAGCAGGCCAACUCGGUGGCAUGAAGGUGGCUAAACCCAGUUCCUUUGAGCAGCAACUCGAGGCUGCACGCAGAGCUAGUGAAAUAAAAAAAUUCCUUUUCGGUGAGUAUCUUAGGUUCUCUCCAAUUGACGUAUUGAGUUAGUUUAGUCUCAGUGGAAGUAACAUUUUGAUGUUUGGUCAGAUGGCGCCCCAACAGCCUUAGUGAGCUUGGUAGGGCACAAGCAGUACAGGAGAUGUGCGAGAGACAUUUUCUACUUUACUCAGGUUAGAAUUGAUCUGUGUCUCACAUUUAAAAGCUUUUUUUUUGUUUUGUUUUUGGUGUAAAGGGUUUAACUAAGUUGUUGCAUCAUCAUCCAUCGUUAUGGUCUGACUAAUACUUGACAUUAAUCAUCUACCGCAGUCAAACGUAUGCAUAAAGCAACUCACAUUUGCAAUACUAGAGCUGCUACUCCGAUCGGUGUUCCCUGAGCUGCAAGAUCUGUUAAGAGACAUAAGGGAGAAUCCGCACUGUCGGUCAGAGUAAUAACACAUGUUUAUAUGGAGGAGGUAGCCUAUGAUUGACUUGAACCAGUUUUAUCUCUCUCUAUGUUAAUUUUUGAUCUUUUUGUUUCUUGGGGAUUUUUUGGGGUCCUUCUUAAUAUUCAUCCAUGUGUAUAAAAACAAGUGCUAGUAUCAAUCUGGGAGGGUUUUGAAUACAACAAUGACAAAAGGGUUCUGUAUAUAAAACCUCUUGUGUGUGGAAAUUAGUUCAUUGAAAUGUAGUUUUUGUUUGCAAACAUGGAAAAAUUACUUGGAGGAAUGGAGGGUCAGUUAUUUGCUUCAUCAUUGUAACUUGUUGCGAGGACAUGAAGGUUCAAAACCUAUUUGGGAACCUCAAUUACAUAGUACCUGCAUUACACUUUUUCUCUCUUACAGCAGCCCACCACUCAGAGAAUCUACAGCAUUUGCGUAGAGGUCAGUAAGCGAGUACUGCCUCAGGUUGUUUACCUCGUACCAAGUGUUCAAUGACUCGAGGUUCUUGUCUGUUCCCGAAAACGCCACCUGAAUUCCAAUGUUGCAGUUAGCUUCACCUCCAUUAGCCUUGCACUUUGAUGUUGGAACCGCGCAAUCCGUCCCAUUCAGACACACAGAAGAAGAAGAAGAUCCUAUUCCUUUGCACGAAUCGCAUCCGAAGCUCUUCCAGAACAGAUUCUGCAACACUCCCUUCUGAAAUUCCAAUACCUGCAAUGCAGUUGCCAAUUCAGCGAUUCAGUGCUCUAUUGUAUGCUAUGUUGCUUAUUUGUUUCCAAAAGGGCUUAGGGUUGUUCAUUACAAGUGUGAAAGCUGUGAUUGUGUUGCUUCCAUCUGCGACCUUCACAGGACUAGAUCUUGCUGCAUACUUUGAGCCUGCGAAUCCCACCAUGAAUCCUCCUGCUUCACUCUUCUCACAAGACACACAUCCCACAAAAAGAUGGCAUUCAUAAGCUUUACUUCUUUAUUCUUUGUGAUUUUGUCCCACUUGAGAUUUUAUAUAUUAGUGUAAGACUUACCGGGUUAAACUUACUUGUGUCGAUGGAGAGAAGAGAGAUCUCGUCAACCUUUGGUCUAAAAAGCGCGAGCUGCGCCAUUUUCGCAGCUAAACCAAGACGAGAAUCACAAGGAGAAAGCUGGACUUGGUCAAGAAAGAAAGCUUCUUUGCUGGAGAUGGCAAUACCAAUGGUGAAACCAUCUCCUUUGCUUAUUUGAGUGUCUGAACAUGGACUGUACACCGGGUUAUUAUCUGAUGCUACAACCCAAUCAUCCACCAUCAUCAUCAUCACAAUCAUCAUGAUGGUUGUAAAAUUCACCAUUCUUAGCUAAUGAGAACCUCGUACCUUUGGUUUCUUCUUCCCCAAGAAAACCCUAUGAACAAAUUCAUCACCAAUGGGUAACAACGUUAUGAUGGUAUUAUAUAAUAAUUAGCUUUGAUAGACGACGUACCUUUGAAAUAAGAAUUUAUAUAUCGAUUUUUGAAUCCGAUCUUACGAAGAACCGAUCGGAAUGAGGAUGUUCUUUGUAGGGUGAUCUUUUUCUGGGUUUAGGAUCCUUCAAAAGGAAAUGAAAUUAUGGAGUUUAGACGCGCCAAACGGUUACUUCGGCUGUAAAAUUGGAUCUCUGUCUCCCAAAUUAGUCAAUUCUUAAAAACCAAAAAAAGUAAUUGGUUAACUUUAUUGUCACCAAUAGGGUAUAGAGUGAUUUGAUUACAUUGGUUAUAUGAAAAUGGAAAUCAUGUAAGCACGACACCCAAUGUCUUGAGAAAUAUUUGAUUCCUUGUUAUCAUUGUGUAUCAGUUUACUAAUUGUAACGUUCUUUCAUGAUCGUGAAAGGGUGAAACUUUGUUCCUAAACAAAGAUUUUAUGACCUUGAUGGGCUUGAAACACGUCUCUUACUUAGCUUUGGAUCUGAAGAGUAGUCUUCUUGUCAAAGAACGUAUUGUAGCAGUAUAAUCUUUUAAAAACCAAAACAGAGAGUACUCUAAAUAAUCAAUCGGACCUAAAUGGGGAAGAAAACAUCAAAAAUUCGGUAUUAAUAAUCAUAAACGACCACUAACACAACACAUCUAUUUCCUUGUUUAUCUCUCUCUCUAUAUGUGGUUAAAUGUAAAACUCUGAAAGAUGGUGACACACUUUCAAAAUGCUUUCCAAAACACUGCACAACAGAUUAAUCUCCUCUGCGGUGGUUGUUGAAUAAUCUUCUAUAAUAAAUUCCAUGAGUAUCCUGCAAAGAAUCAGCAUAUUCUCACAUAAGUAAUCCGAAAAAAGCACCAGAAGUAACCCUGCCAUAGGGUUUAAGAUGUAUUCUUCGUGAUUGCAGGUUGCCUUCUUAUCAUCAGUCAUUGCAAAUACUUCAUUCUCUACAUACCGUUAACAACACUAAAAGCUUAUAUUGUUUUGGAUCUUAACUCAAGGACAAAACUAAUAUAGCUCUCCCAACGUUGAGUACAAUUCUGAUAUCGGUAACAUCCAACAAGUCGUAUUGAGAAGAGUAACAAAUAUUCAAGAAAAGCAAGUAAACUUUUUCAUAACAUGGUCUAAAUUUCAAAAUCUAGGAGAAAUCAAGCUUAAGAGCUCACGGCCAUAACUUUAAACAUAAAUUUCUACUUACAGAUGGAUCCUCUCAAUGGGUUAAUAUUCGGAUAAACACGGUUUCUGUAUUCAUACAAGUAAAUAGCUUACACAAGAAUGACUAAGUACCAGCUCAAAAAUGAAACAUAUGGCAAUCAUAUAUCUACCUAAAGCUUAAACAAUUGACACCAAAACCAGUACCAGCUCAAGCAUGACACAUACGUCAACAAUCCAAUAAAGCUUAAGACUACUGGAACCAAAACCAUGUCAAACAGAGCCAACCAGAAAGUAUUUAAGAGCUUUUCAUGAAUUACGCUCCAAUACUAGUAUCAUACUAUCCAGUUUCUUAUUGUAUCCAAUCAAAAUCGGAGAUUUACCUCAGGCGACGGCAAGAGGCUGACGAGUUUUAGGUUCGUUAUUCUUCUUAGUAUCGUUUUGAAAAUCUUCCAUAUUGUAGAUGACGGUGAUAUAAAGCGAACAACUUGGGCAAUUCGCGAUCUCUUCGCCGAGCCGGAGAUCUUCUUUUGUAAUCUGAAACAAGUCGCCACAAGGACAAGGAUACGUGUACGCUUGAAUCUCUUCGUUCCACUCCAUAUCCUCUAUUUCAACAUCGUCGUACGACAUCGUUUACCCUCGCCGAAGUUUUUUUUUUUUUUAAUUCUCCGGCUGAAAUUAGGGUACAAAGUAAUAAGCUCCGCCGCCGCUGCGUUAAAUAUGUGUACUAUAUGGGAAGCUGAGAGACGAGAGUUAUAUACAUUUUAUAAUAUUUCCAUCCAGUCCCCAUAGUUUGUGAAAUAUUAGCAAAUAAGCCCAAAUUAGUUGACAUUUUCACAAUUUUGUCCAUAUACUUUUCUUUUGUUCUUACAUAUAAGAAAACAACCAAACAGUUUUCCGAAGAAAGAAAAAAAAAAAAAAAAAGAAGUGAUGCAAAUCCGGUCACCGUCAUUGUCGCCGUCAAAAUCACCACCGUCUCCGAAGCUUCAAUCGACUUGAUGAUGCAAAGCUUCCACCAUCAGCAGCAGCAGCUGAUUUCGCUGCUCUCUUCGGCUUUACCAACUGACGUCUCCGCUUCUCCUCUACCCUCCACGCUUACUCCUCCGUCCUCAGAAUCCGUCUCUUCAUCGGCGACUGGUAACAAUGCGUCAGUUCCGACGGGACAAAGAGAUAGUAAGUUAGAAAAUAGCAGCGAUUCUGGGCGUCUCGCUGCCUUGAAGUCGCUUCACAGAGCAAUUAAGUAUCCUCCGAAUUCGCUUCUUAUUGCUCAUUCAGCUUCAUAUCUUUCUUCUGGUCUAUGGCAGCUUCUCUCUGACAAGUAAUUAUCUCUGAAUCACAAAUUUUAUUUGAGAAUUGAUGUGAGAUAUAGGGUUUUUUGGGGAGUCUGAAGUUUGAUGUUUGAUUUGUGUGCAGGUCUUAUGAUGUGAGGCAGGCUGGUGUGUCUGCAUAUGGUGCUCUUUGUGCUGUUGUUUGCUCUAUUCCUGUAGAAUCUAGUGGAAGGCAAAACCAUGUGAUGCUAGGGAGUCUUGUUGAUCGUUUUAUUAAUUGGGCUUUACCGUUGCUUAGGCAUGUUAGUGUUCGGGAUGGUAGUACGGUACUUGCAGUUGAAGGUGUACGGGAGUUUGUUUCCGUUGGGGAUGUUAAUGGGAUUGAUAGGUAUGCUUUGCCAAUUCUCAACGCCUGCAAAGGACUUCUUGAAGAUGAGAGAACUUCUAUCCCUUUGUUGAAUCAAGUUUUGGGUGUUCUUUCGUUGAUCUCUUCGAAGUUUUCUAGUUUGUUUCAUCCUCAUUUUCUUGAUAUUGUUGAUAUGUUGCUUGGUUGGGCAUUAGUACAAGACCACGCUGACUCUGACAGACAGAUUGUCAUGGAUAGCUUCUUGCACUUUCAGAAACAUUGGGUUAAUAAUUUAGACUUCUCAGUUGGAUUGCUAUCGAAGUUUCUGGGUGACAUGGACGUCUUGCUUAGUGAUGGUAGUCAAGGAACCCCUGAACAGUUUCACAGGUUGCUUGCUUUGCUUUCUUGUUUCUUAGCAAUAUUGCGGUCCACUGCUUCUGGAUUACUAGAGAACAAUCUGCUUGAUAAGAUGGACGAACCUCUGAGCAAAAUGCUUCCUCGGCUAUUGGGUUGCCUAUCUACCAUGGGGCAGAGGUUUGGAUGGUCAAAAUGGAUUGAAGAUCUAUGGAAGUGCUUGACUCUUUUGGCAGAAAUAUUGCGCGAAAAAUUUUCAACGUAUUAUUCUCCUUCUCUUGAAAUGUUGUUCAAGAGCUUAGAACAGAUUGAUUCUGUGAAUUCUGCAGUCCAUGGGAAGAUGACAACUUUUCAGAUCCAUGGGACCUUGAAAACUAAUCUUCAGUUACUGUCCCUACAAAAGCGAGGCCUCCUAUCAUCAUGUGUGCUGAAGUUGCUUCAGUUUGAAUCUCCAAUAUCUCAGUUGCGAUUGCACCCAAAUCAUUUAAUUACAGCAGGCUCUUCUGCCACAUAUUUAUUCUUGCUUCAACAUGAGAGUGAAGAAGUUGUUCAACAGGCGAUGGAAUUAUUGAUGAAAGAACUUGAGUUGUUGAAGACUGUACUUGGGGAAUCAUCGUGCCACAAAAACAUGACUUUGAAUGUUACAGCCUAUGAAUCCUUUUCAAAAAGUGAAAUUUUGGCAAUCAUGAACUUUGAUAUGAAGGUUCUUCUUUCCUGUGUUUCUCUGGGAGGGAGAAAAAGUUUGAGUGACCUACCCGAACUUGCUGUCUUGUAUCUUAAGAGGUCUGAGAAGUUACUUUCCUUCGUUGUUGAAAUGCUGAAUCCUUUUGAGCCAGCUAUUGAUGCCUGUUUGGAGUUGCAAGUCAGCGUUGUGAGGAUGUUAGAGUGUUUAGCUACAGUUGAGCUCCUUAGCAACUGUUCGGUGCUAAUUCAGCCUAAAAUGAAGACGAAUCAGGGAAAGACACCAUUCAAGUGUUCAUUUUUUUCCAUGGUAAUUGAACAUCUAAGAAAAUACAGUUUAACCAUGGUUAAAGCUCUUCGUUUUUCAUCCCCUCUUGCUGUAAAGCUAGUGUCACUUGAAUGGAUUCAAAAGUUCUGUGAGAACCUAUUUGCAAUAUCAAAGAGUUUGUAUAUGGAUGCCUACUUCUGUGAAACAUUUCCAUAUGCUGGUGCAGUUAGAGAUAUCACUAUGGCGGUUUUAGAUGCUGCAUUUGAUAGUGAACCGAAAGUGAGGAGUCAGUCUGUAAUGGUUUUAGAGCUGCUUCUGGAGGUAAAGCUGAUACACCCAAUUCAUUUUUACUCCCUGGCUGAAAUCCUCCUUGAAAAGCUUGGAGAUCCAGAUACGAGUAUAAAGAAUGCUUUCAUUAAGUUACUUUCCCAUCUUUUGCCAGCUACCCAAUACACUUGUGGCAUGCGGAGUGAGGUAGGAAAUAUGGCUCUUAGGCCCCAAGUUCUUAUGAUAGGAAACGGUUACUUGCACUGGAAGCAAGUCUUUGCACUGAAGCAACCGGACCAACAUUUUCACUCGCAGCAACUGGUUUCUGUCUUGAAUUAUGUUUCCCAGAGAUGGAAAGUUCCUUUUGCUUCUUGGAUCCAAGGGCUUAUCUAUGCUUUUCGGGGAUCAAAGGAUACUGGUGCUGGGCAUCCUGAUGAAAACCUGAUUAAGAAUGGGUGGUUGGCAAUAAAAGCUGAGAAAAGCUCGAUCGAGAGAAUCUGCUUGGCAAAUAACCUGGCAGGCGCUUGGUGGGCUGUGCAUGAAGCUGCUAGGUUUUGUGUUAGUACACGUCUCCGUACUAACUUUGGUGGUCCUGCUCAAACUUUUGCAGCCCUAGAGCGAAUGCUUUUGGACAUCACGACUGUGCUGCAGGUUGAUAGCCAGCAAACUGAUGGAACCCUAAACAUUUUAGGCUCCUCUGGUGCCCAUCUGUUACCAAUGAGGUUACUGUUGGAUUUUGUGGAGGCAUUGAAAAAAAACGUGUACAAUGCAUACGAGGGGACUGCUGUUUUAUCCUCAGCGCCUCCACAAAGUGUCCUUUUUUUCCGAGCUAACCGGAAAGUUUGUGAAGAAUGGUUUUCUCGUAUAUCUGAACCAAUGAUGAAUGCUGGUAUGUCUCUCCAGUCUCAAGAUGCUACGGUUGAGUAUUGUACAUUGCGGCUUGAAGAACUAAAAAGUCUAGCAACUCUAGUGAAGAAAGAUAAAUCUAAAAUGCAGGCUCUUGACAAUGCUCACAAUCCUGGAGCUCGGAUCUCUUCAGACAUCUCAAGGAUUUUACGACAUAUGUCAUUGGCUUUGUGUCAGAAUCAUGAUACACAUGCUCUUCUUGGAAUUCACAAAUGGGUUGCAAUGAAUUUAGCUCCUUUGGUCGCAGAAGAAAGCGACUUUCAGAAGAACAAUGGUGAAUUGGCACUGUUUCCAUGGAUCACAGGGUUGGUUUAUCAGUCAGAAGGACGAUAUGAAAAAGCGGCUGCUUAUUAUGCUCAUUUAUUAGAGGAAGAGGACUGUCUCAGUUCUAUGGGCUCUGAUGACAUACAGUUUGUGAUUGAACGAAUAAUUGAGAGUUAUACCUCUUUAUCUGAUUGGAAAUCUCUAGAGUCCUGGCUUUUAGAGUUGCAGGCGCUUCGUGCAAGGCAUGCAGGCAAAAGCUUUUCAGGUUCUUUGACUGCUGCUGGAAAUGAAAUAAAUGCAAUACAGGCCUUGGCACAUUUCGAUGAGGGUGAUAUUCAGGCUGCCUGGACAUGUCUUGAUUUAACGCCUAAAACUAGUGCUGAACUGUCACUUGAUCCAAAGCUAGCCUUGCAAAGAAGCGAACAGAUGCUUUUGCAGGCAAUGCUUUUCCAAGCUGAAGGAAAUGCCCAAAAGGUUCCACAGACCUUACAGAGGGCCCGAACAAUGCUAGAUGAAACUUCACUGGCUCUGUCAUUUGAUGGAUUAUCUGAGACAGCACCAUAUGCCACACAGUUGCAUUGUCUUUUUGCUUUUGAAGAGGGUCAUCAGCUGAGAGACAGUGAACCUAAACAGAAACACAAUAAUUUGAUGUUAAGCUCUUGCGUCUGGUCACUGCAGUCUAUGGUCAAUAGAAUUCAUCGUGACUGCCGCCCUUGGUUAAAAGUUCUACGAAUAUACCGGACAAUUUUGCCAACUUCCUGGGUUACUCUGAAGCUUUGUAUGGACUUGUUUGGAUUUGCCCGCAAGCAAGAAAAUUACUUGCUUGCAAAUCAUCUUAAAAAUUAUCUGAAUGAUCAUGUAUCCAGUUGUGCUGAGGUUAAGUUGCGUGACUUUCUCAUAUCGAAUUUGCAGUAUCAGGGAGCCUUGCUGACGUAUGCAGAAAACAGAGUUCAAGAUGCUGUUGUGGAUCUUUGGUCAUUUGUACAGCCAGAGGUAACUGCUUUAGAGCCAGUAUGUUUGGAUGCUGGUGUGGCCUUUUUAAAGGCAAAAGCAUGCUUAAAACUUGCAAUUUGGCUAAAAGGGGAUGAUAUUUCUCUGGAUUUGGAAAAUGUAGUCCUUAAGAUGUCAGCAGAUUUUAACAGAACUGAGGUUCCUUCAUCUGUAAGCAGCAAGCCUCUGCUAUACAAGAGCUUAAAACCAAGCAUGAAGGCUAUUAGUGAGGAGAUGAUUGGAACGGUUACAAAAGUGUCCACUCAACUUUGUUCUGCAAUGGGAAAAUCAUGGAUUUCAUAUGCUUCUUGGUGUUUUCGUCAGGCAACAGAGUCUUUUUACAAAUCUAAUGAGUCCACCCUCCACUCAUUCUCCUUUUCAAGCAUCCUGGCUCAAGAGCUCAAACCUGGAAGGUUUCACUUGACUGAAGAUGAGGCUGAAUCAGUGGAGUCUGCUGUUAUGCAGGUUCUUCAGAAAGAUGAUUGCAAGGAUCUUACAAACACUGGACAAGAUGGGAACUGUCAUACAAUUACUACAGACCAUUCUGAAGCUCGAAAGAAUAUAAAAACGUUGCAGCAGCAAGUAAUUGAAACAAUAGAAAAUGCUGCAGCAGCUCCUGCUGCAGACGAUUGUGGCUGGGAUAGUCUCUCUGUCCAUCUAGCUUCUCAAUUAACUGAUUUAUUGCUAUCCGGAAACGAUUACGUGGAAGAUACUGAUAUAGCACCUAUAGUUAACAGGCUGAUUGAAGUUUGGCGGUCUCUGAGAAAAAGAAGGGUAUCUCUCUAUGGGCAUUCCGCACUUGGUUUCACACAUUACCUUCGUUAUUCAUCAAAAGUUCUGCAAACUAGUGAGUUUACAGGUGUAGACUAUGAUCCACUGAAUAAAAGAACCGAUAGCCAUACAUUGAGAUCAACACUGUAUAUUUUGCACAUCCUUCUGAAUUAUGGAGUGGAGUUAAAAGACACACUGAGACAUGCUCUUUCGAUAGUUCCCUUGGAGCCUUGGCAGGUGAGAAGAACUCCCUUGUUUUUUGGUCUCUUCGAUCAACUCCAACUUCUAAUGUUUCUGAUAACAAUUUUGCACAGGAAUUAACACCUCAGCUCUUUGCUCGGUUGAGCUCUCACCCUGAUGAGGUAGUACGGAAAGAAAUAGAAGGCUUACUGAUAAUGCUGGCGAAGUUGUGUCCGUCUUCCAUAGUGUAUCCAACACUUGUCGACGUGAAUGCUUGUGACGAGAAGCCUUCCGAAGAGCUGUUGCACGUAAAAGCCUGUCUGGUAAUAUCUAUUCCUUAAACUUCAUUCAAGUAUAAAUUGGUCCUAGUUUUCAGUUUGAAUGAUGCAUAAAUCGAGGCACUCCUCACAUGUAAGCAAGGCUAAAGCUACCAAAUUUUGUAUGCGUAGAAUUUCCUGAUCAAACACAUGUCAAACGUGGUGAUUUUCUACUCCUAGGGUAAAGAGAUUGCAUCAUCCCAAAUCGUUAAUGUUUUUCUGAUGUCAUGGAGAUUUUUUAUUGGCUAAAUGUUUGUUCUUAUAAUUUUAUUCUCUGAGCAGACUGUCAUAACCUCUGUCUAAAUUGUUUCGUAGGACUGCAUCAAAUAAUAUGUGCUUUGUGAUGUUUGUAUGCAGACUGAACUAUAUCCAAGAUUAAUCCAGGAUGUGCAGCUUAUGAUUAAUGAGCUAGGGAAUGUGACUGUUCUUUGGGAGGAACUUUGGCUCAGCACACUGCAAGAUCUCCACAUGGGUAACCUUAACUAUCUAGCUUAUGAUUUUUAUCUAAUGGAAGUUAACUCAGUUGAUUACAGUGCAUUUCUUUAUCAUUUGAUAUAGACCCUUAGCUCCUCGUAGUUAAGUGGCCUUCAAUAUGCAAUCGAAUAGUUGUCUUCUUUACGUGUAACAUAUGUCCAUUGUAUCUUGAAUAGGCUGAAUAUACUAGAUCAUGACUGUAGUGCCAAAUCAAAAACUUAUAAUGAGUCGGCUAUAGUGUUAGUGGUGCAAUAGCGGAAGCAACAUAAUGUGUAGAUUCGUUCUGGUAAUUAGUGACGUUUUCGGUUGGGUAUUAGGGUUGAGAGGCGGGAAACUCAUGUAAAACUAGUUCAUCCCACGGUGUACUUUUGGUUCAGUUGAAGAACUAGAGGAGGGCUUUACCACAAUCAUUCCUACGAACCUUAACAAAUUUAUGGAUGCCCCUUUAAAGAGAGUUUUUUUUGGUGAACGUAGUAUAAAGAACUGAAUGAGUUAUUUUGUUAAAAAAAUUUGUGGGUUAUAAGUUUGAAAGUAAAUUGAACCUCUGAUGUUGCGUUUUAUUUAGUUUCUCAUGUUGUUUCGAAAUUACUUUGUUAAGAAUCUGAGGGAAGUAGAUUUAAUUGUAACUUCUUUUGCAGAUGUAAUAAGGCGGAUAAACCUGUUGAAAGAAGAGGCUGCUCGUGUUUCAGAAAAUGUAACUCUGAGCCAGACUGAGAAGAACAAGAUAAAUGCUGCAAAAUAUUCUGCCAUGAUGGCCCCUAUUGUUGUUGCAUUGGAACGUCGCUUGGCGUCAACCUCUAGAAAGCCUGAAACACCUCAUGAAGUUUGGUUCUAUGAGGAGUACAUAGAACGUAUAAAGUCAGCAAUCUUAACAUUUAAAACACCUCCCUUGCCUUCUGCUCUGGGGGAAGUGUGGCGUCCAUUUGAUAGUAUCGCUGCGUCUUUGGCUUCUCAUCAAAAGAAGUCAUCAAUAUCUUUAAAGGAAGUUGCUCCGAGUAUGUCUUUCUUAUCAUCCUGUAACAUUCCAAUGCCUGGUUUGGAGAAGCAGUCCCCCUUGUCUGAAUCUGACACACCACUCCAUGGAAUAGUCACGAUUUCUUCUCUUUCAGAUCAUGUGACUAUCCUUCCAACCAAGACACGACCUAAAAAGCUUAUUAUGUUUGGCUCAGAUGGAAAGAAAUAUAUAUAUCUCUUAAAAGGCAGGGAAGACUUGCGCCUUGACGCUAGAAUUAUGCAAUUGCUUCAGGCAAUUAACAGUUUCUUCUGCUCCUCUCGAGCAACAGAUGACGGUACUAUUGGCAUUCGCUAUUACUCGGUGACUCCUAUUAGUGGUAGAGCUGGUCUAAUUCAGUGGGUAGACAACGUUAUAAGCAUAUAUAGCAUUUUUAGGUCUUGGCAGACACGUGUCAAGCUUGCCCAAAUGCUGCCAUCAGUUCCUGGUGGUGCAAAAAGUCCAGAUCUACCACCUGUUCCUCGACCAAGUGAUAUGUUUUACGGUAAAAUAAUCCCAGCUCUCAAGGAGAAAGGUAUAAGAAGAGUGAUUUCACGAAGAGAUUGGCCUCAUGAUGUUAAGCGUAAAGUACUAUUGGAUCUUAUGAGUGAGGUGCCAAAACAGCUACUACACCAGGAACUUUGGUGUGCUAGUGAAGGGUUCAAAGCCUUCACAACGAAGUUUAAAAGGUACUUCAAAGAUAUUAUAUAACACUCGAUUUUUUUUUACAAUUUGCCUGAAGCACUCUUUUGAAAGCAGCAGCAUGCCCUUUCUUAACUAGUUGAACAAGAAAUAAAUAAAAAUUUCUCUUAUUUAGAAGGGUGUGAAAUGAUCACUAUUUUCGUUAGACCUCAUAAAAAAAAAGAUAAAAAUGAUCAGUUUGAGAAACGUUAGGAGAUUAUUUAUGCGUUUUCUGAUUGCCUUUGAACUGAACCUUGAUUUUAAGGUAAGAAAUUUUAGGAUUAAAUUGUUCAAAAGUGACUAUAAUAGAUCAGAUCUGCUGUUUCAGUUCCAUGAUUUUGUGGGCUGCUGUCAUAUAUGACAUCAUUACAUAUUUACUUUGAAAACAAAGUUGAUAAAACACUUCAUUCCUGAUUUACAGGUACUCUGGUAGUGUUGCAGCUAUGAGUAUAGUUGGUCACAUGCUCGGCCUUGGGGACAGACAUUUGGAUAAUAUUCUCAUGGAUUUUUGUAGUGGGGAUGUUGUACAUAUAGAUUACAAUGUCUGUUUUGAUAAAGGGCAACGGCUUAAAGUUCCUGAGAUAGUACCAUUUCGGCUAACUCAGACAAUGGAAGCUGCGUUAGGGUUGACAGGUGUUGAAGGCACAUUUAGGGCAAACUGUGAAGCUGUUCUUGGUGUUCUAAGGAAAAACAAGGACAUACUCCUGAUGUUGAUGGAAGUUUUUGUUUGGGACCCACUUGUUGAGUGGACCCGAGGAAAUUUCCAUGAUGAUGCUGCAAUUGGUGGUGAAGAAAGAAAAGAUAUGGAGGUCGCCGUUAGCUUAAGUUUGUUUUCAUCAAGAGUGCAAGAAAUCCGUGUUCGGUUGCAGGUAAACAUUCGUGACAUUAAAGCAGACAUAAUACAGCCUAAUUGUUUCCGUGAUUAUCUACAACAUUCUUGGUGAACACAUAAUUUUCGUUGCUUGUAUCUCUCCAACAUUCUUGGUGAACGUGAAAUUCUCAUUGCUUAUAUCUUUUAACUAUAUUCAUCAUCGAUCACUUAUUUCACAGUACUUCUAACUCCAUUCUCAUCAAUUUCAUUAUCUUUCCUAGAAAUUUAGAAUCUGACAGAUGUAACAUUAUGUGCCAUUUACUAUGACAAUUGAAAUAGUAAAGCUUGAUUUACAUGCACAUUCUAACCAUACUGGCUUACUUUAUUCUCUUCAGGAGCAUCAUGAUCUCUUACUGGCUACAUUACCAGCUGCUGAAUUAUCUCUGGAGGUAAGAUGGUUUCUUUCAGUGUCUAUGAAUUGAAAUUGGACUUCUUUGUCAGUUUAAUGAUGGUGAGAUUGUAUUUCAGCGGUUUUCCGAGGUUCUGAAUCAAUAUGAGAUCGCAUCAUCUGUUUUUCUCCAAGCUGAUCAAGAAAGAGCAGAACUUAUUCUGCGUGAGGCAUCUGCAAAGAAAACAGUUGCAGAGGCAGCUUGCAAUUCAGAAAAGAUUCGCGCUUCUUUUGAGAUUCAAGCUCAUGAAUUUUCUCAAGCAAAAGCCUUGGUCUCUGGAAAAGCUCAAGAAACAGCGGUUUGGAUGGAGCAGCGUGGAAGGAUCCUUGGUGCCUUACGAAGAAAUAUGAUUCCUGAAAUUACUGCCCCCACAGUUUUGACGGAUAUAUUGGCUUCUUUAUCUUUGACAUCUGCUGUUCUUGUUGCUGGAGUUCCAGUUACUGUAGUUCCGGAGCCAACACAAGCACAAUGCAACGAUAUUGACGCAGAAAUUUCCCUUCUAGUUAACAACCUCAGUGACGGUCUCUCCUCUGCUUUGACUGCACUUCAAACAUAUUCUCUGGCUUUGCAAAGAAUUUUACCUCUUAACUACCAUACAACAAGUCGGGUGUAUGAUUGGGCGCAAGUCUUGCAGUUAGCUGCGCAUGCUCUGUCUUCGGAUAUCUUGUCUCUUGCCAAAAGACAGGCUGGUGAACAAUUUUCAAAAAUACAAGGGGGUGACUUUAAUUCUGUCAGGAACUGCUACAAUGAUCUGUGUCUUAAGGUAGAAAAGUAUGCAGACGAUGUAAAGAAGAUGGAGGUAGAAUAUGCAGAGCUGUCUGCCUCUAUUGGAAUGGGGCCUGAAUCAAAGGCCAAGGAUCGUCUUUUCUAUGGUUUGAUUAAUUAUAUGCAGUCUCCAGGACUUGUGGAAAACACCAAUGCUGGAGUAAACCUUCAGGAUUCUGGAAAGAAAACGUCGAAGGCAUUAGCUGUGUUGCACACUUCGAUUAGUUCACUCUAUGAUCAAUUAAAGGAAAAAGUACAUUAUAUCUUGAAUGCUUCAAUGGAAAGAAGGGAAAGAAACGAAAGCUUAGUAUCUAAGUCUAGGAGUCUAAGCUCUAAUUUAGAGGCGCAGGUAGAGAUGUGUAUGAUAUUGGUGGACUUUCUUAACGAGGUAAAAUAUUAUGUUGGUCAGGAGAUUCCUAAUACGGAAGAAAGUUUGACUGGGUCUGCUCGCCGUGUUGAAGAGAACUGGGCUUUGGUCUUCCACAGAACCUUGCUUUCAUCUAAGAUAUUAGUUGCACAAAUGACAGAAGUUGUUGUACCAGACGUUCUAAAGACGUACUUGUUCUGUAAUUCAGAUCUUAUGGAUGCGUUUGGAUUGAUCUCACAAAUCCGUGGAUCCAUAGAUGCUGCAUUUGAGCAUCUCAUAGAGAUAAAGGUGGAAAGAGAUUCGUUGGUUGAACUUGAGCAAAACUACUUCCAAAAGGUUAGCAAUAUUACUGAGGGGCAGCUAGCUCUUGAAAAAGCAGCUUUGAAAAGCAGGGAACAUCUAUCCUGGGAAGAGGCAGAGGAAUUCGCAGCUCAAGAAGAGGCUUUCCGGACACAGCUGGACCAGCUUCAUCAAUCAUGGGGCCAGAGAGAGUUCCGAAUAUCUUCUCUCAUAAAGAAAGAAGCGCAAGUUAAAAAUGCUCUUAUCUUAGCUGAGAAACAGUUUCAGCUGCUCACUAAUGCAGAUGAGUGCAGGAAGCCUAAUGAUCUUAGAAGUUCAAGGAUAAUGGUUGAAUUGGUUAAGCCUUUCAGUGAAUUGGAACAGCUAGAUAAAACAUUAUCCUCCUUAAGCAGCUCAGCUGUUUCUAUGUCAGAUUGGAUCCCUGCUUUUGGGGAUAUCCUGAGCUGUGGGCAAUCACUAUCUGAGAACAUAUGGCGUUUCAGAAGCAUACUUAAGGAUCAUUCCUUCUUCAUCUGGAAGUUAGGCAUCAUAGAUUCCUUCCUUGAUUUAUGCAUACAUGAUGCUUCCCCGUCUGUGGAUCAGACAUUAGGAUUUGAGCAGCUAAUUCUCUUUAUGAAGAAGAAGUUUGAGUUCCAACUUCAAGAAAGAGUAGAUUGUUACCUGGCAGGAAGCGUUGCUCCUGCAUUUUUAUCUCAGCUGGAUAAAGAAAAUGAGCGUCUGAAACACAUCUCAGAGGAAAACAGUGCCAGAAGGGAUCAAGUCAAACCAGACUAUAGCCAUUUGAAACAAGUCCAUGCAAUGCUCGAGGAAUAUUGCAAUGCUCAUGAAACUGCUAGAGAAGCAAAAUCAGCAGCAUCUCGUAUGAAAAAACAAGUUAAGGAAGUACGCGAUGCUCUUCGUCGGACUAGCCUUGAUAUUGUCCAAAUGGAAUGGAUGAACGAUGCCACAUUGACCCCUUCACAAACUGUUCGGACUGCAUUGCAACAAUUAUUUGCCAGUGAUGAUAACUUACAUCCUAUUUUCUUAGACCUCAAAAGACCCAAAUUGUUGGAAACUAUACAUUCCGCUAUUCCCCAAAUCAGUAGAUCGAUAGAAAGACUACAAGCUUGUGAACAAAAUUCACUCGCAGCUGAAGGACAGUUAGAGAGAGCAAUGGGGUGGGCUUGCGGUGGACCUAGUUCUGUUUCAUCUGGAAAUUCUUCAGCCAAGAUGUCUGGUAUUCCUACUGAAUUUCAUGACCAUUUGUUGAGACGCCAGCAGUUGCUUUGGGAUGCAAGAGAGAAGGCAUCAAACAUUGCCAAAAUCUGCAUGUCUCUUCUGGAGUUUGAAGCAUCAAGAGAUGGGAUUUUCCGAAAUGCACAUGAGGCUCUUGAUGGUGAUGCAAGAUUCAGGGGGGACUCUAGGUCAUGGCAGAAAGCUUAUCUGGACUUAGUUGCUCGACUGGAGGUUACUUAUCAAUCUUUCACACGUAAGUGCUUACAUCAUCUUGCUAGACAAACUAGACAAAAAGAAAAAUAUUUCCAUACAUCUUUCGUUGUAAAACAAUUAGAAAGUAAUAAUUGCAUUGCUUCUUGUACUAUUUUAGAUAUUGAACAAGAAUGGAAGCUUGCACAAAGCAGUUUGGAAGCUGCCUCGACUGGCCUAUAUUCUGCCACAAAUGAGCUUUCUAUUGCUUCCGUAAAAGCUAAGUCUGCGUCAGGUUAGAUUUUCUAUCCUAAUAGCCUAAAGUUCUCACUUUCUACCUAUUGCCUUUGCUUUACUACUAUCUCUGCAUUUCUCCAAGAACAAGAGGUUCUCGUACCGUUUUCUUUGUUUUGUCGAUCAUGGUUAGGUACUGUUGUUGCGUAUAACAUAUAUGAUACCAUAAUUAUUAACUUUAAUAAUUACAGGUGAUCUGCAAAGUACUAUUCUCUCAAUGAGAGAUUGCACAUAUGAAGUUAGUGCUGCAUUAUCUUCUUUUAGCCGGGUAUCAAGAGGCCACACAGCUUUGACCACUGAAACUGGUGCAAUGCUCGAAGAGGUAAUCCUAUGAAGGCAUAUCAUAGCAUCAGCUUUUUUUUUACUGUCUGGUUUAUCUUAAUAUGUUGUUGCUAGGAUACUACUGCUUUACUUGAAAAUUUAGCUGUAUCUCUACUUGUAGGAGAUUAGAACCAUAUUCUAUAAGUUAUUCUGCUUAUGAAGUGAUUGCCUACAAUCUAUUUUUCUAGAGAACAUAAAUGCCACUGGCUAUCAAUAUUCUGCAAUUCUUUUUGUUUGACCCCCCCCAACUGUAGUAUCAGAUAUUUGAUGCUUUAUGUGGCUCUCGGGUUUAGUGGUUAGGUCUUGAGUUUGUACCAAUGAUGGUCUUUGGUUCAAGCUGCGCAUUCUUGACCUGGACUUGGGAAUUCCAUUGUUUUUAUACUCGCAAGUGUAAUUAUGGACUUAUGAAUCUGAUUUUCUUUGAAAGUUUCAUUUGUCUGCCCGAAUUUAGGUUGGGUAUGUGAUAUUUUGUUUAAUAAAUUGUAGGUUCUUGCAAUAACAGAGGAUCUGCAUGAUGUUCAUAGUUUGGGAAAGGAGGCAGCCACUUUUCACCGUUCUCUCAUGGAUGAUCUUUUAAAGGUUUUUACAUCUUGCACUUCAGUGCUUAUUUGACAAUUUUGAAAUCAUAGGCCGUUCUCACACGUUUUUGUUUCUAAUCUAUCAUUGUAAAUCACAAAUGUCAUGGCUGAUUGUUUGAAUGUCUGCACAGGCUAAUGCAAUCCUUACUCCACUAGACUCAGCGUUGUCAAAGGAUGUUGCUCUUAUUGCUGAAGCUAUGACCAGGGAAAGCGAGACAAACAUUGAAGUUUCGUCCGUUCAUGGACAAGCUAUAUAUCAAUCAUAUGGUGCGAAAAUUAGAGAAAGUUAUCAGAACCUUAGGCCUUUGGUACCAUCUACUGUAUAUUCGGUGAAGGGUCUAUAUUCAAUGUUAACUAGGCUCGCACAAAUUGCAAGUGUACAUGCACGUAACCUAAACAAAGUAAGCAAUCUAUCAUCAGAUUGAUCAUCUAAGUUAUCUGUGAAUUUUACUUAUUCAUAAUAAGAUAGGCUUAACUUAUGUGUUCCUGUUCAGGCUCUCGAAGAACCAGGAGAGAGUGAGGAAGCAAAAUCACAAGAAAGUGCUUACUCUGGGGCCGACCUCACUGACAAUGACUUUAAACUGGAUGAACUUGGGGAAGAGAACCAUUUGGAAUCUGUCAGCAAGAGCUCACAAGCUCUUUUGAGUAUUUCCGGAUUUUCUCUGGAGGAUAAGGGAUGGAUGUCUUCUCCCGACAGUGUGUAUAGCAGUGGAUCAGAGUCGAACAUAACCUUAGCCGAAGCAAGCAGUCCUGCUAGUCUCAACAAUUCAACCGAAAUGCUAGAGCAAACCCAGAUGAAUGAAGAGGAGUCCAAUGCUUUUAAGUCUUCAACUCCAUCGUCCCAGUCCAAUUGCGAUGACAUCUCAGACUCUGAUCAACAAGUAUCAGCAGAGGCGCUGAUAGAAAGUAAUGAUGAUUGUCCCCGAAAAGCUUCAGUUGAGGAACCAGGUGAAAACACAGAGUUCAAGUUACCAGCAAGCGAUGUAGCUUUAAAAGUUACAACCGAUGUCUCACAGCCUUUGGUCGAGAGUCCAGAGCUCGAAUCUGGAAGAAAAAAAGCUAUGAAGGGAAAAUUUGAAGUUCAAAGUGAUGAGGCUUCUCCUCCAACACAGACACAGACUCGAGUCACAAGAGGUUAGUCCAUCUAUCUAAUUGCCUACCAUCAUCCCAUUUCCUUUCUCUUUCUUUAUCUCUAUGAAACUUAAGGAAAGCACACUGCAAUUCCCAUUUUUCCUAUUGGCUCAAAAAGUAAUCUCACAGUUACAGCAAAUAUAGUGCUAGAAAAUUCAUGUAACUUAUUAGUCUAUAGUAGUCGCGGUACUUAUUUUCCAAGCCUUCGAGUACCACACCCCCACAAACUUGCAAUGAUCCCUAUGCAUACAUGGUUCCUUGCUAAUGUCUAGUUUCGUAUCUUGAUAAUCUAAGGUGGCUUCUUGUAAUGCUACAUGCAGGUAAAAACGCUUAUGCACUGUCAGUUCUCAAGUGCAUGGAGAUGAAAAUAGAUGGUCGAGGCAUUGCUGACAACAGGUACGUGUUGAUAAUUAACUUCCCAAUAAACUCUUAAAUGAAGAAAUGUUAAAGUCACAUCAACAAGUCUUGUAACCAUUUUGUAUAGGGAGGUUAGCAUUCCAGAGCAGGUGGAUUAUCUAAUCAAGCAGGCCACAAGCGUUGAUAAUCUCUGCAACAUGUAUGAAGGUUGGACUCCAUGGAUUUAGACAAAUGAUUGGAAAUCACACAGAAGCUUAACCAACAGUGCGCUACAAGAGGGAGGCCGCCACAUCUGGUAAUUUCAGACACAUUUGGUAUCUCAUGAAGCUGUUGCACUCAACCAGUCAUUGGUGUUAGAAAGCGGGCUCAAGAGUUUGAAACAGGCAUGUCUACAAAAGGAGUUCAAGAUUCAACAUUGUGGCUGUCGUAUCGAGGUAUGACCUUUGGAAACUCAAGAGACAGAUCCAAUUCCAUAGUCCUUCGUAAUCGAGAAUUUUCCGACUCAUCAUCAUCAUCUUACCAUCACUUUCAGUGCGCCCCAAACGCUAAAGGUUUUGUUGCAAUAAUCAGCAGAACAUGGUGAUGAUAAGAGAUGCGUUUUAAGCUUUCCGGGGCGUCUUGGAUGGAGCUCAGAUCAUCUACCAUUGCUCCUAAGCUUUCCGAUGCAGUGGCGCGACGUUGAACCCCAACAAUUGAUAAUUUAGGUUUAACUGCUUUACGAAAGCAGCAGACUCUUUCAACAAUUGGGAAUUAACAUCUCUAUUUUUAUGUCUUCAUAAUAAGUUUAAUUAUCAUUAGCCUUACAAUAACUGUUCAAUAAAACAAGAACUAGGAAACAAAUGGAUUCAAGAAGAAAUGGAUAAUAAGAGUUGAAAAUUCUAUCAAUCCAGCUCGGAUUACAAUUAUAAAUUAUUUGAAGAUGAAGAACUUUGAAUUUGAUUCACCUAACUAUUGCCAAGUGGGGUUCGAAAGAUUAAAAAUAAGAUAAAGACAUUAUUAGGAUUUGCUUGGGCCAGACCUUAUCCAAUUGCAACGAAUAAAGCAAUAGAUAUUAACGACACGUCACUACAGAAAAUAUCAUAAAGAUAUGAAUUUGUCAAAAAGUGGAAAAAUAAAAUCCGACCUGCCGGAAUCGAACCAGCGACCUAAAGAUUAUCUGUUGUAAACAACUACAGUCUUCCGCUCUACCAACUGAGCUAAGGUCGGUUUUUGUAUUGUCUCAACAAUAAAUUAAUUUAUACAAAACAUUAUUUGAAAACGUGGAAAAUUCAAGAUAGCGAAAGAGAUAUUUUUUGACUUUGAUGAUUUGAAACUAUUGUACAUAUCCCAAAAAGACACAAAUCUUCUAUAAGUGGACGGUCCCAAAGUGUGAACUACAUGUCCGCUUUCGUGUCAAGAACACAAUUAUUUGAGAAAACCAAUCAAACAUUACCAUGGUUUUGUAAGUCAAAAAAGACCAAACACCCCCUUCCUUUCAUUGUCUACAUAAAGCUCACAUGCGUCUCUCUCUCUCGCUCAUAAUUAGAUAUUAAGAUCAACAAGAAGAAGAAUGGCAAAAGCUAUGGAGGUUUGGGUGGGAGAGAUGAAGAAGAUGAGUGAGAAGAUAAACACUAGAAACCCAUUGAUGCAAAGGAACAAGACAUCCUCUGUUGUGUCCAAACAACAACAAGGAUCAGAAGAAGAAAGAGGACUUAAACAAAAGACAAGAGAGAAAGAUGAAGCUGCAACUAUGUCUGAGCUCACUGUUUGUCUUCUCAUGGACCGUUUUGUUCCUUGGUGAUCUUUCAAUACCCAACUACUUCUAGAUCAAUCUCCCUAUUUGGUGAUGUGUAUAUAUAUUUAGAACUACAUGUAUAUCUAUAUAUAGAUGUUGUUGCUGUUUGUGCAGAACAUGUUUUUAACUUUUUUUUGUGAAUCUAUGAAAGUAACGUAUGUGAUGAGAACAAUAUUUUAUUUCUUCAAAGUUCAAUCAAUAGUGUUCAAUUAUUAUUAGCCCAGGAAUCAUAUGAAGAUGGAACUUUCUAUUCACUUUGUAAUUACCAACAAUCAUAGGAUUUUCCGAAAAAUGCCGUUUAUUGAUGGAUUGAACCGUUUUUUGUUUACCAUAUCAUAUAUUGUAGUCUGCACUAUUGCGGACGGAAUCAAUAAAUCCGUAGAAAACCAACUACGAACCGUUAUUACAUAGAAUAAAUUGUCCGCCAAAAUUCUGUAUAUUGUCAAACAAAUUCAAAACCAUAGUUAUUAGAGAUUAUAUCUCUCCGGUUUAAUGUUGAAUAUAGUGCGGUUAUCUUCGGUUAUCUAUCAUGUAUAUAAUUGGUUAUCUCUCAUUUAAGCAUUCUAUGUAUCAGUAUCACACUUUACAUUUAAUGAAGGUUUCACGAUUGAUUGUUGACUUGUUGUGUUAAUAGUGCCUCCCUCCGGAAUUUUGUGAAAGUUCUAUCCCAAAAAAAUCCGAACCAAAUCAAUACAAUAAUAAUAAUAGGUUUCUCUCCUGCGUUGACACCUCAGUUUUUUAAGCUCUUCUCAGCUUGACACAUCAUUAAAAUCAUCCUCCAAUGAAAACAUUUCGAUUAAUACAGCUCAUAUUUUCCAGCCAAUAAUAAUUCUCCUCGUUCCACAUCAUUAUCUCUCUUACUUUUUCUUUAUUAUUAAGUGGCUUGCUAUUUAAAUUUUAAAAGAUAUAUAUAUACAGGCCCGAUAGGAAUUAAGGGAUUUGACCCAUUAUAACUGAAUUUUAGUAGAUAAUAGAAACCCAAUUUAAAAGAGACUCAAUAUUUAUUUACAAGAAAAACGUUGGGAUAUGUCGGUUUAAUAAAGUCACAAUCUAAACCGACUUAUAAAUUUUGAAAGCAAGAAAAUUGCCGUCAGUUUACGAACCGACCGAAAUUUUUAUUAGACAUAAUUUUAUUUGUUAUACUUAUUUUUGUCAAAUUUGUUAAGCUUUCUUCUUUGAUGACUUGCAUUUAUCCAUAAAAAAAAAAAUCAUUGCUUCCAAAUCUUCACUGACGAAAGCUUUACGAGAAUCUCCAUCUCCGCUUCCCAUUUCUUUGAAAUCUCUAAUUGGAUUCAAGAGAAGCUUGAGUUAAUUACGAGCUUCAAGAGAAGCUUAGGUUAAUUACGAGCUUCUCCAUCUUCGCUUCCAGAUUCUGGAUCUUUCAAUUCCAUGCUGAGACAGUGUUGAAUCAGAGAGGAUUGAAGUAAUUAGUUGAGUUUUCACCGGAAAAAUGACGGUGAUGUGAUAGUUUCUUACAAAGGCAUGCUUAUAUGAUUAUGUUCUUCCUUAUUGUAGCUUAAUAUUUUGCAUCUUUUUUUUCUGAUAUUUCGGUGUGGCUUUUGAAGAGGCAACGUGUAGCUUAGUGAUUCAAGAAUAUCAUAGUUUAAAGUUAUGUUCUAUAGGUAUUGUAAGACUUAAGCUUAUAUUUUUAUAAAUGGUAUAUAUUUUGAAGUAGUCAUAAAUUUUAUAUUUAUGAUGAUUUGGUUGUUUGGUCCUGCAUUUUUUAUGUAUAAAUAAAUAGUAAAAUUCCUCACUUCUGGAUUUAUCGGCUGCAUCAAUUCUUGAGAUAUCUUAAUCUCAUUUUAGAGAAUAUGAAAUAAAGGAAGAAGAAUAAUAAUAAACCUCUUGGAGAUGAAAGAAAUAUUGAAGUGCAUAGAAACAAUAAUUAGACCAGUCCCAGUAAGGUCAAACAUACUAAAUACCUAGAGAUGUUAAAGCUGGGAUUCCAAGACUAUUUUUUUUAUAAUCUUUUACAUCUUCGAAGGUAAACAAGAUUUUAUAAUCCUUUACUUAACCUAGACUAAAACAAUUGCAGUGUUGCAUAAUUGAUAUAAUUUGAGAUGAGCUAGAAAAAGUAACUUAACGAUGUUUGAAACAUAUUCACCUUGGUAACAAUUAAAGUAAAGUAAAUAAAUUAACAUCCAAUUGAUAUGAGGUAUAUGCUUUACAUAUUUAAAUGGUUUUGUUAGAGUAAGUUCUCUCUAUUAAUUUAGUUACAAAAUUUGCAAUCUUAUUCUUUUUUUAUCGGUAGUUUGCAUCAUAAGAGAACUAUCUCACUGAAAUAUUAAUUUUUUUGAUUAGUGAGUUUAUGAACCACAUCCUUAAAUGAUAAGUCAUAUUAAUAUAUUCACUAUGUUUGGUUUAAUUUUGAUUAGAAACAAUAUGAUUUAGUUAUUACAAAUCAUAUCUAUAUUAAAUAAACAAAAAAUACUUUAAAAAAAUAUCCCGCAACGUAGCGCGGGUUUCGAUCUAGUUUGAAUAAAUGUAUUAGACUAUUUUAGACUAGACGAGUAAAACCAUAACCUAUUAAGUAGUAGUUCACUUGGUUUGAAAUAAUUAUCUUGGAGAACGUGAGUCGUUGUAUUUGAAUUCGAAUUUUCCAUUGAGAGACGACACUUCAACAAAUAUUUUUUGCGCCUAAGGCUCCUAAUUUUCUUGUUAACCAAAAAGAGAGAAAAAUGUGUAAUACUUAUUUUACUCGUGUUUAUAAAUGAGUUAAUUUAUUUUCCUGAUAUGUUUCAAAUGAUGUUAUCCAAAUUCGAUGUGAAAUUGUAGUUUAGCUCUACCACAGUUUUCAAAAAUAUAUACUGAAUCAAGUAAAUAGAACUAACCUUGAUUAAACUACAUGUGGGUGGGAGGAAUAUACAGGAAGCAGGUAUGUAAGAUAUUGCUACUACUAGCUCUUUUCAAGAUUUUUUUUUUUCGAAUCGAAUAUGGGAAUUGGGAAUCGAUCCUUUUAGCGACCAUUCAAGAUCUUCAACCAGCCAUUACAUACAUAGGCCCGGCUCGUUAAUAUGAUGGACCCUGUGCAUUUUCUAAAAUAGUCCUAAUUUAUUUUAUAAAAGACCCUAAAUUCUUGUAAUUUUGAAAAAUGGGCCCUAAAAUAUGACAAAUAUGUGGCUAAAAUUUUGUGUACAAAUGCCCCACUUGCACUUGCCUACAACCGGGCCUAUUACAUACGAGCAGUCCUGCAUACGAGAUGAAUAUACAAUAACUCUAACCAAGGAUGUCAUUGAGACAUUUACCCGAAAAAGGACCAUGUUAGGACAAUCAGUAUUCUUUACUUAAUUACAAUAUGUAUGAUAAGACUUCAAAUAUUGAUAGUUAAGUUCCGCAAAUUAAGCAUAGAAAGAACCAAAGAAUUACAUGCAUCAGAAUUUGGUCAUCGAACCAGAGCCGGCCCUAGCCACAAGCAUGUGAAGCAUCUGCUUGUGGCCUUCAGAAUAUAUAGUAACUCGGCCCCAAUUUACGAAAACUUUAUUAGUUCAGAUGGUAAUAGCUGAGAGAUUUAAUCUCAUUUAAACCCUAGCAUAACGGGUUCGACUCACACUUCCUUCCUUUUAUCUCGUUUGUUAUUUUUUUUUAAAAAAAAAAUUCUUACAGGCCCAAAAAAAACAUGUGGGCUUGUAGCCCCAAAAAUGAUAGCGCCGGCUCUGCAUCUAACCGAACCGAGUAACAAUUAGCUGAGCCGUACUUCAUUACCACAACGAGAGAUACAAUUUUGGAGACAAAGCAUGAUACAAAUAUAAUGGUAAAACAAAGCAUAUUUUAAGAAAUGUGGAUGCAUGCCUACUACUUAUAAUCAACUGUUUGCAUGAGAUCAUAUCAAAUUUGAUGACAAUAACGUUAAUAAAGAUAUGAAAGCUAUUGCUAAUUACAUAUGCGAUGUAUAAAGUUUUAACUGAAAAUGUCGCUGAAGCGAAGGUCGACAAGGCUUUGUUUGUUAAACAUCUGGAAAAAUUUCACAGCUCUAACAUAAUGACGACACAUUUUUUACCAAUGAUUUUUGACAUUCACUUGAGGACGACCGAGUGACCUUAAUCAGAAACUUUUUCAGACCAAAAACAUUUGAUGGAAAAGUUAAAUGAGACAAAUAUUUGUCUCAUAUCCCUAAAAUGGAGAAACCAAGAGGAAUGACAUAACACAUAAGUAACUAACUAGGCUGAUAAAUUUUUGCAGAGUGUUUAGUGUGAGCUACUAGAUUAUCUUAAAACUUUGUUUGCUUAAAACUAAAAAAAGUUAUGUCAAAGUUAUUUCCAGAGAUCCAAAUUUACCUCGGAAACAAAACAAAACAUUUAAAUGUCACAAGAAUUUUUUAUUUUAUUUCUGAGCCUGUUACAAACAAAAAUGGACAAAUUGGUAGUGAAACAAAACUCCUUUACAUUUUCAUCUUUUCUUUGGCUGGUCCUACUCAAGAAAAAUCCUCUGCCGACAUCAAAUAAUCAUAUACUAAAAUAAAUAAAAAUAAAACAAAAAAUAAACCAUAGCUUCUGUCUUCUGCCACUCUGUUUUUUAUUCGAUAUUAAUGUAACUAUUAACUGAUUGGAUUUUGAUCCAUCUCUAAAGUCCACUAUGAACUAGUAUAUGAUUUUUAGCUCAACAAUUUACUUACACAUUUGUUGGUUUUAUUUAUACUCACACAUUUGAUUAUCGAACUAGUAUCUCUUUAUAAUUAAGUAUUUAUGGUAUGUUAUAUUUAUAAAAUUUAAUUUUCAAUGAAUCCAGACAACUUAUUGCUUUUUAUUUUCUGUCUCAUUAUUGGCUACAUAUAAUAAUUCUGGUUAAAACAUAUUCUUAUAAUCUAGUUGGAUUGACGAUCUCUGACUUUAUAAUAAAUAUACCGACAUACCCUAUGUUUUAGAUGCUGAUUUUUCCCAUCUUAAUNNNNNNNNNNNNNNNNNNNNNNNNNNNNNNNNNNNNNNNNNNNNNNNNNNNNNNNNNNNNNNNNNNNNNNNNNNNNNNNNNNNNNNNNNNNNNNNNNNNNNNNNNNNNNNNNNNNNNNNNNNNNNNNNNNNNNNNNNNNNNNNNNNNNNNNNNNNNNNNNNNNNNNNNNNNNNNNNNNNNNNNNNNNNNNNNNNNNNNNNNNNNNNNNNNNNNNNNNNNNNNNNNNNNNNNNNNNNNNNNNNNNNNNNNNNNNNNNNNNNNNNNNNNNNNNNNNNNNNNNNNNNNNNNNNNNNNNNNNNNNNNNNNNNNNNNNNNNNNNNNNNNNNNNNNNNNNNNNNNNNNNNNNNNNNNNNNNNNNNNNNNNNNNNNNNNNNNNNNNNNNNNNNNNNNNNNNNNNNNNNNNNNNNNNNNNNNNNNNNNNNNNNNNNNNNNNNNNNNNNNNNNNNNNNNNNNNNNNNNNNNNNNNNNNNNNNNNNNNNNNNNNNNNNNNNNNNNNNNNNNNNNNNNNNNNNNNNNNNNNNNNNNNNNNNNNNNNNNNNNNNNNNNNNNNNNNNNNNNNNNNNNNNNNNNNNNNNNNNNNNNNNNNNNNNNNNNNNNNNNNNNNNNNNNNNNNNNNNNNNNNNNNNNNNNNNNNNNNNNNNNNNNNNNNNNNNNNNNNNNNNNNNNNNNNNNNNNNNNNNNNNNNNNNNNNNNNNNNNNNNNNNNNNNNNNNNNNNNNNNNNNNNNNNNNNNNNNNNNNNNNNNNNNNNNNNNNNNNNNNNNNNNNNNNNNNNNNNNNNNNNNNNNNNNNNNNNNNNNNNNNNNNNNNNNNNNNNNNNNNNNNNNNNNNNNNNNNNNNNNNNNNNNNNNNNNNNNNNNNNNNNNNNNNNNNNNNNNNNNNNNNNNNNNNNNNNNNNNNNNNNNNNNNNNNNNNNNNNNNNNNNNNNNNNNNNNNNNNNNNNNNNNNNNNNNNNNNNNNNNNNNNNNNNNNNNNNNNNNNNNNNNNNNNNNNNNNNNNNNNAGCGGACAUGCCUGGCAUAAAUCCGAGUGUAAUUUGUCAUGAACUAAACGUAGAUCCAAGCUUCAAACCGGUGAAACAAAAAAGAAGAAAACUCGGAGUGGAGCGAGCCAAAAUAGUAAAUGAUGAAGUAGAUAAACUUUUGAAGAUAGGAUCCAUAAGAGAAGUGCAAUACCCGGAAUGGAUAGCAAACACUGUCGUUGUCAAGAAAAAGAAUGGGAAAGAUAGGGUUUGCAUCGAUUUUACAGACUUGAAUAAAGCAUGUCCCAAAGAUAGUUUCCCGCUCCCGCAUAUAGAUCGACUUGUGGAGUCCACCGCUGGAAAUGAGCUGUUAACGUUCAUGGACGCCUUCUCGGGUUAUAAUCAGAUAAUGAUGAACCCCGAAGAUCAAUAAAAGACGUCAUUUAUCACAGAUAGAGGUAUCUACUGUUACAAGGUAAUGCCUUUUGGUUUGAAAAAUGCAGGAGCAACUUACCAACGGUUGGUGAACAAAAUGUUUCACAAUCACCUCGGGAAGACUAUGGAAGUCUACAUAGAUGAUAUGUUGGUUAAAUCGUUGAAGAAAGAAGAUCAUGUUAAACAUUUGGAGGAAUGUUUCGAUAUUCUCAAUAAAUAUCAAAUGAAGCUGAACCCGGCGAAGUGCACAUUUGGAGUCCCAUCCGGAGAAUUUCUUGGCUAUAUCGUGACAGAAAGAGGGAUUGAAGCCAAUCCAAAUCAAAUUAACGCCUUUCUAAACAUGCCAUCUCCAAGAAACUUCAAAGAAGUACAACGAUUGACUGGGCGGAUUGCGGCUUUGAAUCGUUUUAUCUCGAGGUCAACAGAUAAGUCGUUGCCUUUCUACCAAAUUCUAAAAGGGAACAAAGGAUUCUUUUGGGAUGAGAAGUGUGAAGAAGCUUUUGGGCAGCUUAAGGCAUACUUAACCACUCCGCCUAUACUGUCCAAACCGGAAGUGGACGAAAAACUUUAUUUGUACGUAUCAGUUUCAAACCACGCGGUUAGUGGAGUCUUGGUUCGGGAAGACCGUGGAGAGCAGAAGCCAAUUUACUACGUGAGCAAGUCAAUGACGGAUCCGGAAACCAGGUACACAAUGAUGGAAAAGCUUGCACUCGCGGUGGUAACUUCGACUCGGAAGCUGCGUCCAUAUUUUCAGUCCCAUCCGGUUGAAGUAUUGACUAACCAACCACUCCGAACAAUACUUCAUAGUCCAAGUCAGUCCGGACGUUUGGCGAAAUGGGCGGUGGAAUUAAGCGAGUACGACAUAGAGUUCAAAAGCCGAAUCAGUAUGAAGGCUCAGGUCUUAGCAGACUUCCUGACCGAACUACCAAUACCUGGAACGAUAAAGCAACCGGAGAACCAAAUUUGGAAAUUACACGUAGACGGGUCUUCAACAAAACAAGGAUCUGGAGUGGGAAUCAAGUUGGAAUCUCCAACAUCAGAAAUUCUAAAACAAUCAUUCCGAUUGUUAUUCAAUGCUUCCAACAACGAGGCAGAAUACGAAGCCCUUAUUGCCGGACUUCGACUAGCACAAGGACUUGGAGCUAAGGAAAUAUUGGCUUAUUGCGAUUCGCAAUUAGUAGUUAACCAAUUUAAUGGAGACUAUGAAGCCAGAGAUUCAAGAAUGGAAGCGUACCUCGAAGUGGUGAAGGAUUUAUCUAAAAAAUUUUCGAAAUUCGAAUUAAUCCGCAUACCUCGGGGAGAGAAUACAACUGCGGAUGCACUUGCCGCAUUGGCGUCAACAUCAGAUCCCGAGUUAAAGAGAGUUAUUCCAGUGGAAUGCAUUUCGGAGCGAAGCAUUCAAGACAGCAAAGAGACCCUCGUCAUUACAAGAUCUUGAGCAGCGGCACGCGACCGCGGCAAACCAGAUAUCGAACCGUCUUCAAACAAACGAAGGAAGUCAAAGGGAUCAAAUACAUCUAACAAGGAACCCGUUGUCUUAGCUGAAGAAGUGAUUCCAGAAACGAUGUUAGAAACCGAGCCAUUAAUCGAGGAGAAUAUUCUUGAACCAAACGAACAUCCCGAACCAGAGCCACGGAUAUUUCACAAAGUUGACCAAAUUCCGGCUAAAGACUGGGGGGCUGACUGGAGGGAGCCAAUAAAGCACUACAUCAUGACAGGUGAGCUCCCAAAGAAUAAAUGGCAGGCCAGGAAAAUGAAAGUCGUUAGCGCGAAAUUUUGUCUGUCAAAGGAUGCGUUGUAUAGACGAGGUGUCAGUGACCCUUACCUAUUAUGCAUUUUUGGGCCCGAAGUCGAAAUCGUCAUGAGCGAGGUGCACGAAGGAUUAUGUGGGAGUCAUUCAUCAGGAAGAGCUAUGGCUUUUAAAGUUAAAAGAAUGGGGUAUUUUUGGCCCACUAUGAUCACAGAUUGUGUUAAGUUCGCCCAAAGAUGCAAGCGCUGCCAGCUCCAUGCACCAUUGAUCCAUCAACCGUCGGAAUUAUUCUCCUCCAUUUCCGCCCCAUACCCGUUUAUGAGGUGGUCAAUGGACAUCAUUGGACCAUUGCACAAAUCAACUCGAGGUGUACAGUACCUUUUAGUCCUUACGGACUACUUUUCGAAAUGGAUUGAAGCUGAGGCGUAUGUUGGUAUCAAGGAUUCGGCGGUGAAGACCUUUAUUUGGAAAAACAUUAUAUGUCGACAUGGAGUUCCGUACGAAAUAGUCACUGAUAAUGGACCACAAUUCAUUUCACACGAGUUUGAUGCCUUUUGUGCGGACUGGGGAAUCAAAGUUAGUUAUUCUACUCCACGAUAUCCGCAAGGAAACGGACAAGCUGAAGCCGCGAACAAGACAAUAUUAAGCAAUCUCAAGAAACGCUUAAGUCAUCUAAAGGGAGGAUGGUAUGAAGAACUCCAACCCGUCCUGUGGGCCUAUCGUACAAACCCUAGGCGACCUACAGGAGAAACUCCAUUCUCUUUGGUUUAUGGCAUGGAGGCGGUAGUACCAGCUGAACUCAAUGUGCCCGGACUUCGUCGAACAGAAGCACCGUUAAAUGAGGAAGAAAAUUCAGCAAUGCUUAACGAUUCACUAGAUACCAUAAAUGAAAGGCGUGAUCAAGCUCUAAUUCGGAUCCAGAAUUACCAACAGGCAGCAGCCCGGUAUUAUAAUUCAAAGGUUAAAAGUAGGCCGUUCUUCGUGGGAGAUUACGUAUUAAGGCGCGUCUUUGACAACAAAAAAGAAGAAGGUGCCGGAAAACUCGGUAUUAAUUGGGAAGGACCUUACAUUAUUACCGAGGUGGUUCGAAACGGUGUUUACAGGUUGAAAGAUUUAGAAGACAAUCCAGUCAAGCGACCUUGGAAUGUGAUCAACCUAAAGAAAUUUUAUGUUUAAAGCUACAUGCAUUGUUUAUGUACAUGAACUACGGUGUGGCUUGAUCCCGAGAUGGGUACGUAGGCAGCUCGAAAACGAGUUCAGCUAUUAAUAAAAAUUUGUUUUAUUUCUUUAUUAAAGGAAAAAGUUUCGACUAUGCGAACAAGUGAAGCAAAUAGAAGGUUCGGCUAAGCGAACAUACAAGAAAUUGGAAAUAGAGCGUUUAUUCAAAAGACGGAAUGUCCCUCAUCGUACACUUCGGACUAUGAAAAUCUUGUUGACGAGCAGAACACUUCAACUCCUUGACCAGCAAGAUCGAGGAUUGGCAUCAUGCAGUCCGGAAUUCGAGCAAAAUCUGAAAUUCCAAGCUCAAUCCACUCUCCGGGGUGAGACUCAAGGAUGUGAAGAUCUCUUGACACUGUAGUAAGCCUGCGUUGCAUCCGGUUAAUCCUCUUCCGAAGUCUCCUCUUUUCCGACAUAAGCUUCCGGUGUUGAAGCUCGAGUGCCUCUAUGAACGCCGUCGCUAUUCCUUGGUCUCUGAUUGGGAGAUCCCUGAUCAAAGCACAUGGGGCUCGGAUCUGAGAUCUCAAGAAGCCGCGAAGUGGAGGAGGCUGCCUGCUUGGCUCAUUUGGAACAUCUUCGUUUAUCAUUCCGAUUCUGGAGAAGUCGGGCAUAGAUUCUGAACAGCGAAGAUUGAACUCCAUACCUGCUAAAAUAAAAAGAGUGGUGAGGAGUAAAGGGAAAUUGAAACUAUAAUUUAUAGGAACCCCAUAUCCUUAGCAAGCUGCGGAUUCUAUCCAAAGAAUGGAGUGAUUCGCGGAGAGAUUUAUGCCCUCGAGCAGAUCCUGUAUUAAAAGACGCAUCUCCGAGAUAUUCGAAAAGAAAGGAAAGUUGCGAAUAUUUCCAUAAAUAAAAAGGGGCCGAAGCCCAUUACGAGUUUUAAAAAAAAAAAAGAGUGAAGAAGUUAAAAAACAUUUAUGGAAGAGGCUCAGGAACAGGCUCCUUCAUCGCCGGUUUAGUCUUCGAAGUGGACGCCUUGUUCUUGGCAUCCACUUCGGAACGAUCCCGAACGCGUUUCCGACAGUUGCUGGCCUCCUCCUCCAAAUCGUCUUCCUCUUCACUGUCAGAUGGAACGGCGCAGACAGGGGUGUUCACGGGACCCGGGACUCCUUUAGCGCGGAGAUACAUCCGAAGCAUCUUCGGGAUCUCAGCGACGGAGUCAAAGUUCCGCCACUCCCAUUGAAAGGGAUCACUCUCCAAGGCCCGUAUCUUCCUCUCCACCCGAGCAAUACGAGUCUCGAGUGUUUGCCUUUUAAGGCCCAGCCGUUGCCUCUCUUCACACAAGCAACGGUGCUUGUCGACAACCUAGCGUAAAGAUGAAUGAAUAAGAUAAAACAAAAAGUUUUUAAGUCAAAAACUUUAAAUAUUUACCUUGUCGACAAAGUCGCAAGCCUCUUUCUUCUCCUUUGAAGGAAAGUGAAAUACGGCGUGAGGGAAGAGAACGCCGGCCGGUUCAAAGCCGUCGCCGGACAAGAAGAGUGGGCUGCCGGGAUCGAUGGGGGCUACUGUUUCGUUUUCCAUUCUCGAAAUAUUUCUCAAGUAAGAUUCUAAAAUCAUGUUUAAAUAAAGCUUGGAGGUAGGUAAGCCUUUAUUUAUAAUGAUUUAGGGUUUGUCUUGGAACCAUAGAGCCAUUAAUGGUAGCGUGUCCGAAUGGAUUAAACCAUUUUUGAAAAAUCGAGAAAAGGCAGUUAUUGCAUUAAAAGACGAGCCGUUUUUCUUACUUAUAAGAAGGGAAAGCGCAACUGUCGCAUUAAUUACAAAAGUUUCUAAGGCCCAAGCCCAGUAAGUUUAUCGAGUUGACUAAACCCGAAGUGGGGAACUCGCUUUAAGCCGAGCUCAGUUCUCGCAUCCUAAAGAGAAAGGUCUGAUCAACCUAAAAAUCUCAAAAGCAUAACCACAAGGCCACAAAAGGUUAAAAGCAGACUUUGCAAACCCGCGUAUAAAUUUAACCAAACCCCCUUGGGUCACAACCUAGAAAGGUUUAAAAGCCUCCUCAGGCAAAUAUCUUGUUCAAAAGAAAAUAAUAAAGCCUCCUUAGGCAAAGACAAGUUCGAAAUUAAGUCUUAAAAUUAAAGGGACAAUUCCCAAUUUAAGGUGGACACAGCCACUACGGAGCAGCAGCCACCUCGGAAUCCGGCUCAACAGUCGAAGCUUCAUUCGCCUCCUUGGCAGCCGCUUGGUCAGAUGAAACUCCUGAUCCACUCUCCACGGUACAACCAACCUCCGGAGUGACCUCCGGUACCAUAGGAACUACGGGCGGGACAACAUCUUCCGUCUCACUUGAGCCUAGGAAUAAUAAUUCCAGUCAAUCAAAGGUACAAGGUAAGAAAAGGUAAUAAAUAUCAGGAGCCAAGCAUUACCUGCCCAGUCUAGACCUGAUUCACUUAUAGGAGGCGAUUCAGUGAAGAAUUCCUCGAAGUCCUGAGGGUUGAAGGUCGAAGUAGGAAGAGCUGCCAAGCGACUCCGCUUUUCAGAAAGAUUAGCCGACAGUUCGGUUCUCUCUUGCUCCUCGGAGAAAUCUGUGUCAUGGAUUUGAUCCAGCAGGAUCAGGUUGCUCUCGUGCUCCUUGAUGUCUGAUUCCAAAUCAGACCUAGCCUUCUCAGUCUGCAUGAAUCGGAUGGCCCCUUGGAUCAACUCCAUCCCGCGUCCCUUAACCUCUUUUCUGGCUUUUGAUGCCGACCUCGCCAACUCGGAGUCACGCAAUUUGGCAAUCGCCUUGUACUUCGCGUUAAGCUCGAUGAGUUGGUUGUUCAGGGAAUCAGCGUUUGAUUCGGACUCUUGAAGCCUACCCUGGACACCAGAAAACUCUUCCUGGAGCUUGAAGUUCUGGUCGUACUGACCCUGCAGCUCCCCCUUUAUCUGCGCAAGCUCGGAUGUUAAACUGUCGACCUUGUCCUCCAGAUCGUGCUUGGAGCCGGCAGAAGAACUGAGUUCAGCCUCAAGGGCAGAGAGUUUCUUUUUCCACAUGUCAAUCUCCUUCUCCCGUCCAAUGACCAACCCUUCGUAAUGUUCGAUCAUAUCGUUAAAUUCGCUAUGAGCCUGGCAUUAUACAUGAACCCGGGAUGGCGAGUCAGUUUGCAGAGUGGCGUAGCAAAAAAAAAAAAAAAAAAAAAAAAAAAAAAAAAAAAAAAAAAAAAAAAAACGGAACUAACCCGAGAUGAGUGAUGCGCGUGAAGCAAAUAGCGUUCACGAAUCGCAGGGCGCCAUUUGUCGAAGUCUGGCAAGAUCGAACCCGAUCGGGUCUUGAAGCAUCGGAAGACGCUGCCCUCUUUCUCCAUAGCUGCGAAGAAAGAAGAGUUGUAAAAAUCGAAAUCUUAAUGGAAAUAAAAAAAAAACGUUGAAGACUGUAUGAAUCAACGAACCUGAAAGCGAUUUGACUUGAGGGACAAGAGCAGGUUUUAACCUCGAGGAAGCAUCUCGAGACUCAGAAUCCCCCUUUUUCGGAGACGCACUCCGGGCAGUCUUUCCACUAUCAGGCUGGGAAGAGGAAGACAUAUCAACCGGUCGUGGAGGACCCAUUGGUUCAGGAGGAGGGGAUGAUCGAGGUGAGCGGUCAGUCCGGGCCCUUGACUUUUCCCUCCGCGGGGAAGAAUCACUGCGAGAGGACUUGUCUCUCUUCCAGCGAACCAAGUUCUUAAUUGGUUCGUUACUAAAAUCAUCUCGGGGAGGACGAGGUGAGUCACGGCGAGGAGAUUGAUCCCUCCGAGGAGAACGUGAGUCGCGACGAUCGCGACGAGGAGUUAAUCUGAAGGAAGCGACGGAUCGAGCUCCCUCGGUGCUGCCAUCAUCAACCAGCAAGGUCCUACUGUAGUCCUUCUUGUCUAUAGAAGUCGCGAGAAACUUUUUCUUCUCCUCGCAAGCCUCAGCCAUCGGCUUGGAAAGCAACUUACGCUUGGCCGCAAGGGCCCGAGAUGACAUUCCCUGAGUUGAGGGAGGAGGCGGAAUCUGGUGAAGAUGACCAGGUGGACUCAUCCUGAGUCUGUGGUUAGCUUCUAGGAAUCGUUCAAUAGUGAAAGAAUUCCAAAGGGUUUCCCCUUCAAGAAUUAUUUUGAAGAAUUCGAUGAACUCUUCAGAUGGGAGAGUGGAGGCGACGAAAGCUGCGAAAUGAAACAACGUUGUUAGUCAAUAAAGAUAAAGAAACAACCGGGAAAGAUACGGGCGACCUAAUCACUACCGGGUUUCGCAGACCACUUCGAAGGGAGAAAAUCUGCAAGAUUUCCAAUCGAAGCGGGAGUUUUCUUAAUCAGAAACCAAGGAUGAUGCCAAUUUUCAUCCUUGUUCGGAAGAUGUGAAAUGAUGUUCCUGUUGGCAUUAGGAUAUGCUGAGAAAUACCCCGUUUUCUUCGAUGAACUUCUCACGCUUAGAAGCUCAUUUAGUUCAGUAACUCCGACAACGUAACCGGCCUCCGCCGCGAUUGUUAUAAUUCCAAGAAUAGUACGGAGGAGAUUGGGGGUUAAUUGAGGAAGAGCGAUUUCAAGAGCCGCUAGGUAUAGAACUAGGGCUUCGGGAAGAGGAAAGGUCAGCCCGCAACCCUUGAAAUAAAUCUCGUACACACAGAAGUAACCAUCGCGAUGGUUCUCUGGGGAUUCUGUGGGGGAAGCUAUUUGUGCUUCCGCCAUGAUUUCCGGCGGAAUCCGGCAAAGCUCUCUCAACCGCUCGAGGGAUUGAAGAGUACAAGUGGACCUAUAGUGCGGACCGGCAAUAUCAUCAGAGCAGGUGCACUCAUCAUUGCUAGAACGCCUCUCAUCGAAAGACGGAGACUCGGGUCUAUCAGAAUCGGAAGUCAUUGGGAAGAAGGAAAAAAUUCAAGAUCCGGCGAAGAGGGGUUUUUGUGAACAAAGAGAGAGGUUCCGAUUAAAGUACAAAAGAAAAAGAAGAGAGUAAUGGUGAAAAGAAGUUACCUCAAGCUAAUGAUGAAACCGCCUCAGAAGUUGUGUGGGAAGUGGGAAGGUUUUUUCCCGUUUUAAUAGUAAUUAAUCAAUAUACGGUCAUAAUGAUGACAUAUGUCACUGGGUUAAAAAUGGCUAGUGCCGAAAUUAAAGGAGUGAUGAGAUUUUCGGCGGGAAAUCAGAAAGAUUCUCGAGCGCAAUCUUUGGCCACUUGAGCAUUUAAAGUCCUCCGAAUUGGAAUAGCACUUCGAAGAACUUGGGGGGCUAAUUGUUGGUGUCGGAUCCCGCACCAGAAGUCCGAGACCAACCAAAGAUUGCCACGUAGUCAAGAUAAUGGCCCAUAAGGGAUAAAGCCCAUUGGACCCAUGAGCCGAAGGAACGGUCGAGGUGGUUGUCACCACCUCGAGAAUUCGAAGUGGCUGCACUGAGACACGAGUUCGGUGUGAAAGAAGCGGGCAAGUCGGUUUGGGGACGCUUGGGCCAGAAAGGCGAGGCCCAUGAAGAUCAGAGUCAACUCAAAUUCAAACGUUGAGCAUUAAAGUCAAAGAAUCAAAACGGACACAUUUAAGAGGGAAUAAUUGUACUUAAUUAUUCAUUUUAAUGUCAAUUCUCUAUGUAUAAAUAUAAAGGUCAAUGGCCAUGUAAAAGGAUCUUCCUCUCAAGAAAGAAAUAUUAUAGCAAUUUUUGUAACAAUUCACAAGCUUUUACACAUUCAUUUUUGUCCCUCAAGAAUAAUCUUUCCCACUUAAUAAAAUACUUGAGUGUGUGAAUCCGACAUCCACAGAAACUAUUAAUCCAAUAGGUGUUUCUGAAGAUGAAUGGCGCGUCCCAAAGGUUGUUGAAUCUGCAAAAGUUUUACCACCUGAAACACGAAGACAACCUGGUAGACGAAGAAAACGAAGAUAUGAAUCAGCUGAAGACAAGAUAAAAGCAUCACAACAGUCACAAUUAUCAAAAAAGCAUAAGUGCGGUCGUUGUGGUAAAGAAGGCCAUAAUCGAGUAACAUGUGAUGUAGCAAUAUAAGGUUUGUGAUCGUGAUCUGACUACUAGUUUAAAACUUAAGUAUAGAUUCCUUACUUUUAUAUUUUGUUUUGAUAAUUGUUUUCUUUAUCUUUUUCAGGAUUAUGUUGCAACUGCUCUCAUUGAACGUUUCUAGUUACCACUAUAUGGAUUUUGAACUUCUUUCUCAUUUCAUGAUUAUUUUCGCAUUUUUUAUUUCAGAUUUGAAUUUCCUAGUACUCUAUGUUUGAAUUUUUGUUCUCAUAAUUGGAAUCCCUACUACUCUUAUGUUCGUGGUUUUGCUUUGAGUUUCGGAUUGACUUAUCACAAAAUUAAGUAUAUACAGCAUAAGUUCCAAGACCAAUUUAACAUAAUUUAAAAAGAAACGUAAGAACCAUAGUCUCAACCUACCAAGUAGGAAUUUUCAUUUAGUUUAUUGUUUAUCGAUGAGGGAAGUUGAUAUGUUGUGUUUUUAUCGAUUUUGAGUCUUUUGUUUUCUUUCCUACAUCAUAUGUUUUAUAGAUUCAAAGUGUGUUUUUAGAGUAUUUUAGUCUUUUAUCGAGUCUUUACAGGUUUUAGGAUGCUUUGGAGGAAAACAAGCUGUUUUGGGUUAUAAACACACUUUUGGAGAUGCAGUUUCGUUUAGAAGUGUCAUACGUUUGGUCUCAGAUGGAAUACUUCACACCUUUAGAUCUUUCUGAAUUUUUGUCACAAGCUAGAUGAAGAUGUUAGCUUGAUUUUCCAAGUUUUUUGAAGGAAAUCUAACGGUGCAUUCAAGAGUUAUACCUAAAUUAGUGAAGAUAGGUCAAUCUAGCGAAAGAAUGAGGGUAUCUGAAUUAUGUAAAUAAAAUAGGAAAUAAUUUUUUAAAAAAAGUUGUUUCCAGAACAAUACUGUUAAAAUUUAAAACUAAACCUAAAAGAACAUAAACAAUGCCAAAAGCAACAUCUUCAACAUUAAUUGCCUCGUCAUAAAUCAUACAAAAUAAGUCAUUUCAAAAAUAUGCUAAAUACUACUUUACGAUCUAAUCCAAGUUAUCAAAUGACUUAUUUUGGCACCUGAUGUUCAAAAUAACCAGACACUUUGGCACCUGAUGUUCAAUCUUAUCCUAUACUAUUGGCUGAGGAGUACACUUUAUAAGAUACCCUUAACUAACAUUCUCUUUUGUAAAAAUUUACUUAAAAAUACCAUUAGAUAUAAAAUUUCAAAGAGUAAAUUAAUUCAUCUCAUUAAAGAUAAACAAGUCAAUUUAUACAAUUUAAUUAAUUUAAUUUAAUUAUAAAAACGAAAAAUACAUUAUUAUUAUUAUUUUUAAAUGACCAAUCAAAAUGAAUAUAUAAGAUUUGAUAUCUAACUUACAUUAUUAAUUUGUUAUUAAUCAUUAUAUUUCACCUCUCAUCUUUAUAUGAUUCUAUUAUUGUGAAACAAAUAAAUCAUCAUAUCAUCCAUAUAAUAAUAAAAAAUAGAUUUUUUCCGCAUAUGCCAUGAUUUGAAUUUUUUAAAAAGAAUAUAAAUUAUUCAAUUUAUGAAAAAAAAAAUUAACGAGUCAAAAAUAUAGACUUGGAUGAUAUAUUUCUUUAAACCAAAAAUAAAUUCAACAAAAAUUCUGCCUGAAUAACGGGUCAGAAUUUGAGUAAUUAUAUUCAAUUUCAUAUAUUUUUUAAAAAUAUAUAAUUUUAUAUAGUACGAUAAAAUUUUAAAUAUUUUAAUUUGGAAUAUUUAAAAAUAGCUUUACUUGAUAUUUAAAAACAAAUAUCAUCAAUAUUUAAUAAAUAAAUAAAUUAAAAAUUAUAUAUACACUAAUUUGGUUUUCUUAAAACAAAUAUAUUUAAAAAAUAUUUAUAAUAGACGGUGGGUUAAAUAUAGGGAGACUCACAAAAAUGCCUUUUUUUCAAUACCCCUUUUCAAAACUGCCCCCUUUGGCUGUCCAUUUUUAAAAAUACCCCUUUUAUGUACAAAAUGACUAAAUUACCCUUCUUUUAAUAAAAGAUAUCACAAAUAUAUAAGGAAAUAUAACAAAAUUAGAUCCACAAAAUACAAAAUAUUUUUUGGCGGGAAAAGUGAUCCCGCAAUUUUUCCCGCCAAAACACUUGUAAAUCUUUUAAAACCUUUAAAAUACCUUGUAAAAUUUUCCCGUAAAAUUUUUCCCGCCAAAAAAUUUUCCCGCCAAAAUUUUUUUUUUGCGGGAAAAGUGAUUCCGCAAUUUUUUUGGCGUUAAAUUUUUGGCGGGAAAAAUUUACAAGGUAUUUUAAAGUUUUUUUACAGGGUAUUUAUAAGGUUUUAAAAUGUAUUUUAAAAGGUUUUACAACGUCUUUAUAAGGUAUUUAUAAGAUAUUAUAAGAUUUUACAAGCUAUUUUAUAAGGUUUUACAAGUUAUAAGGUUUUACAAGUUUUUUAUAAGGUUUUACAAGUUAUAAAUACCUUAUAAAACCUUAUAAGUACCUUGUAAAACCUUUUAAAAUACAUUGUAAAACCUUACAAAACACUUGUAAAUACUCCGUAAAACCUUUAAAAUACCUUGUAAAUUUUUCCCGCCAAAAAAAUUGCGGAAUCACUUUUCCCGCAAAAAAAUUUGUUUGGCGGGAAAAAUUUUUACGGGAAAAUUUUACAAGGUAUUUUAAAGGUUUUUACAAGUGUUUUGGCGGGAAAAUUGCGGGAUCACUUUUCCCGCCAAAAAAUAUUUUGUAUUUUGUGGACCUAAUUUUGUUUCAAAUAAGGGUAAAAUGGUCAUUAAAAAUUAACAGAGGGCAAACUUAAAAAUAGACUCUCAAAGGGGGCAUUUUUGAAAAGAGGUAUUGAAAAAUGAGCAUUUUUAACAAUUUCUCUUAAAUAUAAUGUAUUAUAUGAUGGAAUGAGUUAUGAUCCUUAUAACUAUUUGAAUAUUUAUAUUUAAGUUCAUACAAUUAUUUUUAAAAAAUUCUUAAUUUUAUAUUCUACAAUAAAAAAUAAAAAAAUAUUUUAAUUUGGAAAAAUUUAAAAAUAGUUUAAUAUAAUAUUUUAAAGAAUAUAAUAAAUAUUUAAUAAAUCAAAAGAUAAAAGUUAUAAAUACUCUAAUUUCAUUUUUCAAAGCAUAAAUAUUUAAAAUAUUUAUAGCAAGCAGCAUGUUAAAUGUAAUGUAUUAUAUGAUAAAAAGAGUUAUGAUCUUUAUAACCGAAACCAUGUUAAGAUUAUAGGAUGGGAUGAGUUAAAUAAGGUUUGACACCUCUAAAUAUUUAAAAUUUUGAUUCUAUAAGUAUAUAUGAAAAUAAUAAAUGAUGGAUUGUGCACACAAUUUUUUCAUUGAGAUUCUAAAAUAAAAAUAUAGGUACGCACGGGUUGAAUUUAAUCUUAUUAUAUACCAAAAUAUGUUUAUUAUAUACGCAAUUUUUUUCACUUACUACUAGCAUAUAUCAAAUACAUACGUUUUAUUUUUAACCAAAAAACCGUAAAAAUCGAACUGUAACUAAACCGAAUUACAUAUGGUUUCUAUAUGGUUUCACUUUCUACAAAACGAAAAAAAUGAUACUAAACCGAAAAACCGUACCCCACCACUAAUAUUUUCUCAUAAAAAAAAAAAAAAAAAAAAUCCUUAUAUGUCAUUGUAUUAUGUAAAAAAUUAUUAAAAUUGUACUAUAAAACAAAUAAUAAUCCAGCUUUAUAUAAAUAUUUAAAAAUUAAAAUUUCAUCCGUGCUGUUCCAGCACGGGUUAUGAUCUAGUUAUGUUCUAUAAUCAGAUCAAAAUGUAUGGGUUCCUAACUUUCUAAGUAGGUAACAAUAUUUAAAAUAACACUAUUAUAUAUGACACUUAUUUAUGAUUAUUGGAAUGUUAUUCAAUAAAAAUAAGUCAGAUUAAUACAAAAUAAAUUAAUUUCACAUAGUGUUUUUUUUUUAUUAGUAAAGAAAAAACUAACUCAAUUAAAUGCUAAUAAAGUAGAAAAUUAGCCUAAAAUUAACAAUCACCUUAUGACCAUUAAAUGUUUGUUAACUUUAUCUUAAAAUUAAUUAUUUUCACUAUUAUUAACAUAUAUUUUUAAAAAACUUGAGUGUUUUUGCUUUCAUUACAUCAUGAAUAUAUUAAAGUAAAUAAUCUAAAUUAAAUUAUUUAAAUAGAAAUUAUUUAUCGGUAAUUAAUUUAUUUUUUAUAACAAACAUUGUCUCAUACUUAACUUCCUUUACAUCAAGUCACAUGUUAUCAUUUCAUAGGUCCAUUAUUUUUGACUAAAAUAUUUAUUUAAACAUUAAUGACAAAUAAAAUUUCACUUCUAAUUAAGCAUUUACAAAUGUCAAAUUAGUGUAAUUAAAAUUACGUGUCACAUAGAGUUUCAAUCAAUUUUUCUCCGGUUUAAGCCGUCUAUUGUACCAAACCAUAUCAUUCAAACAGUGUUACAGCCUCGACAUUCAAGUGGAUUGGGUUUUGUAUUUAACCCGAACCAAUUCAAUUCAUACAAGUUGCUGGAUCUUGACUUGUUCAGCCCUAACCAUUCAAUCCUCUUCAAUAUUGAUCAUCAUAGAGACUCAUCAAAUGAAUUAGUUCGAAUAGAUGUUUAUACCUAAUUUUUCAAUAUUUUUAUACCUUGUCAUGGCCAUGCAAGAUUUGUGAUGCUCCUUUCAAAAAUUGAGCAAAACGCAACCAACCGAUCAUAUGUCAAACCUCAGGACUGUAUUUCAUUGAAUCAAGAAAUAUUUGCGUAUUAUAUAGCCCAUGUCCUAAUAAUUGUUAUUUUUAUACGAAUUGUGCUUGAGAAUUUCUCUGUUUUAAUUAGUUUUUAUUAACACUAUUACGUAUAUUCUGAGAAAUUACUAUUAUUAUAUUAGUUCUUUAAAUUAAAAUAAAAAUGCUACAUUUUUCUAAUUCGCCUAGAGCCUUAGUAUGCCUGAGCACGACAAUGUGUACAACAAUGUGAUGACCAGGUUCGUAAGAUGUUUAACGAUUGCCUCUAAAUCUUGAUCACGAUGAAGUGUCUCAAAGUCAGAACCCGUAUCACCAUCGGUAAAAUCAAUAUCCUUGGUAGAAAUUGAAUACCGACAAUAAUGUAUCUCAUCUUAUUUUAAUCCUUGGUAGCUUAUGUUUUCUAUUUGCUAUUCUGUCUUCAAAUACAAUUUUGAGCAUAUUGAAAGAGAGUUUAUGUCAAAGGAGAUCAUUGUGAGUGAUAGGUGUCGUCUCUACUCGUAUGAACUUGACCUUGUUGUUAAACAUAAAAGCCUCAACGCAUCUCUCAUUUUGUUUCAGUCUAAUUUAAGAUUUCAAAAACAAAAUUGUUGGCAUAACCAAAAACACAAACACAUCUCUCAUUUAAUUUAAAAACAAUAUACUACUUUCUAAGAACUAUAUCUCUCAAAUUUUAUCUCUAUAUUAAUAUUACGGAAGUACCUUUAAAAAACUAACCUUCCAUCAUAAAUAAAAUUUCGAAGACCAAAUUAAUUAAGUUUAUUAAUUAACAAGUCAAUUAACACAAGAUGCAUUUGUUAUUUUUUUGCGGGUAACGGAUCUUACAAAUGAGUUAUUUCCUAUUUCCUAAUCGAUAUACAUAAUAUUUUUAAGAUUUUCUUAACAAAAUACAGAAUAUUCUCUUAACAACUAUCUCAAUAUUAUGUUAAGAUUCCUUAAACAAUAUAUAGGAUAUUAUCUGUAGUUAUAACUAUAUUAGUUUUUAAUAAUAGUAUUGUACCACACAUAAUUAUAAUUAUAUAUUAAAUAAAACUUAAACCUUGAAUACAAAACUAGAAUUUAUCAUGCACUUAUUAUGAAAUUAAUAAAAUCAAAAACUAUAAAACAACAAAAAUAAGGUAUAAACGUGUUAUUUUCACUAUAAUAACAUCAUUUAUUUUUCAAUAUAAAUUUACAAUUUGUAAUUAAAAAAAUAUCAGCCUUUGUUGUUGCACAUGUAUAUGUCACUGUAAUAUGAAAAAAAAGGCUAAGUAAAUUAAAAAUAUAUAUAUAUAUAAUCAAACUUCUCUUAUUUGUCAUAAGUUUAAUUUGUUAAAAGAGUUUAUAAAAUAUUUGUCGUGUUUUCCUUACUACUCUUAUUUACAUCUAUAUCUUGCCCCAUCCGUGAUUAGACGAGCGUCACGAGCCUAAGAGUUGUGUUCGGGCGGGUCAACCGUUAAAGUAUCGGUCCGAACUAUUCAAUUUGUAAACGAACAAAAGUCAACAUGGUGACACGUGGCGUUCUUUUAUUAGUUAAUAAUAAAUUUUACAACGAUAACCUUUAUUUAUUAAUGGUUAGUGGCUGUCAAAAAAAAAAAAAUUUAUUAAUGGUUAGUUAGCAAAUUUACAACAUUUUUUUUUUUUUUUUUUUUAAAAAAUCAUGUUCUCGAAUUAGAAGAUUUUAAUUAUAAAUUUCCUAGAACUGUUUACGGAAAAAUGCCAAAAAGUUUCACAUGAUAAGGGGUUUGCGAUUAAAUAAAAGAAUAGACACAAAGUUUACAAUUCAAAAGGACCUCACAACAGUUGUUGUAAUAAGUUUCCUAAUUUCGUGGACAUAUUAUAAAUUUAUAAGUAUAAAACGUGGAAGGUUUAUGUAGGCAAAUGGUUUAAGUUAAACCACUAAUUAACCAGACACUUUGGCACCUGAUGUUCAAUCUUCUUCUGCUCAAUAAUCAAAUCAAAAUUAAAAUGUAUGGCUUCCUAACUUUCUAUGUACAGUAUGUGUAGAGGAACAAUAUUUGAAUAAAACUAUUAUAUAAGACACUUAUUUAUGAUUAUUGGAAAUGAAUGGACAAACUUUCUACAGAAAUUGUUAUUCAAUAAAUUUAAAUCAGAUAAAUACAAAAUUAACUAAUUAGUUACACAUAGUUUUCUUUAUUAGUAAAGAAAAAUUUAACUCAAUUUAAUGCUAAUAAAGUAGAAAAUCAACAUAAAAUUAACAAGCACCUCUUCACCAUUAGUUGUUUGUUAACUUUAUCUUAAAAGUAAUUUUUCACUAUUAUUAACAUAUAUUUUAAAAUAACUUGAGUGUUUUUAUUUUAUUUAAAUCAUGAAUAAAUGAUAAAAUAAAUAAUCUAAAUUAAGUCAUUUAAAUAGAACUUUCCAAUGGGAUAAUAUAUUUUCUUUUUAACAAACAUUGUCUAAUACAUACAUUUCCUUUAAAUCAAGUCACAUGUUAUCAUUUCAUUGGUCCAUUGAGAUUUUUUACUAAAAUAUUUAUUUAAACAUUAUGACAUAAAUAAAAUUUCUCUUCUAAUUAAGCAUUUACAAAUGUCUAAUUAGUCUAAAAUUAUGUGAAUAUGACGUUUCACAUAGAGUUUAGUUUAGAGACAAUAACUUGAUAAGUUAGAGUGUAAAAGGGAAAAGUUAUCAACUUUAAGUAAAAGAAGCAAAAGAUGGUAAAAGAAUUAGAUAUUUUCGGAUUUGUUAAAUUUGGAUUUUCCCAUUUUUAUUUCCAGAAAAUAACAAAAGUGAUUAGAAUCAAAAUGGGUUAUUUUUGGAAUUUACUGUUAAUUAAUGCUAAAUUAGCCUUAAUUACUUUACUCUAGAAAAACUAAUUUAUUCACUGAAGUAGAAAGAGAGAAGAAAUUAAAAGAAAACAGAAAAAAUAGGUGAAAAAUAUAAAAGAUGAAGAUUUAUGAUUUCUUCAUUAGUUUUUUUUUUUUUCUUCUAUAAAUUUGCUCAAAGGGUUUUAAUUUAAAGCUUUCACACAUAUCUCUCAAACUCUAUAAGAUACAAAUCUCUUUCUUUCUCUGAGAAUCUAUUCUUUGCAUUCACACUCUUGAGUCAUAUAGAACUCGUCUCUAGCUCAAGCAAGUGAAUGAUUCUUUGUUGCUACAGGAUUCUAUCUCUUGGGUUUCUGAUUUGAUUCAUCUCCGGUGAAAAUGGUACUUGUAAUUUUCUGGGUUUAUCACCGUUUCAAUACCAUUUGAGCGUUUCUUUCGUUUUGUUUUUUACUUUUUUUUGUUGUUGUUUCAAACGGCAAAUGUGUUAACUUUUGUUGGUGCAGAAUUGAAUGAUCUUCUUUUGAGUUUUUCUUCCAAAUUUUGUGUGUUUGCUUCUUCUGGGCUUCAUUUAAUUAUGCUCUGUUGUUUAUACAGAGAUUGAACAAUGGUCUUUAAGGUUUCAUCAUUUGUUGCUUUCAUGGUUAUUAUUAAAUUCUCUUUAUUCAGAAACCAAAGUUUGUGGGGUCUUAGUUCUUGGACUAUUGAAUGCUGUUUGUGUCCUCUCACAUAGUUUGAAGUUUUUAUAUUUCCUAAUGGUAGUAUGUAUUUGAUUUGUUGGUUGUUCUUCAGGCUUGUUCUACAGUUAAAGUUGGCUCAAUUGUUUGGGUGCAAGAUCUGGAGGAGGCAUGGAUAGAUGGUGAAGUUGUUGAGGUUAAUGGAGAAGAUAUAAAGGUCAAAUGUACCUCAGGGAAGACGGUAUGUAUAACCAAAUUUAGAUGUACUUGACUAUGCUUAAGGAUGGAAUCUGUAUAUGUUUGUCCCUGAUAUGUUAAUGGGUUUGUUUCUCAUAACUUUCUGUUGAAUUUUUUUUCAGGUUGUUGUCAAAGGUUCAAACACAUAUCCAAAAGAUAUGGAAGCUCCACCUUCUGGAGUGGACGAUAUGACAACGCUAGCGUAUUUACAUGAACCAGGAGUCCUACAAAAUUUGAAAUCAAGAUAUUAUAUAGACGAAAUAUAUGUGAGCUUCCUUCUGUUCGCUGGUUUUUCUUUUUCUUUUUGCUCUGUAAGAUUGGCCUAAAAAUUGCUUUCUUUUUGCUUACUAGACUUAUACAGGAAAUAUUUUGAUUGCGGUAAACCCAUUUAAACAACUACCGGAUCUUUACAAUGACCAUAUGAUGGCACAAUAUAAAGGAGCCGCGUUGGGAGAAUUGAGUCCCCAUCCGUUUGCAGUUGCAGAUGCAGCUUACAGGUGCUUGCCAUUCAACUUUGAACUCUUGUUCCAUUCAUCAUUGGUUGAUUCCUGUUUGACAUUUUUGGUUUCUUGUUUUCUGUUGGGUCUAGACAAAUGAUUAAUGAGGGAAUUAGUCAAUCAAUCUUGGUAAGUGGUGAAAGUGGAGCAGGGAAGACUGAGACUGCUAAAAUGCUUAUGAAAUAUCUGGCGAAAAUGGGAGGUCGAGCUGUUUCUGACAGAAGGACUGUCGAAGAUCAAGUUUUGGAGGUAACUAAUGGCAAAGAUUUUAUUAUAGACCUUGUGGAUUGUCAAAGACUGGAUUUGUAGAGUUUAGUAAAAGAUCAUUCUUUGACAUGAAUGGUUUAUGUUUUCUUUGUGAGCAGUCCAAUCCUGUUUUAGAAGCAUUUGGAAAUGCAAAAACCGUCAAGAACAACAAUUCAAGGUGAAUGUAACACAGACACACAUGCACACAAACUCACAAUUUUUCAUCACUUAACAUUCAUUGACCAAAUAUUUCAUCACUUUUUCAUUAUCAUGCUGCAGUCGAUUUGGUAAAUUCGUUGAGAUUCAGUUCGAUCAAAGGGGAAAGAUAUCAGGAGCUGCUAUCAGAACGUAUUUGCUAGAGAGAUCACGGGUUUGUCAAGUGUCAGAUCCCGAGAGAAACUAUCACUGUUUUUACAUGCUUUGUGCUGCACCGCCAGAGGUACAUAUGGCUUUUCUUUCUUUUCUAACAUGCCAAGAGUUGUCAGAGAUUCUUCUAUCUGGAAGCUUCAAUAUUUGAUAUAUCCAUCAAUCAUCAGGAUACACUAUUCACGAACAACUAUUUUGAUAAAUAUUAAAAAAAUUCCAUUUAUCUUCAGUCUCUUGUAUCCUUGUUCCCAUUUACUGAAAGUUUGAAAACUGCAUUGAAAUUUGGCAGUGUUUUCUAAGCCCAAAUCUCUGAAAACUAUUGUCCUGAUGCUUCUCAUUUUCCUUUCAUUAUUUGACAGGACAAAAGAAAACUAAAGUUGAACGAUCCAACAGAAUUCCGUUAUCUGAAUCAAUCUCAUUGUAUUAAGUUAGAGGGGGUGGAUGAUUCGAAGGAGUAUACUAAAACCCGAGAAGCAAUGGGCAUUGUUGGGAUAAGUUUAGAGGAGCAGGUAGUUUUCUUACCCUUCUCUUAGUAAAAAUGGUGAUAUUAGUGUAUGAGUGUAUUUGAUAUCACUUUCUUUUCAGGAAGCUAUAUUUCAAGUUGUGGCAGCUAUUCUUCAUCUAGGUAACAUAGAAUUUGCAAUAGGAGAAGAACCAGACUCCUCAGUUCCAACUGAUGAGUCUAAGAAACACCUGAAGAUUGCGGCUGAGCUUUUCAUGUGUGUAACUAACUGAGUUGAAUUUUAAUGUUAAAUGCACCCUUUCUGAUACUUGGUUUAUCGAAUAUGUGACAAUGUGAAAAUAACUCAUUCCUGAUUCCAUGAAUUUCUGCAGGUGUGAUGAGCAGGCACUGGAAGAUUCUCUUUGUAAACGUGUAAUGGUGACACCUGAAGAAACAAUUUCCAGAUGUCUGGAUCCAAAUUCUGCGGCACUCAGCAGAGAUGCCUUGGCAAAAUUUGUCUACUCAAGAUUGUUUGAUUGGUAUAUAUAUAUAGUAUUUCAUAUAAUUUCUUGCAGCUGGAUGAUUCUCUUACUUGUUUCCAAAAGUUACUUUCAAUACUGUUUGCUAACUUUUUUUAUUGCUCUUGUAGGAUCGUAAACAAGAUCAAUAAUUCAAUUGGGCAAGAUCCUGACUCAAAACACAUGAUCGGAGUGCUGGAUAUAUAUGGGUUUGAGAGUUUUAAGACAAACAGGUGCUUAAUCGGUAUGCCUUAUGUUUGGUUAAUGCAAUGAAACCGGUUUAGUGAAAUACGAUGGAACAAAGGCUCACAUGAAACAUCAGGCACAUGCCAUGAAUCUCUUGUUUUGGAAUGGGGUACUAAAGUCACUAUUCUCAUUGGUAUUACUGUAUAUCAAGUAAAUGGAAAAUGGGAGACUUUUGACUUUUGGAAUCCUUUAUUCAUAAGACAGUGUUUGCUUUUGUUAAGAAUAUUUUCAUUCUGAUAUGGAAGAAAGGUGAAAAUUUUCAAGUGCAUGUUGCUUUUGAUGCAUACUAAUGCAUGGUUUUUUUCAGUUUCGAGCAAUUUUGCAUCAAUUUGACAAACGAGAAACUUCAGCAACAUUUUACUAAGGUUUGUCUGAGGCCUGCUCCUUCUUCUGAUAGUGUCUUUUUAUUCAGCCUUACUCCUUUCUUAUCCAUGACACUUUUUCUGGGCAGCACGUCUUGAAAAUGGAACAAGACGAGUACAAGAAAGAAGAAAUUGAGUGGAGCCACAUUAAUUUCCCAGAUAAUCGAGAUGUUUUGGAACUUAUUGAGAAGGUAACCAGUUUCACUACGAUUUACCUGCGCGCUCUUAGUGUAUAGUUUCCAUUUUAAGUCAAACUCGCAUGUUCAUCAUUGUCUUCUUACGUUUCAGAAACGUGGUGGUAUUAUCGCUCUUCUGGACGAGGCUUGGUAAGCCUAAGAGCUUAAAUUGCUAUUAUUCCGCAUAUCUUGUCUCUCCUUUGAUUUGAAGUUGUAUACCUGUAUCUUGCAGCAUGUUCCCAAGAUCAACACAUAAAACAUUUUCUCAGAAGCUGUACGAAACAUUGAAAGAUAACGAGUACUUUAGCAAGCCAAAAUUAUCUCGAACUGACUUCACAAUUUGCCACUAUGCUGGUGAUGUGAGUAAAAUACCUGUUUUAGCAUUUAUAAAAUGCAAUCAUGUCCUGAAAUACGAGUUGUUUAUAUAUAUCCUAAAAAUAUUGAGUUAUCUUUUCAGGUCACUUAUCAGACCGAGCAGUUUCUGGAAAAGAACAAAGAUUAUGUUGUUGCUGAGCAUCAGGCUCUGCUAGGUGCUUCUAUGUGCACUUUUAUUGCAGAUCUAUUUCCUCCUCUAAUGGAAGAUGCUAACAAACAGUCAAAGUUCUCUUCUAUAGCUUCACAAUUUAAGGUGCCGUUAAAUGAGAUAGUUUCUAUGUAAAAAUCGCUCGUUCCAUCACAGGAUUACUAAAUUCACUGUCUUACUUUAUGCAGCAACAAUUGGCAUCAUUGAUUGAAGGUCUUAGUACUACUGAGCCUCACUAUAUUCGUUGCGUGAAGCCCAAUAAUCUCCUGAAGCCUUCUAUCUUUGAGAACCAAAAUAGUCUGCAACAGCUACGUUGUGGGGUGAGAUUUACUUACAUUUUUGGUUUGUCUGUGCACAUUUGCUUGUUAUUAUUCUUUGCGAGUUUAAAAAUACCGUGUAAGCAUAAUUUUAGGGUGUGAUGGAGACAAUCAGGGUUUGUCGUGCUGGAUAUCCUACACGAAAACAUUUUGAUGAAUUCCUGGACAGAUUUGGUAUCCUAGCUCCUUCUACUUUGGAUAAGAGGUUUGCCUCUCUCAAUUCAGAGGUUGAAAGCUUACCCAAUACUGUAUUGAAAUUUCUGACUUUUGGCUUGUUCCUAUUAGUUCUGAUGAGAAAGCAGCGUGCAAGAAACUUCUGGAGACAGUUGGACUCCAAGAAUACCAGGUACUUAUAUUGUACACAUCAUGUUGAAUACUUUUCUGAGCAGCCAAGUUUGGGAAUUUGAUGAAUCCUUUGUUUGAUUUAUCCUGAUUUUAUGUGGAGCUUAAUAUGUUCUUGUUUUCACAGAUUGGAAAGACAAAGGUUUUCCUCAAGGCUGGGCAGAUGGCUGUGUUAGAUGAUCGGAGAACUGAGGUAUUAGGAAGAGCAGCCUGCAUUAUCCAGUGGAAAUUCCGCUCCUACCUGACCCGCCAAAGCUUUAUUAUGCUCCGCAACGCUGCAAUAAAUAUACAGGCUGCGUACAGAGGUAUCUAAAAGUUGUAGAGAAUAUAAGUUAACUUAACCAUUCAGACGAAUAAAUGUGACUGUUUCAUUUAUUAUCUGCUUUGUUAUCCAUCAUUAACAGGUCAAGUUGCUCGAUAUAGAUUUGAGAACUUGCGCAGAGAAGCUGCUGCUUUGAAGAUCCAGAGAGCUUUGCGGAUCCACCUUGAUAGGAAGAGGUCUUACAUUGAAGCUGUUGUUACAGUUCAGUCAGGUUUGCGCGGUAUGGCUGCUCGUGUCGUACUACGAAGGAAGACCAAGGCCACAACUGUGAUUCAGGUGGAGAAAUCUUUUUUUAGUGGAAAAAUUAAUGGAACAAAAAAUGUCGCUUCAUUUGUCUUUUCAUCUUUGAGCUUCGCAGGCUUUUCUCAUUCGUCAAAAUCUCUUCUAGACUCUGAUUUUUAAUUUUUCAUUGCAUAUACCAGAGCCAUUGCCGUAGACUCCAGGCCGAGUUGCACUACAAGAAGCUGAAAAAAGCAGCAAUUACGACACAAAGUGCAUGGAGAGCAAGGCUAGCCCGUAAAGAACUGCGAAAGCUUAAGACGGUGUGCUUUUCUACCUCUCACUUCUGUCUGUAUCUGUUUAUUUUUUACGUUACAUUCUAAGCAUUUCACAUGGAAAUUGUUACACCUGAGAUAAUGUUUGGUCUUUUGAUGAGUUUAAACAAUGGGAUUAGAUGAGUUUACAUGAUGUAACUAGCAGCUGGAAAUUGCCCUUUCCAUUUGAUUGUCUUGAACACAGAGACGGAACAUGCACGCUUUUUCCCAAAAAUGAAAAGCUGCAGCAAUGAUGCCUUCAUAUUUCCUGCAGGCUGCAAGGGAAACUGGAGCCCUUCAAGCUGCCAAGAGUAAGCUUGAGAAGCAAGUGGAAGAACUCACAUGGAGACUGCAGCUAGAGAAACGCAUGAGGGUCAGAUAAAACACAGCUCUUUAUCUUUUUCGGUUUUUCACCCAUCCUCAAACGUUUUCUUUUCUCUUGAUUCUGAUUCAACACAUCCUUCACCUCUUUUGUGGCUUUUACAUUGUAGGUGGACGUGGAAGAAAGUAGAGCCCAAGAAAACGCAGAACUGCAAUUAGCAUUGGAAGAAAUACAACUCCAGUUCGAGGAAACCAAAGUGUCGCUCUUAAAGGAAGUGGAAGCUGCGAAAAAGACUGCAGAAACUGUUCCUGUAGUAAAGGAGGUUCCUGUUGUUGACACCGAGCUAAUGGAGAAACUCACAAGUGAAAACGAAAAACUCAAGGUAGAGAGUUUGCCUAUUAUAUAUUUGUCUUUUGCUUCUUACUAAGGAUUUCAAAGCUGUGGAAAACAAAGAAAUAUUUAAAAUUUCAUUUCUCUUUCAUAUGCAGUCCCUGGUAAGUUCGCUGGAGCAGAAGAUUGAUGAAACAGAGAAAAAAUUUGAGGAGACAAAGAAAAUUAGUGAGGAGAGGCUGAAGAAGGCUUUAGACGCUGAAAACAAAAUUGAUAAUUUGAAGACCGCCAUGCACAAGUAUGCACUAUUGGUCUUUUGACUAUUGAAUUUCCUCAGAGAUAUUAAGGCUUUCUUUAUCCACUGACAGUCAACAUAUGUGCUUUUUCUCCAUUGCAGUCUUGAAGAGAAAUUAAAGGAGGUGAAAUUUGAGAAUAACUUUUUGAAGGAAUCUGUCUUAACCACUCCUGUUAAGACAGCAUCAGGACGAUUCCUUUCUACUCCAUUAAAGGUAGACAUGCCCAGAGAAAUAUUUGGAUGUCUACAUCUGACUCUCUCAAUCAUCCUAAUUAUAAUAUUGCUCUUAUUUUGUGCAGUACUUGUAAAUUAUGUCUUUCCUUUUCUGUCUACUUUUAUUUGAAGUUCUGCUCCAUUUCUUAAUAUAUCUAUAAAAGCCGUCUUUGCAGGGAGCGGAGUUUACAACACCGCCAAGGAUACAAGAAUCAGGAUCUGACACUAAGUCAAGGGGAUCCCAUACUGAUCCUCAACAUGUAUGUUGUUUCGUUAAAUUACUCUUUUAUGUGCCUCUCAUCUUUAGUAUAUCCCCUCUUUGGUUGAAGAGAGAUUUGUUGUUUUUUUCGAAAAGGAGGAUGUCGAUGCCCUUAUCAACUCUGUCACAAAGAAUGUUGGAUUCAGCCAGGGGAAGCCUGUAGCGGCAUUUACCAUCUACAAAUGUCUUCUUCAUUGGAAAUCCUUUGAAGCAGAAAGAACCAAUGUCUUUGAUCGUCUCGUUCAAAUGAUUGGUUCUGCUAUAAAGGUACUAAAAUGAGAUGCUGUCUUGUCUACGUCUGUAUAAAUCUGGUUAUUAUCAGAGUUGAAUGAUUAGUGAUUCUUAUUAUCAGGAUGAAGAUAACGACACAAAUUUGGCAUAUUGGUUAUCUAAUACGUCAACCUUAUUAUUCAUGCUCCAACAAAGUCUGAAAUCUGGUGGAACCGGGGCCACUCCACUUCGACAUUCACCUUCCUUAGUCCGAUGGAUGACCAAGGUAAAUAUACUCUUCUUUUUUUUUUUUUUUUAAUAAUCUUGUGUUGAUGAGUUUCUGCUCCAAAAACUAAACAAUCCUUACCUUAUAUUUUACAGGGUUUCCGUUCUCCAGCGGCUGAAGCUAUACGACCAGUUGAUGCCAAGGAUCCAGCUUUGCAUUUCAAGCAGCAACUUGAAGCAUAUGUUGAAAAGAUUUCUGGAAUCAUUUGGGAUAACCUGAAAAAGGAGUUGAACACUGUCCUUGCUCUCUGCAUCCAGGUGCUAUGAUCCACAAUGCUUCUCUACUUUCAUCUUUCCUUUGUAUGUAUGUGUUGUAAGCUGACAUGAGAGAAUCUUUCUAGGCACCAAAAACAUUUAAGGGGAAUGCGCUAAUAUCUAUAACCACUGCUAAAUACUGGCAAGACAUUAUUGAAGGCCUCGAUGCACUGCUAAGCACACUAAAAGAGAGCUUUGUAUGUGAAACUCGUUUCCACUCACUGCUCUUAUCUUUCUAAAUGUCAAGAAAUUCUUAUAACUUAUUAUUGUUACAGGUUCCUCCGGUUCUUAUCCAAAAGAUAUUCUCUCAGGCUUUCUCACUCAUCAAUGUCCAACUAUGUAACAGGUGAGAAAUUGUUAUUGUCUAUAUGAAAUAUGCAUCUCUAUGAUAAGCAGACUCUAAUCGACUUCGUCUUUCAUAUAUGCAGCCUUGUCACGCGUCCAGAUAACUGUUCAUUUAUCAAUGGAGAAUAUCUAAAAUCUGGUUUAGAAAAGUUAGAGAAAUGGUGCUCCGAAACAAAAGAAGAGGUAUUCCCAAGUACAGUUUCCUUUCUCUUCUUUCUUUAUCGUCAAUUGGGUUUAUACAUAACACAAUAUCUCUUCUGAUAGUAUGCUGGCUCAUCCUGGGACGAACUCAAGCAUACCAGACAAGCUGUUGGAUUCUUGGUAUGUUUGAAAUUAGGAAAUGUCGUUUAAGCAAAUUAACUUAAACUUUACUUGAAUCUAAGUAAGAGUUUGCGUUUCUCACGUAUUUCCCCCUUGCAUUUGCGUCUACAACAGCUCAUCCAUAAGAAAUACAACAUCUCAUACGAUGAGAUUGCAAAUGAUCUGUGUCCAGUAAGUCUCUCUAUCAACCAACUCUUUUAGCGAUAACUUGGUGAACUUUGACAUUGUGAUUAUGCUUACACCAGUUUUCCUUCUCUCAGAACCUUCAAAUACAGCAGCAUUUUAAACUGUGUACUCUGUACAAGGAUGAAAUCUACAACACAAAGAGUGUUUCCCAAGAUGUAAGCUUUCUGAGAAAAUAGUUCUCUUCUCUUGACAUAUAUUCUCUUUAAGAUCAUCUGCUCUAGUAGUUUAAUGCUCGCUCAUCAAUCAAUAGGUAAUUGCAAGCAUGACAGGAGUUAUGACAGACAGCAGCGACUUCUUGUUAAAAGAGGAUUCUAGGUAAGUGUGGCUUUGCAUCUAUCUUUUGCUUCGAUGAUUCAAAGUCAUGAUGAACUUUUUCUUACUAGAAACUAACAAAACCGUUCGUUUUGGCAACUCGCAGCAACAUCAUUUCCUUCUCGAUCGAUGACUUAUGUAGUUCAAUGCAAGAUAAGGACUUUGCCCAAGUGAAACCUGCUGAAGAACUUCUGGAAAAUCCAUCUUUCGUUUUCUUACAAUAGUAAUUCAGAGAAACCAAAACUGCCACCCUUCAAGAACACCAUCCAAAAACAUGAAGAAGAAUCUCAGAGAAAAUAGCUGCGAAGAAAUUUUUAGAUUCGCCGAUUUGUUUAUUUGUUUAUCAAUGUAAUUCUCUAAUCAUCCCAGAGAUUUCAUAAAGAGUAUAUAUGUUGUUUUGCUGGGAGUAAACAAAAAGAGACAAGCUUGGCUAAUUGGUUUGUUCUUGUUGGUGUUGUGCAGUCUUUCUCUCUUUUUUUGUUUAUGUUAUGGUUUGUACAAAAGGAAAAAAAGUUAAUAGAAAAAAAUGCAUAAUUGUUUUUUUUUUUUUUUUUAAUUUGACAUUUUCUGUCUUUAUUUGUUUUCAUACUUCCUACUGCAUUUUUUCAUUCUUCAGAUUUGGAAAUCUCAUCACAUUCACAAAUGUAUGUUCACUCUUUUCACCAAAAAAAAAUGUUUGUUCACUCUAGUCCGACGAUGAGCGGAUGAAUGACCUAAAGUUGGGCCUUAAAUAUGACUAUAAAUGGGCCUUAAGGUAGGCCCAUUUAUAUAAAGGUGAGCCCAACAAUAGUAAAAGCUAGUGUUUGUAUCAGUAGACAAAUGGCUGCUAAUAUCAGGCAAAUGUUGUACCUUUGUCUCAUCUCCUAUUAUCUUCGAUCGGUAAUUUUCUCAUUAGGGUCUCUCUGUUUCUGGGCAAUUUUUCUGAAUCUCCGCCGUUUUGCUUCAAUACAGAUUUCUGGGAUUUCUUCGUUUUCUACCGGUUUUCUUUUUCACUCAGAACCUUAGAAACCCUAAUUUUGAUACAUUAACCUUCCAUCGAUCCGUGUACAUUAAAAAAGUUUGCUUUUUUUUUUUCUUUUCUAUUAUCGAUUCAACGUGUUUGAAGAUGCCUCCAAAGCAACAACCAAAGGCUGAUUUGGCGAAGAAGCAGAAACAAGUGGAAGACAAAACUUUCGGAUUGAAAAACAAGAACAAGAGCAAGAAUGUUCAGAAGUAUGUUCAGAGUCUCAAGCAAUCUGUGCAGCCUAAACCCGAUGCAACUAAAGCUGCAGCUAAGGUACACCCUUGAAUCUUGAAAUGGGUUUUGAGCUUUCUUGAUGGAUUUGAAGUUAGUUCGAUAGUAGAGUUAGAUGUUUUGAAUAUGUCUAAUGAGUGAGUGUGAGAGACAAAUCUUUUUUGAAUAAGUUCUUACAAAAAAAAAUGUUUUUUUUUUGGUGAGGACAGAAAAAGAAAGAGGAAGAGAAAGCGAGAGAACAGGAAUUGAAUGAGUUGUUCAAGGUAGCUAUUAGUCAGCCGAAAGUUCCUGUAGGUAUGUAUGUUGUUGUUGAUACUGUUUCUCUGGUUUGUUCACUUCUGUUUCGAUAGUAUUUAUUGAAUACGGUGUGUGGUUUUUGGCAGGUGUGGAUCCAAAGUCUAUACUGUGUGAGUUUUUCAAGGCCGGGCAGUGUCAAAAGGGAUUCAAGUGCAAAUUUUCUCACGAUUUGAACAUUCAAAGGAAGGGUGAGAAGAUUGAUAUUUACAGCGAUACGCGUGAUGAAGGUAAAAGUGCUUGUGUGGCACAAUGUGUCUUAUAUUUCCACCCCUUUGGUCCUUUGGAUGAUGGACUUAUUUUGCUUUUGUUUAUAUGGCUUUAGAUGGAGAUAUGGAUGAGUGGGAUCAAGAGACCCUUGAAAAGGUUGUGGAAUCAAAGAAAAAUGAAUAUAAUCAGAAUAAGCCAACAGAUAUCGUAAGUUGUUUCUCUUAUUUUCUGUUUCUCAGACUUUUUGUUGUAUACUUGCCGGGACAUGCUGCUUGAGGGCUUCCUGUUUCAUAAACACAUGCUUAUCAGUAGCUUUUCUCUUUUUUAAUGCACUGUGCAAAAGUCUGAACUGGUUUGUGUUCAAAUUUACAGCCUUUAACGUUUAUUAUGUGAACUGAUGCAUUAGUUUUGGUUGCAUUUGCUCGUUUUGUUGUGAUAAAGUUUUAGCUGAUAUGGAUUCACCUUAUGAUGUGCUUCCUUUAGCUAAUAGCACGGUUCAUCUUGGGAGCCAUUAGGGUCUAAGAUGUUAUUUUGCCUCCCGUUGUUCCCUUGUGUUUUUCUGCUCGUUUGGAUCAUGCUCACAUGAACUCAUGCUUUUGGUGAUGAUAGUGCUAAUCAUAAUUUGAAAAUAAUUUUUUCUUAACUAUAUAGUUAGCUAAUUCUAUGCUAAAAGAAGUAAUAUCCCUGCGUGUUAUCUCAAUAUAUCAUCUUACAUAAACCUAUCCUAAACACAUGAAUUAUUUGUCUCGCUGAGUUUAUUGACUUGUAAUUGUUUUUGUGUUUAAUGAUAUAUAAUAGGUUUGCAAGUAUUUUCUGGAUGCCGUGGAAAAGAAACAGUAUGGGUGGUUCUGGUCAUGCCCCAAUGGUGGCAAAGAGUGUCAUUACAGACACGCGCUUCCUCCUGGAUAUGUCCUUAAAUCUCAAAUGAAAGCCCUCUUGGAAGAGGAGUCAUCGAAGAAGCUGGCAGUUGAGGACGAAAUCGAAAACGAGGUUUAAUACCCUUCUGGUUUCCCAAUCCGGUCAUAGCUGCUAGGACCGUGUACUUGAUUUUUGAGACCCAUGUUUUCUUGUUCUAUGUUUCAGCGUGCAAAACUGCAAACCGCAACACAAAUGACUCCUGCACUAUUUAUGGAAUGGAAGAGGAAGAAAAUAGCUGAGAGAGAUGCCGGUUUGGCUGCUUCUCAAGCGGAGAGAGCUAAGAACGACCGUAUGAGGUAAUCCCAUUCAUCAUUCUGUUCCAUACCCAUCCAAUGUGACUCUGUUUUGUCCUUGUAAGCUGAUCCAUUGUGUGGAUUUGUAACCUCAGUGGUCGGGAGCUGUUUCUGUCCAAUGCAAGCUUGUUUGUGGAUGAUGCUGAGGCUUGUGAAGAAUACGAGAGGGAAAGAGAGCAGGAAGAGACUGAACAAAAGGUGAGCUCUCUCUCACUCACCAUUUAAACCAACCAAGUCAUGUUAAUGGAAUCUUGAGUUUUUUGCUUUUCAGGCAAAGAACAAAGAAACGGAGGCAGGGACAAGCAAGAGUAGUGGUGAUGCUGAACAGAGUUCGAAAGAAGUCAAUGAAGAAGAAGAAGAAGAUGAAGACGAUGAUGAUGAUGACCUAGACAUGGAUGAGCUGGAUGAAUUGGAAGCAAGCUUGUCGAAAACAUCGAUCCAGAUUCGUGAGCCAAACAAUGAAGGGUCAUCUUGAGAUGAAAAAUGGUCUAAGAGAAAGAGGUGGAGGAGGAGAGAAAGCACAUGUUUUGUUUUGUGUACUUUCAAUAGAUUGGAUUUUGCAGACACAAAUCCCAAUUUGGGAUGUUGAAUAAUCUCUGUUACUGUUUUAAAGUCUUAAAUGUCUCAUCAAAGAACUAGUAGUAUCUUUUUCUCCUAUCCUCUUCAUCUUUUUUUUGUUGUUGUUUAUGUUACAUGAUAUAUACUGUGUAAAAGUCUAAACUUAUUCGAUGAAAUACUACAAAAAUCUUUUAAAAAAACCUAGGCCUGGACAAAUAACCUAAACCGAAUGUAUCAAAUCAAAACCGAAGCAAAAAGAACCAAGCGAACCGAAAAUUUGAAAAUAUCCGAAUGGAUACUAAAUUCUAUAACCGAAAGAAUUGUAAUCGAAAUCGGUACCGAACCGAAAUAUUUCGGAUAGCCGAAAAUACUCGAGAUACAAUUAUAUUUUCAAAAAUAUUAGUUAUUUAUAGACAAAUAAUCAAAAAUACUUGAAAAUAUAUAUAAGAUAUGUAAAAAUACUCGAAAAUAACCGAAAAAUAUCCGAAAAUAUCCAAAGCAAAAUAACCGAAUGGGUACUAAACUUUUAAACCGAAAGAACCGGAAUCUAACCGAAAUUUCAAAAUACCCAAAUGAAAACUAAAUUUUAGAAUCGAAAGAACCGAAAUCGAAUGGAACCGAACCGAUAACCGAUCGCCGAGGACUAAAAAAAACAUAUUGAGUUUUAUUGGUAUUUAACACUAAAAAUAUCGCUGAUAUAAAAUGGGAACAAAUUCUCAGGGGCUCCUCAAGCUCCAAAUUUUGUCUCAAAUACUCCUCAAUGGUAGAAAGACAAAAUUACCCUUAAUGAGGGUUGAUUUCGGGUGAUAAAGGUUAAAUACAAUUAAAUCGGUAAGUGUUCAACGAAAAACACAAUAGCUCAGUGGUUGCGAGCUCCAUGCGCACGCGCGCGCCCCCAGGGUUCGAAUCCUUUUAUACGGGUUGUAACUGGUACAACUAGGGAAUAUUCGGGUACAACUAAGUUGUGGUACAACUAAGGUCUGGUACAACUAGGUGGUACAACUAAGGUCUGGUACAAUUAGGAGGUGGUACAACUAGGAUACCAGUUGUACCACCUAUACCUAGUAAAGGGGUAGUUAUGUGGAUUAGAGGAGAGUAUGUAGAUUAAUUCUUUGACUCUGAUGAGCAAUUGAGAUUAGUCUCCUAUAAAAUGAGGUAAAAGAGUUUGAGGGCAAAAUAAAAAAAGAAAGCACAUCCUAUUCCAUCGGAAAAUCGCCAUGGUAGCCGCAUCAGUUAACCUCGCAAACAUGACAUGGACGUCGGUAAAUUCAAAUCCAGCAAUCUCUUUCUCCAUGUUAAGCGGAAUCAGAAGCUUGGGCAUGUUACCUUUGAGGAGAUGUCUAAAGCCGACAGUAAUCGGAAUCGCGUCGUGGCCACCACAACGUUGUUCUUCUGUUAGGGCCAUGUCUUCAUUCGGAUCGACAUUGGAGGAGACUGUUAAAACGACUGUGGCAGAGAACCCUGUCGUUGUUUACUCCAAAACCUAUUGCUCGUAGGUUCACACUUGUUUAUAUUAUAAAUCACAAUGCUUUUUUGUUCAAUUAGAGUAAUGGGUUUUGUUUAUAGAUGACCUAGUUUGAUUUCCCGAUAUCAAUAUUGGUACUUUUGCUUAAAUUUGAAAUGGGUUUGUUCUUGUGGUGAAGAUACUCGUCUGAAGUGAAGUCCUUGUUCAAGAGUCUUCAAGUUGAGCCACUGGUUGUUGAAUUGGAUGAACUCGGUAUGCUUACAUCACUGCAGGAAAUGUUUGUUACAAGUACCUACCUAUUGUUUCAACAUUUAUAUACUAGAUGAAGUUGAUACUUGUUUCUUGUUCGUCUUCCGGUUGAUUUGGUUUCUUCAUGUUUCUGGAUUAGAUUGUGAUGGAGGAUUGAUGGUUAGGAAUGUCCCUUGAUUACAUUUUGGAGUUUCUGUUACAAAAAUUAGUUCGAGUAGUUUUGAUUGGACAAAAGAUUGGCUUGUUGAUGAAGAAUCAACGUGGUUAGGGUAGUACAUCUAAUGGCUUAAACCUUAGAUAUUGAAGAUACACUUGCCUUCCUUUGGAUCUUUGACUGUAUCUUUCUGUUUCUUACAAACUGUUAUCCAAUUGCUAUCUUUUUAGUAAUCUUAUCUCGUUUCAAGAUUUGGUGACUUUCCAUAAACAUUUGUUCUUUCUUGUCUUGUUUAGUUUUUCUGGGUAAAUCAUCUCUGCCUUCAUGAUAUUGGUCUGAAACAUUUACAAAUGUUUUGGUCCAGGUUCAGAGGGGCCGCAGCUACAAAAUGUGUUGGAGAAAAUUACUGGACAAUACACUGUUCCUAAUGUUUUCAUCGGUUAGUUCUUUCAUCAUUUGCGUCUGUUACUAACUACACUCUGAUAAUUUUUCUUGAUUCUUUGCCUGAAAACAAAACAUUCUCAAACACAAAACUGCGAUCAAAUCUUAGCCAUUGCAUUUGCUAUGACCAUCACUUAACAAAUCUGAUUUUGAUAUCAUGUUUUUGUUCAUGACUAGGAGGCAAGCACAUUGGUGGCUGCUCAGGUACACUCUCUCUUCCUCUCUUACCUCAACACCCAGAUUUUUCUAUCUCAUUAUGUAAAUGAGAUUUUCUUUGUGUAUAUUGGCACCAAGAUAGUACUCAAGAUCUUGCUCGAUGUCUUGUGAUUUUUCUGGUAACUUGAUCUGCAUAUCAUUAUUGUUGAACAGAUACAUUGCAGCUGUACAAUAAAGGAGAGCUGGAGGCAAUGUUAGCAGAAGCCAAUGGAAAAACCGGUCAGACCUAGAGAUUUUUACUGAUGAAACUGGUUGGUGAUUUCUUCAUGUUUCCUUAUUAAAGUCGAGAUGAUUGGUGUUUGAAUUCACUGUCUAUAUAGAGAUUUUCAAUAAGAAUCAUGUGUUUCUUUCUACGUGGUACGUAAUAAACAGUCAGUGAGUCAGGCCGGGUUCUGUUACUAAACCGGAGUUGCUAAGUUUGAUCAACAGUACUUGCCACUUGGAAUUUGCAAUCGAUUUUCGGUGGCUAAAUGCAUAUUGGAAAUCGAUCUUGAGAUUGUAAAAGAUAGAGAUGAAUUGUUGGUAAACUUUUUGGUACAUACGGUUUUGUUCAAGAUUACAAACAGACUAACUGGUUCAGAGAUAAACCAUGUCUCUCAUUUUACUUCUUCGACCUCGUCCAAUGCGUAGUUGUUGGUCGAUAUAUUCGCGUAAUUCACCUUCGAGAACCGAACCACAACCGGAUAUCGAGUCUUCGGGUCCUGUCAAUUUAAACCGGAGUGUAAGAUGAAACGAAAUCGAAUGUAAACUUGGAAAAUAGAUGCAUUACCUGAUCAACGGCCACAACUGAUCCAACGUUUUUGUACCAGUAGGAUUCUUUCCUUAGAAUCUUGACCUGUAAGUCCCCAAAAUUGUAUACAAAUUUCACAUUAGCCCCAACCCCAUAGCUCUUAAGAUGCCCUAAAAUAGACACAGAACUUAUUGAUGACACCCAAUUUGGCUGAAAUAUUAGUCCAAUCUUCUCUAAUAACAUCUAAUCAAACUUGAAUUUUCUUCUACCACAAGGAUUAUUAUUUCCUUAUAAUGAUCUACAGGGGCCAAAACUUCAUAUAAGUUUCACAUUAACCCCAUAAUUAUAAAAUUAUUCUAAAUAGUCCAAACUUGUCUAUCAAUUAACUCAAAAUUUCGAAGUAGAAACAUGCAUCAUAGAUUUUUUUUUUUUUUUUUUUUUUUUUUUUUUUUUUUUUUGACAGCUCAUGCAUCAUAGAUUAUGUAUGGAUAAGUGAAGAAGAGGUGACCUUGGAUCCUCUCUUUGGGCCAAUCGGAGGAGGUUUAGGUUUCGCGGCAGGAGCUUCCGCCGGAGCAGCGGUGGUGGAAGAACCCUCCGAUGAGGCGGUUGCCGGAGAUGCAUCUUCCGCCGCUCUGACUACUAGCCUCGAACCGAAGCUUCUCAUCGGCAAGAAAGACACAACGGUGGCGCUCUUUGAAGAACCGCCGCCUACUGCAGCCGGGGCGUUGGUCGUCAGAAUAAAUCCGGUAGCUGCUGACGUCAUCGCCAUCUGUGUGUGAUUGUUGGCAGUUGUGUGUGUGAUCCGAAAAGGCUAAGCAAAAAAAAAAAAAAGAGAAAAUGAAGACAAAAAGCUUUAGAUUGUUUGGGGUUAAAACGAAUCGUUUUCACCACUUGUGAUAUGACACGUGUGAUCACAUAUCAGUAUCAUCUGGAUAAUGUGAUGACGUGGUAACCUUUAAAAAUGAAAUACUUAAUUCGAGCAAAGAAUCUAUAAUUAGGGUUAAUUGAUUUUGCCGCCAAAAUUCAUUUCUCUAUCUUCUCCGAUUUCAAAUUCUUAUGAAUCGCCAUGGACGCGUUAUGUGAAAUCUCACCUUCCGCCACGAUUCUGUAGAACGAUAUCAGAUACUCGGUGAUGAGAAGAAGGAAUCAGCGAACGAAAGCGGACGAAACCCUAAAGAAGACCGAUCCACAAAUCGGAUUCAAGUUUACUGAUCCUUGGAGCUCUCGAGCAAAUUCAGGUAAUUUCAAAUCCUCGAUUUCGAUUUCGUGAGUGUGUAUGUUUGAAUUUUGUAUCCUUCUGGUUUAGAUUUGAAACGCAGGAGAAGGGUGAGUUUCGACGAUGUUGAUCAUCGGAGUCCCUUGAACGAAUAUCAGGCCGGAGGAUGUAAGUGUUCGCGUCUAGUUCACCUGAAUAAGCUUAGAUUUUUUAGAAUGUUGAAUUUGAUUGUAAAUCGCCUGGUAUUGGUUUUUUGCAGCGAUUGAUGCCAAGACCUCGGAGUUUGCGUUCUUUAACAAGUUAAAGUCUGGUUUUGGUCACUGCUCUGAAUCCUAUGAUUCUAAACCAUCAAAUAAAGUUCAGAAAAUUCCUAAAAUCUUCGAAUCUAGAGUCAAGCCAGUAGGUAAAAAUCCACAAAGGGUUUUUUUGAGCUUUUUCUUUGUGAUGAUGGUGAUAGUGUCUGCUUGGCUUUCCCCUGGAUUUUCAUCUCUACUGUUUCAUAAACCAGAACAUGCAGGAACGGACUGCGACGAUAAUGAUAGAUCCAAGAGCUAUAGCUUCUCCACACCCAUUCAUAGUGCCAGACGUGGGUCGUCUAUGUCACAUGCCAACUUGACUCAGAGGGAUAGAGGUUGUGCCACAUGAUAUAUAUAUGAUCUCUUGUCUCUCAUCAAGAUGCAUGUGUCAAUUUUGUUUCCAUUACAUGUUUAUACUCUCUUACAGGUAUUUGGGAAGUAGUGAUCCAUAAACAUUCUUCUGAUUUCUUUUUUUUUUUAGGAAGAGAUAAUGGGAAAUCUUCUUCAUCAUUCAGUGGAGAUAAGGACACAGUUCCAAGUGGUAACAACCUGAGAUCUGGAAGUGGAGGUACAUUUUUGAUAUCCUAGUUCUUAGAUUGAUCUACAUUUCAAAGAUGCAAAACAUACUAGUCAAAAAUUAAGAGAGAUAAUUUUGUUGUUUGAAUUAUCAGGAAUCAGUGAAGAGAAAGGAGAUAUAUUCUCUGUGAAGAGAAAGAAACUGCAUCAUUUGGUCAAAGAUACAUGGUUUUCUGAAAUCCCUGAGCUUACCUCAAACGGGUACGAAAUAGUUGUUAAUCUAUCUUAAUCUCAAUACUUGUUUCUAUAAUGCACUCAGAAAAUAAUCAUUUUUCAGGCAUGAUUUAGUUUCUAUACUCCUAACUCGGCUGUUCCCUAGUACGGAGGAGACACAGGUAAGCUUGAUAGAAUCCCUGAGUACUUGUCAAUUGCUUAUCUUGAUCAAUCCUAAGCACUUUUUAUUUCAUCUCAGCCUUCUAGGUUUUCCAAGGAGAGGACGGAUAGAGUUAAAAGAAGAACGUUUGUUGAUUCUCCUGGCUCAAAGUUUCUCAAGAGGUCUUAUGAAAGCUAUACAGAAGUUGACCACAGUCUGCAAAUGGAUAGGGACAGAUUGAUCUCUUGGCAGGGAUGGCUGGAAAAUAACAUUACCCCGAGGCUGCAGUAUCCAACAGGUCAUGUUCAGAGCAGUUUCAUCCCAAGAGAUCCCGAAGAGAUUAGCUUUCCCAUCUUAUAUCCUAAGGAAUCGGUUUAUCAACCUCUACUGUUGAAACAGAAGGCGUGUCUGUCGCUUCCUUUUGAAGAAAAUUUUGACUGUUCUCCCAUAUCUAGCCUCCAUUUUAGAAACUACAAGCCUCUUUCAAUGGAUUAUCACAGAGGAGAAACUGGAUACAGCUCAGAGGACUUAUCACACGAACAUAGAGAGCCUUCAUCGGCAUUACUUCUCGAGUGGAAUACUGAAACCGCAAGCACCAGAAAGACAGAUGAUUUUCCACUUAGUUAUCGCACAAGACUCAUCACGUAUCCAACUGCAUCAUCCUCAUCUUUGACAGAUAAUCCAUGGAACUCUGACUUUUCUUCAUCCCAUGAUUUGGUUACGAAAGAGCUGUACCCUUUACCUCUGCUCUCUCAUUACACUUCAGGCAGUUUCCUCUUACCAGCAACGAACCAUGCCAGCCAUUUUGAGCAUGAUGAACUCGAGAGGUAUAUUAUUGGUGACGAAGACGUGGUUGCUGCAAACCAGAAUCUCCACACAUCUCACCGCACAAAUAGCUCAGAUUGUUUAACAAGAGACUACAUAAACUAUCAUAAUCUUUCAAACUCUCCUGUGGAUCAUUGUCCUUUUAAAGUCCCUGGAUGUGAAAUAGUAUCCUUUCCAUUUUCCAGCAUCAGCAAUUCAAAUAUGUUGGAAGCGUCAAGUCCUAGACAGAGUGAUCGUUUUAAGUCUCAUGACUGGAUCCCCUCUCAGUUUCAGUCACCUCAAGUUUGGAUUGAUUCAUAGAGUGGCUAUGAGCUUAAGGCAGCAAAAGAAGAACUACUUGAACCGAGUUUGAUUGCCACAGGUCAGCAUCACUCUUACUUACUAACACUGAUUUUUGAAGAUUGUGUGGCAUGUCAUAGUUCUGCACUCCUUUAAGUAACACAUUUAUGUUAGAAGACAUAGGAAUCGAUAGUAUCAGAUCUUGUCCGAACUACAUUACUGAUGAAUUGAUUGAAAGAGGUGUAGAUGAACGAUAUGAAUCAAACCAACAUAGACUGAUUAUAUGGUUGAGAUGUUAAAAGAUCUUUAUACCAAAGUUAUUCAUGGGGACAUUAGUAAUUGGUCACCAUUCUUGACAAUUUCUUUGUUUUUGUUCUCUGUUUUUUGAUGAACCUCUUAGACCCUUCUCAACUACACCGAAGUAGUUGGAACUCAUUUUCUUAAAAAAAAAAAUCACUAAGAAGAUUGAGAAAGGUGGUAUUUAAAAAAAUGAAUAAUAGGAGGAAUGUAAUAUGUAAAUGCAGAUAUAUAUGGUUGGUUCUUUAAUAAUUGCUUUUCCCUAUUCAAUUUAAUUUGAUGGUACUUUUAUUUCACAUCAAUUAUCAUUACUCUCCCCAAUAAAUAUUGUAAUUAUGAAUUCUUUUGUGUGUAUGGUCAGCUGAAAAUCUGUAGUGUUUAAAGUUGUGUCCAUUGGAAAUUGAUUUUUAGACUGAACUAAUUAAUAGACAAUAUUACUUGGCUUACACAAUUUGGUUCGACAAAAUUUAUUUUAGUCAUGUAGAUCACAAUGCAUAUUCAAAAACAAGAAGCUUCAGGUUCCUAAACUAAAACUUCUUAAGCCUCUGCAAAAGAAAUUCUCGAGUGCAAUAUGUUUCUUGCUUUGACAAAACUGAUCCGAGACACUUAGAACCAUCUUUAAUGUUUAUGAUUUUGUCGCAACAAUCUUCAAUAUUCAAACUAAGAGAAGAAUAGUAACGCAUUAUCCCAAAAACAAAACAAACUAUAUAGAAAUUAUAAGUACAACAAAAACAGCUAGUUUCUUAACCCAACUUCGUGUGAAUGUACCACCACAUCAUUACCAUCUUCUCGUUUGCUGACAACUUCCUGACCCGAAUCAGUUAAUUUAUAUUUAUUUCUUAUAGUUAUACUCUUAAUUUUCAUAAAUACAAACACCCUAUAACCAAAAAUAACAGUUAGUUUGACCAAGAGGACAUAGAAUUGGGUCAAAAAGUUAGCUCCUACUUAAUGCAACGGAACCGAAAUUCUACGAACCGGUUGAAUAGUUGAAAGUUUGAUGGCCGUUUGGUUAUAAAACCCGGUUCGACGUGAUGUGAAGUCUAACCAGAGAAACGAGAAUCAAAGCGUGGAUAUGUGUCCACGUUGUCUACACUCUAUAUUGCUAUUAUGCUAUAGAAGGUUUUAUAGUUUUUAAUACUUUGGGAUAUAUAUGUUUGGCUGUUAUCUUUGGGAGAAUAGCAAAAAGUUUUCUUAUCGAAAUGUUAAGACUUAAGAGUCUUUAAGGGCAUGACUGGUUUAAACGCAGCGGUUGCAGUUGCGGGAGUUUGCGGAAGCGGGCGGUUGCGGUUGCGGGAGUUUGCGGAAGCGGGCGGUUGCGGUUUCAAGCGUUACCAAGCGUUUUGAACGACUGGUUUAGCGUUUGAAAAUGGAUGCGUUUGCGGAAGUUUUAUGACUGGUAAACCAGCGGGUGCGGUAGCAGUUAAAUAAAAAAAUAAAAAAUAUUACAAAAAAAAAGAAAUAAAAACACCAAUAUAUUAUUAUGAUAAUAUUAGAAAAAUUGAACAUGCUUAAUAAUUAAAACCAUAAAUAAAGUACUAAAUAAUUAUUCAAAAAUAAAGAAAUUUUAUAAUAAGAUAGUACUUUAUGUUGGGUUAACACCAAAAAUUGUAUCAAGUAAUGGGACAAACUGUAAAUAACGUUGAAUUCAAUCAAAAAGCAAAUAAUUUUCUAUUCGAGAAAACAAAUCGAAACAUAUAUUCAAUCAAAAAGAAAAGCAAUAUAUAAUGAAAAUAAAAAAAUAUUCAAAUUGAUUUUCAUCAGUUUGGGUGGAAGACAUUGAGAAAAUAAGGUUUUAGAAUAUUGAUUAGGGUUUCUGAUGAGAACGUGAUACAAAGAUGAAAGAUAUAUAUAAGAUUAAUAUAUUUUAUAAUAAUUAUAAGUAAACGUUUGAAUUUUUUUUUUUUUUUUUUUAAAUCCAACCGCACCGCCCGCAACCGCAAACGCUUGCGGGAAGGAGCUUUUGAAAUUCAGCGAUUUCGAACAGUUUGAAGCGGUACGGAGCGGUUUCUAUGAUUGGUACCAACCGCUAACAACCGCAACCGACCGCUAGCAACCGCUAGGAGGAUGCUAGCGGAAGAACCAAUCAAGCCCUAAGUGUUGUAGAUACAGAGGGAUCCCUAGAUACAGAUAGGAUAUCAGAAAAAAAAAAAAUUGUAGAUAUGACAUGAUAUCUUAUUUUAUGGCAUGUAUAAGCAAUGUUUGUAUGUUAACAUGUAAAUAUUCUGAUGAACCUAUUUGUUUGUAGAUUACAAUAGCCUAACUAGAUAAGUACCACUACUAAUUAGUGAUAAGUACAAUAAGUAGACCACAAGUGACAUUUCUAUUAAAAAAACACAAAUACUUAAUCCGUUAACAUAAUCAUACAUUCUUUCUUUCUUAAGAAAAUCAUCUUUAUAAACGGAAUUAUAAAAAGAAAUAAAUGAUUUUGAGAUCCAACCAAACAUUUCUAAACGGAGUCUAGCAUAUCAACUAUAGAGAACUAAGAUGAGAUCGAUGUGUUUACAAACAUAGUAGGUAUAAAUAAAAAUGACAUGCAAUCAUUAUUUAUAGGUGUGACAAUUAAAUGAAAAAGAUAAAAUUAUCCAAAAUGCUCAAAACUCACUCUUGUCCUUGAACAAAAACAAAAUGAUUGUUUCCUAAAUUUGAUCAUUGGGUGAAAUUACUCUUAUCUUGUAGAAUGCUGGGUUACUAAAUUUCAAAAUAAUUAAAAAAUAUUGCAUCUCAACGUGUUUUUUUUUUUGGGGGGUUACAUUUGGACAAGAGAAAAGACAUUAAGAGAAUAAGUUAGUUGGUCCAUUUAAGAUAUUCCUGGUCCCAAUUAUAUUGGGUACUAUAUGAAAUUACAUAUUAGAGUAGAUUAUCAUUAUUCUUUUAUAUUUGCUCGCGUAUAUAUGAUAAAACAUAUAACAUGCUAUUGUUUUAUCGAUUCUUGGAUCAUUUAUUAGCAAUUGUGAUAUUUAACCUUUAUAUAAUGCCACCUAAAUUUAUUUGUAGCUUGCAAGAAAAAAUAAAAUAUUUCAAUAAUUUUCUUUAUUUUCAUUGUUUAUACGGUUUGAACCAACUACAUUUUUAUUUUAUUUUCUCGUAAAUUAACAAUAAAUUUACGAUAAACAUAUCAAAAUUCUACGUACUAAUAGUAAUUAUGUUCAUCGUAAACACGCAGAGACAUACGUCUCUUUUUUUUUGUUUUGGUGCGAAGAAGACCAUCUAUUGUACAUAACUUUAUCGAUUUAGUGAAAAAAAAGUUUAAUCCAUAAGAAAAAGAAAUAAGAAGACUUAUCAAUUAUAGUAAUGAAACUAGAAUCAAAAUUUUAGUAAAUGCAUCCUCUUCCUAAUUUCGCCCAUUAGUUGAGACAAACCAUAUAAUAUGCAUCCCUGCCAACAAGCUGAUGUACUUCAACCAUAUACUCCUCUGUUUCACAAAGAGUGUUAUUCUAGAGUUUGAUUUUUGUUUCACAAAAAGUGUUAUUCUACAUUUUCAAUGUAACUUUUACACAAAAUUUCUUAAUUUACCCUUACCUUAAAGAUACUUUUUAUUAAAUUUAAAUCAUUAACCACUUAUUAAAUAGGAGCAUAUAUGUAUAAUUCAAUGUUUUUUUAAUUUGUGUGAAAUGUGUCAAAAUGACACUUUUUGUGAAACGGAGGGAAUAUUAUUUAAUUUUGUAUAUCAUUACUAGUUCAUUUAAAAACUUUAUAAUAAUUAAAUGAAGAAGGGUAUUAUCAAUCUGUACCCAUAGAAGACUCAAAAAUUAACUGACACAAAUGAACACUGUUUUGUCAGAUGUUGUGUAAAGGAUUUUACGUUGUUGUCCUCAUUUUUUUUUAAAAAAAUUAUUUAAUUUUUCAGCUUUUCUCUCUCCUUUCCCAUUCUCUGUCGAAGUGUUCAUCAAAAUUGACAUGAACAAAAAUUCUAACAGCCAAAUACAAACAAUUUUCAAUAAAUCGUUCUAAAAUAAAAUUGUAGAACUUGAUGGUGAUGACAACAAAAGAGUAGAAGACGGUGGUGAUGAUGUAGGAGGAAGAGAGGAGACAAACUUGUGUGUUUAAAAGAUGCAUAGUCGAUUUGAUUUUGUGGUGGUUUCUAUUCCGAUUCAGUGACGGCCGCUGCGGUGGUGAUUGUAAGUGGUGCUUAUUCCUAUUUAAACUAUUGGGUUCUUAACGAUGGUGGAGAUGGUAUUUACGACGAUAGUGAUGAUGAUUAUAUUAUCGGUGGUGGUGAGUUUGGGAAAAAAGAAGGUGCUGUGAAUAAAAUCGUGGAUUGAGAUAACGUCAGAGAGGUGCGAGAAGCUAAAGGGAUUUUAUGGUGAUGGCGUCGGUGAAGGUGAGAUGGCUUAAGAGUUUUAUAAUCAUCGCCUUUUCCGUCUAUCUUAUCGGUGAGCAGAUCUACAACAAAACUUGUUAUUUUUUAUUGCUAGUUAUUUUCAUCGUUAUUACGUUAACCUCGUUAUCAAUUAUUGUUGGAUCAAAUGGAGUGGUGAGUUGAGACGAAGAUAGGAACGGAGGAGCUGUGAUGAUUGAAGAUUUGACAGUGGCGGCCAAAAAACUUAAUUAUGUUGUUUUCUGGGUUUGCUUCGUCGGUGACCAGAACUAGAGUAACACUUGUUACUUUUAUUGUUAUCAUGUUAACAUCGUUAUACACGUUAAUAUAAAUAUUAUCUAUAUAUCUACUAUCUUACCAUAAAUAUUUUCUAUGAUAAUAUAAACUUUAUCAUAUCAAUUAUAAACUUAUCGAGAUACAAUAUGUUUUAACACGAUAUAUUUAUAAACUUAUUGAUAUAUAUUUUGUUAUCCUGUUAAACCAAUAGAUAAUCAUUUAACUUAUCACGAUAUUAUAUUAUUUAUCAGGUAAUAAAAUAGUUAUCUACACAAAUCACAAAUGUUUUACAAUAUCCUACGAUGAACAGUAUUAUCAACUUCGAAAUGAACAGUGUCAUCGACGUCUAAGUGAACAGUAUCGAUGAGAAACUGAAAUAAUAAAACAAUUUUUAAUUCAAUGACACUUUUGUAAUAAAUCAACAGAAGAAGGAUAUUUUUGGUUUGUAGUUUCUUUAUCUUUCAUAAUUACUUAAUUUUGAAAUUAUCAUGUUCUGAAAUCUAAUUUUUUGGUCAUCCGUGUAUAAAUAUUUAAUUCACCCGAAGAAGAAUCGCUUUUUUUUUUUUUAUUUAACAAUUAUUUUUUAUAUAUUAAAAUUAGAGAGAAUUGAAGCCAUGGAAAAAGGUGAUUUGCAGAUUUUCCCUCUAAAUAAUAAAAAAGCCCUUUUGGUAUCAUCCCCUGAAAAGCUCUUCCUGUUAGAUUCACACAUAAAUCUUCUCCGGCCAAGCUAUUUCUCCGGCGGCGUCAGAGCUUGACAAUGUUUCUAAAUCAAGCUACCUACUAACAGAGUAAGAGGUCUCUCUCUCCCUCUCCCUCUCUUUCUCUUUCUCUUUCUCUUUCUCAGUGAGUGAAGCAGAAAUUGUCUGACUUAUAGCUCCGAUCUCACUUUCCGAUGCUUUUUUCCGUUUCCCUCGUUGCCGGAAUCUGAUCUCUGUUCCCUUUAUCUGCACAUUAGCUUCUUUGCUUUGUUACAUCGAUUUAGCAAGAUUCGUUACCCAUUUCACGAGCUCAUUGUUCAAUUUCAUGAUUUUCGAAAUCUGGUAAAAUGCAGAUUCUGUGAGUAACUAGGAAGAGUCGAUCUGAUGCUGACGCUGAAUUGAGAAGCUUUCACUGAGUUUAUAGCCUGAUUUGAGGACAAGUACUGAAUCUAUGAAAAAGCUCAUUGCUCGAGAAAUGUCGAACGAGGUUGUUGAAGAUAGACAGAGUUCUAAUAAUGUAGUUGCUAAACUAAUGGGUCUAGAGACUUCUACACCAAGGAGCAGAUCCAGAAGCUCUUCACGCUGUUCGUUGACUUGUGUGGGUAGUAGUAAUGAAGCUGGUAAGUUUCAUAAGCAUCAUAGAGAAGAUGAAAUCUGGGAUCAGAAGAAGGCGAGGAAAGGAAAGUGUGAUGGAAGUAUGAGUGAUAAACACAUGGAUCUUGUUCGUCGAAAGUUCAUGGAAGUGACAGAUGACAAGCUUCACAGGUCCAGUGAGUUCCAAGAAGCACUCCAAGUUUUAAGUUCUAACAAAGAUUUAUUCGUGAAGUUUCUCCAGGAAUCAAAUUCUUUGUUAUCUCAGCAUCUUUCUGACUUUCAUCAUCCUGUUCUUCCUCAUCCAGAGGCUAAGCGCAUUACGGUAUUGAGACCUUCAAAGGCUGUUGGUGUUCAAAAAUGUUUGGUUGAAGAUAGUAAGAAACCAGUUUCUUUGAAUCAGGAAACUGGAUGGAUCGAUGAUGUGCAGCCAACUCGAAUAGUUGUCUUCAAGCCUAGUCCUGGGAAGUCUCUAGAUAUAAAGGCUAUUGCUUCAUCUCCUCCUUAUUUUGAUGAGGCUGGAGAUGCUGAGACUAGACAAGUGGCAAAGGAAAUUACACGUCAAAUACGUGAAACUUUUGAGGGUCACUGCAGAAACGAGACCAUUUCUUCUUCUUCUUCUUCAGUCUUGUCCAAUGGCUAUAUCGAUGAUGAUUGCUCGUUAAACAGGUCAAAUUACGAAUAUCCAGUGGGAAACAUUACCAACUCUGAGAUCAUGUCAACAUCAUCUAGGCAUUCAUGGGACUGUGCAAAUAGGUUUGAGAGUCCUUUUUCUUCCUCUUCGUUCAGCCGAGUCUCGUUUUCUCCAGACUCAUCUGUCUAUAGAGAGGCAAAGAAACGGCUUUCUGAGAGAUGGGCAAUGAUGUCACUAAACGAAGACACACAACAACCAAAAAACAUCCCAAAGGUCUCAACGGCCUUAGGCGAAGUGCUUGCACUUUCAGAGACGAAAGUACCUACCGGAUCCAGUGAAGAGAGCAACAAAGUGAAGCAAGAAACGAGACGAUCAAUCUCAUGCAUAGGCAGUGGUCUAGAUCAAGUAGAAAGCACAAGUGAUUCUCUGAAUACCCUUGAAAGGUCAAAAUCAGUCCCUGAGAUUAGGCUCAAUGGUGGAACUUCAAAAGCACAAGCUCCCAAAGAGCUUACUGAGUCAAGAAGCUUAAAGUCAUCAUGGAAAGUUUCAAGCUUGUUCUUCUUCCGGAAUAAAAAAUCAUACAAGGACAAGACAGAUGUACCUUCUCAGUUGGCUAUACACCGUGAUGCAUUUCAACAAAAAAAUAUUUUUACAAGCGAGGUAAAUCACAAUCCAAAACUGGUUGUGAAUUUCAGAAGAUGCUCGGAAAUCAUUCUUGGUUUAAUCAUUGGCCAUUGAUUUGUUUGCAGGGUGAUGUGGAAAAUGAAAACCAGGACCAGCCGAGUCCAGUUUCGGUUUUACAGCCGGCUUUUGAAGAGGAAUGUUCUGUGUCAGCAAAGCCAAGAACCCCUCAAGGUUAAUUUUAUCUCUCUGGUGUUAAACAUUCUAAGAGUUUUAUCAAUUGUAACACUUUGGUAUUGUCACAUCCCACAGGAGAUAAAAUGUCUUUGAAAUCUAAUCUGAUUGACAAAUCGCCUCCUAUCGGAUCAAUCGCUCGGGUUUUCUCAUGGGAGGAUGAGUCAUACACAAACACAACUAAACCCGCAAUGGGAAUCGAGGAAGAUGAAAACUGGUAUGGCUUCGUCAAAACGCUCUUAACAGCGUCUGGUUUCAGCGGUAGUGACUCGCUUAUGACCCGUUGGCACUCACCGGAGAGCCCACUAGACCCAUCAUUAAGAGACAAAUUUGCCAACAAGGAACUCAUCAAACGUAGGAAACAGAGAUCAACCUGCAAACUCGUUUUUGACUGUGUUAAUGCCAUCAUAACAGAGACAACAUCAACACUUGCGCACACCGGCUUGACCAAGGGAUUUAACAUGGUGGAACAUGUUUGGACAGCGUUACAGGACUCGGCGGUGAGUGACGAGGUUGUCGGAAAAAUGUGGAGUUAUGGUCUACAAGUCGAAACAAACAACUUGGGGAUUGAAAUUGAAGUGAUAUUGCUGCAAGAGCUAGUUGAAGAAGCAGUCUUUGAUCUUACUCGAUGAAACAACGUAUAUACAUUAAUAUAAGCUUUUGUAAUAAUGAAACAUAUAUAGAUGAUAUAAUCUAAGAAAGAGUUUAACCUAUAUUAUAUAUUUACUUUAAUCUGUUUCUGAUGUCCAAUUCAAAUUUUAGUUUUGCUUUUUUUCAUCAUAAAUUGAAUCGAAACUUUCUAGUGGAAAUGCUAAUUUCAAACUGUUCACAGGAUUGUUUAUACAAGCAAACACACAAACGAAGAUGCUUAUGUGUAAACAUAACACGGCACCGUUUUGAGUAAAUGUUUAAUGUUAUGCACACUCGAGAAGUUGCAAAGAGCAAACAUAGAGAAAGAGAGCUUCAGAGAGAGACCAUAUUGACACAUGCAGUUUUAGAAACAUGUUAAUUUGGCUUCAUCAACCUUUCGGGUUCACCGGUGGACUCUGGUUCAAACCAUACUGCAAAAAGAAAAUUUCCAAACGAAACCAUUGUAAUCAUCAACAGAUUCAUAAAGCAUUAUCUGAUGCGUAUAGUAUCAAGAAAAUGAAAAAAAAAAAUGAUCAGCCUUACCCUUUCUCUGAUUCGGGAGCUCCAGUUUUCAAUUUUGCUUGACCCAGCAGGCGCUUGGUUUCCUUGCGAACCAAGAAGUGGGUCCCAAGUUCUACUCCUCGGGUUCUCAUAAUCUUCCUCUUCGUCAAGUUCGGGUUUUGGGGUUGAAACCAUAGCUCUGAGAACCAUGGCUAGUAGCAACGACAGUAGCUGAAAAAACACAAGAAAGAUUCAUGUUUUGUCCUUACACUCUCUAAAAACAAUAUACAUCAUGAAAAUGCUCAAAGUUAAAAAGGACUGAUUUGAGUUACCUGGAUGGCUACCACAGCAAUCCCGACCCAUUUGCAUAUAUCGAUGUUUUCUUCAAUGAAGGCCCUAAGACUACUGAGUUCUCCAGUUGGAUCAUACGGAAGAUCCUACAGAAGACAGAUACUAAACAGUUAGAAACAAGUCAAGGACACAAGAAACAAGAUUAGAACAUAAGAAAGAUCUCACCUUUUCCCAGUGACGGUCAAUAGCAAUGUAUGCAACAAGUGCAGCUUCGAGUAGAAUGAGCAGAGUUUUGAGGAUAGAGUACUUUAAAACUGUCAAGGAAAAAACCGCAACAAACCCAUUCCAAUAACUCUCAUGCAGGUUAAUAAACUCAAUCUAUUAACAGCGAUAGGAAAAAAGUGAAGUAAGGUCUCUGUAUAAAGGAUACAAAACACAAGCAACAGCCAUUGAUUGCUUCAGCUGCUAUGAAACCAAUGAAGGUAACAAUGCAGACCAAUAUACCAACCGCCAUGAAAGAGUAGAUGAACCUGCAUAAACAAGCAUGACAAAAACCGAAUCAACAAACAGAUGAGCUGAAAACUUGCAAACAUGAUAAAUCUAGCAAAAGUUCUUUCAGCUGAAUUGAGACCAGUCAUCUUCAAGCAUUUAGAGCUUGCCCUUUUCUUUAGCUACUUCAUUAAUAAUGGAAAAGAAGUCAAAGACCAAGCUUGAGGCCUUGACCUGAACUAACAAAUUGAAGAACUACAAGUAAUAACCCAAGCUUGAGCUCCAUUUAUAGAAACUAGAUCCAGCUGAAUUACCACGAAUCUAACUAAAACCCUAAAAUGUAGAAACUUUUUUAAGUAGAACCCUAAACUUGGAAACUAAGUGAACUAACAUGAAUCUCUAAAAUCGGAAUCUUUACAAGAGAUAAAACAGUACCAUGGAGCAGGAAGAUCCAACGAGCGUAGAUUAAACCCAUGAUCACCACCAUUAGACCCGAGAACGAUACUCGCCAUGAACUCAAUAGGAUUCUUCAAGGGCUCAGAUAUACUAGUAGCGAUCUCGGUUCCGGAGCUUGAUGAAGCUGCCGGAGGUGGGUCGACGGGAAGGUGACGGUUGUAUUCAUGGAGCAUCCAAAUGGAGUAGAUAAUGAUGGAAACACCGAUGAAAGCUUGAACACAAUUGAGGAUCUUGAGAGUUGAAGCAAACGAAACAUGGCAGCAAUUACGCCGCAUUUUUGCUCAGAAUUUUUCCAAAAGAGAAAAAGCUUGAAUUUUUGGGGAUAAGGAGAAAAUCUGAGAAGCUUUCAACGAUGGUCGUCUUGUCUCUAAAGGUGUCGCCGUUGUUCGAUAAUUAUUGUUUUUGUUUUCUUAUAAAAUAUCUCAUUAGUCGACGCUUGGAAGACAUUAUUGUGAUUCUAUUUUGUAAUUUGUUUUGCUCUUAUCUUGUUGAUGAUGCUUAUUGGAAGUGUUUUUAAAAUUUUUGGAAAUUUUUAAUUGCUCCUCACACUUAUGUUUUUGGCUGCAUGUGUGUAAUGAUUUACAUGAUCGUGAUAUUUCUUAGACUUUUUAUUAUAAAUAACUAGGUUAUUAGUUUGUUGUUAUUAAUUGAUUUAAUAUUUUUUUGGUUUUAGUAUUUGUUUAAUUAGCUAUACAUUAAAAUUACUAAUACAAAAAUACUAUAAUGUUUAUUAUUUAUUCUAUUUAACAUAAAUGUUCUUAUUUAUAUUUUUAGUAUCCUUUACGUUAUUUAAAAUUUUGUUUUAAUAAGAAAAAAAGUUUAUAGGGUAAAAUUUAGUAUAAAAUAUAUUACAAAUAUGAUGUGUCAUUAUCUUUUACUUUUUUUAUACUAUUAAAGAUUUUGCUAUUAGGAAAAUAAUUAUAAUAUUUUGACAAUGGCCUCAUUCAUCCUAAAAGAUCAUCAGAGCAUCUCUUAUACAAAAAUGGCUCAUCCCAACACAAUGAGAAACUUCGCCAUCAAGUUUCAGCUACAUAUGAACAAAACGUUACCAUAAAAAGGUCAUGUCAUUACUGUUUUCUCACUUUCUUUCCAUAUUUGAUAAUCCAAGUUUGUCUUAUGGAGUUAUGAUGUCAACCGCGUUUCUCUCUUUCUCUUUCAUUUUUUUACUUGGAGAUCAACCUUCUUUGUUACCUAAUUAUGACGCCAAUUGUUCAUAAUGCAAGGAAACUGAUCUCAUCAAUUAAAUUUAUUACCUUUCUUACGUCUUGCUAAUUCAUGUUUUUGAUUGAAAUUGGUAUUCUAAGAAGAACAACUUUUUCGAUAAUUUCAACACAAGUCUUCAUAUCUUUUUUCUGGUUAGAUAUCAUCCAACUGAAGAAAUAUACAACCUAAGUUUCAAAAAAGAACCACGCAAUAAGUUACCUCAUUAGCCAUAGACAUCUUUCACAAUAUUGGCUUAGACACUUUUCCCAAGAGAGCUUCCUUGCACGGUCUUAGAUGUAUGUUUCUCAACUCUCACCGCAACCACCACUUUCCUAGAUUUAUUGUUGUAUGGGGACUAACUUUGACGACUUUCUCAUUUUGGUAUACGCAAAUUCACUAUUGUUCUUUGUCUAUCUUUACUAUAUUGGUUAGUGUAGCUCUUCUAAAUAUAAGAUUCUAUACAGAAGUGUACUCAUAAGCUUAUCUAUACUUUAUUUUUAACAAUUCAUAUUUUUCUCAUUAUUUUCAAUGUGUAUAUGAAUUUCCGUCUUCACAAUUUUUUCCAGAAAGCUAUCACUCUUUCUAUCUUUUUGCAAGCACUCAUUUCAUGUGUUUCAUUCUCUAUUUCAUUAGCACAUCUACCAUUCACAAACUUAGCCGGACUCUUUCGAUACUACUCUCACCAAAACAAUAAAAACUACUCUCAGUCUCAAAUGACAAACAAUCUAACAAACAGAAGUAUAAUAUACAUAUUAGGUGGUGGUGCAGAUAUCCAAGUAACAAAGUUGUUGAUUUCUAUGGGAUAUAGCAUCUCGGAAGGAGGAAAGUUAGAUCCAUUAGAUGUGGAUGUAAUGCCGAGUGAAUCACACACACAAAAAAAAAACGAUCGUAACAAUCGAUGAUGAGAGUAAAAAAAAUAUAUAACUUGUGAGUAUAUUAAAUUAUGAGUAUGAGAGAAAAAAAAAAUAGAAGUCCAAAUGCUACAAGUGGCAAAAGCGAUAAAAAAAAAUUUAAUAUGCGCCAUUAAAAGUAUUAGACUGUGGGCUUCUAACUCAAAACCAAUUGGCUAUGAGUGGAGAGACUCAUAUCUUAUAUAUACCACUUAAGAUCCUAUUCAACUUCCAGUGUGGGAUAUUACUAUCCCUAAUACGUCCGCUCGAGAUGAUGGCUCUUUUAGCCAUUGAUCUCGAUAUGUUCGGGCAUUGAUCGGCGGACCAAUUAUUUGGUUGGGCCGAUGUAGAUUGGGUUGAGCAUGUGCGGAUCGGGCUCUGAUACCAUAUUAGACUUUGGGCUUCGAACUCAAAACCAAUUGGCUAUGAGUGGAGAGGUCCAUAUUAAAAUUCUACUCAACUUCCAGUGUGGGCUAUUGUUAUCCCUAAUAAAGAGUAGUAAGCAACCCUACCUGUUACCGACGAUUCAAAAUAUAUAACUUAAAAAUUAUGAUAGAAUAGGAUGCAUCCGGUUAUUAUUUAUAAUGAAAAGAUGUAGGGUUAAUCGAAUAUAGUUUUUGUUAAUACUCUUUUUUUUUGGUUGGAAAAUAAGAAACUUAGAAAAAUAAGAAUAUAAGUUUAAUGUAUUCCACAUAUUGUUUUUCAAAAAUUUACAUUUAUUUUUUCUAUAUAUUGCUUUUAUUUACUUCCAUAUGUUGUUUUUUAAACAUUUACAUUUCUAUUAUUUUCAUAUAUAUAUAUAUAUAUAUAUAUAUAUUUCUUUUUCAUAAAUAUUUUACUGUAUAAAAUAUUAUAAUUUAAUAAUGUUAAUUAACGAUGAGUAAUUGCGAUUGGUCGUUUAGAAAAUAUGAAAAUAUAAUCAAAUUUGUGAGACUAAUAUAAAUUAUUUUAUGUAUUAAAAUUACAAAAUUUAUAUACAUCUUGCUUCAAUAUAUUGUCAUAUUUCUUCCUAUCUAUAAAUACUUUUAGAAUAAAAAUCAUAAAUUUUUAAAAUAUCAUUCAAUGAGAUAGCUAUUGUGAUUAAAUGGCUAUUGUUAUUGAAAAUGAAGUUACUAAUAAAUGUAGUGAGACUAAAAAUAAAUUCUGUAUUUUCGUUUAAAAUUGUAUAAACUUAAAAAAAUAUAUAAUUUAUAUUUUGAUAAUUUUUAUAUUAUGUAUUUUGUCAUGACAAAAUAUUUAGAAAAUUUUCCAUAUUUUUGAAUAUUUCUUUUAUUUCCAUAUGUUGCUUUUUGCAUUUUACAAAAAUUUUUUAAAAAAAUAAAAAAUAAUAGUAAUUUCAAAAACGUUAACUAAUGAUAUGUCAAACAGCGAUUGAUGGUUUAAAAUUCCAUGUGGACUGCCUCAGAAGCUUAUAGCCUCGACUUUUAGAUAUUACUACAAUAACAAAAUUUAUAUGUCUUUUGUGUGAAUAUAUAUAUAUAUACUUUCUACCAAGAUAUUGUUUAUAAAUUCAUAAAUUUAAAUUCGUUAAUAAAGAUAUUUUUUGCAUAUUUUAAUAAUUAAAUUUUACAUUUUUUUAUUUCCGUAUGUUAUAUUUUCAAAAGUUUACAUAUCUCUUCUUUCCAUAUAUAUAUUAUUUUCCAUAUAAUAAAUAUCUUAAUAUAGAAAAUUUGUAAAACUUAGAAAAAUUAAUUAAUGAGAUGGUAAAAAAUGUUAAUUAGCAAGAUGGCCAAUCCCGAUUGGUCGUUUAAAAUCCUAGGUGGACGGUCUCAGAGGCUUAUAGCCUUGACUUUUAUAUAGUAUAAAUUUUAUCAUUUAAUUUUAGAUGACAAUGCUCAAAAUAAUAUUUAUGAUUUACUAAAAGCAUUUCAAUUUCAUUGUUAUAAAAAGAUUAUUGAUGUGUAACAUCCGUCAAAUUAUGAAAAUUAUUUUGUGUUAUUUGAUCUUAUGAUCAUCUUCCAACGAACUUUCUGUUUAAAAAACAAAAAAUAAAUUUCUCAUAUAGUUUUUUAACUCGUCUAAAUUGUUAUUGUUCAAUAAAAUUUCCUUAAAUUUCCAUUUUUUUUCUGUAAAUAAAUUUCCAUAUAAUAUUAAUAUAGUCUUUUACCAAAGUUUUUAUAAAGUUAAAUUAUCUUCUUCUUUUUUUUUUUUUUUUCUAUCUAUGCAUAAUUAUGAAUUGGGCCAUAGUAAUUGGCCCAUUAUUAUUAUACAUCUUUGCUUCUUUGGAAGAAGAAACAGCGAGAUCAGCUUGCAGCGGGAAGAUUUGGGUUGCGUAGAGCGAUUCACACUCUCUUCUCUUUGUUAGGAUGACGAAAGCUCCUUCUCUUGCGUUUCUCUGCAUCCAAUCUCUCAAACUUCAGCUCCUUCAAAGUAAUUGUUGUAGAUAUUCACUAUAUUCGAACAAAGCUCUCAGGUUUUUGUUGCGCCAAUUUGAUUCAAAAUAUACUGAUUUUGAGUUUGGGUUUUGUUGUAUAAUUCCAGGCGAUAAUCCAAUUCCAGAUUUAUACGAGCUUCCAUCGGAGUUACUUGAUGCUGUUAUCGCUCACUUGCCUGCUCUUGCGUUGCAGAAUUUUCAGACCAACAUGUCAGUACUAAGAGAUUCUUUGGUUUAGGGUUACAAAUUAUAUGGAUGAAGAUGAUACAACUCUUAUUUUAUUUACAUUUUUCUAUUGGUAUAGGCCGUUUAAUUGCUUGGAUGAUUAUGAAUCUGGAGAUGAUUGCUUGAUUAAUGGCAGAAAACGUUCAAGGUUUGAUGAAUUCUUCUUUUGAUUUCUGUUUUGUUAUUCGAAUUUGAGAAGACAGACUGAGAAAGAUUGAACUUAUAUUCAUCUGCAGAAAUGAUCCACUUGGUAGCUCUUGGAAGAUGUUGUUUAAGCUGCGGUGGCCUGAUUUUGUUGACCGUGUGGAAUCACCAGCUGAUUGGCAACAGCUUUACUGGGAAAAGCAUCUGCAAAAGUAUGCUACUUCUAAUGAACUGACCGAUGAUUUGUUUUUUCUUUUUAUCUCGCUUCGUUUUGAGUUUUAUGUUAAUCCGAGUAACAGUUGUGUUGAUGAAGCAGCUGAGGUUGCUCUGCGUCCGACAUUUAGUGGUCGGAUUCGUUCUAUUAAUGUAUCAGGUAUGUGUUCUAAUUAACUUCUUGGGAUUGAUUUGUCAGUUGUGUAAGAAUCACUAUUCAUUUUUUUGUUGCAGAUAACAUACUGAGAUACAUUUGCCAUGAAGAGCAUAUGAGUUGUCAAAAAUGUGUCUGCAAGGAACUAUCUUUUCAUUUCCAAACUUUUGGACCGUAUCUUAGGUUGAGUAACAUUUCAUGUUUCUCUGAUUAUUAAUCGUUUCAUAGCCUCACACGUUCCUUGUAUAUACGGAUACACUGUAUUGCUUUCACCUUGCUGAAGUUUUAUAUCGCUCAUGACUGGUUGUGCGUGAGAUAUCUGGUUUGGACUGAUUUAACACUCUAUCAUACUUAUGCUUCUUUGUGUUCAUUCUUACCUGUUGCAGGUGUCUGAGGCUUCUGAAUGUGCUCUGCGUUACAGAAACUUCUGUAAGCAAUUAAACUGUGCUCUGACGUUGUAAAUAAAGUCGUCUGUUUUAUUUUUGUUUCAGUAUCACUGAUCGCCGUGCUAUUUUGUAUUGCUUUCGAUGUUUACCUUUCUCUUAGAACUUCAAAUUUGUAUCUCUGUAGAUGAAUCAAUCAUUCAACCUCUAGAGGAAGGACAUAAAUAAUCUUUAGGCUUUGUUACUGUAGGAGUUAUUGAUGACAAGUAAAUUGCAAAGUUUGGUUCUACGUUGGAUCAGAUCCGAGAAGCAUGUAAGGAACUUUCUAUAUUUAGUCUCAUAGGUUAUAGGAAUUAUAUUCCUUUCUUAUCGAUGAUACUCCAGGUUGAGCCCUUGUGCAAGCUCUUGAUCCAGACCCGAGACACGUUAACUUCGCUUGAGUUUAUUCACUGCAAGCUUUCUUCGAGUUCCAUCAGUGCAAUAUGCGCUUCUCUUCAUGAAAAGGGUAUCCACACAACUGGGAUGCAACGUUUCUGUAUAAAGACAUCUAGCAUUGAGAUAGAUCCACUUGCUGCGCCUUCUGCUUUCGUUUCAUUCCUGAUGUCGGUGAGGUAUGUAUGAACUGAUGCCAAAGCGUGUCUUGUUAGAUGUUUGCUCAUUUUGCUAUCAAAUUCUCUUCAUAAACGUUGUAAUAUUAUUAUGCACUUCUUUUUUUCUGAUUUCUUUUAGUGAGCAUCUUUUUUUCUUUCAGGACCUUACAUUCCUUACAUUUUUGCGAUAGCAACCUCGAUAGGCAUAUCGCGAGGAUGGUUUUCUCUACACUUCUUGAUUCUUCUUCAAACCUUUCGUCCCUUGACCUCUCUGAAAACAAUGUGGGUACCACCGCGGUUCUUCUUGUUCAAAUUGAUGUGUGGCUUGCUUUUCAUGACUGACCAACCUACGCUAUAUAGAUUUCAGGAUGGCUUUCUACGUUUAGCUGCAGAUCUGUUGUUGGUUCUCUGUCAUCUGGAAAGUUUUUACAGUCCCUGUGCAAGCUCAACUUAAGGUAUUUUCUAGUAAAGAGACAAUUCUUAACAGUUUUAAGCCUGGAAACCUUGUGAUACCAAGAAAUGUGUUUCUAGGGGAAAUGAACUCGACAGAUAUGAUGCAGAGAAUCUUGCACAUGCUCUACUUCAUAUGCCCGGCUUGGAAUCUCUUGACCUGAGCGGGAACCCCAUUGAAGACAGUGGGAUCAGGUGUGUCGUCUAAGUUCCUGCUUUUUUAGUCUUCGAGAAAAUCAACAGAGUUGCAUUUCUCUUACAUGCUUUUCUUGGGUGGUACAGAAGCUUAAUAUCUUACUUCACAAAGAAUCUGGAUUCUCGUUUAGCCGAUUUGGAUUUGGAAAACUGUGAGCUGUCAUGUUGUGGAGUUAUCGAGUUUCUUGAUACCCUCUCAAUGCUGGAGAAGCCUAUAAAGUUCCUAUCUGUUGCAGAUAAUGCCCUCGGAAGGUAUUCAUAAAGUCAAACUCUUCACUUUAUACCGAUAUGAAGUUUGUCUAUUUUCUUAUUGUUCUUGUUCUUCAGUGAGGUUGCGGAGGCUAUAGUAAACUCUAUCACAGUCUCCAUCGAGUCUCUCAACAUUUCGGGUGUAGGACUAGGUCCUCUCGGGUUUCUUGCGCUAGGCAGAAAACUUGAAAAAGGGUUGAAGAAGCUCCUGAGUAUCAAUAUAAGGUUCAAAGCAAAUCCAUAUCCUCUGUUUUCUGUAUACAUUGGUUUACCUUUGGUGUCCUCACGUUCGUUUUGCGGUUUCCCACUAUAGCAAAAACCGUGGAGGACUAGAGACUGCUAGAUUCAUGUCAAAGCUCAUACCCUUGGCACCAAAACUCAUCUCAAUCGACGCAUCCUACAAUCUUAUGCCACCCGAAGCCUUGCUCAUGCUAUGUGAAUCCCUGAGAACUGCAAAAUGUAAGGAUUUUCUGGGGAUCAGCUUGAUUCUUGGGCCAUUUGCGGAUUUUUUUUGCGUUACUAAACGUAUGAUGAUUGUGUUCAGGUGAUCUCAAACGUCUUGACAUGACCGGGAAUAGCUGCAUCAGCCAUGAAGCUGACCAUUCUUCCCUACACCGUGAAUUUCAACACAACGGAGAACCCAUCUUCGUUUUACCUUCAUCCUCGGUUUCACACGUUCCUUAUGAUGAUGACCCGUAGAUAAUUCCUCUAUACCUGUCAAUUUUGUUGUUUAUCCUUUAGUCUGGUUCUGUUUACUGGUGAAUUCAUUGGUUAUGUAUGUGCAUUAGGUUGGUUCAACGUUCACAUGAAAUAGCAUCCCAAAACAUCUAAAAGCGUCGCCCAAAAAAAUAGUCAGAGAGCAGUGAUUUAAAUCAUUAAAUAGGGAAUGAGGAGCUGUGGUCUUAUUUCAUUUCUUAUUAAAACUCGAUGACUAGAUAUUGCUUAUACGUAAUUUGGAUAUUUCAAGGCGCCAGAGGCGGACAAGGGUAGACGCAAAUACAUUCUCCACCACCACCAGUACUAGUACUGUGGUCGCAGAAGCCAUUAGCCUUAUCUCCAAACGUAGCUCUGCAUUUGGCACUACAGCUCUUAUCCUUUUCGCACAGUCCCAUACUCGCUGUGCAUCCCAUAUUUUGCUCAACUACAUCCAACAAAACCAUUUAAACUACAACAUUUGAGAUGUUAUACCAAAGAAAGAAUAACACCUAGACACUAUGUGAAAGCUUUUGAAAAUUGCUAAGUGAAAACUUUAAGAGGUAAAUAUAGCGAGGAACUACAGUAUUUGCGGGAUAUGACAAAUUGACAAUGAAUAGAGCGAAACUAGAUUAUGGAUUACAUAAUUUCAUAAACAAACAUGAAGAUAAGUGUAUACCUAAGGCAAACAUAACAAGGAAGAUGAUUGGGAGAACAAGUGUAGAAGCUGCUUUCGCCAUAUUUGUUUGCUUAAUCAAACAAAUAAACAAAAAUUACAAAUAGUGCUUUUAUCUGAUAGACCUAAAAAGACAUAUAUAGAGAAUUGUGAGGUGACCAAUUUCAGGAAUAUAAAUAUUUACCAUUUGACCACAAAUAUUGUUUGACUGUAACUUAUCAAUAUGGAAGUUCACUCAUAUCAUGUUGAAUAUGCUAGUUUGGUAUGUUAUUCAAGUGUAUGAUAAACUUUUUUUAUUGAUUUAUUGUAUAUAUCAGUCAUGUUCUUGUCUAGCUACCAAAGUCACUAAUACCUAAACUUUACCCUCAGUUGUCUACACGGUUCAAAUUUAAUCUGUUAGUAGAGUCGUAAUUCUUUAUUUUCAUAAUUUAUCAUUUUAUUGCCUAAUCCAAUUGUAAGUGAUGUUGUAAUCACUAAUCAGCAUCAAAGUAAAUGAUUAUUUUGGGAAAUGAAAAACAAAUAGAAAAAGAAAAAAAAAGGUGGGAAAGUUUUAAGGCAUGAUUUACUUGUCAAUUACGCUCCGCCACUUUGGCCCGCACCAGCUGUUUAAGAUCGCCGGCGUGACAACAAUUGGCCACGUGUGUGUGUAUAUGCUUUAUUAUCUCAAGUUUCUAUAUUCUCAGCGAAUAUUAAAGAAAAAAAUUGAACUUGAUAAACUAUACGAACGAGAGGGGAUGCAAAUAAAAUAAAAAUAUAUAAUAUAUAUACAAACUCUCACGUUUGCCGGGUUAUUUUGUGUAUUUAUCAAGUUAUGUAUUUUGCAGCAAAAGAAAUCAAUUUAUGAAUAAGAAGUGUACGUCCUCCAAGUUACGACACACAAUCUGGUAAAUACGCAAAACAACCAAACUAUCCAAAAAUUAUUUGUUAUGUUUGCCAAAAUUUAGCAAAAUGUAUUCAAAUAUAACUAAAUUUCUUAAAAUUUAACAAAUUUUUAAGGUUUUUUCGGGUAUCCGAUAUUUUACGUAUAAAACCCGACAUUUUACAUAUAAAACACCCGAACCGAACGGGUACCCAUAUUUUUCGGGUAUUUAUAGAGUCUAAAUUUUUUUACCCAAACCGACCCGAACCCGACGAUACCCGAAGCGGACCGGAACCGAAUGUUUAGAAAUACCCGAAUGGGUCGUAAAUUCAUUACCCAUUUAACCCGAACCCGAACGGGUUUUACCCGAAUCCGAACGGGAUACCCAUAUGCCCAGGCCUAGUUUGAAGGAACUAACCCAGGUUCGAUCCACGCUGGAAACAAAAAACACAUCUGUGUGGAAAGUCUGGGUUUGGGCUAAAGGCCCAAGUAGUUUACUUGGUAGUCCAGUAACAGGCGAUCUGGCUACCCCCUGACAUUAGUCGGAAAACAUUUCCAAACUCGGGACAGACAUUGUGGUGGCCCUUCGAGAAGAAGUCCACUCUGAAGCACUUCAGUGCGUUUUUACCGGGGUUGACCGGAUUAACCGAUAGGGUUUAUAAAAAAAAAAAAAAAAAACAAUACGGAAAAUGGGUGAUAUGAGCUACGACAAGAAUCUCCAACUUUAGUUCAAAUCUAAAAGUUAAUCCUCAAAAACUUUUUAAGUUCUAAGAAUUUCAUCAAAUAAACAGGUCCAUAUAGUUAUUUAAAAAUUCAAAAAAAAUUAUUAUCUUAUCUAGUUUUGUUAAUUUUCAUAUUGGUCCGAUUUGAGACCGAAUUUUUAUUAUUAUUUUAUAGUGUAUUAAUUUAUUGAGUAUUAAUUUACAAAGAGUUUAAUGUAUCUAACUAAAUUAUACCACUUUCAUGUUUAUAAUUAAUCAAUCUAUGAACCGACGUCUUGUACUAUAUAUUAUCACUGGAAUGGUCUAAUUAAACUAAUUUCACAAUAAUUGAUUAGAAUUUAGAGUUAUUAUUAUAACAUACUAUCUUAUUUAUUAUAGUCUUUUAAAAUUCCAAAUGACUGGAAAUUGAUGAUGCUACAUAAUUUGGAUUUAUUCCAGCUUUGUUAGGUUGGUGAUAGACAUGAGAUUUUUUUUUAAUUAAUGUUGUUUAAUGAAUUAAACAUUCUCUAAAUUUAAUGAAAAGUAUUUUUUUGUCCACGGAUUUAGUUUAUUUUACUAAAACUCACUUUAUUUUUGUUAUUAUAUGAUGUGGUUCGAUUGCACCAAUCAAACAUAUCAUAUGAGUUAUCCAAAUUAAACACUGGUUUUUAUUCUCAAACAUACAAUUUGGUCGAUAAAAUCAAAAUUAUUUGUUUUACUCCAAAUUAAUACACAUUAUUUAACGUGAAAAAUAAAUUCUUACACAUAGUUUCUCAGAUAACUAACAAAGUACAGAAUUUUAUCAUCAUUUUUUCAUAAAAUAAUUGUUAAAAUUCCUGUAAUUAACUCAAUUCUUUUGUUACUAACCUAACCGGAUUAAACCACUCCGAAUCGGAACCGGCGGUUAAGUUCAGACCAUUACAUAAUAGUGGCAUGUAACAGUAAUUAUUAAGAAACACAAGGGCAAUUCCAAAAUUGGCCAGCCAACCACAUGCUUUUGUUUAUCUUCUUCAAAAUGAGAGUUUAGUCUCUCUACUAGUCUCGCCUUUACUCUUUUUCUUUCUUAGUACUAAAAAAUUAAACGACACUUCUCUCUCUAAACACAUUUACACAGAGAACACAACACUUUCUCUCUCAAUCUCUCUCACUGUUCAUCGAAUCCAUCAUUGGAUCGAUUCGAUUUCGGUUUGUGUUGUUUUCCGAUACCUCUGAUUAGAGAUUUCAGCAGAUCUGAACGGAGGAGCGUCAGAUCGGAAUCGUCCGUCGGUGGUUUCGGUAAAAAAUGGAGGAAGCUUUAGAAAUGGCGAGAGCCAAGGAUACAAAAGAGCGCAUGGCGGCUGUUGAAAGGCUACAUCAACUUCUCGAAGCUUCUAGGAAGAGUUUGAGUCCAUCGGAAGUGACGUCACUUGUUGAUUCUUGUUUGGAUCUCCUUAAGGAUAGUAAUUUUAGAGUCUCUCAAGGUGCGCUUCAAGCUCUUGCUUCUGCUGCUGUUCUUGCUGGUGAGCAUUUGAAGCUUCAUUUGAAUGCUCUUGUUCCUGCUGUUGUCGAGCGGCUCGGUGAUAGCAAACAACCUGUUAGGGAUGCUGCGAGACGUUUGUUGACGACUCUAAUGGAGGUGAAAGAUUUUUACUUAAUUUGAAUGGAAUUUGAAUUGGUUUGUGUUUGCUUAGAAGAGUUUCUUUUGUUUUUGUUAGGUUUCUUCUUCAACGAUUAUAGUUGAAAGAGCGGGUUCUUAUGCUUGGAUGCAUAAGAGUUGGAGAGUUAGGGAAGAGUUUGCGCGUACUGUUACAUCGGCCAUUGGUCUUUUUGCAUCUACGGAACUUCCUCUUCAGCGUGUUAUACUUGCUCCGGUAUCUAUCUCCCUUUGAUAGCUAUUUGGUUUGAAUGAAUCAUGUUUUUGUUGUAUCGGAUUGAAUUUGAUCUCGGUUAUUUGUUUGUUUAUCAGAUACUUCAGAUGUUAAAUGAUCCCAAUCAAGCAGUUAGGGAAGCUGCAAUUUUGUGCAUUGAGGUAAAGUUUGUACCAUCAUUUAUGUAACUCGUUUUCAACUACUCUAAGUGAUGAUUUCUUCUUUGCAGAAGCUUUCUAUUUAAUUAUUCAUUAAGGCAGACUCUCACAGCUAAUUCUAUUUUUAUGACUGAGAUAGUAGUGAACCCAAUCAAAUUUGAGUGCAGUUUGAGUAGAGAAUUUCACUUCCUCCGUGGAGACCUGUUUAUUUGUUCUAGAUAAUUCAUAGAAUUCAGAUGCUCUAUUUCGUGUUUGAUUUUAAAUCAUAAUUCUGUUUUUCUCAGGAAAUGUAUAUGCAGGGUGGGUCUCAAUUUCGAGAAGAGCUUCAACGCCACCAUCUUCCAUCAUAUAUGGUAAAUCUCAGAUUACGAUUAAUCCAUAUACAGUGUGAGAAUGCACAUAGCAUUUUAGUAGUUUCCAUAACUUAGUGUACUUUGACAAAGAAUAAUAUGAUUGCAGUCUUGGGGAGCUCCUUGCUUGAACUCUUUCUCUGUUUUAAUCAGGUGAAGGAUAUUAAUGCUAGACUGGAACGUAUUGAGCCACAACAGCGUUCUACCGAUAGCCGUAGUGGUCACCAUGUUGUUAAUGAGGUUAAGGCAUCAAGUGUCAAUCCCAAAAAGAGCAGUCCCAGGGCAAAGGCUCCCACGCGAGAGAACUCUUUAUUUGGGGGUGAAAAUCUUUUUCUCAAGGAUUAAAGUCUAAAAAUUGGUGUUGUAAUAUUUCCAUCUCGGCUGAUUGGUUUCGUAUAUUUUCAUUUCAGGAGAUGCCGACAUCACUGAGAAACCCAUUGAGCCCAUCAAAGUGUACUCAGAGAAGGAGCUGAUACGAGAAUUCGAGAAAAUUGCUGCAACACUCGUCCCAGAGAAAGAUUGGUCAAUGCGUAUUUCAGCUAUGCGAAGGGUUGAGGGACUCGUUGCAGGAGGUACUAAGUCAAUACUUAUUGUCUGUUUAUCUUCGAAACUAAGUUUCAUUUGCUUUGAUUGCUAUCCAUGAUAUAUUCUGCCAGUAGUGGAGGAAUAUUCUUGUAUUUCAUCUCAUGGAAUCGUUUUCUGUUUAAGGUGCGACCGAUUACUCUUGCUUUCGAGGUCUCCUGAAGCAACUUGUUGGUCCCUUAAGUACACAAUUAGCUGACCGGAGAUCUACCAUUGUUAAGCAGGUUAGCUAAAUUUUCGAUUUGCUAUUUUCAUUAUAAGGAUUUAGAAUGUACUGUGAUUCUUCUUUUCCUGGAAAUGGAGACAACUCGGUGAGGUAUUCCAUUUUCAUUGAGUACUUAAUUUAUAGGAAGUACAUCUUUUUCUAUGCCAACACCCUUCAUCUUAGUAAAACUUAUAUUCAUUUUAGCCAGAAAACACAUUUUGCUAGUAGAUACAGUUUCAAUAGGGGUGAACGGUAUAUUAGAUUAAUGCAUCCUAUCUUAUGUAGUUUCGAUUACCAUUUUUGCCAUUGCCUUUUCCUUCAUAUGCUGUUCCUCGUGUUCGUAGGCCUGUCAUCUCUUGUGUCUCUUAUCAAAAGAACUACUGGGAGAUUUUGAGGCAUGCGCUGAGAUGUUUAUUCCAGUAAGUUUAACCUCCUGUCGUUUACUACUAUGACAUUCAACACAUACACAUUCUUGUUAAUAUUAGUAUAUGGUAAUCAGGUGCUUUUCAAGCUGGUUGUGAUUACUGUGCUUGUAAUUGCAGAAUCUGCUGAUAACUGCAUAAAAACGGUAAAUUAUUAGCUCGCUUAUUUUGGUUUCUAGAACCUUGCCUGCUCGGCUAAGUUUUGCGCUUACACAGAUGGUUUCUUGCUAUUCCAGAUGCUGCGUAACUGCAAAGCUGCCCGUGUACUUCCUCGCAUAGCUGAAUCAGCAAAACAUGACCGUAAUGCAAUUCUGCGAGCAAGGUAAACUGGAGCAUUUGUAUCAAACGUAAGAUUUAUGAUGUUCUGGAAAUUGAUCCCAUUUUUUGUAUACAGAUGUUGUGAAUAUGCAUUGUUAACACUCGAACAUUGGCCUGAUGCUCCAGAAAUUCAACGAUCAGUUGAUUUAUAUGAAGAUCUGAUUAGAUGCUGUGUGGCAGAUGCUAUGAGUGAGGUAGGUUUGUGGUACCAUUUUCCAUAAUACUAGAUGUUAUGUUGCAGAUGCUAUGAAGUAGGUUUAUGGUUCCUUGUUUAUCUCUGUGGUAAUGCAAUGAUUAGGAUUCCUUGCAAGUUUUAAUGGGAUGCAUGUUUUGCAUCAAUAGUAUCAAAUAAUUUGUAUUUGUUGUAUUGCCCAGCAGUCUCUCUCCUAUGUGCCAUUAAAAGCUGUUAAUAUAUUGAAUAACAGGUACGGGCAACUGCUAGAAUGUGCUACAGAAUGUUUGCAAAAACUUGGCCGGAUCGUUCUCGUCGGUUGUUUUCCUCCUUUGACCCUGUCAUUCAAAGGGUAAGGCUUCUCAACUCUCUAUAUUCUGCUUAUUAGCAUCAAUGAGGCUUGAUAAGGCAUUCCAUAUGUUCUCAGCUAAUAAAUGAAGAAGAUGGUGGAAUUCAUAGGAGACACGCCUCACCAUCUGUCCGUGAGAGACAUUCCCAGCCUUCAUUUUCUCAGACGUCUGCUCCUUCUAAUCUACCUGGCUAUGGAACAUCAGCUAUAGUCGCUAUGGAUAGAAGUUCAAAUUUAUCAUCUGGAGGAUCACUUUCUUCUGGGUUACUCCUUUCGCAAUCAAAGGAUGUCAAUAAAGGUUCUGAACGUAGUCUGGAAAGUGUGUUACAAUCAAGCAAGCAGAAGGUCAGUGCAAUUGAAAGUAUGCUCCGAGGACUGCAUAUAUCUGACAGGCAAAAUCCUGCAGCCCUUCGUUCAAGUAGUUUGGAUCUAGGUAUUGAGUUUCUUUCCUUAUGAGAGUAUAGUUUGUUUUUGAUACGUCCUUUAACAUGAGCUAAGAUAUCCUUGCGCAGCUAAAUUGUCUUCUUUUUCCCCUAGUGCAGGAGUUGACCCUCCAUCGUCUCGUGAUCCUCCUUUCCAUGCUGCUGUUCCAGCAUCCAAUAAUCACACAAGUAGUGCAGCUGCUGAAUCAACACAUAGUAUCAACAAAGGCAAUAAUCGCAAUGGUGGCCUUGGUUUGUCAGAUAUCAUCACCCAAAUUCAAGCUUCAAAGGACUCAGGAAGAUCAUCUUACCGUGGCAAUCUGUUGUCCGAGUCUCAUCCGACCUUUUCAUCCUUGACAGCUAAACGGGUCUCAGAGAGAAAUGAGAGAAGUUCUCUUGAGGAAAGCAAUGAUGCCAGAGAGGCGAGGCGGUUUGUGGCAGGUCAUUUUGACCGACAGCAGAUGGAUACUGCUUAUAGAGAUUUGACUUUCAGGGAAUCAAAUGCUAGCCAUGUUCCGAAUUUCCAGAGGCCACUUUUGAGGAAGAAUGUUGGGGGAAGAAUGUCCGCUGGCAGGAGGAGGAGUUUUGAUGAUAGCCAACUGCAAAUUGGUGACAUAGCAAAUUAUGUUGAUGGUCCAGCUUCCCUGAACGAGGCCCUUAACGACGGACUGAACUCAAGUUCUGAUUGGUGUGCCAGAGUUGCAGCUUUUAAUUUUCUCCAAACUCUGCUGCAGCAAGGCCCAAAAGGUGCUCAAGAAGUAAUUCAAAGUUUUGAGAAAGUAAUGAAACUAUUUCUCCGGCAUUUGGAUGAUCCUCACCACAAGGUCGCACAAGCAGCACUGUCGACACUCGCAGAUCUUAUAUCAUCUUGCCGAAAGCCUUUUGAGAGCUACAUGGAAAGAGUCCUACCCCAUGUGUUUUCACGGCUAAUCGAUCCUAAAGAGGUAGUUAGACAACCUUGCUCCUCAACCUUGGAAAUUGUCAGCAAAACCUACAGUGUGGAUUCCCUUUUGCCUGCAUUGCUUCGUUCACUGGAUGAGCAGAGAUCACCAAAGGCUAAAUUAGCUGUGAUUGAAUUUGCCAUCAACUCCUUCAACAGGUACGCUGGUAAUCCUGAAAUUUCGGGUAAUAGUGGGAUCUUAAAGUUGUGGCUGGCAAAGUUGACGCCAUUAACCCGCGACAAAAAUACCAAGUUGAAAGAAGCUUCCAUUACUUGCAUCAUAUCUGUUUACAAUCAUUAUGAUUCUGCGGGACUGCUAAAUUACAUUCUUAGUUUGUCGGUUGAGGAGCAAAACUCUCUGAGAAGAGCCCUCAAACAAUAUACUCCCCGCAUCGAGGUGGACCUAUUAAACUAUAUGCAGAGUAAAAAGGACAAACAGAGAAUAAAGUCUUAUGACCCAUCUGAUGCCAUUGGGACAUCAUCUGAGGAAGGAUAUGCUGGUGCCUCCAAGAAGAAUAUAUUCCUUGGCCGGUAUUCUGGGGGUUCUGUUGACAGUGAUAGUGGCAGGAAGUGGAGUUCUUCCCAGGAGCCAACAAUGAUCACUGGUGGUGUUGGUCAAAAUGUUUCCAGUGGAACCCAGGAAAAGCUGUAUCAGAACCUCAGAACUGGGAUCAGUUCAGCUAGUGAUCUGUUGAACCCCAAGGAUUCUGAUUAUACAUUUGCUUCAGCUGGUCAGAAUUUGAUAUCAAGAACUAGCCCUAAUGGAAGCUCAGACAACAUCGAAAUCUUGGAUGGCUUAUCUCCACCACAUUUGGAGAAAAAUGGUCUGAAUCUGACAAGCGCUGAUUCCUUGGAAGGAAGACAUGAUAAUGAGGUCUCCCGCGAAUUAGAUUUAGGUCACUACAUGCUCGCAUCUAUAAAGGUCAAUCCAACACCGGAAUCUGGACCUAGCAUUCCUCAGAUUCUACAUAUGGUUAGUAACUAGUUUCACUUCUGCUAAAUGUCGUUAUCUUUUUUUCUCUGGUACUAAAAAGCAUAUCUGAUGAUUAUGCUUUCACAGAUCAACGGGAGUGAUGGAAGCCCUUCUUCGAGCAAGAAAUCUGGACUCCAGCAAUUGAUUGAAGCCUCUGUAGCUAACGAGGAAUCAGUUUGGACCAAGGUAUACCUAAUGAACCCUGGUUCCACUAGUUGGAAUAAUUGGUCCUGACAUUUAUAUCGUAUAUGUAAGGCUAUGAAACUUACUAGGCUAAUUAAGAUUGGGUAAGACAAGAAAAAUAUGUGUUGGUAAACAAACCUGUUGUGGGAUAAAUAUCACAAUUCUAAAUGGAUCUGAACUUUUAAGUAGUACGACUAAAAACUUAGCACGCCAUGGAUUCACUGGUUGUGAUUUUUGCUGGUGAUUCUCGUUCGUUUUGUUGUUCUGAAUCAGAAGUAGUCAAUUGUUCAUAGUGGAUUUACCAUGUACACUUGUCUAUCAAUCCUAAUGGAUAUUCCUCCUACUUUUCUAUUCCCAGUACUUCAAUCAAAUUUUGACGGUGGUUCUUGAAGUGCUCGAUGACGAAGAUUUUUCAAUCAGAGAGCUUGCUCUUUCACUGAUUUCUGAAAUGUUAAAGAGCCAGGUUUGUUCCUUACUUAGACUCGUCAAUCAAUCAUCUCUAACACAUUAUGGGUGGCUCUGUGAAAUUACGAACACCUUUUCUUACUUGUAUAUAUCUUGCUUAUUAAUUUCAGAAAGAUGCCAUGGAAGAUUCUGUUGAAAUAGUGAUCGAAAAGCUGCUUCAUGUCUCAAAGGACACUGUUCCAAAAGUAACGAUUGCACGCUCAAACCUUAUCCUUGUGGAUCAACCCCUUUCUGAAUGUCUCCAGAUCUCAUAUGAUAAUAUCUUUUCAGGUUUCCACUGAAGCUGAGCAAUGUUUGACCACGGUCUUGUCCCAAUACGAUCCUUUCAGAUGCCUAAGUGUAUGUACUUAGGGUCCACUUUUCACGGCCUCAUUUUGGUUUUAUGCUUUCGUUUCUUUUAGUUGAUGUAAUCUAAGCGACAUGUCUUUGCUUCAGGUUAUCGUCCCAUUAUUGGUGACGGAAGAUGAGAAAACUCUUGUCGCUUGCAUAAAUUGUUUAACAAAGGUAAGAUUUCUGAAUUUUACGGUAUAUUUGUGGUUUUCCGAGAUUGUUAAUACAAAGUCGCAUGUAGAUAUAAUCAUCAGGUUUCACUGAAACAGUAUCAUUGGUUCUUGUGUACAGCUUGUGGGUAGGCUCUCGCAAGAGGAAUUAAUGGAUCAAUUGUCGUCUUUUUUGCCUGCGGUUUUUGAAGCAUUUGGGAGCCAAAGCGCAGAUGUCCGCAAGGUAAACAAAUUGAAUAAAAACUUGACUUUUCUACUCAUACCAGUAACUUUAGAUUUUAUGAAAUUGGACAAGUAAUAACUCUCUAUGAGGCUCUUUGUUGUCUAUUGCAGACGGUUGUGUUCUGUCUGGUAGACAUAUAUAUAAUGCUUGGGAAAGCAUUUUUGCCGUAUUUGGAAGGUCUAAACAGCACGCAGGUUCGUCUAGUGACUAUCUAUGCAAACCGGAUCUCGCAGGCUAGAACCGGUGCUCCUAUCGAUGCAAACACCUGACGAACGGCGUGUACUUCUUGGUUCAUUGGGUUCAUAUUCAUUAUUGUUUAUUUUGUAUAUGGGUGUGUUUCAUUUUUUUGGGUGUAAUUUUGCAAAUUGGUUUUUUCCGUUCUGUUAACGUGUGUGGUCUAUUUUUUGUUUUUGUUUUGGGGGAAUGUAUUUAUUGCUUUCCUCUCUCGUAGGACUAAAAAAUGUAUCUUCUAAAUUUUAUAAAACUUUGCAACUGAUGACUAAAAUACCUUUAUUAGUGAACAAAACGAAUGUAUAUUUUUUUACAAAAACUUCUCAUUUUGCCGUGACUUAACAUUUUUGGUCCGAAGUUGAUGAUUCGUAUAAAAUUCAAUCAAAUUCUAACAUAUUAAUCUUUUUUUUUUUGGGCAAAAUCAUAUUAGUCUAUAACUAAAAUAUUAUGGGCGUUAAAAAUAAUUUUAUAUAUGGCAAAUUUGCCCUAUAAAUACUACAAGGGUCUCAUCCAACCGUUUAUCUUUUUCGUUCUAUUAACAAGGUUAUCCGCAAUCGCAUAGGCUCUUUUUGUUACCACGAUGCAAACAAUUUUAGUGAUUUUUUCAUAUGUUGGUUUACAUUCAUAUAUAAAACCCACUCAAUUUAUUUCCACACUUGUUUAAACCAAUGUUUUCUAUCCAUUCUAUUCUUUAUUUCUUUUGUACAUAAUUCUUUUUUGUUGAGUAACUAAAUUUGCAUUUCAACAGAAGGAAAAAAAAUUCCUCUGUUGAACAAUAAUUCUUUUUUGUAGAAAACGUUCGAAAAUAGCAUAAACUUUAAGUUUGAUAAUGGUUAAAGUUUAAUAAGGUUUACUAAAAUCAUUUAAAAAUUCUUCCUAAACGGUAUGUAACAUCUUUUGAAUUAAUUAUAAGAUUUUGAUUUUUUAUAAUUUUCCUGAAAUAUUUUACGUAAAAUGGUCGGAUAUAUCUAAGGGAAAUUUGCCACUUCUACCACAUUUCCAAGUUUAUCCCACAAAAAUACCACAUUUCCCAAAAGUUUUCUCUCAUACCACUUUGCAAAAAUUGAAAAGACAUGAUUACCCUUCUUUUAUUUCUCUACAAACACAAACAAAUAUCUUCAUCUUCUUCUCUUCUAUAUCGUUUCAUGCUCUCUCUCCUAUUCCUUGCUCUAUCUCUCCUCUUCCUUUCUUUUCUUCGUCUCUCUUACAACUAUUGUUUAGAUCUAAAAUUUGUUUUCAAUUGUUUAGAUCUUUUUGCAUACCCACCAUCGUCUUAUUCUCUUUCUAGAUCGAAAAAUUCAGAUCUGUGAUCCUCAAGAAUACAUCCUUUUGAUUUUCCAUCUAAAUCAAAUUCAUUUUCGCAUCUAAAUAUCAUAAUUACUGGUUUUGAUUUUGUUUCUAAUUGGUUAUUCCACUUCAACUGUGCAGAUUAAGUGUUUGUUGUCUACGAGGAAGUCGAAGACGAAGAUGUCUACUAAAAAACUGAAGACGAAGAAAAAGAUGUCUACGAGGAAAGACAAAUAAGAUGUCUACGAUAAAACCAAAAAUGUAUUCUUGUCCAUACCUUUUGUUACUUUAAAAAUUUUGUCCAUUUACCCGAUUAGAGAUUAUGAGCAGAAGUUACAAACGAUUGUUGAUCCACGAUGUAAGACAAUUUUACCAUUCUUCUUUCUUUCCACAAAACCAAUGUCUUUUUCAUCUCCUCUCUCUACUACUUUUGCAAAACUAACAAAAACGAAUAUAGAAAUUCCAAAAAAGGUGAAGAGCUUUGGUUUGUUGAUAAUUAUUGUCCACAACACAAUAUUUUUGUCUACAAUCUCUAUAUAUGGUUUUUUAGUUGCCAUGUAUAUUCACGGUAUAAUUAUUGUCCACAACACAAAUAUUAUUGUCUACGGUCUGUAUAUACGAUAUUUUAGUCCAUGCUAUGUACAGAGCCGGCUCUGAAGAUAUUAAGGCCACAAGCCCAUUUUUUUUUUUGGCCUACUAUACAUUACUUUUUUUGAAAAAGACUUGAAAAACAGAAAAAAAAAUGAAAUGGGGAUUCGAUCCCUUGACCCUUGGAAGAGUAACUCUUAGUCUUAACCAGUAAAACCAAUGAAACUUUCAGAAAAAUUCGGCCGAAUAUCAACUAUAUAAUUUGGAGGCCACAAGCAGAUGCUUCAUCUGCCUGUGUCAAGGGCCGGCUCUGGCUAUGUAUAUUCACUAUAUAUGUUGUCUACGAUAUCUAUACCCGAUGCCAUUAUUUUAUUUUAAUGGACAAACUUAGUCAUUUCAAUUAUAUUUACAGUAUAAUUAUUGUCCACGAUAUAACUCUCUUACUUUUUUACUUUAAUUAUACACAAAAUGUUUUUUUUUUUUUGUUUUGUGACUUUAUUUCAAUACGCAAGAAAAAUACGUUUAUUAUUAUUAACUGAUUUUUUUGUUUUACUUUUCACCUUCUUUUUUUUUAUAAAAACAUCAUUUUUUUUUAACAGCUCACCAUGUAUAGAAACCAAAAUUCUCCUUCUCUCAUGGGGGCAUUUUCGUCAGAUCACGUUUUCAUUACCACAAGAAUGGUGGCAUAUCUCAUAACUUUUUGAAAAUGUGGUAUUUUGCAUAAGGGACCCAUGGUAGAUAUGAUAGUUUUCCUAUAUCUAAUAGAAAGAGAAAUUAUUGCGUUGGAUUGGGGAUCACCAAUUAUUACCCUCUCGUGGAGGAACAUAACACGAUGAGACAGCGAUCUGCUUGUCUUCCCAACGAUAUUGCUUUUUCUAUUCAUCGAUUGCUAAAUUACUUAUUUUACAAAUAUAUUUCACAACUGAUCACUUAUCUAUAUUUUUCAAUUUUUCACAUAAAUAUUUUGCUUUCUCUGCUAUGAGAUAAAUUUUAAAAUGUAUACAUAACAUAGUUCUUAUUUUCUCGGCAUAUAUAAAUAAAAGAGUACUAGAAAUAGAAGGUGUGGGCAAAUGAGUCCCCAACCACCGCCGAAAUCAUUUGCAAUUUUUCUAAAUAAGAAUAUUAUAAAGUCAGAUCCAAGAUUUUAAUAAUUACUAAUAUUUGGGUCCACCUUAUCUUAUUGUAUUUCUUAUUUUAUUAUUAAUAUAAAUAUAGACAUGUCGCCAUCAAAUAUAAUUUUCGUAAUCAUUUUUUUUGUGAACCAAUUCAUCAUCAUUUCUUCUACUUGUAAAUUUUGUUGUCAAUCAUUUCUAGCAGUUAUUUAAUUCAACAUUAGUAGUCUAUGAGUCUAGGCUAUAUAUAUAUAUAUAUAUAUAUAUAUUACAUCUAUAAUUUAUUUGCACAAAUGUUAAAAAUUACUAGUUUGAAGCUUUGAAUAGGAGGACAGGAGAACAGAACAAGAUGGAGAUUAUAGUUUACAAGUUUAUGUUAAUGCUUUUAUUAUAUUGUAACCGAUAAUCAAUUUAGAUAUAUAUUAUAUAUAAAAAUAACGUUUAAAAACACAUUUAAAUUAAUAGUCGUUAAACAAUAUUUAAAAUAAUAAUUGAUAUGAAAUUGGAGUUUAGAUAUAGAAUAUGCGAUUUCAUAUGUAUUUUCUUUCUUCCCUACUUGGAAUUAUAUAUAUAUAUAUAUAUGUAUGUGUGUGUGUAUUCCCAUAUCAAUGAUAAAUGCUCUUUAUCCAAAGUAAAAUGAUAAAAUGCUUACAUUGGUAGAUAUAACAGAUAAUCAUCAGGAUUAAGAGAUAAAUUAAAUAUACAGAAACAUAGGUUCCAAUUAGUUCAAGUUCUUUUUGUAGAAGAGGCGACUCACUUAAGCUAAAACGUACUUUAAUAUCAUGUUUGCAAGAUAUGUAUACGUAGUCUUUAAAUCCAUAAUUUUGGGGUAUAAAAAAUAAAGCAAUUUUCAAAAAUACCACUUAAGUUUUGGUUUUCAAAAAAUAUCACAUAAGUUUUGGUUUUUUAAAUAUACCAUAAACCUAAAGUUUAGCUUACAACCUUCAAAACUACACCAUAAAAGAUAUAUAGAAAAUCUGAAAUAGUCAACUGAUCAAAUCUAAAAUUUUUAAAUUAUGAACCUUUGAAAAUCAAUUUUUUUUGUUUGUGGUAUUUUUGGAGAACAAAACUUUUGGUGAUAUUUAUAGAACAUUAAACUAAUAGUGAUAUUUUGGCAACAAAACUUGAAAUUUGAAAAUAUGGUAGUUUGAAGAAAUUCUCAAAAAAAUUAACCUAUAUGACACUCAAAUGAUUUAGAAUUAGGCAAAAAAAAUUUAUUAUAACCAAAACACUUUGUAUGAGCCUAAAUACCUUCUUUAUAUGGAUAAAAAAAAUAAUUGAUAGAAGAAGCACCGUAAAAAUCAAUUGGAAAGGUUUUGGACCGAUACAAAAAAACAUUUCAUGUCAGUCUAACACUAUUAUAGUAUGUCAACACUUUUAUAGUAACCGAAAAACAUUUUGAUAGUUCAACACUUGCUACUUAAUGUCAUUAACAUGCUACUUCUGUACUUUUUGGUUUAUUUCACCAAUCAACCCUGGAAAUAUAUUAUAUGCUAAUUGUAAAUAUUACCUCUAGUUUAAACUUGGGUCGAAUAUUUCACUUCAUAGAUGUUGAGAAAAAAAAAACAUAUAUCAGACGGACAAAAAAAAACUCUAUAAACUAGGUAUCUAUAUCCAUUAAGACUUGAAGAUAAUGCCAUGAAAACAAUUUAUAGUACGGAUGAGAAACAAAGAGGCUGAUUAUUUUUAUCUCCGUCAGCUACAAAUGAUCUCACACAUUUUGUCUUUAUUGUUCAACUUGUUUUUUUUAGUCAGAGGUUAAAAAAUCGGCACAAGUUUCUAUUCACACACACAUACACAUAAAUAAAUAGAGAUUUUAUUACUGUUUAAAGUUAGUUGAUACUACAAUAGUAAAUGCGACACACACUAGAGUCACGAAGAGGCAAAAACAAGAGACAUGUAACAAAAAAGACAAGAGCCAAUACUAGUUCCCCAGAAAAUAAAGGUGAUAACUUUUUUUUUUUUUUAAAGUCUAUCCAGUACGAAUCAAUGGCUGGAAAGCCACUUUUGAGAAAAAAAAAUGCUGGAAUGCCACUCAUCUAAUUUUUAUUUCUGAGAGAAUUAAAAAUAAAACAAUUUAAAUCAGAAAAUUAUGAAAAGACCAAAAACCCAAAAAUCAAAUCCCUAAUUUCUCAUUUUUUCCUUUGCUCUUGGAACAGAGGAUUCGAAACUUAAUCGUUUUUUGAGUUUCUCAUUUUUCCCCUUUUACUCAAAAAUCAAAUCCCUAAUUUCUCAUUUUUUCCCAAAUCGAAAAACAACAAAAAUCUUCUCGAAUUCGUGGAAUCGAAUUGAAAUUUUGUCGAGUUCGUCGCCGUGGGAGUGUUGUUUCGUCGAGUUCGUCGCCGUGGGAGUGAAAUUAAUGGAGUGUUCGUCCCCCGAUAGUAAUCCUUUGAGAAUCCUGCCACCGAUAGUAAUGGCUCGUGUAAAGACGGUGAUGAUUUGGUAUACGAGUCGACGGAGAGGCGUUGGAGAGAAGAAACCGCCGGAGAAGAACCACCAACAAAUGCUUCGGAGUUUGAGACUCCAAAAGGAACCGCGGAGAUGGAAGUUGAUCCGAUAGAACCACCAACAGAUGCAUCGAAGAUUGAGAGUCGGAAAGGUACCUCCGACAUGGAAGAGGAUUCCGAGAGUGAAAAAGAAACUCCGAAAGAAACUAAAAUCGAUAAGACCGAGUUAGCCCGAGAGGCUGAGCGAGAGAAUGAUCCAACAGAAGGAGUUGGUGGCUUGAAUGGUUCAGGAGAAGCGUCCAUAGACGCAGUAGAAGGAAGAGAUGGGCCAGAAACAGAAGAACCUCCCAGAGAAACGGAAAAUGUAAUUGUAAUGGAAAAAGGGAUAGUCUCCUCACGAAGCGUUGCAUGCGUCAGCAGCAGCAGCCUCUUGGAGCUGGCCUCGACGAUCCAAUCAACCUGCAUAUUCUAUGGAAGGUGAUCUGAAAAAUGAGGUAUGCGUUCUUACUUGGCAUUGUGCACUCAUGGUCAUGCCAAUUAGAUAGAAUUUAAUGUCCGUUGUUUCACAUGUUUUAAGAAUCCUCUGUUCCUUUCCAUGAAUUUUCUUAUGUUUUCUUUUCCAAUAAUUGCAGAAAUCGUUUUCAUUUGCAGUGAGAGAUUCACUAGUUAAUGUUGGUCCAAUAAAAGAUUUUGCGUAUGGCUUAAGGAUUAAUGCUGAUGCAAACACCACUGGGAUUUCCAAACAGAGCAAAUAUGAAUUGGUGAGCCGUUUAUUUGGAAGUUUUAUAUUAUACUAGCUGCGGAAAUGUUUUGUACAAAAUAUAACUUGCUUAGGGUUGUUAUUUAGUAAUGUCUAUUUUUGAACUAUUCUUUUAAUUAACAAUGAAAUCCUUUGUUCUACAAAUUUUGUAGUUGACAUGCUUGCCUCGUAUUUGUGUAAAAACUGUAAACGCCAUACUAAAUUUUUGUAUUUUGGCGUUGAGGUGUGCUGUUCUAUUCAUGGGAAGAAGUGGAAGGAAGAACUUGAUCAAGAAAUGGAAAGAAAGCGCACAAGUCAAGUCUUGUAUGCAAUCGUUUAUUUAGGUACAACUGGUAUAUUUAGGUACAACUGGUAUAUUUUGGUUUUGUAGUGUUGCUCUGUCAAAGAUAGAGGAUAAAUGGAAGGAAGAGCUUGAUCAAGAACUGGAAAGAAAGCGCACAAGUCAAGUCUGCACGUACUUGUGGAUUAAGAUUGCACAUGACUUAUGUUUUUGUAUUUCAUUUUUGUAUUUUGUUGUGUUGUGGAUUAAGAACAUAUGACUUCGUAUUUUUGUAAACCAAAAAAAUAUUUAGAUUAUAUUUAUGUUCAAUUGGUUUUGUAGGUACAACUAGUCUAUUUAGGUACAACUAUGUGUAUGGAUUACUUAUAAGAAAGUACAACUAGAUCACUUUGGUACAACUGAGACAAUUAAAAAUAACAUUUUAAAAAACAAUUUUUAAUAAAUUUCAAAGAAUUAAAAAAUAUAUAUAUAUAUCCACGUAAGCAUCAUUUUUGGCGGCGGGAUAUUAUUUUUAAUCCACGUAAGCAUCAUUUUGGCGGCGGGAUAUUAUUUUUAAAUCAUCACACGUGUGGUAAAUUGUUUUGUUUUAAACAUAGUUGUACUAGUUGUCCAGUUGUACUCACAUGUUCAUAGUUGGACUUUGGCGAUUUUUGCGUAUUUUCAGUUGGACUUUAAUAAAAAUUAGUAAUUUUAAGUUGGACAUAUGUUGUUACACUAUUAAUUAUCAUCUAAGAAGUUUUCAUAAUACAAUUUGUACGAAAUCAUAAUUUUCACCUAUUUUGUAUCAAAAGAAGUGAUCACCUACAAAGUGUUCCUUGUACUAUAAGGAGUGUUUCAUAUGAAAACAAUAGUAUGCACUAGGAAAAUGAUAAAUUCAAGUUUUAUUUAUUUAAAAUUGUUUCUUUUUUAGUUCAACAUGUUUUUGGAAUCCUUGUUAACUCUAAUUUAUCGUUUUUCUUAUUUGUUGAAUACACAUACGGAUACAUUUAUGGUCUUAGUUGUACCUUGUCAAAACCUAAUUAUACCUAGUUGAACAUAGUUGUAUGAAUACGACAAGUACAUAUACUGAUACAUAUAUGGUUAUAGUUAUAGUUUUAGUUGUACCCAGUAUAUUUAUGGUCUUAGUUGUACUAGUCGGUCCUAGUUGUACCAGUCGAAUCUAGUUGUACCCGGUCGAACAUGGUUGUACAGAAGAAAUACGUAUACAUUUAUGGUCUUAGUUGUACUCAGUCGAACCUAGUUGUACAUAUACGACGAACACAUACAUAUACAAAUAUGUUCUUAGUUCCUUUAUAUUUACUUCCUUUAGACCAACACUCGAUUCCAUAACCAUCGUAUCUUCCAUUGAUCCAAUCUACUUCAUAUCUUCCAUUAACGAAAUAAUAGUACACUCCACUUCCGUUACACUUCCCUCUGUUGAAUUCACCUUCGUAGAAAUCUCCAUUGCUAAAAUAUUGAACUCCUUCUUUGACGACCAGUCUCUGUUCUUCUUCUUUGAUCGGUUCCGGUUUUGUAUCUCCGAUGUACCAUUGAACCGGUUUCGGUUUGUGUUUGAUUCGAGACCUUACGCGAAUCUGUUUGAUUGCGAUUACGAUUUGGUUAAUAACCGCCAUGUUUCUCGAUGCGAAGAACAGAGCAAGAGCGACGAAAAUCAAACCUAGUAACAGAUUCUCCGACGUAAAAAUCUCAUCAACGAAGAAUAGUAAGAAAGACGAGAGACUUAGGAAAGAGAGACAAGCGAGUGUGAAUGCGAGACCCGGUUUAAUUCGGUUAAUAGACCCGAAUGAUUGAACCGGUUUUCUUCUCCUCUGUUUCUCUUCUUUCUCACCGGCUUCUAGAUCUUGUUCACGGCGGGGGUAAGAGAUUUCGUUGAAGUCAUCACAUUCAGUGAUUGAAGAAAGGCUUUGAAUCGACGAUCGAAUCGUCGGAGAUGAUCUGAGUAACGACGAUUGAGUCCUCGUCAGUUUCUUUUGGCUCAUCUCCGUGGAAUAAAAAAAUUGCAAAACAGAACAAGAAACAAAAAAAUUUAAGCUUUUUGAUUUUGAAGGCUUGAGAGUAGAAUCACCACUUUCUUUCUCGAUUUUUCCGGCCAAAUCUUAAACGAUAAUACGUUAACCACCACUGCACCACCGUGCCAAGCAUCGCAAAACGGAGAAGAACACGAGAGAUCUCUCAACUCCAGCAAAAUCUUGUUCUUGUUCGUCGUUUUUGUUCUCCGAUACCGGAGAGUUUUCACGGCGAAGCUCGAUUUCAAUUUUGUUUUAAAAAAAAAAAAAAUAAAUCAGAUAAAUCAUUAAGGGUAUAAGGGUAUUAUCCACUCUAUGGAUGGCAUUCAGACUCAAAAAUGGCAGUCCUGAUUCAUUUUUCUGGUUUAGUGGCAUUCUAGCCUGUGGCUCAUCCAGUACCCACCUCAGUUCUCCUAGAGAUUACUUCACUGAUUAGUAAUCUCUCUGUGUAGUACACUUAGUCACUAGUACUUUUGGAUCUUUCUGUUUUUUUUUUUUUUUGGUUAUAAAACCAGAAGAAGAAGAUAACUGUUUUUUUUUUUUUUUUUUUUUUAAUUUAAUACUUACCAUUAUCAUCAUCUUUGUAGAGAGAUAUGCAUCAUUUCGUCCCUGACUUCGAUACCGAUGAUGAUUAUGUCAACACCAACAAUAAUAAUUCAUCUUUGAAUCAUCUUCCUAGAAAAUCCAUUACUACUAUGUAAGUUCUUUUUCUCAAACUUUUUUUCGAUUUUUAUUUAUUAAUAUUUUAAGAAGAUCUGAGUUUUUAUAGUAUUGAAAACUUUAGGGGUGAAGAUGAUGAUGAUCUUAUGGAGCUUUUAUGGCAGAACGGUCAAGUUGUUGUUCAAAACCAGAGACUCCACAAUAACAAUACGAAGAAACCUUCUUCUUCUUCUUUUCCGACGAAGCUUCUUCAACCUCCGAUUCCUCCUUCUAUGGAUAAUCAUCAGCAGCAGCAGCAACCGUCGUCAGAUCAGAAUCUUUUUAUUCAAGAAGAUGAAAUGACUUCUUGGCUUCAUUAUCCUCUUCGUGACGAUGAUUUCUGCUCUGAUCUCCUCUUCUCCGCCGCACCAACUCCUCCCUGUGCGACGAGUCAUGUGGUCACCGCCGUAAGACCGCCAGUACCAGUACCGUCUUCGUCGAAUGAGUCGAGGCCACCGGUGAGGAAUUUCAUGAAUUUCUCGAGGCUGAGAGGGGAUUUUAGUAACGGUAGAGGUGAAUCUGGACCGAAGACGAUUGUGAGAGAAUCGACUCAGGUAAGUCCUAGCGCAACACCGUCGUCAGCGGCGGCGAGUGAAUCUGGUUUAACACGGCGGACGGAUGGUACUGAUAGCUCCGCCGGACUUAAUCGGAAAGGAAAAGCAGUGGCUAUGACGGCGCCGGCGAUUGAGAUUACCGGUACAUCGUCUUCUGUAGUGUCAAAGAGCGAAAUCGAACCGGAGAAGACGAACUUCGAUGACAAGAAACGAAAAGAGAGAGAAGCCACCACCGAGGAAGCUGAGUGCCGUAGCGAGGUGAGUCAUUUGAAACUAUCGUGCGCAAGUAAGAUUCGGCGCAUUUUAGUCUGGCUUCAUAGAUUUCAGCGCAUUUUAAAAUAACGUUUUCAUUUGGUGGUGUUUUUCUUGAGGUGCAGGAAACAAAACAAGCACGUGGAUCAACAACAUCUACCAAGAGAUCUCGUGCUGCUGAAGUUCAUAAUCUCUCUGAAAGGGUUUGUGUUUUUUUUUGUUUUUCUUAUGUUUUUGUAAUCUUUUUCGAUAAAGAUUUGACAUCGAAUCUAAAGAAUGACGCGAAUUUGGUAACAGAAACGGAGAGAUAGAAUCAAUGAGAGGAUGAAAGCUUUGCAAGAACUCAUACCUCGCUGCAAUAAGGUCUUCGACGAUCUUUUUACUUUCUCAUCAAGUUAGUUUUUAUACAUAAAAUUUGUUGCUGAUUGUUGUUUCUUUGAUUCUCAGUCGGAUAAAGCUUCAAUGUUAGAUGAAGCUAUUGAGUACAUGAAGUCUCUACAGCUUCAAAUACAGGUUCAUUUUCUUGAACAUGUGAUUUUAUUAGUCCACCCAACCGUACACGAUCCUUGAGUAAUGAUUCUGAAGUUUUUCAGUUGUAAAAAUUUAGGAACCAAUAGAUGAUUGUAUUUUUGUUUAAGUUCAUGAAAAUUUAUACUUUACCAUGAGAUUAAUGCAGGUGAUGUCAAUGGGAUGUGGAAUGAUGCCAAUGAUGUAUCCCGGUAUGCAACAGUACAUGCCUCACAUGGCAAUGCGUAUGGGUAUGAACCAGCCUCUUCCUCCUCCUUCCUUUAUGCCAUUCCCAAACAUGUUAGCGGCUCAAAGACCUUUGCCUACACAAACUCAGAUGGGCGGCUCAACACCGCAAUACCCUGUUCAUGCUUCUGACCCGUCAAGAGUCUUUGUACCGAACCAGCAGUAUGAUCCAACUUCGGGCCAGCCUCAGUAUCCUGGUUACAUGGAUCCAUAUCAGCAGUUCCGCGGUCUCCACCCGACCCAACCACCUCAGUUUCAGGUACUUUACUUACCACCCUUCGUCUGUUUCACAAUAGCCUAGUUCCUUUGUUUACAAGUCACAAGAUCUUAUCUUUUUUCUUGUAGAAUCAAGCAACAUCGUACCCAAGUUCGAGCAGGGUAAGUAGUACCAAGGAAUCUGAUGAUCAAGGAAACCACAAAACAGGUUAAUGCCUAGAGCAACAAGAUGAUCUGUUUUCACAAGCAAACACAAUUUUGAGAAAUUGACAGAGAGACCUAACAUGUAUAUUGCCAUCUGUUUCUUGUUUUUGUUUUGUUUUGUUUUGUUUUGUUUUGUUUUGUUCUCUCUUCUCAGGUUGUUAUACUUAGAGAGCUGUACAUGUAAUGAUCCAGAGAUCUAGGAAUCAAUACAUAGAGGUUGCAGAGGCUUAGUGCAGAGAAUAGAUGAGAAAGUUAGGUUCAUAUACAACAAACCCGAUCAUUAUUCUUUCUCGUCUCUUAUUAUUACUUUUGACAAAGCAAAUCUUGAUAAGCUACUAAGGAAUCAAUAUCAGUUAAUAUACACAUAUAUUCCACUCCCAUGGAUUUAACGAUACAAUGCAUGCGCAAACAAAUCCAACAACAAAUGUUUAGUCCUUGCAACUAAGCUGACACAAAAAUGUAAAUAGACUGACAAAAAAACGAACAAACAAAAGUAUGAAAAGUUAAUGAUCCAAUUGGACAAGCAUUGCCCAUUUUGUACUCUCUUUCAUAGGAUUUCUUCAUCUAAAAACGUAGUGAUGUCAACUAAUAUGAUAUCUCCAUGAACAUAAUAUCCAAAAAAUAAAGCUAAAAGAAAAAAAGCAAACAAAUUUCUCAAACCGUUAAGACUUGAUAUCUCCAUGACCAUAAUAAGACUUGAGAAACAUGCAUAUGAAAUAUUGUAUUCGCUAAAUAAAGAAGAUGUAAAAAGAAGUUUUAACAUUAUAGGCUUAUAGCAUUUGAAAACAUCUGUUUUACUCUUUCCUUAACACAUAAAAAUAGAAGAUACACUUGAAGAUUUGUUAAGUAAUUAUGCAUCCUCCUGGUCCUCCAUAGUAAAUUGCACUAGACCACUCCUCACCAACCCCUGAUUUUGUUUCGACUUUAUAACAUUUUGGAGUGUUUGCGAAUAAUAUUAAAUCUUUAGUUGGUGGACUUCUAAUUUUUUCUACUUCACGAUCGAUCACUUUAAGACCAUUCACAAAAGCUGCCUUUUUGAAACCUUCUUGUGGGAAAUGUCCACUUCCCAUGAUUGGGUUUGUGCUCUGUCUCACUGCAUUGAAAACUUCUCCUCCCCAAAACACCCGACUUGCUCCAUUAGCUAAACCAUCAACAUGAAACAAUGAUCUUGGCCAAUACCCAACUGGCUCGUUCUUUAGCAAAAACCACCAGUUUCCUGUAACAUUAUCCUGCUUAAACCAAAAGCAGUAAAGAUUUGGAUUAGAGUUUUUUUUUUUUUUUUUUUUGGUUUUAUAAACCAAAUGAAAACAUUUGUAGUUCUUUGGUUUUGGUUCAUGAAACCAAAUCAAAACCAAAAUUCAUAAAUUUUUGUUUAUUCUUCAUUCGAUUACACAAAACUAAUUUUGGGUUGUUUCCGACCUGUUGAGUUAUAAGUAAACAAAUAUAAUCAUCGAUCUAUAAACAAAUUUGCAUUGGGUUUGGUUUAAGUAUUGCAGUUUGGGCUGGUCGAUAUUUUUAUUACCUUUUUUGUGUCAAUAUACCAAACUGUUACUAGUCAAUAUGAUGGGAUUUGAGAAAAUUGGUGCUAUAUACCUGAUAAAUGAUGGCUUCUAAAUAAUAUUGUUCACCACCAUAAGUGGAAACUGGUUUGGCAAGAGUUCCAAGUGCCGACUUGCUACUCACUUGUACAAAUCCGGGACAUACUGUAUUGUAGCAACCUGUCUUCUCAUGCCCAUCUGCCUGUUUCCAAUCAUAAUUUAAAACCAAUUUAGCCAGUUUGGCUGGACAAUGUAGUGAACUAUCAAACUUUAAAUAUGUUAGAAGAACUUACCGUCCAAUAUGUAAAUAAGCCACUAUGAUUUUGAUUUAGUUUCGGGGACACCUGUGAGAUAUUUAUUUUUUUACAAUUUUACAGGUUUUCUUUUUGAAUUGUUAUGAAAUUUUGAAGUAAUAUGGUUUUGUGACUUACUAUCCAUCCAGCUGAAAUGCUUUGUAAAUUGUUUCUAAGGCCGUUCUCGACAUAUAUACUUGCAAGACUAAAUUGAUCAGGUUCGACAGGCGGAUCCCAUAUAUUUAUGUUUCCCGUUGCUCCAUAAUUGUCUUUAUAGUAUUCAGCUAUCGCAAACUAAGAUAAUCAAAAGACAAAGAAACAAAAAAAAAUCUAAGCACUUGUUAGGGUAUUAAAUGGUCUCAACAAUCUCAAUAAGAAGUGUUUCUUACAUGACGGCUGGUCAUAUUGAGGACGUUAUUGUCUUCUGAAGUUGUAUACUUAAACCCUAAAGAUUUCAUACGUUGAAUUUGUAUAAGUUCUUCAAGUGUAGUUCUUUUAAUAAUCACUGUUCCAAGCGGACAACUUAUGUCUUCAUCUUGUCGAAAUGGUAGAGAACUUGAUUUUUGAGAAGUGAUUUUAUCUCUUGUCCAUUUAGGUAUGGUUGUAGGCUUCAACUGCAUAUGAUAAUUUAAUCCAUUAGGGAAGAAAAAAAGAGUCUUGAAGAGCUUUAACUUGUAUUUUGUAGAAUAAAACCUGAAUAGAAUGGUUUUUGAGCGAAGGAUGAUCAAAGGCUAGCUGCUUUUGAAUGUCGAUGCAGUCUAAUAUAUAACCAUGUUUCGUCUGUCAAUAUACGAGGUAAAAAGAACAUUAAUGUGCUCUGAAAAAGGAAGAAAAUGCAACUUCAAUUGUUGCACUCUUUAAAAAACAAUGUCGAUUCAAAUAUUACUGAGAACCAAAGCCGUUAAGAGUUUUGACCUUUCAGUUUUUUCUUAUCCAAAAUGCAAAUUGGCUCAAAACAAAUACUAUAGCUUUAUUAAAAUAGUUUACAACAACAAAUACUUAUAUCACAGACCGUAUUUGUAGAAAACAACAUAAAUUUUAUCGUUCAACAUAGAAAGUUUAAGAAAAAAGCUCAAUUUACUUGGAAACUUUUUAUUGCUGGUUUAUUAAUAUGGUUGAGUAGUUUCUCGAGCUCUUGUUUCUCCUUUUUCAAUGGUAUUGUUCUUCGACUCUCUGUAACUAAAAUGAGAGUUAUUGUAUAAAAAGUCAGAAGGAUAAGCUUAUUAGUGCAUGACCUCAUGAUAUCAAGGAUCAUAAACUGUUUUUUACAAAAGAUGAAUGAAGCAUAGCAACUAUAUAUAUGGUGCACAUUAAUAUGAAACUAUUAAUUAAAUAAAUUAAAAAUCUGAAAAAAUUAAUGAGGUAUAGAUAACAUAUGAAAAUCAUUAAUAAAGUAAAAUAAAGUCCAUCGUCCACCAUUGGAAAGACAAAUGGUGGACGAUGGACUUUUAAAAUUGUAGGGGAUUUAGAUUUUUACAAAAAAAAAGUAAAAAAACUUUAAGAACAUAUUUUCCCAAUAUCACACUUUAAUUAAUUUUAUUUUUAAUAACAAAGGUUUUUUUUUUCUUAAUACUGACAUCCAUUUUUCUUCUUGUCAUAAUUGUUUUUGAAGCCAAUUAUUUAUGACUUUAUUUUAGUUUUAAAUCAAAAGUCUUAGUUAUUUUAAAGUCUAAAAAUUUUAAAUUAAGAUCAUGUAAGUUUAAGUCCCAACCAAUCAACCUCAAACUUUCAAUGACAAGAGUUCCAGUUUAGGUUUAUUUCAUUCACAUACUAGAUACUACAAAAUAAGAAUUAAUUUGAGUUCAAUCAUAGAUUCUAACUCAUUUUCAUUAAUAACAAACAAAAAAACUGUAAUAAUGUAACACAAAUAUAACAAACAAAUAAAACUGUAACAUGGACUUACCCAUUACACAGUGCUCACAGAAACCUAAUUUCUUGACAUCCUUCUUGUCAAGCAGGCCUUUGCUAGAUAAUAUCUUCAUGUUGUUGAAACUUAAGUGUCCAAGCUUGUUGUGCCAUAAUGCAGUGUUAUAUCUCUGUUCUUCUCAACAUUACAGUUCUCCUGCAUCACAGUUUCUCCUUCCAGCACAUAUAGACCGUUCGUCAGAACUCCACACAAAGCCGUUGUGUUGUUCUUAAAAUAUCCCGCUUUUCUUUUAUCACCUUCAUCAUGUAAAAACGUCUCAUGUAUAAUUUGUUUAUCAUAACCCACAAUUUAGUUGUUGUAUAUAUCACAGUGAUUUAUGAUUAUAUUCUUGGCCUGCUUUGACUGCUCAAGUUUAUUAACUAGUUGCUAACUUUACAAUCUGACUUAUUUUACUAAUAUAUAUUUUCAUUUACUUGCCAUAUUUACUGAAAAUAUUUAUUAAAGAAGAUUCCAACUAAUAUGGUUUGUUGUUAUUGAAUUCUCCACUUUAACUGUUGCUAAGUGUUGAAAAAGUAAAUAUAUUAGAACAAAGUAAAUGUCAUAGAAACAAUUUUUUAUAAAAUUUAUAAACAAAAAAUCUCACUAUAUAUGUUAUACAAUAUCUUAAAAUUUACAUUGAGUUGAUAAGAGAUACCAAAAAUUAAAUUUUACUUUAGGUGAAAUUCAAUCUUAUCUAUAAUUGUAACAAUAUAUGGUUAAUAAUUUUUUAAAUAUUAAUUAAAUUACAAUAUUGGUAUAACAUCUAUAAAAUCUAAUCAAUAUUAUUUUAUUAGCAUGUGUGUAGUAUAUGGAUCAAAUAUUAAAAGAAAAUAAGAGCCUAAUUAAUUAAAUUAGGAUUUUGUUAUAUAUAUUUCCUAAAUUGAAGAUUUGACCCCACUCUCAACUCAUUAUAAAAAGAGAGACUUUCAUAGCUUCUUCAAAAAUCUUAUUCUUCGUUUAACCAACAAAACAAAAGAAAUAUGUCUUCGAACAAGAUUGUGUUGACUAGCUCCGAUGAUGAAUCUUUCGAGGUUGACGAAGCGGUGGCUCGUAAAUCGCAGAUCAUAGCGCACAUGAUCGAUGAAGAUUGCGCCGAUAAAGCAAUCCUGCUUCAAAACGUCACUGGAAAGAUCCUCGCUAUCAUUAUCGAGUAUUGCAAGAAACACGUUGAUGAUGUUGAUAGUGAAGCAAAGAAUGAGCUCGUGAUGACUUGGGACGCAGAGUUCAUGAAAAACAUUGAUAUGGAAACAGUCUUCAAACUCCUUAACGCUGCUGACUAUCUCAACGUCAAAGGUCUUCUUGAUCUCACUAGCAACACCAUUGCAGAUUACAUCAAAGAUAAGAAGGUAGAGGAAAUACGAGAAAUCUUUAACAUCGAGAACGAUUAUACACCUGAGGAAGAAGAAGAGCUUCGCAAGCAGAAAGCAUGGGCAUUUAAGGAUCAAAAUUAAAACCCUAAAGUUCCGUUUUCUAAGUGUUGAUCUCGAUGUUCUUUAAUCUUUGUUGAUGACUUAGCUUUUGUCUCUUUCUUUAAGUGUGUGAUUGCCUUCGUCUCUUUGAUUUCAUGGUUUGUGGCCGGUUCCUUUUGAAUUUCAUGGUGUUAUAAUGUUUAGUAAUCUUUACUUAGAUAUAAUAAGCCAAUGUCUUUUGCUAAUUUAUUUCCAACCAAAGAUCCUCCGGCGAUUCUGAAUUCUUCGCCACCGUUUGGGCACUGAAAAGUUAUCAUAAUACAUGUGUCUUAACUCUUAUCUAGGGUUAAUUUCUCUAUUCCCAAUCUUUUUCUCAAACAUUUAUUAUAAAUUACGAUUUCUUUUAGCCACGUAGUGAAAUUCAUAAUGAAAUGAUAUUUCAAUGCAUAUUUAGAUCAUAUAUCCCAAUGUAUUAUUUACAUUAACUUAGAUCAUGACACGUGUUACAUCACAUAUUAAAUUUUAUUUAUUAACGAAAUCUUAUUAUAUAAAAUAUAGUUUUUAUAGUUAGUAAGUCAUAGAAUCGUGCCACGUGUCAAAUUAAUGGAUUUCAGAUUUUGAAACGUGUAAAUAAAAAAAAUUUCCUUUUAAUAAAAAAAAUAAUUAUAAAAAAUUAUAAUUUAAACAGUUUUAAAAUGUAAAAAAACUAAUUAUAAGGAAAUUGUACCUAUAAUUCCAUAAGAUAUUUUGCCAUCUAGCAAACAAAAGUUUUGUUUUUAACAACUUAAAAAUUGUUAAAAGAAAAAUACAACAAAAUUAUAAAUUUAAACAGUUUUAAAAAUAUUAUAAUAAGAAAACUAUAAGUAUAUAUUUGUUCUUUUGCUUCGGAAUCACGGGACCAUCUCCUCCUCUUCCGCGAGUUUUCCUCUCAGGUUUGGCGCUUGGUUUUCAGCAGGUUAUGCCCUCGUCAGAGGCUGUUUUGCUCCUGGGCAGAACUACUCUCCUGGUCCCGGCGAGCUUCAGCCUCUGCUCCUUCUCUCCUCAGAAAAGUGGCAGCUCAGGCAGUGGUGUAUACUGUGGCGGCAGCGAAAUAAUGUCCUCCACAACUCUCAACGGCUUGCUCCUUCAGUUGUUUUCAAGCUGGUGGAUCGUGAUAUGCACAACAUCAUCUCUUCCAGAAGACUUCGGCGGCGUUGGUGUUAUCUGAUGUUGCUUUGGACUCGUUAGAUUGUUCUAUCUCUAUCUUAGUUGUUAUUGUACCCAUGUUUUUGUUUUUUUUGACAUGGUUGCUCUUGUGUAGGUUUGCUCUCUUGUAAAGCCUCAAACAUUCAUUCAUUAAUGAUAUUUACUUCUUUAGCAAAAAAAAAAAAGUAUAUAUAAAGAAAUUAUAUAUAUUUUUUCCAUAAAAAUAGAAAUUCUAAAAUUGUGCUAAACUUUUUAUUUAUAAGUUACCAAUUGGAUAACAGGUCCUCGUCUUGUCGAAAUGGCAGAGAACUUCAACUGCAUAUGCUAAUUUAAUCCAUUAGGAUCAACGAAAAGAGAAAAUCUUGAAUAGUUUUUACUUGUAUUUUGUAGAAGAAUCCUGAAUCGAAUGGUUUUUGAGCGAAGGAUGAUCAAAGGCUAGCUGCUUUUGAAUGUCGAUGCAGUCCAAUAUAUAUGUAACCAUGUUUUCGUCUGUCAAAAUACAAAGCAAAUAAGUAAAUUGAUGUGGUCUAAUAAAGAAAAUGUUAUUUUGAUUCCAAAGUGAGGUUAAAAGUUGUGGCUAUUCGGGUUUUUUUUACUAAUCUAAAAUGCAAAAGUAUCUUUGGUUCUAACUUCUAAGCAAUAAGUAUAGCCUAGUUUUACAACAUCAAAUUUGAACAGAUAAAACAAAAAUGAAAGAAACUUAUUGAAAUAUGAGUUUUUUUAGUUCUUUCCUAUACACUGUUAUAAUAAUUGAGCUAAUUCAUUUAAUUUCUUAUGACAUAUAAAUUUCCUAUAAUUUUUUUCUUUCACUCAUCCUAAAAAUAUGCUUUUAAAAGUAAUCGUAUACGAUUGCUUGUAUCACAGACCAUAUCAGUAGAAAGAUAAUAUAAAUUUUGACGUUCAACAAUUUAUUUGUUUAAGAGUAACAUCAAAAGUUUUAAAAUUAAAAAGUUAAAUUUACUUGGAAACUUUUUACGUACUACAUGUGUUUUUUUUUCUUUUGAUGGUAUUGUUCUUCGGCUAUCAGUAACCAAAAUAAGAGUAAUUGUUGACAAAGUCAACCAGAUAAGCUUGGUGGAGGACCUCAUAGAAAAUCAAGGAUCUUAAACUAUUAUUACCAAAGAUGAUUGAAGCAUAACAAGUAUAUAUAUGGUCUCACAUUUAUAGGAAAUAAUUAAUAAAAUAAAAAACAAAAUCUGAAAAACAUUAAUAAAAUAUGAAAAAGAUGUUAAAGAUCUGUUAACUAAUUGUGCAUCCUCCUGGUCCUCCAUAAAAAAUUGCACUAGACCACUCCUCACCAACCGUUGAUAUCGUUUGGACGUUAUAACAAGUUGGACUGUUUGCAAAUAACAUUAGACCCGAAGUUGGGGGACUCCUAACUUCUUUUGAAACAUGAUCGAUCACUUUAAGACCAUUCACAAAAGCUGCCUUUUUAAAGCCCUCUUGUGGAAAAUGUCCACUUCCCAUGAUUGGGCUUAUCAUGUUUUCCACUGAACUAAAAACUUCUCCUCCCCAAAAUAUCCGAUUUGCUCCAUUAGCUAAGCCUUCAAAAUGGAACAAUGAUCUUGGCCAAUACCCAAUUGGCUCGUCGCCUAGCACAAACCACCAAUCUCCUGUAUAAUAAUCCUGAUUUAACCAAAAGCAUUAACUCUUUUAGAAAUGGCGAUUCAGAUUUUAGUUUUGUUUAGUUUUAUUUUCUUUUUGGAUUAAUAGAAAUUGAAACAUAAUGAAAACAUUUGUAGUUUCUUUUGGUUUUGGUUUUAUUUAAUGCAAUUUCGGUUUAUGAAGCCAAAUCAAAACAAAAACUCAUGACUUUUGGUUUAUAUAUAUACUCAAUUCGGUUUAGACUAAAUAAUUUUGAUUUGUUGGCGGUUUAAGAAGAUAAUACUCAGCGAUCUAUAAACAAAAUUGUGGUUUGGUUUAAAUUAUUAAAUUUGGGUUGGUCAAUAAUUAUUUUAUUACAUUUUUUGGUAAAUAUAUCUAACUAUUACUCUCUCCGUUUCGUUUUACUUGUCGUUUUAGAGUUGAAAUUUUGUUUUAUAAUAGUUGUCGUUUUAGGUUUUCGAUGCAAAUGUUUGGUGAAAAUUCCAGUUUUAUCCCUACUGUUUUAAUGUUUCGGCCAAUGAAUUUUUUUAUAAAAUAUAUUAAUAAAGGGUAAAACAGAAAAUUUAAUGUUUUUCUUAAUUUGUGUGAGAAAACCUUAAACGACAAUUAAAACGAAACGGAGGGAGUAUGUAACUUAUGAGAGUAGUUUGAGAAAAAUGGUGCUACAUAUAUACCUUGAAUAAGCUGACUUCUAACUGAUAUUGUUGACCAUCAUAAAUGGAAACAGGUUCGGCACGAGCUCCAAGAGCGAACUUGCUGCUUACUUGAACAAACCCAGGACAUAAUGUACUAUAGCAACCUGUUUUGUUAUAUCCAUUUACCUAUUUUAAACAAUAAAAAACAAGAUAGUUUAUCCAGUAUAACUAGACUAUAUAUGUAAUAAAUUACCAAAAUUUAAAUAUUUUUGAGGAUCUUACCGACCAAUAUGUAAAUAAGCCACUAUGAUUCUGGUUCAAUUUUGGGGAUACCUGGGGGAUUUUGUUCUUUUCAAUUAUAUAGAUAUUUUGAAUUAUUAUGAAAUAUAAACUAUUAGAUUUUUGACUUACUAUCCAUCCAGCUGAGAUGCUCUGUAACGUAUCUUUAAGACCGCUCUCGACAGAUAUACUUGCUGGACUAAGUUGAUCAUCUUUGACAAAUGGAUCCCAUAUAUUAAUGUUUCCCCUUGCUCCAUCAUUGUCUUUAUAGUACUGAGCUAUCGCAAACUAAGAUAAUCAUAAGGAGAAAACCAAAAUAUAAGCACAUAUGUGUUAGGGUGUUAAGGUCUCAACUAUAUGAGCAAGAAGUGUUUCUUACAUGAUGACGGUUCAUACCGGGGCAGUUCCCGUCUUGGGGUGCUGGAUACUUGAACCCUAAGGAUUUCAAACGUUGAAAUUGUAUAAGAUCUUCAAGUGUAGUUCUUUUAAUAAUCACUGUUCCAAGUGGACAACUUAUGUCGUCAGCUUGUCGAAAUGGCAGAGAACUUGAUUUUUGAGAAGUGUUGUUAUCUCUUGUCCAUUUAGGUAUAAUUGUAGGCUUCAACUGUAUAUGAUAAUUUAAUCCAUUAGUAAAAAGAAAGAAUCUUGAAUAGCUUUUGGUUGUAAUUCAUAGAAUAAAACCUGAAUCGAAUGGUUUUUGAGCGAAGGAUGAUCAAAGGCUAGCUGCUUUUGAAUGUCGAUGCAGUCCAAUAUGUAACCAUGUUUCGUCUAUCAAAAUACGUACAAAGCAAAAAAAAAAAAAAAUGAUGUGGUCUAUAAAAAUGUUAUUUUGAUUCGAAAGUGAGGUUAAAAGUUGUGGCUAUUCGGUCAUUUUUUAAAAUCUAAAAUGCAAAAAUAUCUUUGGUUCUAAUGUAAACAAUUAGAAUAGUUUAACAACAUCAAAUUUGAGCAGAAUAACAAAAAUGAAAAGAGUAUUAUUGAAAUAUGAGUUGUUUUAGUUCUUUCCUACACUGUCAUAACAACUGAGCUAAUUCAAUAUUUAAUAUCUUAAUUAGGACAUAGAAAUUUCCCAUAUUUCAACAAUUUAUUUGUUUAAGAAUAACAUCAAAAGUUUAAAAAGAAAAAGUUAAAUUUACUUGAAAACUUUUUACUGCGGGUUUAUUAAUAUGGUUGAGUAGUUUCUCUAGCUCAUUUUUUUUCCUCUUUUGAUGGUAUGGUUCUUCGGCUCUCGGUAACGAAAAUGAGAGUUAUUGUUGACAAAGUCAACAAGAUAAGCUUGGUGGAGGACCUCAUAGAAAACAAAGGAUCUUAAACUAUUAUUACCAAAGAUGAUUGAAGCAUAACAACUAUAUAUAUUAUAUAUGGUCUCACAUUUAUAGGAAAUAAUUAAUAAAAUAAAAAAACAAAAUCUGAAAAACAUUAAUAAAAUAUGAAAAACAUUAAUAAAGUAAAAAAAAAAUCUGAAAUUAUUGAAAACCAACAAAGAACCUAUAUAUAUUAUAUAGUGACUGACAUACACAAGAUGGAUGAUGUUACUUAAAUUGUUUUGGGGGAUUUAACUUCUAAAAAAACUUCUAAAAUAUGUGAUAAAUAUGAAUUUUGUAUGUUUAAAGUAAAACUUAAAAUUGAAAAAAAUUGUAAGAACAGAAGAGAGAACAAAUUAUAACAAAGUAAUGAGUGUAUCUAUAAUAUACAACAAGUAAAUGAAACUAAUUAUCUAGAUCUUUUGAUCAACAAAGUACAAAGUAAACCUAACGCAAACAUGAUUGGCCAAACCGAGAAUUUGAUGGGAGUGUCAUCUCUACGUGUGAUGAAUGAAUAGUUAACGGCAGUGAUAGUCGUUUGGCACAAGGCGCAAACCAAGCCAAGCAUCUCUGGAAAGCUACCAAAUCUGUUUGAUCUUUGAGUUUGAUAGUGAAACCAAGGAAUGGGCCAAGUCCACUUCCACACAACUCUCUCAACUCUGCCUUUGUGCAAGAGAUCUAUGAUGCAAAGUAGACAUGAUAACAAUGACAUUGACAUUGCAACCAAUGCGUAUAAAGGUUUAUGUGCAGAGGAGAUCUGGUCGAAAACAGAAGAAGCUAUCUCCAACAUGAGGUUUGUGAUGACUAGAGACCACUCAAUUAUAAUCUGCUAAAAAAAAAGACGGAAGUUUCAUUCGAAUCAUUUUCGCCAACAUAUUUGUUAGUAACAAGGCGGUUUUUUGAUCUAAAAGACCUUCAUUCUUGAGGCUCUUAGCAGCUUGUUUUCGAUUUCCCGAGCUAUUUCAUUCACCAACAUCUCCUCAUCACUGGGAAUAUAAGCAUAAGCAAAAGCACACUAUUUACAAGUAGAGAAAGCAGUGAUCAUAAUAUUAAUCCCAGAGCUUAAAACAUGUAUAAUGCAUCGUUUACAAACAACAACAACAACAACAAAAAAAAAAAAAUGCAAAAGAGCUAUAUGAGUAAUUGGGGAUAUACCUCAAAUAGGCAGUACUCCAUCCAGGGAGGUUAAUGGCUUCUGUAAAACCAUCUUUCCAUUCUUGAAGCUUUUCGGCUAUAUCCCGUCGCUUAGCAAAGGCAUCUCCAAAACUUCCUGUCUGAUUUUCAAUGUCGAGAGGAUCCACAUGGUAAAGGACAGGUAUCACAAUCUGACCAAACUUUUCUUUGCAUUUCAAGAUGGCUACAACUUCAUCUAAACACCAUUUCGAAUCCCCAAAGUUUUCCGAGAAAACAAUGACUGAAAUUCUCGAUACUUCGAUUGCUUUUAACGACUCUUCGUAUCUCUCUUCAGCCGGUAGUUCGUCAUAUAAGAAGGUUUUGAUCCGCUUCCUACGUAGACAGCCACAGAGAUGGCUCACGAAGUUGUCACGAGUGUCUUUGGCCCUGAAACUUAUGAACACAUCGUGUUUCAUUGUAAGACUUGAUGAAUUUAUUUUUCUAUUUUUAUCAUACAAGUCUCCCUUCUUCUGUAACCAUCUUUAGUUCUUUAUAACUUUCUUUGCAAUUUCCUAGAAAUUAUUAUCUCUACUAAAGUACAAAAACACACGACGUAACUCCUUUUUUCUAUUGCAAUUUUCAAACUUUCUUCGUAGUUUCUUGGAAGUGUAUGUAUUUAAUAUUUGAUUUAGACAUCAAUCUGUCGACAAAUAUCGACAGCAACUUAUGCUGACUUUCAUGUCAUGUUAGUACAAUCAAAUCAGUUUUCACUGGAUUGAAUUGAUUUUCGGAAGCACACUCGAUUAUGUUCUGUACCACUCCAACUUUUUUGUUGUAACCAACAGAAGCUUAGAAUUGCAAAUUGGACUAUAUUAGUAAUAACCAGAGUAAAAAUAAUGGAAAUUUCAAAUGAAUAUAUCUAUGAGGUGGUUCUGAAGAAUGCAAACUAAUAAAUUGCUAAUUUCUAAGCAGAUUAAUAAAGAGCAAACGAUUUUAUAUGAUCAGAAAAAGCUAAGCAUGGAGUGAAAUAGUAAAAUCGAGAAAAAGAGAGCAAACUCGAAAAAGAGAUUGAAAUAGUCGUUUGUGCUUCUUUCACAUGUAAAGACCUUCAGGGACUCCUUCUUUCUUCUUGAACAUAACCUUCUCCUUGGCCUUCUUGAAGUCCACAUGCGUCACCUAAACCAAUAGACCAAAUAAGGUUAUUCAAAGAUUACGUAGAUGAAUCAAGUGGUGAGAAUCAGAGAAUCUUUACUUUCAUCCGACGCUCUCUAAGAGCAAGCAGACCAGCUUCUGUGCAUAUCGCCUUUAUAUCAGCUCCUGAGAACUCGUCUUUCGUCAUUACAAACUCUUCUAAGUUCACAUCUUCAGCCAAAGUCAUCUUUGAUGUGUGUAUCUAAUAAUGGAAUGCAAUUAAAAACCCAUCAGAGCUUUCUACAAAACUCACAAAAUUAAAGAAAAGUUCAGGAUCACCAAUUGUGUGGUACCUGGAAGAUACGUCUCCUUGUUUUGAUAUCUGGAAGAGGGAACUCGAUUUUCCUGUCGAUCCGGCCUGGUCUAAGAAGUGCCGGGUCUAGACUUUCAAUUCUGUUUGUCGCGAGAAUAACCUUAACAUCUCCUCUUGAAUCAAAUCCAUCAAGCUGGUUCAGUAGUUCCAACAUGGUUCUUUGGAUUUCACGUUCACCACCUGAGUUUGCGUCAUACCUGUUUCAACCACCAUUUUAAAUCACUGAUUAGAUACCAUCUCCGAAGCAAAGUCCAGAACAUUGUUAUCAAUGGAUCAUGUUUGUGUAGUAUUUAGGCAUACCGCUUGGUGCCAACAGCAUCAAUCUCAUCUAUGAAAACAAUAGAAGGUGAAAGGUCAUCAGCAACCCUGAAAAGCUCCCUCACAAGCUUGGGACCAUCUCCCAGAUACUUCUGAAUCAGUUCACUACCGACAACACGCAAGAAAGUAGCUGAUGUAGAAUUCGCCACUGCCUGAAAGAAUAACAAGAAAUAAUACUUGCUCAUUUAACAAGCAUAAGACACAUUAAAAAGAGCCACACAGCAACAAUCCAUGCUUGCGACGUAGACAAAACAGAAAACGAAGACAUUAGAUCAGUAAAAUGACUCUGAAAAUCUUCCUCCAUCUGCACAAGUACUACUAUCUAAUAUCUAAAUUCUAGGUGAUCAAACCAAAGAAGCCACUGUCCUGACUAAUUUAUCUUUCUAGGGACAAAGAAUUACAGCUUAGCUUAGUGAAGAUUGCUAAAAGACUUAAUUGAGUAAUUAACAACUAGGAAGCUUCUAAUACUUGAUACACUAUAGGCCAAAAGACGAACCUUAGCAAGCAAUGUCUUCCCAGUGCCUGGCUCACCAUACAAGAUCACACCUUUUGGUGGCUUAAUACCGAUAUCUUCAUACAACUCGGGAUGUGUUAAAGGUAGCUCAACAGCUUCCUUGAUCUCCUGAAUCUGAGCUUCUAAACCUCCAAUGUCAGCAUAUGACUCUAAAGGAGCUUUCUCCACUUUCAUCACAGACACCAUUGGAUCAACUUCAUCUUGAAGAAUCCCAACAACAGAGAGUACCUAUCACAAAACAAUAUCACAUAGAAGAAGCAUUGUAAAAUUAGAUACUCUUCCAACUAAAUUCCUAUUUCAAUCUCCCAGAAAACGAAUCCCGAACUUCAAUACCUUGUUAUGCAUCAAAAUUGAACAACCAGGUUCAAGCUGAUCCUUAUCAACGAAAGACAAAAUCCCAACGUAAUACUCAGGACCAACAGAAGAAGAAACAAUGGCGUGAUUCUCAUCAAUAAGCUCUUCAAGAUUGCCAACACUCAUAGGUGUACCACGAAGAUCAUCAACUUUAGAUCUAUCUUCCUCAGCUUUCUCUUCCUGAGGUUUCAAUCUCUCCUGAUUCGCUACGAAUUCUUCUUCCAUAAGCAAAUAGUCCUUGAUUCGCUCCAGUUUAAGCAAUCGAAGCUUACAUUUAGUAGAAGGAGUCACCGUCGGCAAUCUCGCCGCCGCUUCAGGUCCUUUCUGCUUCCGUUGCUUCCUCCCUACACGAGCAGGUGGUGCGGCUGGUUCGAACUUCUUCUCUUUCUUGUCACCACCAUCUGGUUUCCGAUCUCCUUGCCGAUUCAAUCCGCCGGAAGGUCCUUGACCCAUUGGAGUUUCUUCUUUCUCUUUUGCUUCGUCUCUCUCUCUCUCAGAGGUUUCUUGCUCUCGGAGAAACAAAUCUUCAAAUUUGAUAGCGGAGUAGAGAAUAAAAAUGGGCUUAUUAGUUUGGGCCUUUUUAACGAUGUGAGAAGCUUAAUGGGCCUAGAGGUAUCGCAAUUUUUUCAAAACGGAUUCAACCUAACCUAUUACUUCCUCCAUUUCGAUUUACUUGUCGUUUUAGAGUUAAAAUUUUAUUUCAUAAUAGUUGUCGUUUUAAGUUUUUGAUGAAAAUGUUUGGUGAAAAUUCCAGUUUUAUCCUUACUGUUUUAAUGUUUCGGCCAAUGAUUUUUUAUAAAAUAUAUUAAUAAAGGGUAAAAUAGAAAAUUUAAUGUUUUUCUUAAUUUGUGUGAGAAAACCUUAAACGACAACUAAAACGAAACGGAGGGAGUAUCUAUUAUCUCAACUUAUUUAUUCAAAUAAGAAUUGAAUUUAUUCAUAUUGUUUGUGUAAGUACACAAUUUGAAAUGCAAAAACAAAAGAAAGAUACAAUCGCGGAAAUAUCAAUCAAAUCUUUAUAUUAGUCUUUUUAUUAUUAAAUUUGUGGUAUUUUGGAGAUUGUUAGCUAAAUUUAGUAGUAAAACUUAUUUUUGUGUUAUUUGUGAGAAUUUAUUAUGUACAUCAAAUGUAUUUAUUGCAUUAAUUUACAAAGAUUUAUUAAUCUUUUCAUCUUUUGAAAAAAAAUUUGUAUACACUAAUUUAAAAUAAAAUAAAAAAUAAUAAUCAUGUGAUUAGGAAAAGAUAAAUAAAACAAGACAAAUAUAAAAAGAAAAAUCGAAAAACGACAGAGAACUUCAAGUUGGAGUUAGCUAGCUAGCUUGCUUUAUGCACAGAAGAACAGUCGCCGGCUAAAGUCUCAACCUUUUUCCUCUCCGCCGUUCACAUUCACCUGCAUUUCUCCCUUCUUUCUUCUUCUCCGGCUAGAUUUCAUUGUCGCCUGAGUUUCUCGGCGAUGGGAGACGAGAAGCCGGCGAUUGUUAUGGCCAAUCGAGAAAGAGAUCGAGAGCUUCUGAUUCCCGUUGCUGAUUCCGGCGACAAAGACGAUGGUCCUUCUUCAAAGCCUUCUUCUUCUUCUUCCUCUUCUUCGCAUCAAUCCAGCCAAGAGGUCUACUUUCCUGAUAUUGAAUCUUAUACGAUCUUCUUCGUUUUCUCAUUUCAAGAUUCAUGCGAAAAUAACACUAGAAUUGGAUUGAUUUUAAGCUCUUAGUUCCUUUCAAGAUUUAGUCUUCAGAGAUUUAGCCGAUUCUGUUUCCUCUUAGUUCAAAAUCUGGGAACUUGUUUUACCCUAGAUUCAAUCUAUUUCAAGAACACUUGCUUAGAUAAGUUUGGUAGUGUUUUAACUAGCCAAACACUGAUCUUAAUUCUUAAGAUGCUUAUAAAAAUUUGACCUUUUUCUGAUUGGGUAGAGUAUGAAUUUGCAUUCCAAGUGUUUUGGUUGUGAUCCGUCAGAUUCUUGAGUCUUUAUGUUAUGCUAAUUCAUGUUUUCAAUUAUAUAUAACACAUAGAGCAUUGUGGUCUGAUGCUUUAGCUAUUUUCUCCAGACGUUUAGCUUGUUCAUUAGGGGUUGGGCGUCAAAGAAGUUCAUGACAGGCUGGUAAGGAGGAGUUGAAAUUUUGGCAUUCGAUGAAGUUGUCACAGAUUCAGCAAAACUUGUGUUGAUAGUUUUAAAUCUCAAUUGCUUUGUGCAGUGUUAUCCUACUUCCUAUUGCAAUUACUUUCUAUAUAACAUGGUGGUUUAUUCACUUUGUCGAUGGAUUCUUCUCUCCAAUAUAUGCACAACUUGGGAUCAACGUAUUUGGUAAGAAUUUGAGUGGCUUCUCUUUAUUGUAUUAACAACUUGAUAUCGGUUUCUCACACGAGUUUGAUUUUGGUUUUAUAGGUUUCGGUUUUCUGACUUCCAUUGCAUUCAUCUUCUUGGUCGGGGUGUUCAUGUCCUCGUGGUUGGGUGCAUCGGUUCUGAACUUGGGAGAGUGGUUUAUCAAGCGGAUGCCCUUUGUUCGUCACAUCUACAACGCCUCCAAGCAAAUCAGCACGGCCAUAUCGCCUGGUCUAGCUUUAAAAAAUCUUAUUUUGCUUCUCAACAGUGGAUCAAAUUUUCCAAUCUCAACUUGUUCUUAUCCAUUUUGUUCCUUCUCAUUUCAGAUCAAAAUACACAAGCUUUCAAGGAAGUUGCAAUCAUCAGGCACCCCCGUGUAGGUGAAUACGCAUUUGGCUUCAUUACAUCAACUGUUGUUCUCCAGGUGAGUGAAAAUGCUUGGCUCAAGGAUUUGGUUAUUCUUUUCAGAACUUCUUAAGGAUACAGAGGGCAGAUACAAUUUCGUGGCCAUGUAAUAAUGCUCUUCAUCCUUGCAGAACUACCCAACCGAGGAGGAACUCUGCUGUGUAUAUGUUCCCACGAACCACCUGUACAUUGGAGAUAUACUACUUGUCAACAGUAAUGACGUUAUCAGGCCAAAUCUCUCUGUCCGGGAAGGAAUUGGUGAGAUUUCAGAACCUAUUGUCUGUCUUAGAUACAUCUAUUGUUAUAUGGCAUUCAAAUUUAUUUGUGGAAAGCUACUGAACUUUUUAUACUCAUUCUUCAUCUGCAGAGAUUGUUGUCUCGGGUGGAAUGUCAAUGCCACAGAUUCUAUCGACUCUUGAUAAACCUUUGGCCUCGAUUGAUAGAGCUACAAGCUUAUAGUUUCAAGUAGAAGAUUCUCUUUUUGUUGGGAUUUGUUGAUGAGUGUGUGUCUGUCUCUGGAGUCUCUUCAAUAUUGUUGUAAUAUUUCAUUUGUGUUCAGAAAAGUGUAUAAUGUAAGAUAGGUCUCUCUCUUCUUAGAUAUGAAUCUUUCUCCUGAAAAUAUUAUUUUUCUUGAAAAAGUAUUGAGAAAUUCCUUCCAUUUUUACAAGAAUUGACUAAAUCCUCUAUCAAAAAAAAGACCAAAAUUUGAUUUUGUUUAUUUAUUCUUCAAAUCUCAAGAUGAAGUUAACAUCAGGUUCCUAAAACAUAUAAGAAUCAGACAAUAGCAUGUAUGUUCCACAGUAAGCAUCACUGUGAUUGCCAAUGGUAAGUAACAAUGUACACAAAUAAUGACAACAAUUUGUAAAGAAACAGCUCUCUUAUGAAUCAAAGAGAAGAAUUUGGAGGAAAGAAAAGAAGAAGAAAGCCUAAUAACACAAUCAAAAUUGUGUGAAUAGUUAUAUAGUAAUACUUUCUAAGCACCUGCUAAUGCGAUGAAGCCGCAACCUCUCCUCGGUUUUAGAAUAUGUAAGAGGAAGAAAAAGAAGUGUUGGUGGCAUUACCUCGUAAAUCAGGCACAGGGAGGUGGAUGCAGCUGCAUUUCUGUAAAGUUAUUGUUUCCUAAACGAGUAAAUAUUGAUUCAGAGGUCUUUCUUCUCAGACAAAGCUGGAGUUUUAUGAAGAUGAGUUUGUGAGGAUGUGUUUGGUGUUGUUGUUGUUGUGGUUGUUGUUGUUGUUAUUGUUGUUGUUGUUGUUGUUGUUUUUGUUGUUGUGGUUAGCUGGGAAGGUUGCUUUGCGGUUUGUGAAACUCCAUUUGCAACUGGUCUUUGAUCAACCACUGGGUCGAUUUUGACAGCAGUGUGUACAGGUGUAUCUAGAUCCAUUCUUGACAUCAGACAAUUUGAUUCUGCAACAAACAAACAAACAAAAAAACUAGGUUUGAAAACGUGAAUCUUAUGUUUGGGCAUAUACUCCAUUUUCAUGAUGAUAUAAGAAAUGUCUACCUUUUACUUCUCCGCAGGAGAUAAUUCGGUUAAGGCAGUCACGGAACUUGGUUAAUACUACUUUCUCUUGUUCUGCAUAAACCUGGUCUUGCCCAUUUGGUAGCUGUGAGGGAGGCUCCACCGAACAAUUAGGUGAAGCUGCAACCAUUAACAUUGUGUCCCGUUCGUCACACAUCAAUGCCAAAGUUUCUGGAGAUAGUGACCUCCCUUUGGAGCCAUCUGGACCAGAUUUCUCAGCUUGAUUUCCACUCGCAGCUUUUUCACCCUCGGUACCUUUAUUAUUGCUGUGUCCUUGAUCUUGCACAGAAGAAGCUACGGAAGUUUCUUUCUGAUCUGCUAACCUUUCUUCUGUUAAUGUCUUUGCAGCUUCCCCAGCUACAGAUACCAGAACAGAACAGAGUGCUUUCACAUCCUUCGGUUUAAUUAUGUCUGCCAAAAGAGACCUUCAAAAGAAAUCAUAUUUAUAACUCAGUUUCUGCAAUCUCAGAGAAAAGAUUUAGCUUUGUAAACACAUCAUAAAUUUACCUAUAUACAACUUUGGAUGGGCGUAACGACGCAUUGCCUCCAGCAUGAGAACCAGUUUUCGGAGAUGUGGUUCUUCCACUAUUUGCCUGAUACCAGUACUUAAACAAUAAGAUCUCUCAUUUCUCUAACAAAGGAGGGCAGAUAAGGAAAUCAUAUAGAAUAUUGACACGACUAAGCAAAUAAACUUGAGGUUUUUGCGUAAAUGAUGUACCUGGCCAAGCCUAUGAGUGGAUGAAUCUUUGGGUCCUUGGUUAAAAAAAAUCUCCUGACCUUUCCUUCUCUUAGGAGCUGGAGCAGAUGCAAAGCCAGAGGAACCAAUAGCUCCGGUUAUGGCAGCAUUUGCGUGUUGAAGAUAAGCCACGUUGUGGGAAUGUUCACCGUGAAAGAGAGAUUGUCUAACUUCACUUCCUUCAAAGUUUUUGCAAUCCAAGCAUUUGCAGUUCUCAGAACAAAGAAUGUUAGCUUGAAAACACUCACAAUACUUCUUAAGACAUCCAGAUUUCUUGCAGUGACAGCCUUUGUUGUGUCUCCCUAACAACACAACUUCACCAACCUCCUCCUGCAAAUCGAGUGAAAAUUUAUAACUCAUCCAACAACCUUAAGACCAACAGUUUGAAGAGCAUAACACCAUAAGUAAACCACGUACCCUGUUAUCUCGUCCGCCGUGUGGACUAGCAGCAAUCUUAGGCCUGAACGCAUUCGGAUUCCGUUCCAGAGUUGAUCCAAUCGCUUCUCGUCUCUCUGGCUCAUUUUCAACGUUGUUGUGACAAUUUACACAGUUGCAACCAUCACAAUAAGAGCCAGAUGCAAAGCAUUCACAAUACCUGAUCAAAAAGAUAUUGCACAAUGUUCAAUUCAUAUUUACAAAGUCCACAAAGAAACAAAGAGUUUCUCAUCAAAUGGUUGAUGAUGAAGACUUACAGCUUCAAGCACCGUGAGUGUUUACAGUUACACUGUUUCUUCUUCUGAGGUGUUCCAUCUCUAGCUUCCCCCACAGGCCUUACAAAAGAGAAGAAACAAGUGUCAACUCUAGAAAUUCAAACCUUGCCCUAUUCAUUAUGAAAUAUCAAAAUGUCAAUUUCAAUAAUCUCUAUGUAAAGAUCUAUACUUUAAUCCCAAAUCUGACUUCAGCAAUAUAGAAACACAUAUCUAAUAACUAACUUCUCAAAAGUUCAAAUUUUUGAAAACUUACGGAUGUCUAAUUGGGACGUGAAGGAUGCCCUGAGAUUGUGGCGGCGGUGGAAUCGGAGUCCCCACCGUCGCUGUAACCGGUCGUGCCUGACUGGUAAUUGGCCGCGUAACCGGCGAAGGGAUUGAUGCAGCAGCAGUCGAAGAAGAUGCAACCGGAGGUUGAUUAGACUGUGAAUACUCCACACCAGUAAAAUCGAGUUGCCUCGCCGACUUCAUAGACUCUAGUGUAACCUCAUCCGUUUUUGGCGGGAAUUUUUCCCCUUCUUCACCUUCUCCCAUCUCAAAAAAACUUCGAAUUUCUCAGAAGAAACCCAGAAAUUUUCCCUAUUUUUUCAAAAAAAAAAAAACCCAAAAUUUAUAAUCACCAAAUACAAAUCAACAAAAUUUAUAAGAUCUGAAUCUACCCUUAAUCCUGUUUCUACGAAAACCCAGAAACCGAAUCGGCGACUGCUAAAACUCAAAAAUUGGAUUUUGAAAUUCGAAUUUUUGAUCUAGACUUAAAGAGAUAGAUAGAUGAAAUUAGGGUUUUGAAAGGUUUUAGCUUCGGAGGAAGAAGAAGAAGAGAGAUUUGGUAACCACAGAGGAAUCAAAAAAAAAAACAGAGAAUUUGGGGUUUUUCUUCUUCUUCUUCUUCGCGAGAGCUUAUUGUUUAACUCUGCUCUCCUCCCUCUCUUAUACAUGUUUUGAAAUUUCAAUUUUUCUGGAUUAUAUUAGACGGUUAGAUUUCACUGACAAUUUGAUCCUACGGCUCUUAUUGAAUACGUUGAUCCGACGAUUACUAUUCAUAUCAGGUUUGAAGUUUCGUUGAUCUUUCACCGUCCGAUCGUCACAAAUUAUUUAAACAAAAAAAAAAGCAAAUUUAUUACUCGUGAGGACACAAGAGAGAAGUAAAGUUUUAAAAUAACGGUUUUGGCCCAAAUUAUUUGGUUCCUCACGAAAAUGCCCCAAUAGUUUUAAAUAUUCAAAAACAUAGCAAAAGAAAAGAAAAAAAGAAAUCUACGUAAGAAAAAGAAUCAAAACUGACGAUUUGUUGAUGUUGCGUGAUGAAAAGGAAUCGAUUUUCUGUAUCUAUGUUCUUCCCCAAAAUUAGGAUUUGAAGAGCUUUUUUUUUGUAGUUUAAACAAGAAGAGUCAGGUUUAAAAUUGAUUUUGGGGAUUUAUAGAAACUGAAAAUGAUUUUUAUCUUUUAAUUAAGGUUUAGUUAACAUUUUAAUUAUCUUCUGACAAUAAUUAAAAAGUUAAUGUUUAGUUAUUAAAAUAGCAUAGUUAAAGUUGACUAAUUUCAGGUCUAUUUUGCAUAGUCAACAAAAAAAACUUUGAUAUUUAUCUUGCUAUAUAAAGUUGAGAUUUCAUUUUUAACAUGCGUUACCAAAAAUAAGAAGAUUUGUUUUAAAUAUUUUCUUCUUAAAAUAGAUACGUAAAUUUUAGAAGAGUAUUUAGUUUUUUGUUAAUCAAAUUCCUCGUCAGAAACAAAAUUUAUACUCUACAUAAAACUAAUUCUUUCCUCAUAAAUGUUGAUAAAGCUUGAAGAGUAACUUGAGCCAUAAGUUACUAAAAUAAAGGAAGAGAUAAUAUUGAGAAUAUUUAGGAGUUAUCUAAAUAUUGUUUAGGAGAUAUCUAAACCUAGUCCUAGCUUGUUUUGGGAGUCAUCUAAGAUCUCUAUAUAAGAGUUGCCAAUGUUGUGGUUAACCUUAUGAGUUUUAAGAGAUUGAGAGAUUAGAGAGCUUUAAGUUUUGUGUAAGUUUCUUAAAGGAAUAAAAGAGAGAAGUCUUUUAUAGUUCUAAUCUUCUAAAAUCUCAAAGUGUUUAAAUCAAUAUUUGGUAUCAGAGCUUUAUUGAUUUAAGCAUCGGAGACGACCAAGUUGUGUUCAUACGUGUUUCUCGUGAAAUCAUACCAUGGCUGACAUAAUACCUGUACCGGACAAACCGAAAGAGAUUAGUAUGGGAUCCAUAAAAUGUCCGAUGCUCAACAAUGUCAACUAUAUUGUAUGGGCGAUGCGUAUGAAGGCAGCUCUUAAAGUUCACAAAGUGUGGGAUACCAUUGAUCCCGGUUCUAAUGAUGAGGAGAAGAACGACGUGGGGAAGGCUCUUCUUUUCCAAUCUAUACCGGAGUCAAUGGUUCUUCAAGUCGGUGAACAUGAUACUUCAAAAGCAGUUUGGGAUGCUAUAAAAACUAAGUAUGUAGGAGCUGAACGUGUUAAAGAAGCUAGGCUUCAAACUCUGAUGGCUGACUUUGACAGAUUGAAGAUGAAAGAUGGAGAAUCAAUUGAUGAUUUUGCCGGGAAGCUUUCAGAACUGUCUACCAAAUCCGCAACUUUAGGAGAAGAGAUUGAAGAGUCGAAGCUAGUUAAGAAAUUUCUUAAAAGCUUACCAAGGAAGAGAUUCAUACACAUCACCGCCUCACUUGAACAAGUCCUAGAUCUGAAAAAUACAAGUUUUGAAGAUAUUGUCGGGCGAUUGAAAGUUUAUGAAGAACGUAUAGGUGACGAUGAAGAAGAUCAAUCUAACGAUCAAAGUAAGCUUAUGUAUGCUAGCUCCGACACACAGAUAUAUCAAGGAAACCAAGGAUUUGCUAGAGGCAGAGGAGGAAGAUUCUCUCAACGGGGAAGAGGACGUGGCCGCUACGGGAACCAACAGAGAGAUGCUUCGAAGAUAGUGUGUUACCGGUGCGACAAGACCGGACACUAUGCAUCAAAUUGUCCCGACAGGUUACUCAAACUCCAGGAAGCACAAGAAGUUGACGACAGCGAUACACAAGAGGCUGAGAAUCUGAUGAUGCACGAGGUCGUAUACCUCAAUGAGAAAAACGUGAAGCUAAGUGACUUUGAAACUUCAUCAGAUGAAAGCAAUGUUUGGUAUUUGGAUAAUGGGGCCAGUAAUCACAUGUCAGGAAAUAGGUCCUAUUUUCAAAAGAUUGAUGAAACAGUCACAGGGAAGGUAAGAUUUGGCGAUGAUUCGCGUAUAGAUAUCAAAGGAAAGGGUUCAGUCCUCUUCAUUAGCAAGAACAAAGAGAAAAAGGUCUUGGCAGAUGUUUAUUUCAUUCCAGAAUUGAAAAGUAACAUCAUAAGCCUUGGCCAAGCAACAGAGGCAGGAUGUGACAUUAGAAUGAGAGAGGACUACUUGACGGUACACGAUCGUGAUGGAAAGCUGCUAGUGAAAGCAAGAAGGUCCAAGAAUCGCUUAUACAAGGUACUCAUGGAGUUGGAAUCUGCGAAGUGUUUACAAUCAGAAGUGUUAAGUGACUCGGAGAUUUGGCACGCAAGGUUAGGACACAUUAGCAUAGAGACAAUGAAAACCAUGUUGAAGAAAGAAUUAGUAAAUGGAAUGCCAAUGAUGUCAAUUCAAAAGGAUACAUGUGCUUCUUGUCUGCUAGGAAAACACGUAAGGAAAGUGUUUCCCCAAGCAACCGCAUAUCGAGCAACCAACAAACUUGAACUCAUACAUGGAGAUAUUUGUGGACCCAUUACGCCGUCUACAGCUGCACAAAAAAGGUAUGUAUUCGUUCUAAUUGACGAUUACUCUCGCUACAUGUGGUCCAUACUUCUAAAAGAAAAGAGUGAAGCGUUCGAGAAAUUUAAAAGGUUCAAGAUGUUGGUUGAGCAAGAAACCGGCACUACCAUCAAAACUUUUAGAACUGACAGGGGCGGUGAGUUCUUGUCCCAAGAAUUCCAAAGUUUUUGUGACAAUGCCGGAAUACAAAGACACUUGACAGCACCAUAUACUCCUCAGCAAAACGGAGUAGUCGAGAGAAGAAACAGAACGCUAAUGGAGAUGACUAGGAGUAUCUUGAAACAUAUGAGCAUACCGAAUUACUUGUGGGGAGAGGCAGUGAGACAUGCAACAUACUUGAUAAACAGAGUGGGUACAAGAGUGUUAGCUACACAAACUCCAUAUGAAGCUUUCAAGGGAAGAAAACCAAACAUAGAACACUUGCGGGUAUUUGGUUGCAUAGGCUACACAAAAAUUGAGAUACCACAUCUAAAAAAACUUGAUGAUCGAUCACGUGUACUAGUUCACUUAGGGACAGAGCCUGGAUCAAAGGCUUAUCGCAUGUUGGAUCCAACAACCCGUCGGAUAACAGUGAGCAGAGACGUGGUUUUCAAUGAAAACAAGAGAUGGAAGUGGAACAGCUCAAGUAACGAAACUGAAGAUAGCCCUGGCACGUUUAAACUCAGUCUUGGAAGCUUUGGAAAUAAUGGUUUGAGAGAAGAGGAGGAAGAAGCUGCGGGAAAUAAAACCAGAGUCGUAGAAGAAACAGAGGAACAGAGCGACGAACACGCUAACGAUGAUCAUGGUUCCAUAGAUGGAGAAAAUUCUAUGUCUGAUCCUAGAGAAACAGAACGCAUCAUCGAAGAAGAGCAAAUCCAGCAGCCCAUUCAACCUAUUUUAAGAACUUCACAACGACAGAUUACAAAACCAAAGUAUUUAGAAGACUAUGUCUUGUUAUCUAGCAUCGAGUGCGAGCAUCUUCUGAUGGUGCUAAAUGAUGAACCAUGGGAUUUUAAUGAGGCUAAGGAAUCUAAAGAGUGGAGAGAAGCCUGUGAAGAAGAAAUCUCGUCGAUUACAAAAAAUAAGACAUGGAACCUAGUUGAACUUCCAAGUGGAGCUAAGGCAAUUGGACUAAAGUGGGUCUUUAAAAUUAAACGAAACUCUGAUGGUAGUAUAAACAAAUUUAAGGCGAGACUUGUGGCUAAAGGUUAUGUUCAGAGACAUGGUGUGGACUUCGACGAAGUGUUUGCUCCUGUGGCACGUAUCGAAACAAUCCGGUUCAUUAUAGCCUUGGCAGCCUCAAAUGGAUGGGAGGUGCACCACCUCGAUGUAAAGACUGCGUUUUUACACGGUGAACUGAAAGAAACAGUCUAUGUCACUCAACCAGAAGGGUUUGUAACUAAAGGAAGCGAGGAGAAAGUUUACAAGCUGAACAAAGCUCUUUACGGGCUAAGACAAGCACCUAGGGCAUGGAACAACAAGUUGAAUCAGAUUCUUAAAGAAUUGAAGUUUGUUAAAUGCUCAAAGGAACCAUCGCUUUAUCGGAAGCAAGAUAGCAAGCAUCUCCUCAUCGUAGCUGUUUACGUGGAUGAUCUAUUAGUUACUGGUUCAGACCUAAGCUUGAUACUAGAAUUCAAGAGAGGGAUGGCGACAAAGUUUGAGAUGAGCGAUCUAGGACUGCUGACUUAUUAUCUUGGCAUUGAAGUCAUACAACAUGCUAAUGGUAUAAUCUUAAAGCAAGAGAGAUAUGCAGCAAAGAUCUUAGGAGAAGCUAAGAUGGAGGAGUGCAAUGCGGUUCAUAUACCAAUAGACCCGGGGUUGAAAUUGUCGAAGGCACAAACAGAGAAAGGCAUUGACGAAAAAGAAUAUCGGAGAAACAUUGGAUGCCUUCGUUAUUUACUUCAUACUCGACCGGAUCUCUCGUAUUCAGUCGGUGUGCUAAGUAGGUACAUGCAUGAGCCAAAAGAAUCACAUGGUGCAGCGUUGAAACAAGUUCUUAGAUACUUAAAGGGAACACAAAGUUAUGGUUUAUCAUUUGCUCGUGGAAUAAAGACCGGACUUGUUGGAUAUAGUGACAGCAGCCACAACGUGGAUGAAGAUGACUGUAAAAGCACAACUGGACAUAUAUUCUAUCUUGACGAGUAUCCUAUCACUUGGUGUACACAAAAGCAAGAGACCGUAGCUUUAUCUUCAUGUGAAGCUGAGUUCAUGGCAGCCACCGAGGGAGCUAAACAAGCAAUUUGGCUUCAAGAACUUCUUAGUGAAGUUGUCGGAAAACCAUGUGAAAGAGUGAAGCUACUGAUUGAUAACAAGUCGGCAAUUGCUCUUGCCAAAAACCCGGUGUUCCACGGACGUAGCAAACAUAUUCACAAGAGAUACCAUUUUAUUCGUGAAUGUGUGGAGAAUGAGCAAGUAGAAGUGGAGCACGUUCCAGGAGAGGAACAAAAGGCCGACAUUUUGACAAAAGGACUUGGAAGAAUCAAGUUCAAGGAAAUGAGAAAUCUUGUGGGAGUUCAAGACGUGUUGAGUAUCGACUUCAAGCUUAAGGGGGAGAAUGUUGAUAAAGCUUGAAGAGUAACUUGAGCCAUAAGUUACUAAAAUAAAGGAAGAGAUAAUAUUGAGAAUAUUUAGGAGUUAUCUAAAUAUUGUUUAGGAGAUAUCUAAACCUAGUCCUAGCUUGUUUUGGGAGUCAUCUAAGAUCUCUAUAUAAGAGUUGCCAAUGUUGUGGUUAACCUUAUGAGUUUUAAGAGAUUGAGAGAUUAGAGAGCUUUAAGUUUUGUGUAAGUUUCUUAAAGGAAUAAAAGAGAGAAGUCUUUUAUAGUUCUAAUCUUCUAAAAUCUCAAAGUGUUUAAAUCAAUAAUAAACGAUUUAGUUUUGGUUCUUUAGUAAUGAGUGGUUUAUGUGUUUAAUUCCUUUUUCUGUAAAUCAUCUCAAACCCUAUAAGAGUUUUUUUGAUGGCUUUAGCUCCAUGCUGAACUCGCAAAGAGUGAACUAUGAUGUUCAACUUCAGGAUUUGAUCCUUUCCUAUGGGCUUUUACUGUUUAGACUUUUGUGAUGGUUUAAUUUUUAGGUUUUACUCAUUAAGCUACUUUGCAACUAGGCGUAAGAAUUUUGUAAGACUUAGGUACCAUGAAAGCUUCAUUGCAGGUUUGCUUCCUACUUCAGAAUCGAAAGCUUACAUAAUAUUGUGAUUCUAUUUUUAAAAUUUGAUGUCACUAAUAAAUGAAUAUAAAAUUAAACUUAUUUUCAUGUAAAAUCAUAUAUUUAAUGGCACAAAAUUUUAUGACAUCAAAAAGGAACUUUUUUUUUUUCGGGCGCUCUUCUCUCUCUUCUUUUCUCUCUCUAUAAAGGGCGAAAUUGUCGUCGUUCUCUUCCCACCUCCGGCGUCUCUCACGGCGUCGGAAUCCUCUCCCUCCUCUCAUGGGGAAAACCUCAAAACCAAAGAAGAAGCCGCCUGGGAAGAAUCCCCAAUCCGUCUUAAUCUCUCCGGCGUCUUCAACCUCGAAGUCAGAUGUUAACAGUAACAGGCAGUCGCUUCCAAGGUCGCCUAUCGCUCCGAUCUCUCCCGAAAUCGCCUCAGUUCCUUCCAAUGUGAAGAGCUCAGCCGUUAUUGCAACAGAAUCCACUGUGUUGGUAAAUCUGGAAGGGAAAAUGAAGUAUUUGCCUGAGGCUUCAUCUUUCUCGCCUCCAGGGUCGCCUCAAUCACAGAUCCAAGUUCAAAAUGCCUCAGCCGUCCCAGUGACUUGCUCAGCCAUUAUCGAGAUUCCAGCCGCCGGUGCUCCGGACUUAGGUCAAAAAAUCUCCGUGAAUGUGGCUCCGAAUCAAUCUGAUUCCGACCCAUUGAAUACUUCGAUUGACGGUGAAUCUGCUCAAUCCAAGUCGGCUGUUGAAGCCUUAAACCCAGUGGCGACCCAAAUCACCACGCCUGCUCCAAAAAUUGAUCCAUGGCUGGGUCUCUUUAAAGGGCCUUCAAAGAACCUCUCCAAAAAGGGUAAAGCUUUCGUUCUACCUUCGGGAGAGUCUUGUGUCAAAAUCCCAAACUCUGUAAUAGAGAAAAAUCUAAAGGCUUGGGAGUCUUUCAUUAUCGGUCAAUUCUAUGCCGACCCACCACCGCAAGCUCUGAUUCAUACGAUCGUAAAUGGUAUUUGGAGCCCUUGUUUCAAGGAUAUCUCUGUCUCAAAAUUAGAGGGGAAUGCUUUCCUUUUUCGAAUUCCCAACGCCCAGACUCGCCUUAGAGUUCUGAACCAGCGUUUGUGGCAAGUGGAAGGCCAGACAUUGUUUGUUGCGCAUUGGGAGCCAGGCAUCGUUCCAGUCAAGCCUGAAUUAACCUCAGCACCAAUCUGGUUGGAGUUGAGAGACGUCCCUUUGCAGUACUUUAACGAGGAUGGUCUCGAGCGCAUUGCUGGUUUGGUUGGAGAUCCCAAAUUCCUUCAUCCUUCAACUGCAAAUAAAACCAAUCUGGAAGUCGCCAAAGUCUUUACUUUAAUUGACCCUAGGAAGCUUUUGCCUGAGGUUGUAAACGUGCAAUUCGAUACAGGCGAAAUAAAGAGAAUCCUGGUAUCUAGCCCAUGGAUGCCUCUAAUCUGUUCGCAUUGCAAGGAAGUUGGACACAGCUUGAAGAGAUGUCGAACAGCCCCAGUGUUAUGCAAGAGCUGUAAGUCUACUAGUCAUGCUGCGGAGAAGUGUCCUCGAAUCAAAGGAAAUGGUGCGAGAAAGCCAUCUUCUAUGAAAGGUAAGGCAAAGGUUACUGCUCAGGUGGAAGUUGAAAAUCAGGUUCAUGUUGUGGCUCCGCUGCAGACACAGAGGGUAACAGCAGUGCAACAAUCACCUACCAAGAACAAGGCCUAUGUAGCUAAAGCAAUUCCAGAAGCUGAGACUGUGGUUCCUAUUGCUAGCCAUUCAGUCCCUCUUGUAGGUGAGUCUAGUAAGGCUACAGGAAAGAGAGUGCUGGUUGAGGAUUCAGAUACAGAUAAAGGGAAGGUUUCUGAGGCUGAGCUAGACUCCUCUGAUACCUCGUCAAGUGAAGAAGGAGAGAUUUCUGAGGAUGUAUGUACCUCUGAAGAAGAACACGAGUACUUGGAAGUUGUUUCAAAGAGAAAUCGGAGAAAUUCCAGGGGCAAUGGCCCCAAACUCCAUUAAUGUCUAUGUAUAGAGACAUUUUUUGUUGGAACGUCCGCGGAUUUAAUAAGCAAUCGCAUUGUAGCGGGUUCAAGAGGUGGUGUUAUAAGAAUAAACCUCUUUUUGGGAGUCUUAUCGAGACUCAUGUCAAGCAGGCAAAGGUAGCAAAGUUUGUGAAUGCCCUUCUGCCCGGAUGGCUUUUUGAUAAUAACUACUUUUUUCUGAAUUAGGAAAAAUUUGGAUCCUUUGGCACCCAAGCGUGAAGGUGGUAAUCCUUUUCAAAUCCCUUCAAAUGAUUACUUGUGAGGUUGAGCUUCUAGGAAGUUCUGCGACAAUUGUCGUCUCUUUGUUUAUGCUUCAAAUGUAGCUGUUGUGAGGAGCUCUAUGUGGGGAGAGAUUGUCAGUCAAGCUGCAGAUCCCAGUCUUGUCGGAAAACCUUGGGCGGUUUUAGGUGACUUCAAUCAGAUUCUGAAUCCAGCAGAUCACUCUACUCGGACAAAUAUGAAUAUGGACAGAGCUAUGAGAGAGUUCAGUGACUCAAUGCUGGCUACUUCUUUGAUGGAUUUGAAUUACAGAGGCUGCUCCUUUACUUGGUGGAACAAGAGAAGAGCGAACCCUGUGGCUAAGAAGCUUGACAGGAUUUUAGUAAAAGAUGAAUGGCAAACCAUGUUUCCUCUCUCAACAGGUUAUUUUGGAGCCCCAUGUUUUUCUGAUCAUUCUCCUGGAUCUAUCUCCCUUAACCCGGCUGACCACAGAAAGAAAAAACCAUUUAAGUUCUUCAACUUUCUUCUAAAGAAUCCAGAUUUUCUUCCAUUAGUUUGCGAAAACUGGUUCUCUUUCAACAUCUCUGGCUCCGACAUGUUCAGAGUUUCAGUAAAGCUAAGGGAGCUCAAAAAGGUAAUAAGACAAUUUAGCAAAUCAAAUUAUUCUGGUAUUGAGCUGAGGGUACAGGAGGCUCUUGUUGUGUUAUCAGAAAUGCAAGAAAAGAUGUUGUCGAACCCAAAUGUGGCAAAUGCUAGUCUUGAGCUGGAGGCUUCAAGAAAAUGGGAGAUCCUCUCCAAAGCUGAAGAGAGUUUCUUCUACCAGAAAUCCAAAAUUACAUGGUUGGGUGACGGGGACAAGAACACAGCCUAUUUUCACCGUAUGGCAGCAACUAGGCAGGCCAUAAAUCAUAUACACUACCUUGAAGAUGAGAUGGGAAAUCGUUUUGACACUCAGCAAGGCAUCCAUUCGCACUGUGUGGAGUUCUUCAAGAAUCUUCUAGGCAGCUCUGAAACUCAACCCCUGUUCAUGCAGGAUGACAUAACGGCGCUGUUGAAUUUCCAAUGCUCUGAUGCUCAAAGGUCUCUCCUUGACUCUAUGUUCUCCAAAGAAGAGAUCAAAGAAGCUUUCUUCUCUCUCCCUAAGAACAAAGCUAGUGGACCUGAUGGUUACUCUUCGGAGUUUUUUACUAGUUGUUGGAGUGUGAUUGGGGCAGAGGUGACGACAGCUAUUACUGAGUUCUUCUCCUCGGGUACUUUACUUAAACAGUGGAAUGCUACUACAUUGGUGUUGAUUCCAAAAAUUCAGAAUGCGUCGAAGGUAUCUGAUUUCAGACCUAUAUCUUGCCUCAACACUUUGUAUAAAGUCAUCUCUAGGCUCUUAGCAAAUAGGCUGAAGUCCAUCCUCCCAUCUGUUAUAUCCCAUGCUCAAUCUGCUUUCUUGCCUACUAGGCUGCUGUCAGAAAAUGUUUGUUGGCUUCAGAGAUUGUGCAAGGCUACAAUAGGAAAAAUAUAAAAGCAAGAGCAAUGCUAAAGGUCGAUCUAAGGAAAGCUUUUGAUUCUGUCAGAUGGGACUUCAUGCUUGCUACUCUGACAGCUUUAAACAUUCCAGAAAAGUAUAUUGGAUGGAUUCGAGAGUGUGUUUGCACCCCAUCCUUCUCGAUCUCAGUAAACGGAAUGUUUGAUGGGUUCUUCCAGAGUACAAGAGGCUUGAGGCAGGGAGACCCUCUUUCUCCAUACCUAUUUGUGCUCGCCAUGGAAGUGUUUUCAAAGAUAAUGCAAUCAAGAUUUGCUUCAGGUUCUAUUGCUUACCAUCCAAUGACAUCUGAGUUAGAAAUUUCUCACUUGAUGUUUGCCGAUGACGUAAUGGUUUUCUUUGAUGGUAGUAGUUCCUCCCUGCAUGGUAUCUAUGAGGCUCUGGAUGACUUCGCAGGCUGAUCAGGACUUACAAUGAACAGAAAUAAGACUACUCUCUUCCAUGCUGGUUUAUAUCCAUUGGAGGAGUCAGCGAUUGCUCAAUAUGAUUUCCCCAUUGGCACGCUGCCCGUAAGGUACUUAGGACUUCCCUUAAUGUCCAGAAAGCUCACCAUUGCUGAAUACUCACCUUUGCUUGAGAAAAUCACUAACAAGCUGAGAGGAUGGGCAACUAAGUCACUUUCUUAUGCGGGGAGAACCCAGCUCAUUGCCAGUGUGAUAUACGGAACUAUUAACUUUUGGAUAUCCACCUUUACGCUUCCCAAGGGUUGUAUAAAGCGAAUUGAGUCUCUAUGUGCUAGAUUCCUCUGGUCUGGGAGCACUGACUGUCACACCAAAGCAAAGGUUGCAUGGUCUUCUGUCUGUAUGCCAAAAAAUGAAGGCGGUCUGGGCUUAAGGAAAUUAUCUGUUUGGAACACCACCUUGAAUCUGAAGCUUAUUUGGCUCAUGUUCUCUAACAGUGGCUCGUUAUGGGUGGCUUGGCAGCAUUACCACCACGGGCUUGCUUCUAUUAGCUUCUGGGAUAUCAAAGCUAAAAAUACCGACUCUUGGUUUUGGAAAUCUCUUCUAAAAUUAAGGAGCCUGGCCAAAAGAUUCAUAAACUGCAGAAUUGGAAGUGGAAACAUAGCUUGGUUCUGGCAUGAUGUAUGGACUCCUUUUGGUCCCAUGUUAGAGUUUUUGGGAGAUUCUGGUCCUACCAUACUAUGGGUUCCUAGGAAUGCGAGAGUCUCUGCGGCUUGCACUUUGGAGGGUUGGAAUAUUGCCUCUCCACGAUCUGAUCAGGCACUUGCUUUACACAUCUACUUGUCUACUAUUCAAUUACCAACUAUUUCAAAUGAGGAUGAUUCUUUCGAUUGGUUAAUUGAAGACAAGCCGUGCGGUGGUUUCUCCUCGAGUAAAACCUGGGAGAUUCUCAGACCAAAGGCUCCUGCUGCGGACUGGGCAUGUUUGGUUUGGUUCAAAGGUGCCACUCCAAAGCAUGCGUUCCACAUGUGGGUAACAAAUCUUAACAGGCUACCCACCAGGGAUAGGCUAGCUUCAUGGGAACUUCAAAUCUCCACUGACUGCUCCUUUUGUGUUGGCUAAAUGGAGACCAGGGAUCACAUCUUUCUGCAUUGCACAUUCGCUCAAUCACUAUGGAAUCUCAGCCUCGCAAGAUUGCGUUUGGCUCCGACUGUAUUUGCAAACUGGGCAGCCUUAUUGGCUUGGCUAAAGGUCAAGAACACUAACUCGCCUCAAACACUACGACUAUUGAUUACCCAUGCUCUAGUCUACGGGAUCUGGAGGCAGCGAAACAACCUGUUCCACAAAAAUAUUUCAAUCUCGCCGCUCACCAUCUUCAUUGACAUUGACCGGCAAAUUAUCAACUCAAUCACAGCUAGGAGGAAGAUGAAGAAAUUCAAAAACCUUAUGGCGCUUUGGCUCACCUAAUGGAUGCUCCUGUUUCCGUUUUCUGAGAAUGUUUAUAAUCUAAAUGUAACCUUGUUUUUUAUUCUUUUUUGCCAAGGUUCAUUUGUUCUAGGUCUUCUAUUGUAACACCUACAUUUCAUCUAAUGAUAUUUACUCUCUUAGCAAAAAAAAAAAAAAAGGAACUUUUUAAAGCUCAUUUUUCCCAGUAAAGCUUUGAAAAUUUUGAUUUCACAAAAUUUUAUAGUAAAACUCAUUUUAAUUUGAAAACUUUUUUUUAUCAAAUAUUAUAUUAAGAACUCGCCAAUACCUAUUUUGUUUAAGAAAUUACACAUAUUUUAAAAACAAACAAAAUAUACUAGAUCAAGUUAAAUAGAAAAAAAAAGUUAACACUUAUCGUCACUAGAUUUGGGACACAUGAAACGUUAUUUUGCGAGAGACCAACUACUACGUUUUUUUUCUUAUAAAAGGUUUUCUUUUUAAUUGCAUGGAAAAGAAAGAUAUUUUACAAGUCUCAAACCAUGCUAUAAGGAAUUGAUACUAGGAUUUUUACUAUCAAUUACCCUAAUAUACUUUCAUGUCAUUGCAGUAUAAGAGGUUAUCAAUCCAAUCAGGUGCUCUCACUAUCAAUCAAGAUAUGCUCAGAGAUAACUAAGUCAAGCCAAGCAGAAUAGAGGUUUGUUUAUCUAACAAUCCUAAGCGAUCAUGCAUAAAAACGAAUAAACUACGGAACAGGAAUGAACAUGCAUAAAGAGAAACAACUAUCAAAACUAAGCAGUAAUAAGCAAGCAGGUCGAGUAGAACACAGAAGCUAACAGAAACGAUAAACGAGCAAGCAAUAGAGAUAAAGGGUCCUGAGGAAUGGGAUAAUCGAUUAUAGCAGUCUCUUUAGUCUAUCCAGGUAGUUAACAAACUCAAUCAAGCUAUCCCUAGAUAAUAGAUUCGAAUACAAAUCAAUCCACUCUCGUGACAGAGAUUCUCAAGCUAAAUCACUUUCAUACUCAAUUCUCAUUGAAGAAAUAUAACCUAGCAGGCAUUAUGAUUCAAUCUAAUAUAGUCAAUAAGCAUUCUAAACAUCCAAUCUCUUGGGCUAGAGUAUGCAAAUCUCUGGAAAAGUUUGUUCAGACAUUUCAUCAAACACCUUGUGGGCGUGGAAAUGUCUGAGAUCAAUUUCCAAUUGAUCAGAGAAGAAAUAGCAUUAAGAUCUACUAAACCAGAAGGGAAAUCAAGCAAUUCUACACUUAACCACCUAAAUAUACUAAGGAUUCCACACCUAAUCUAACCCAUCCUCAAGAACCCUAAUCCACUACUCAAGAACACAGAAGAACAUCAUGCAUAAAAACCCAGAAAACGUUUCAAACCCAUAAAUCAUUAAAAAGCAAGUAUGUUAUAGAUAAGAAGGAGAUCUACAACUUUGAUGAAGAAACGAAAUUCAAAAACUCAAAAAUUCAAAGGGAAAAACGAUUACAAAACUAGGGUUUUUAGAGAGAGCAGCGGAAUAUCUGCUGGGUAAAAGGAAUAUCCCCUGGACAAUAGCAUGUACCCCUAUUUAUAGGAAAUACUAGGUUGCCCUAAUUAGCUACAAGACAAAAUAGAGAGUCGGCGGAGACCAACUCGACGUGACGUCGAGCCUGCCACGUCGAGUCCAUGUGAUCUUCAAAGGUGGCGCCUUGACGUCCAACUCGACGUGACGUCGAGUCCGUCUGGUCGAGUCUGCUCCCUGGUCAUCUUGAACGACUUCAAUCCUCUCCAACUCGAUCUCAAGUCUAGCUCCUUGGUCGUGUUGGUUCCUCAUUACUCCAUUAAGUCCUAAAUAAGCUCCAAAGUACCUGAAACUCAUCCAAUAUGCAACAUGCUAUGCUAUGCAAUGCAAAUCGUACUAAGCGAUGAAUAAUGUUUUAAAAAGGACUAUUAAUGCAAUGAAACAGAGAGAAAACUAAGCUAAAUGUAUAAGAAAUGUGUGCUAAAAAGAGGUAAAAUACAGAGAUAUCAGGAAUUGCCAUGGAACAUCAACUACUAAUAGUCUAAUACGUUGAAGGCCUCUUCACUGUAAGGAAUUGCAAAAGUUCAGGUCACCGAUCGUCUCUUGGGCUAAGGUAAUCUGGUUUCGAGAGCAUGUGCCUCGGUUCUCUUUCAUUACUUGGUUGGCUAUGCUCUCACGUUUAUCCACUAGAGACUGAUUGAGGAGAUGGGGCAUGAGUAUCCCAGCAUCAUGUGUUCUUUGCUCAAGUGGUAUAGAAAGUCACGAUCAUCUCUUUUUUAGUGUGCAUUCUCUCUCGAUGUUUGGGUCUUAAUGGCUGGAAGUUUCUUUCCCAAUCCGCCAAAUAAAAUCGCUGCUCAUAAUCUCCCUACUCAAACCAAAUUCAAAUCCAUCUUAAAGCUCCUCCUUCAAUCUGUCGUCUAACACUUGUGGAAGGAACGGAACAGGAGGAUCUUCACCGCUGUGAGCUCUACCGCUGCUUCUCUCCGCCUCGCCAUCCACCGUUCCAUGUGUGAUUGGCUCCUCUCCUUCUCGGAGCCCAACUUGCACUCUUUGUCCCUCCUUAGUCUAUACUUUAGUCGUUUCUCGUUGUAAUUUUUUCUCUAUUUUCAGUCCUUUGUUCCUGUCAUAAUGGGUAGCUUUUGUAAUAGUUUAUUAGCUUGCAAUUUUCCUAUGGAAUGAAAUCUUCACAUUAAAACCAAAAAAAAAAAAAAAUUUAUAUUAGCAUUCUCAUAAAAUUUUAAUCCAACUAAUGCUUCUUCCUCAAGUUCAUUUGCAUAGCACUGAAUCACUGACCAUGUGAAAUUAAGGCUAAGCUAAUGUCCUAAAUUCCAUUUUAGAUAUCUAAGACUCAAUCCAAGAGUUAUAGUCUUUCAUCAUUGAACAUUGACCGUUAAUAAGUAGCAAUCUAACAUUUGAUGAACUCUACAAGCCAUGCACCAACCAAAUUAUACAUUAUGUGACCUAAAAAUAGCUACCCUUUGCAAUAUUGAUUUCUAAUAACUUAUCUGCACCACUACUAAUACUAUCAACAAAUGCAGUCUUUGUGAAGCCACCACAAGUUUCUCCACAUUGAAAUUUUCAUAUAUUGACAAUGCCAUGUACUGAAAACUACAUCAUAGUAAAAUCAACAUGGGCUUGUAGAAUUUGAUUCAAAGUCCAUUAACACAGUUAUAGUGAUGGAGCAAAAGGCCUAAAAUAAGCCCACCAAUUGAGCACUACCAAUUCCAGUACCAUGGUGAUUAAAAAUAAACUGAGCUACCAUGCACGAGAAAUUAAAGAAGACAACUAAAACAAACGAAACUUUAAUUUGAACAAUUUAUAGAAGAAAUCAUACAGUCUCUAAAUUAUUAAGAACCGAAAAUAUCUAUAAGUACAUAUGUUUUUGACUUUCGUUUCCCAAAACAACAUUUCUUUGCAUCUUUAAAACAUCUUAAACGGUUAAACCUAGUGGUGGAAUUAGUAUGAAACCAUCUUAACUGGUUAACCCUUUCAACUAAAACAAUAAUAAAAUUAAAAUAGAAGCAUCAUAUCACAUAUACAUUUAAGAGAAUUAAUAAAGUUUCCUAUUAAAGCAAGAAAACAUGAUUCAACAUACCAUCUCAUACUCGUCAACAGAAAAUGUUCAAAGGCCAAACGCCAAAACCAAUAUGUGUUGGUACAGCAUCAUGAGCAAUCAAAUUUGGAAACUCAUUUUGUUGUUUUCUCAAUAGAUUGGUUGCUCAUGAUGUUAUAACAUCUACUAAUUUUUUUGGCUGACCCAAAAUAAAAUAACGGAAAGUGAAUAGUUCACUGGAGAGUGAAUCCCAACGCCGGAGCCCAAUAGUCGGCGCCAUUGUCGCUGCCAACUUGGAGUGUGCAUGAGAUUGGAACAAGACAAAGUCCCCUACUUCUUAAGUCUUUCAUCGGUUCUUCGUUAGGAUUUGAUUUUUGAUUGUCCGUCGAUGACAAUGAAACUCCUCUUUUCAUGCAAUACUCAUUCACAAGCUGAUCAACCAAAUCAGAAAAGAUUUCUUUAGCAUAGAUAUUUUAAAAUAUAUAUAUAAACUGUGCUCUAGUGUGAGUAUUGGUUACAAAACGGGUCGGCCUACUUCACAACAGACCAAGUUCUUUUGCGGUGGGUUGGCCCGUACUACUUGUAAAUAACAUAUAUAUGGAUAGGAUAACCUAAGAUAGUUCGUGAAUAUUUACUGUUUUAUACACCAAUCCGCGGUUUUAAUACCUUUGAGUGUGAGUAAUAUCAUUAAGUAUUUGAUUUUCUGAAUUUGAAUAGCGAUAAAUUUUGCAAUGAAAAACAUUGCUAAAAUUUUCAGUUACACUAGUUAAUUCAUUUGUGGGACAGGUAAAUAUAAAACCAUUUGUGGGACAGGUAAAUCGUGAUAUCUUGGUUUGAAAAGUUGAUUUAGAUCGAUCAUUUGCCAAAAAAAACUUUAGUGACCAAAGCUACUUUCAUGAAGGAAAAUAAAUAUAAUAAAUAAUUUAAGUGGCUUUUCUAGGUUUAAUAGAGGACUGGAAAGGAAAGUUGGUAAUGUCAUCUUUUUAUUUUAUUGACCAUACUUUAUCUUGGUCAUUUCACUUUUGAGAGAACAAUAGUAGAGAAAAAGGGUAAUUUUUUGGAAUAAAGCUGGCAACUAUUUUUUUUAAUUAAUUAAGAUUUGGGUUUAAUUGAUCCAAUAAAAAGUAGAGUGUAUAAAACUAGAAAUGAACAAAAAUAUGUGCGUACCUGACCAGGGUCCUCAGGAAAUAUACCAUUCAUAUUUCCUUGUGCCUGUAUACACAUAAUUACAAAUUAAUUAUAAUUAGCAAUCAGAUACAUUUUAAUGCCCCAUUAUAUGAGUAGAAAUUACAGUAUACAUGGUACUAAGGUGUAUGUUAAUUUAAUACUUACAUGUUGGUGGUGCAUCAUAUUAUUCCUCGAGGGAGUAGCAAAGUAUGGUAGACUUAAAGCCUGUAAUUUUGAAAAACAAACAAAUUUUUUAAAGACAACAAAACUAUAUAGAUUUUAACUACAAUUUUAGAGUCAAAUUCAAAACUAAUCUCACAAAAGACAGUCGUUAAUUCAUCAAUGCUAUAGAAAUAAAUAAACCUAAGCUAAUGGCUUCAUCAGUAAAUUACUAUUUAAUUAUACUAUGAAGUUCUUAUAACUAUAAAAAAUCCAAAUAAAGAACAAAAAAUAACUCCAAAGAAUCCACACUUGGGUUCACACAAGAUUGUUUUUGUUUUAGUUGUGAGGGAAGAUUCGAAUAAAUAUUUGUCUUGAACUAAAUGAAAUAAGAAGCAUGGUAGUUUGGAAAAGACAAGUCACCUCAAUUUGACUGUGGAGGAAUCUAAUGUAUCCAAUAGCCUCCGACAAGACAGAGGCUGUGUCAGUCUGAAAUAAAAGGGAUCAAUCAACCAAACAGUGACUAAUAUAAUUCAAUUUUGAUUUAGAAAUUUGAUUAUCUUAACCCAGUGAUUAGUAAAGGGAAUUAAUCAGUAAUUAUACCUUGCCAAAGGGAGAUACUAGCUGGUGAAGAGAUGCGAUUCUGCCUCCAAGUUUCUCCUUUCUCACCUUUGAUAAAACAAGAGAUCAUAUAUAAAUAUACUACAUGUGGUCAUUUCGUUAUUUAACGAAUGUAAUUAGAUCUAUGAGCCAAGAUCCAAAUAAAAAAGAAGAAGGACAAAGGACACAUUUUGAUAUAACUGAUCAAAUAAAGAUAUAUUUUGUUACAAACAUAACAAUAUCAAUUUAGACAGAACAAAAUAAACAGAGCAAGAAGAAGAAAACAUAAUUAACUUCAAUAAUUUUAAUUUUAAAAGUUUUGUUAGAAAAUGAAAGCUGAGCUAAAACUGAAUCAAACUGAAAAAACAGAUUUAGUUUCUAUUUUUCAUUUUAAAAUAAAAACUAACAAAAAAGGAUUGCGUAACUACCGUUGAAUCAUAGGAAAGAAAGAGAAAAAGAAUAAUGAGAUCAAGAAGAAGAAGACACAUAAGAAAGACAAAAAUGUUACAAUCACACACACAUGCAGCUUAUUCUGUGCCCAUUCUCUUUUGUUUUUUUCUACUUCUCCUUUAUGUUUGUGCAUUUGUUUUGUUAUUUAAAAUGUCAGCAAUAGAUAGAAACAAAGACAUAUGGAUUUAGUUAGUUACCUUGAGAGUUGAUUGUGAUGAAGGAACUUGAAGUUUUGGUUUCUUAUUUGCAAAAGAAGACCCAAUAAUCUCUGAGCUAUUACACUUCAUGACACACAGACAAAAAAAAAUAAUAGAAAUAUUCAUAUGGAGAGGUUACUUAAUCUUUGGUAAAGAUUAAAUAUUGAUCUGAUGAUAUAUAAUUAACUAUUUUAACCCACCUCGGACAAGUUAGGACCAUUGUGAAUGUUAUUGUUGUUUUCUUCAUUGGUGUUGUGAAUUGUAUCACAAGACUUGUUUGGAGGUGAGUUUGGUGAGGCCAUUAUUCUAUAACCAUUAGUAUUGUUACUCUCUUGUUUCAUGGAAGCUUGGUGCCUCAAAACUUGUUCUUCCCAAUUCUGUAUCUUCUUCUCUUGGUAACUAUGGUGUUGAUUUUGAAGAUGAUGAUGAUGGUUCAUCAUCUCCAUUUUCUCUUCCUCUCCCAUCAUCAAUCCACCCCUUCAUUCAAAGACGACAUAAUCUAUAUUAAAUCAUGUUUAUGUAUAUGCAAUAAUAUAAGUAGAUUAUGUAUAUAUCUACAUGGAAAAAAAAAGGAGAAAGAAACUUCAUAAGAUCGAAUUAAAUUACAAAACAAAUCCAAGAACUCAAAACCAAGAAAACAUCCUACGAGAGACAGGGAGAGGGAUAGAAAGGGAGUUACAAGAGGAGUUGACUAAGGUUCCAUGGCUGGUCAAGAGGCAGAUCACUCAUUUCAAGCCAAGAAGAGAAGUUAGGGUUACUAUUAGGAAGAGGCAAAGAAGGUGAAGAAGAAGAUGAAGAGGAAGUUGGAGAAGAGAAGGAGGUCGGCAAGAGACUUGGAAGAUAAGGAGUUGUAGGCGGCGGCUGGUGACUCAUAAACGGUGGUGGUGGCCUCAAGCCGCCGCUGACGUUAUUCCACCAAUUAGGGUUUCCAGCCGCCGUGAGGUGUUGAACCGGCGAACUCUCCAACACUCGUCUAUUCAUCGCCUCUCUUACUUUCUACUAAAAGAAUAUGAAAAGAUUUUGAGAUUUGUUGUUUCUCGAUGCUUUAGUUUUUGGAGAAAAGGAAAGAAGAAGAGAGACAAACAAAUUGAGCAAUCGAUAGAUGUCAAUGAUGAUUUUUGGAUGUAUUUAACACCAUUCUUUCUUUCUCUCUCUCUCUCGCUUUUUUUUUUUUUUUUUUUUUUUUCAUUUUUAGAGUUUGGAUCUUUCUUCUUCUUUUUUUUUCUUCUAUAAAUUUGGAUGUCCAUAUGGACCAUAUUCGAUGUAAGUUACAUCAUGUAACGAUUAACUAAUUUUGGAUGAACGGACGAAUAAGUUUUCUAAUUCAUGAACACAAUAUUCUAGUCUUUACGAUAAUCUAUCCAUAAAACAGAUAAACCUAAGUUGUGUAAGUUUAUGUAAGAAUAUUAAUUACUAGCUUAAGAAAGAUUGUUAUAAUCAGUAAUUCAUUUUUCUAUACUUCAUUUUUUUUCCCAUGCUUUAGCUUUAUUCAUAAAGUAAGGGAGGAAAAGGUGCUUUUGUUAUUUCAUCGAAUUAUGGUUUUUUUUUUUCUUUCUAAAUCAUAAUUCAUCGAAUUAUGAGCUGAGAAUCAAGAUGCAAAAUUUUUUAAAUAGAAACAGAAAAAGGGGGUUAUAUAUUCGAAAACUUUUUUAUACGGUGUAUAACAUAUUCGAAUAUAUUACAAGUGUUUUGCAUCUAUGCAUAUUUUUUUUACAUGCGAAAUAUCGUAUGUAAUUUAAACCAUUUUAAUUCCAUUUAUUUAGUUUACUUUUCUGUGAUUUAAAUACUAACUUUUGUUAAGGUAAGUUCUGAUAAUUCAUAUAUUAUUUCUUCAUCCAACCAAUGAUAUAUAUAAUUUCUUUGUUGAUGGUGACUUAAAUGGAUCAACAUGCGUUGCGUAGAGUUUUAUACGUACCCACUUAGCUUUAAAAAGGAAUUUCAUUUAACAAAGCUUAUUACGUUUAAAUGAGUCAAAAGUUUGCAUGACUCUUCAUUACAUAGGAUUAUCAAGUUGUUCAUAAACUUUUAAGAAACAUAUAAAAGUACGUUCUUUAAUUUUUUUUUUUUGGGGGGCAAAUAUUACGUUUUUUUUCUUAACCGAAAAAAAAAAAUCAAAAUUAGCUGUUGCUCUCUCACUACAAUAAAAAGGCUAGGUUGCAUCACUUAAAUUGCAUCAAAAAGUUAAACGAUACUAAUUUGAGUUACUUAUUAAUAAUUGAUACAAAAAAUAUAAUUUAACAUCAAUUGUUGUAACUGAUGCUAUUGUUAAUUUAUGUGGCAUCAAUUCAUUAAAAUUGAUACAAAUCUAGAUCAAUUUGUAUCAUUUUUACAUAUUGAUACAAAUUUAUAAAUUCACAUCAUUUAAACAAUCGAUGUAUUUCUUAAUUUAUAUUAACAUCACUUGAAAAAUGAUAUAAUUUUUAAUAAGUUUACACUAAUUACGUUAAAACUAAUUUUGUGGUUUAACAUCCACUGAUCAUGCAUCCUCUAUUUAUUACUAAAUCUUUAAUUACACAAAACAAAAUUUAGACGAUCAUAAAAAAAAAUUCUCUUUUCUUUUUGAAUUUUUUCAUUGGCCGCCUCUUUUUUUGUUUCCUCAGUUUAAAAUCUUAGUUGGAAAUAAAAUAUCUAUUUUCCUUUUCACCAAAACUAAGUAAAUCAAAAUACAAAUCUCUCCGGAAUCUUAACUUCUUUAAUCUACAAAAUCUACACUUUCUUUGCCAAAUACAAAUAUCUAAGAUAUAUAUUUUUUUUGUUAAUAACUUCUUCUCGCCAAGAUGAUUACUUUAAGAAGCAGAGGUUUGGUGGCUCGUCUUCUUCGCAAAACUGUAGGUCACUUAAUGUUCUAAAUUUUGUUUGGGUCAUUCAAUUUACAAAAGUAAAAGGCUAAAAGCUACUCAUAGAAUAAAUCUACGACCACAAGAGUUUGUGGCUUUAGAAAUAUGUGUCUUUUCAAAGAUUAAUUAGAAGUUCUAUUUUGUUAUCUCUUUGAUUUUAUGCUGAUCUUAGGCUGAUCUCCAUACUUAUUUUGUGCUGUUUUGAUCCAGUCUUUUAUCAUCAAGGCGUUGAAGGACCCGGAAAGAAACAGAAAGACGGUUAAGAAAAUAAAGCACACGGACGAUGAUGUUACUGAGGUUGCUAGGAUUAUGAGGCCCAUGAGGAUCUGACCGUGAGGAUCGUGAAGAAGAUUUAGAGAUGCAUGGGAUGCACCAUUGAUGAAAAAGACCCAAAAGAUUUUUCAGCAUGAAUUAAAGGAUGUGAUCGAGAUUGAUAUUUCUGAGAAUUAAUUAAGGAACAAAAGUAGUUUAUGGUUUUAGAGUUUGUUUUUGAAUUUUCAACAAUGUAAAGUUGUAAACGUGUAAACGUGUUUUCUUCCAUGAAAUUAAGUUUUUGUUUUUAAUUUUAUUUUAUUAAUAUUAAAUUUAUAUAUUAUUAUUUUAUUGAAAAUGAUAUCAUUGCUAUAUUUGUUCAUCAUGAAAACUGAUAUUAAAUUUAAAAUCAAUUAUUUAUAAUUGAUAGAAAUAUUUAACAUCGAUUAUUACAAAUGAUACAAUUAUUUGUAUCAGUUAUCAAAAAUGAUAUUAAUCUUAACAUCACUUACUAUAACCGUAACAAAUAAUUACAUCAUUUUUAUUAACCGAUGCAAAUUUAACAUCGUCUCUUGCAAAUGAUACAAAACAACAUCAAUUAUAAUAAUCGAUGCAAAUAUUUGAUGCAACCGAUUCAAAAUAUUUGCAUCACCACUUUCAGAGUCACUUUUAUAAGUGAUGCAAAACUUAUUUGCAUCAUUUAUAAGUAAUGUAAAUAUACAAAAUAAAUGACACAAAACACCUCUUUUUUUGUAGUGUCUUGAUAUCAUUAAUUCAUUGGGGAAUAAAAUUCCCUUUACCAAAUAAACCAUAUCAUCGAGUAUGUGAUAAACUUACAUACAUUAAACAUAUAAAUUGGUAUAGAGUCUAUAUAGACUUCUUGAUAAUGUGAUAGGUAUAAUUGUCUACUUGAUUGUGUCAGAUAUAUACAUUAAAAAUAUUGGCGUAAAAAGCAUAUAUUCCUGGAACAAAUUCAUAGAUAUAUAGACAUAAAUUUAAGCAAAGUUUCCAUUUCAAAGCAAAUUGUUUACAAUGAUUCCUAUAAGAUAAGUUGCUUAAUAAUUUGUAUUUUUGUAGGAUAUUUAUCAAAUAUAAGAAGAAAACAAAUUGUAUCUUUGCUUCUUCUGUUGACUAUUCUUAAUGGUUACCUCUUUUAACUUCAUGUAACUUAAACAAGUUUAUUUUUUGGUAUAUUAAUAAAGCUUAUCCAUUAUCAUUUUUUUUUCAUUCCAAUAUGCUCAAAUUAUAUGUACUCUUUUUUUUUUUUUUUGAAAAAGAAUUAUAUGUACUCUUUGUUCAUACAACAAAUACAAUGCGGCAGGGUCAUGAGCGAAAACCGUGGGAACUUUUAAAGGAUCGGCUUCACAUAAUCAUUAAAUCACCAUAUAUGCGUUUUUUUCUUGUAAUUUGAGCAUGUUAGGGUAGGAAAAAUCACUAUCAAUAUUUAAAAUUACCUAUAUUAUGCACCUCUGGUUUAUAUCGAGGAAAAUAUUUAAUCCCAAAAGUAGUACUAUGUACUUAUAAAUACUUGUUUUCCCACUCACGCAGAAUAUGAUUAAAGCAUGAUUUCAUGGUGACGCAUUCAAUCUCAACUAGAAGGGGAAACGGCGAAUUUGUUUUCGUUUGCAAAAAAAAAUCACAAUUUAGUUUUCGUUUUACACCAAGAAGGCAACAUUUCUCGAAGGAAUCAAUUUCUAGGGUUUGGAGAUCCCUCUGUCUCUCCAAAAAAUGUUUUUUACAGGUAUAAACUACAAAAAAAAAAAAAAGUUCAAAAUUAUUUAUCUUAAAACUCGAUUCGUUUUGAUAAUGCCGACCAACCCCAAAUCUUGAUCAAUUAGAGAUUUUAGUUUUAGCCCUAAAACUUAUAAAUAUAUUGGGCCUCAUUUUAUUUUUCGUGUAGGGUCUCACAAAUGCUCGGACCGGCAUUGAUAAAAGGACGCAUGGUCUAGGUUUAUAAGGCGGUAUUAUUUUCCCGUAUCUCUUUGAUAUGAUAAUGGAAGUCUUUGCCGACCUGUUAUACGCUAAAUUCAGUUCAUGUUUGUUUGAUUUUUAGUCAGAAAAUUUUUUUUGACGUUAUGAUCUUUUUCGAUAAAAAAAAUUUAAUUCGUUCCAAGGUCUAACCAAAUCUCGAAUUUUGUUGUACUAUUUAUCUUGAUCAGUAUACAGAAACUAAAAUCUCUUCAUUCAAUAUUUUUUAUUGGUUCUCUCCCAAUCAUGAUUUUGGUAUGCACUUACUUAAUCAAGUACAUCUACAUUCAACAAUUACACUUUCAUUUUAAAGGGAUUGCAAUUCACUACUUAAUUUACUUCAGUAAUCUAUAACACUAUAACCUUUUUGUUAUCGGUUUUCACAUCCAAAGGUUUAGCUUAAAUCCAUGAAAAGGCUUUACAGUUACUGUAUUGUGGCAAUAUUUCAAAGCAUACAUGGUUAAAUUAUAGGUUUUGUUGAACGAUGUCUAUCUCCCUAAAUUUAAAAGUUGGAUUAGUUCUUAUAAACUCUUAAGUAACUAGCUAGUGCAAUAUAUGGUGGAGUUUUAUAAUGGAAAUCUUCUUAAUAAACAUGGUGAGCUUGGGAUGUAAAAAUUAAUUAAUGUCAAAAGUGAGGUAGAAGAUUAACCUAGUGAGACUAGUAUAUUAAAUAUUGAGAACAAAGGUCUUAACUUUUAAGGCCAAGGGGAAUGAUGAAGAAUGAAGCAUGCUUUGUCCGUACAGUCCAAAGAUCUUUGUCGGAGACGAUGUGUCGUUUCUUCUCAAAUUAUAUUCUCUUCCUUCACUGUCUUUUUAUGUUGUGUUUCAUCUUAUCUUAUUUUCUUUUCCUUUCCUCACUCCUAUUUUAUUUAUUGAAUAGUAUUCCCUCUGUUCCUAAAAGUUUGAUGUUCUAGUGUUUUGCAAGUUCCACAAAAAUUGAUUUUUUAGAUUUUUUCUUUAUAUUUAGUUAAUUAAUAUAUAUUAAUAAAUCAUAGAUUUCAAGACGUAAUGAUUAACUGUUUCAGAUUACUAUUGGUUCAUAGUUUAUUAAAAAAAUAUUUAAUAAAAUUAAAUAAGUAAACAAUAAUUGUUUCUUAAAAUAUAUGAAAUCUCUAGAAAAUCAAUUAUCUAGGAACAGAGGGAGUAUAUAUUAGCUGUUUUCUUUUCACAUAUUAGUAUGUUUGUUUUAUUAACAUAUUAAUAUAUACUUAGUAUUAAGUCUCCUUUAGCUUGAUACUAUAAAUACUAUGUUGUAUCAUUACUUUUUCACUUAAUGAGAAAUUUCACAAUUAGUUAACAUGGUAUCAGAGCAUAAUAUUUUUCUCAUUCCUAUUUUCCCGGAAAAGUGAUUAACGGAAAACAGAUUUUCGAUCUUCUUCUUCUUCUUCCAUCUUCUUCAGAAAAUUUCUAUAUCAAUCUUCAAUUCAUCAUCAUCUUCAUCAUCCUCCAUCUUUUUCUACAUCGAUUCAUCGAUUCAUCACCUCAACGAGCUCAUCGAACAUCGACUCGUUAUUCAUCAAUUUUCUUCAUAUUUCUUACUUACAUCGCAAUCACUUUUCUUGGAAUUCAUUCUUCCGCUAAUCGAAUCAGCUUCGUUUUCUCUCGAUCGAUCUAAUCUUGAACAAAUCUUGAUCUGUUUUUCAAAGUUUUUGAGAUGACUUCUGGUGAAUCUUCCCGUCAGACAAUGGAUCACUACAAUAAUCCAUACUAUCUUCAUAACUCCGAUCAUGCUGGUUUAGCAUUGGUGUCAGAUCGUCUUGAAACAGGCGCAGAUUUCCAUUCUUGGCGAAGAUCAGUACGCAUGGCGCUUAAUGUGCGCAACAAACUUGGAUUCAUAGACGGUACAAUUCUUAAACCAUCUGAGAAUGAUAGAGAUUUUGGAUCAUGGUCUCGUUGCAAUGACAUGGUAGCGACUUGGCUUAUGAAUUCUGUUUCGAAAAAGAUUGGUCAAAGCUUGUUAUUCAUAUCUACGGCUGAAGGAAUUUGGAAAAGUUUGAUGUCACGAUUCAAACAAGAUGAUGCUCCUAGAGUAUAUGAGAUUGAGCAACGUUUGAGUGUUAUUCAACAGGGAUCUUUAGAUGUCAGUGCUUAUUAUACUGAAUUGGUUACCUUAUGGGAAGAGUAUAGAAAUUAUGUGGAGCUUCCUUUAUGCACUUGUGGAAAGUGUGAAUGCAGUGCUGCUACUCUUUGGGAUAAAUUGCAACAGAGAAGCAGAGUAACAAAGUUCUUAAUGGGUCUAAAUGAGUCCUAUGAAGCUACUCGCAGGCAUAUCCUCAUGUUGAAGCCUAUUCCAUCUAUUGAAGAAGUAUUCAAUAUGGUCACUCAGGAUGAACGUCAGAAGAAUAUCAAACCUAUGUCUAAGAAUGACAAUGUGGUGUUUAAUACUCAGGAUAACUCUCAGUCUGCAGUUGGUAGUACAAUGAAUAAGCAUCCUUAUUCUGGUUAUUAUGAUGGAAGUGUACAAACUGGUCAACAUGUAUAUCAAGGGCCUCUAGAUAACAAUAUCUAUGCUGCAAUGCAGUCUCAGUACAGACCUAGAGCACCAAGACCAGUGUGCACUCAUUGUGGCCAAACUGGUCAUGUUAUUCAAAAAUGUUUUAAACUCCAUGGUUAUCCUCCAGGAUAUAUACCAGGAUUUAAAAGCUCUGGAGGUUAUCAGACUCAUAAUGGAGGAUAUCAAGUUCAGUCUGCAUCAAGACCUCCUAAUCCAUCUUUCAACAACAAUUUUCAACCUAGGGCGCAGUACUCUAGUCCCAGACCAUCGACACAUGCAAUUGCUAAUGUCAUGACUGGUGCAUCUGGUUCAAAUUCUCCGGCUAUAUCAACAACCAAUUUGGAUGUGAGUCAGAUGAAUAAAGAACAGGUGCAAUCCCUAAUACAACAACUGAAUACUCAUGUUCAAGUUUCAGAGAAUCAAGCACCUUUCCCAUUAGUUGCUUCUGUUACACAGAAUGGUAUUAUGGAUCCGCAAUCUUCUUCUGGUACUGUCUCUUUUCCAUCUACCUCUCUUCGUUUUGAAAAUAACAAACUCACAUUUCAACAUCAAUGUCUAUCUUCUCUCUAUAAUCAUCUUCCUCAGGGUAGUUGGAUAAUUGACAGUGGAGCUACAAGUCACGUUUGCUCUGACUUGGCUUUAUUCAAUGAAACUGUGACUGUUACUGGUGUUACAGUUUCUUUACCUAAUGCAACUAGAGUGGAUAUAGCACACACUGGCACAAUACAUUUAUCUACAUCUCUAGUUUUGCAUGAUGUUUUACAUGUACCUUCUUUCAAAUUUAAUCUCAUAUCAGUUAGCAGCUUAUUAAAACAUAGUCAAGCAUCAGCUCAUUUUUUCCCUGAUUUUUGUUAUAUUCAGGGGUCUAUUCAGGGCUUGAUGAUUGGUAGAGGCUUUCUACUUCAUAAUCUUUACAUACUGCAGCUUGAUGCAUCUUCAUCUCACACUCUCACAUCUCCUGCUCAUCAACAUUUCUCUGGAUCCUUGGCGGUAGAUGGACAUCUCUGGCAUCAACGCCUUGGACACCCAUCUUCUGACAAGUUAAAAUUGUUGUCUGGUACUCUUUCUAUGUCUAAAAGUAGUUCUUUAAUUGAGUCUCAUUGUUCAGUCUGUCCUUUAGCUAAACAAAAAAGGUUAAGUUUUGAGUCACACAAUCACAUGUCUUCAUCCCCGUUUGAUCUUAUCCAUUUAGAUGUUUGGGGUCCUUUCAAAGUUGAAUCUGUAGAAGGCUAUAGGUACUUUCUCACUAUAGUUGAUGAUCAUACCCGUGUAACUUGGAUCUAUAUGCUAAGGAAUAAAAGUGAUGUUUCUAAACAAUUUCCUCUUUUCCUUAAAUAUGUUAAAACCCAAUAUAAUGCUGUUGUUAAAACAAUAAGGACUGACAAUGCACCAGAGUUAGCUUUUAUUGAUAUAGUUGAACAAACUGGCAUGAUUCAUCAAUAUUCUUGUCCUUAUACACCACAACAGAAUUCUGUUGUGGAACGCAAACAUCAGCAUUUGCUUAAUGUGGCUAGAUCAUUACUCUUUCAAUCAAAUAUACCUUUAGCUUACUUGAGUGAUUGCAUAUUAACCUCUGUUUUCCUUAUCAAUCGUAUGCCAUCUACUUUGUUAAAGAAUAAGACACCUUAUGAGAUGUUAACAAAGAAAUUGCCUCAAUACUCUUUUCUUAGAUCAUUCGGGUGUCUUUGCUAUGUUUCAACUUUGCAAAAAGAUCGCAAUAAGUUCAGUCCUAGAGCUGAUAGGUGUGUUUUCUUAGGAUAUUCUUCAGGAUACAAAGGAUAUAAAGUGUUGCAUCUGGAUACAAACCUUGUUUCUGUUUCUAGAAAUGUAGUUUUUCAUGAAAAAGAUUUUCCAUUCAAAACAGACAUUCAUUCUAUUCCUAAAUCUGAUAUUUUUAGCAAAUGUGUUCUUCCUCUGUCUACUCCUGCUGUUAUAGAUUCUGCAUCAUCAUCAGAAAAUCAUGUCAUUGAUUCGCAUAUAUCACAUUCAUUGCAUCCUACACAUCACUCUAGUGGUAACAAUCUUUCACAAGAAACUGUAAUACAGGAAACCACUGCAGUUUCAUUGCCUAUAGCCCGGCCAAAGCGAUCUUCUAAGGCUCCCAGUUACUUAUCUGACUACCACUGUGCUCUCAUUCAAACAUCCGCAUCACCACCAAAGGUUUCUACCACUCCUUAUCCUAUUUCAAACUUUCUCUCAUAUUCACAAUUCUCUCCUUCCUAUCAAUCUUUUAUUCUCUCAAUAUCACAAGAGACAGAACCAAAGAAUUUCAAGGAAGCUAUAGCCUCUGUAAAAUGGACUGCAGCUAUGGAUGUGGAACUUGGUUCUAUGGAGCUUAAUAAAACAUGGAGUGUGGUCUCUUUGCCUCCUGGUAAGAACAUAGUAGGCUGCAAAUGGGUAUAUACAAUAAAGUAUAAUGCAGAUGGCACUAUAGAGAGAUAUAAAGCCAGAUUGGUUGCUAAGGGUUUCACACAACAAGAAGGAGUCGACUACUUUGACACUUUUUCCCCUGUAGCAAAACUGGCAAGUGUCAAACUGCUACUUGGUUUAGCUGCUAAGAAAGGCUGGAGCACUUCACAAAUGGAUGUUACUAGUGCAUUUCUACACAGUGAAUUGGAAGAAGAAAUCUAUAUGAGCCUACCGAAAGGUUAUACACCACAAAAUGGUGCUUCUCUUCCACCUAACCCAGUUUGCAGGUUGCAUAAGUCGAUAUAUGGACUUAAGCAGGCUUCACGCCAAUGGUACAAAUGUUUAUCAAAAGUUCUUACUGAUGCUGGCUUUCUGCAAUCCUACGCUGACAACACUCUGUUUGUCCAAGUCACUGGUACGUCCAUUGUUGCUAUACUUGUUUAUGUGGAUGAUAUCCUCAUAGUCAGUAAUGAUGAUGAAGCAGUUAGGUCUAUUAAGGCUAUACUUGGGAAUCAGUUUAAGACUAAAGACUUAGGAGAGGCGAAAUUCUUCUUAGGUCUUGAAAUAGCUAGAAAUUCAGAAGGAAUUUCAAUAAGCCAGAGAAAGUAUUGCUUGGAUAUGUUAGCAGAUUCUGGCUUGUUGGGGUGUAAACCAAAGUCAGUGCCUAUGGAUCCUAAAGUCCCUUUGACAAAAGAUACAGGCACACUUUUGGAAAAUGCAAGACCCUACAGAGAGAUUAUUGGAAGACUUCUAUACUUGUGUAUUACAAGACCUGAUAUCACUUUUGCAGUGAAUCGUCUUAGUCAGUUCUUGUCCUGCCCCACUGAUGUACAUUUUCAAGCAGCUCAACAAAUUCUCAAGUAUCUGAAGGAUAAUCCAGGACAAGGUUUAUUUUAUCCUGCUUCCACAGAGGUAUGCUUGAAUGGUUUUGCUGAUGCUGAUUGGGGUACUUGUCUAGAUUCAAGACGUUCUACUUCAAGGAUGUGUGUUUUUCUUGGUAACUCUUUGAUUACAUGGAAAUCAAGAAAACAAGAUAUUGUCAGCAGCAGUAGCACAGAAGCAGAGUAUAGGAGUAUGGCCAUGACUACGAAGGAACUUCUUUGGCUCAAUCAAAUGCUCAGAGAUCUUCACAUCAAGAUUGACUCAUCAGCAAAACUCUUUUGUGACAACAAAUCUGCAACACACAUAGCCAACAAUCCGGUUUUCCAUGAGAGAACGAAGCAUGUGGAAAUCGAUUGUCAUAUCACCCGAGACCAAGUGAAGAAUGGCUUCUUGAAGGUUUUACAUGUUGAUACAGGGAACCAACUGGCGGAUAUAUUGACGAAGCCACUUCAUCCUGGUCCUUUCUACUCACUCCUCAGUCGACUAUCAGUGUCAAGCCUCUUCAAUCCUUCGGAUGAUUCGGCUUGAGGGGGGUGUAUUAACAUAUUAAUAUAUACUUAGUAUUAAGUCUCCUUUAGCUUGAUACUAUAAAUACUAUGUUGUAUCAUUACUUUUUCGCUUAAUGAGAAAUUUCACAAUUAGUUAACAUGUUUUAAAAAGUGACACGUUAAUUGUUUGAAUAACAAGCACUUGAUUAUUUUUUUGUCUGAAGUAUUAUCAUUUGAAAAUAAUUUAUUUUCCAUUAUCAUAAUACAAAAAGAAAAUAGGAAUCGAACCCCAAGUCUUACGGAUAUUACACUUCACUAUUAUGCAAUAAUUCGUAAUUUAUAGGAAUCGAAACCCAAAUAUAAUAUAAGAACGUUAAUUAACUUUUGAUCUUUUACUGAGACUAGAAGACUUCCACACUUGAAUUUUUUUUCUAAGAAGAUUUUGAGACAUGUCCAAUAUUUUCAAUUUUGAAAUUCGAACGCUAUUCAUUGUACAUGGAUUAAAUAAUUUAGUUACUUAAGAGAUUUGCCAUGUGAUUGACAAAAAAAAAAAAAAAGAUUUGCCAUGUUUGUGGUAUAUAUGUACGUAGAUCUCUAUUGUUAAAAUAAAUAAAUUAAAUGAUCGUUUUUUUCGUUUCAAAGGUAAAUGAUUAAAUUAUUUAAAUAUGGAGAUAAUUUGAGAAAUAAUUUUUUAUUAUAAAUCUACACACCAAUGUUUUUUUUUUGUUAAUAUUUACACAACUAUAUCUGUACUCAAAUAAGUGAAAUGUGAAGUACAACUGUACAAAUAAAAAUAAAGUGUGUAUGAAAUAUAAAUAAAGAAGAGUAAAACAUCUAUAUAUUCAUUUUUUGAGUACACUUAGCAAAUAAAUCCUAGAGUUGCUAAGUAUUUACAAAGAAUGUCAUUAUCAUAAAUGUUUAUCUAUUAAUUAAUAGGGAGACUCACAAAAAUGCCCCUUUUUCAAUACCCCUUUUCAAAAAUGCCCCUUAUGGAUGUCUAUUUUUAAAAAUACCCCUUUUAUGUACAAAAUGACUAAAUUACCCUUCUUUUAAUAAAAGAUAUCAUAAAUAUAUAAGGAAAUAUAACAAAAUUAGGUCCACAAAAUACAAAAUAUUUUUUGGCGGGAAAAGUGAUCCCCCAAUUUUUCCCGCCAAAACACUUGUAAAAAUUUGUAAAACCUUUAAAAUACCUUGUAAAAUUUUCCCGUAAAAUUUUUUCCCGCCAAAAAAUUUUCCCGCCAAAAAAUUUUUUUUGCGGGAAAAGUGAUUCCGCAAUUUUUUUGGCGUUAAAUUUUUGGCGGGAAAAAUUUUCCCGCCAAAAAUUUACAAGGUAUUUUAAAGGUUUUUUACAAGGUAUUUAUAAGGUUUUACAAUGUAUUUUAAAAGGUUUUACAACGUAUUUACAAGGUAUUUAUAAGAUAUUAUAAGAUUUUACAAGCUAUUUUAUAAGGUUUUUACAAGUUAUAAGGUUUUACAAGUUUUUUAUAAGGUUUUACAAGUUAUAAAUACCUUAUAAAACCUUAAAAGUACCUUGUAAAACCUUUUAAAAUACAUUGUAAAACCUUACAAAACACUUGUAAAUACCUUGUAAAAAACCUUUAAAAUACCUUGUAAAUUUUUCCCGCCAAAAAUUUUCCCGCCAAAAAAAUUUCGCAAAAAAAAUUGCGGAAUCACUUUUCCCGCAAAAAAAUUUUUUUGGCGGGAAAAUUUUUUGGCGGGAAAAAUUUUUACGGGAAAAUUUUACAAGGUUUUUUAAAGGUUUUUACAAGUGUUUUGGCGAGAAAAUUGCGGGAUCACUUUUCCCGCCAAAAAAUAUUUUAUAUUUUGUGGACCUAAUUUUGUUUCAAAUAAGGGUAAAAUAGUCAUUAAAAAUUAAAAGAGGGCAAACUUAAAAAUGGACUCUCAAAGGGGGCACUUUUGAAAAGGGGUAUUGAAAAAGGGGCAUUUUUAACAAUUUCUCUAAUUAAUAUUACAAAAUAUUUUCGAAAAAAAUCUUUAGAAACUAUGGCUUCCAAAUAUGGUAACAAAUUGAUUUUGUUUCUAAAUAUUCCUAAAACAUCUCUACCUAAUUUAAACAUUUAUGUAUGAUUCUUCUUUCACUUUUAUAUGAUCUUAUAGUAAUUUAUAUUGAAUUUAUAUAAAAUACAUAUAAUUACUAAAAUAAUAAAUUUUUCUGCAUAUAAUAUGAUUAAAUAUGUGCACAAUUUCUCACAUUGCUUAAAAAAUUGAGCAAUGGUUUAGAGUCAUACUAUAAAAAAGACCAAAAUAAUUCAGAAUAGAAAACGAGGUGUACCACAGGUAAAACCUAGAAUUAAAAAUAAAGAUAUAAUUAUAUAAUCUUAAAUACUAAACCAACCAAACAAAUAUAAUUUAAAAUUUAAAAUUUUAGUUUAAAAAAAUCGACCCACAAUAUAUCGCGGGGUAAAUUGUUUUGAUACAAAAUAAUAUCAAAUUAUUAUAAUAGUCCAUGAUUAUAAAUGCCUGCCAAUAUUAACACUAUAUAAUUUCUACACGUACAACUCUUCUAAGUACACAUAUUUCGACGAUAUUAAUUAUAAUAUAAAAUAAUUAAAUGAAUUUUUUUAUUUAAUAUCAAUUUAAAAAUCCAAUAAAUUAUAAAUUAUUAUAUAAAAUACAUAAAAUACAAUUUUGCCCCGCGGUGUACCGCGGAUUAAAUCCUAGUUAGAUACAAAGACGACACAUUGUCGUAUUGGCGUGAUCCGUGAAUUCGGUUUGCUAAUAGAAUUUUAAACUUUCAUGAUCGUUCGAUUUUUAACUUUUAAAAAAAGUUUUAACUAGUAAUUUGAUUUGAAACUUGCUAUCUCCAAAUGGACCAUUUUUAUUUUUUUAAUUUCAAACUUGUCAUUGUCGAUUUUUUUUCUGCCUCAAAUUUAGAACACUAAUAUCAUAGCCCAUCAAAGGCGGUCGCCCUUAUGUAUUCUUCUUGUUCAUGCUGGAUUUGAUCAUAGGAUUCUUACACGACUGCCUUUCUGGUCACUCUUUUGAAUUUUAAGUAUUGUAGUUUUUUGUCACGUAAUAUGAUUGCACAUAUAUUACCUAGCUAGUUGAUGGCAUAUUAUAGAAAACUUUCGGAAUAUUGAGAAAAAGUUUCUUUCUUCAAAUAUCAAGCUUCAAAAUCCUUUCAUUCUCUAUUCAUUUAUGAUUAAUUAUCAUAUUAAGCCUAUCUAUAUACUCCCUCCGUUCUUUAAUAAGUGAUGUUUUAAGCUUCUAAUUUUGUUCUUAAAUAGAUGAUGUUUUCAGUUUUCAAUGCAAAAUUAAUUAUUUUUUAUUGGUUUUGACGAUUUACAUUCUGUAAAUUAUUUUUUUAUUGGUAAUUGAUUAGAUAAUAAAUGACGUUUUAGUUUAGAAAUAAACAAAAAUUAAAUAAUUUUUUAAUCUAUGUGUAUUCUCCUAAAACAUCACUUAUAAAAGAACGGGGGGAGUAUGUUUUUAAAAGUUUAUCUUUAUUGUACGAAUUGUUUGGGGUCACAGUGUAUUAACCAAUAUUUAGAAGUUAUUAUUUAAUUAGCUAAAACUUAUGUGGUCAUUGUGGUAUAAAUUAAAUGACAUGGGGCAUAAGUGUUAUGGAAGUUUAAUGUGUGGAGACACUUAGUAAUUUAUUAUUCGAUAAGAUCCCGAAUUAGAAAUUAUCACUAUAUAAAUAGAAGGUUAUGGUAUCCAAAGCAACUCUUACCAUAAAUAAAGAAACUCUUUGCAUCCCCAUCAACAUAGACCUAUAACUAUUCAAGGUUUUGAAAGAUUUAAUCCCAAAUUCAGACCUUAAACUACGGAUUCUUCAGGUAUGCUUCCACUUUCGUUAUUAAUCAUCAGGAUGAAUUUAAGGUUUAGGAAAUCAUAAAUAUUUUUCAUACAGCAUCAAGUAUGUUAAAUCAGUCUAAACAACGUUUCGUUUCUUUCUUUUUUUUUUCUUUUUCUUUUUGGCAUGUUUCAAACAGUUAAAAAUGGAACAUUAGAAGCUAACAUUUGACAUAUGGGUAAGGUGAUCGAAGCUUUGUAGGAGAAUAAGACUUGUUUACUAGAUAUAUUACCUCAUGGUAAAGAUGCUACCGGAUGUAGAAUUGUUUUUAAUAUUUGAUAAAAUGAUGAUAAAAUCGAUCAAGGUUUCUACUGAGCACUUUCACAUUCCAGUGAUCAAAUUUCAUGUUUGGACACAUUUUCUUACUUAGAAGUUCAUGAAAGCCUAGAAAUGCCUUUUCCAUAGUUUGUAUUAAUCAUAGUCGACGAUCAUAGAUUCAAGUUCAAUCACACAUUAUGCACUAGUUUUCAUACUUGAAUUAAAUCACAACUAGACAGGUCCAUUUUGGGACGAAUUACCCGAUGCGGCAUACCCGCGCGUCCCAAAUUUUUAGAAACAAAAAGUUAAAAUUAUACUCAUGUUUGGAACAACAUACUAGUACAUCCCAACGAAUACACAAAAAUGGGCCGGAGUAGGUUUGUGUCACCUGAAGGUCCUGAACUAUAUAUUGGGCAACGACAAAAACAAAACGACGUUAGGUUAUGCUUCACAUCAUAAAAACCAUAGAAAAUAGAUGUAUUUUUCAGCUUAUGUAGAUGUGAAAUUUGAAAGGUAUGUCAAAUAUAAUUGUGAUGGCCCAAUCAACUUUUAAAAUAGAUAACGGUAUGAAUGAGUGAUAUGGGCCGGAAAGGAAUAUCAAAUAAAAGCUACAAGGCCAUUAUAUCCAUAAUCCAUUGAAAACUAUGUUUAAUUGAUAGAAAAAUCAUGGAACAUGCUAAUGAGAUCACAAAUAAAGUACAAUUAUACAUAGAAAAGAAGAAAUGAUUGAGAGCAUCAUGGUAAUGGUAAUGACAUAAUUAUUUAAUCAACCUCUAGAAAAAAUAUGUACUUUCUAUCUUCUUUUUUGAUAACCUACCAAUAAAGGUACUCUUCCUAUCUUGUUCUUCUUUUGUCGGCCUAUCUUGAAUUUGUUGAAACAACAGAUAAAGGGAAACGGAAGAUAUGAUGCGAUCGAUUUUCCGGGUUAGGAUGGUUUUGUUCUAGUUCGAAUGAUGGAAUGCAAGAUAUGGGAGCUGCUAAUCUUCGAAGAAGCUUAACCUCACUUCACACAGAGGUCGAAGCAUUAAUUUGGGCGGUGAGAUGUAUGAACGGCCAAGACAAGAGAGAAGUAGAUUUCUUUACAGACUGCUCCGACCUGGUGAAGAUGGUGUCUUCCCCGCAAAAGUGGUCAGCGUUCGCAACCUACCUAGAGGCGAUUCAGAGUGACAAGAAAGAGUUCGACGUAUUCUCAUUAUCUUUAGUUUCUCGAAAUGCAAAUGUGAAAGCGGAUAAACUGGCUCGAACUGUUCGUACCCAACCGCAUCAUAUCACUUAUGUAAACAAUUUUCCCCAACAUUGGCUUAUUUGAGCCAAUCUAAUAUAUAUAGCUGUUGACAAAAAAAAAAAACAGAUAAAGGGAAAAAGAGUGUUUAAACUUUAAAGGAAGUAUUAGUAGUAAGUAUUAGUAAAUUGUUAGUAAAGUAUCUUGGAUUAGUUUUCUUUCAAAAAAAAAAAGAGAGGAAGUAUUAGUAAACUGUUAGUGAUUUAAAUUAUUAUGUGUUAAUAUUCGAGGAAGUUUCGUCGAACAGAGAUCACUAUAUUCGCUUAUCUCUUUAACCAAGAUAUAUAAAAAACAAUGAUCUUUCAUGAUCUAUAUGUAUAUUAUCAGGGCCAUGACAAUGAGUGAAAAAAAAAAGGCAUUUGUCUUAGGCCCCCUUUAAAUUAAUCAAAUUUUGGCCCCAAAUUUUAAAUAAUUAUAUAGAAUAUUAGUAAAAUAUUUUUAUUUUUGUGUUAUUUUUCUUAAGUUUGAAAUUUUUUUUAAUAUAUGAAAACUAUUUUUAUUUAUCUCUAAUAAUUACAAUAUAAUGUUUUUGAAUUUUAGUAGUUUCGUAGAUAAAAAAUGUUAACUAAGAAAAUAGAAUACAAAAAUUGUAUAAAAUUAUAUAGUUAUAGUUAAUUGUACAAAAUGUUAUUUCCAUAGAUUAAGAACAUAGUGUUAAAUUAUCUCUAGUUUAUUACAAAAAAUAUUUUUAGUUUUAGUUAUAAAUUAUAACACAUUUAUUAUGAAAAUGCUAAACCAUCUCGUUUUUUUUUUUUUUUUUUGCCUUACGCCACCAAAACUCUAAGCACUGCCCUGAUAUUAUUUGUCCACGUGGGUCAACCAAUGACGAUCUGGUAUCGUUUUGUGUUAGACAAUCUCAUCUCAUAAACAAUAUUUUGGGAACUUAUUUGCUGAAGCUAAGUGUCGACUUCAAUAAUAUUUUACUAUCAUUUAGCUUUAUAGAAGAAUAUUUUAGUGCAAUUGCUUAACUUAACUUGGUCUCAUGAUCCGAUUUUUUUCUUUGUCAAACUCUUACUCUUUUUUUUCCCCAUGAUCCGAUUUAAUUCCACAAAAUCUUAAAUGGUUCUAUAUGUUGACCGUGUAAAAUUAAAUAAUUAUUAUAUAGAUCUUUCAUGUGUAGUUGUUUGAUAAAGUUAUCAAUAUUUCGCAUAAUUAUUAUAUAGAUCUUUCAUGUAUAGUUGUUUGAUAAAGUUAUUGGGUGAAGUUAUUUUGCAAAGUUGUCUACAGAUUUUAAUGUAUAGUUGUUUGCUAAAGUUUUCGCGUAAAGUAAUUUGGCAGUUGGUGAAUAGGUUUGGACAAUUAUUUUAUUCCCUCCGUUUCAAUUUAGUUGUCGUUUUAAGAUUUAAAUUUUGUUUCAUAAUAGUUGUCGUUUUAGGUUUUCAAUGCAAAUGUUUGGUGAAAAUUCCAGUUUUAUCCCUACUGUUUUAAUGUUUUGACUAAUAAAAUUUUUUAUAAAAUAUAUUAAUAAAGGGUAAAACAGAAAAUUUAAUGUUUUUCUUAAUUUGUGUGCAAAAACCUUAAACGACAACUAAAACGAAACAGAGGGAGUAGUAUAUAUUUGUUUAGUAAGGUUUUUUGGACAAAUAAAUAUGCAGAGUUGUUUGGUAAAUUUAGUUUUGCACAAUUAUUAAAUAUCUUAAGUAGAUUUGUUUGGUAAGGUUUUGUGGAAAAGUUAUUAUGCACACUUGUUUGGUAGAUUUAGUUUCCUUGGUUAAUAAAGUUUUUCGGUAAGUUGUUAUGCAAAGUUUUCUCACAAAUUUAGUUUCACACAAUUAUUAUAUAGAUCUUAAGUAUAGUUAUUUGUUAAAGUUAUAAAGUAAAGUUAUUAUGUAGAGUCAUUUUCGUAAAGUUAUUAUAUUGACUUUGUUUGAUAGAGUGUUUGUGUAGAAUUAAACUAAUAAAAAUCUUCUUCUUCAAUAAUAUUUUUACAUAAACAUGGUACAUACAAUUGUAGUUUUAGGUGAUUGGAUGUUGAAGACGUAUGGCACUUUACAGUUUUGCUCGUCAAUGAGUUUUAUUUGCUAUGAAUGGAGAAUCGUAAAGUUCAGAUCGUUGAUGAGUUAUUUGCUAUUUGUGGUGAAAUUAGCUAGAGAUCAUGUUGAUCUUGGUGAUCAUGAUGAUAAAAUUUUUCUUUGGCUUUUUUGAACCAGAAAGUCAGUCCUCCUAUAAUCCUCUUGGAAUGUGGAAUCAACCAUGACACCAACUAAAAUGCAAGGAAAUAUGAAAAACCCAUAAACGUAGCUUCUUGUGAGUGUAAUCAUCAUUAUGGCAAUGCUCCAUCGCUGACUUGAUCUUUUAAAGUAAUUCAAGCAGUCUGUUUUAUAAUAAUAUUUGGAAAAAUUAGACGUUAGAAUAUGAUAUUUGGAAGUAUAUAUUAAAGCAAAAAGAGAUGGAGGAAAAAAAAAGGUGAGCUUGCAGGGCACACCCCUCUUAACGAAAUGAUAAGCACAAUACAUAUGAAUGUUUUAGCUGUUUUACCUUUAAAGUUUGAGUACACAUGGCGAACUUGAGAUAUAUCUUAAGAAUAUGUCUAAUUUUGAAAAGUUAUGGGUCUUAAGAUUAGAAAUUUUAAAGAGUUAGUGGAGAACUCUAUCGUUGAUGCAGACGUGAGAAAGAGACAACGAGAAGGCAAUUUCUUGAAUUGUGAUUUUUUCCAUCAUGUUUGUUGUUCUUUAUUUCAAUAAGGAUUUUUUAAAAUAAUUUGCCCAUUAAAAAAAUUAUGUAUGUUCUUCGUAGAAUAAUUAACAAGGAUUUUUUUAACAUUUCAUUAUAAAAAAACCUAAUUAAUUAAUUUUAUAAGAUUUGGUCUAUUUUAUUAAUUUUACUAUAAUUUUUGGUCUAUUUUAAUAAGUCUCCCAAUUAAAUUUAGUUGUAGCAAAAAUCAAGAAACUAAAAGAAAGUCAAAAUUCACAAAAAAGAAGCAUUACUCCACAUGUGCGGGGCUUUAGAUUCUUUGAAGCUCACAUUGGAGUUCCUAACAGGGCCGGCGUUGAGAAGGUGCAAGAGGAGCAAAUGCACCGGGCCAAAUUUUUUUUGGGUAAAUUUAAGGGUCUAAUUUUUUUAAAAAAAGAAAAAAUGAUAAUUUUUAAGAUUUUAAGGUAAUUUUAGUAUGAAAAAGGCCCAAAUAUAUAUUUUUAGUAUGAAAAGGAUCAAUUUUAAAGAUUUUUUUAACAUAAAAAAGGCCAAAAACAAAAUUUUCUAUGAAGAAAGGGCCAAAUUUUAAGAUUUGUACAUGAAUUCUAAAUUAAUUGAGCCAGCCCUGGUUCCUAAGCUCAUAUUAUAUAAGCACCUUAUCUUAUAUUUGAAGAUAUGAUAUAAUUUGUCUACAUGGUGACAUUGUCAUGGCACACAAAUGCAUGAAUAUAUGUAUAUAUAUAUAUAUAUAUAUAUAUAUAUAUAUAUAUUCUUAAAAUUAUGAUAUAUUCGUUUAUUAAAUCAAGGUUUUUUUUUUAAGUAAUCAAUAAGAAUUCAUAUUUUGAAGUACCGGAGACAAUUCAUGUUAAUAAGGCAUAUAGAGAGGGAUACAUAAGGACCAUAACUCACAAAAAUAAAGAAAACUUACAAAAGGAUCUAUUGCUAUUCUAACUGAUCUCUUUAAAAUUAAUGCUUCAGAUUACUUAUCAAUUGAUACGUGAAACUCAAUAGCUCCUCCGCCGCAAGCUAGCAGAUUUGGAUCAAGCUAAUUCAAGCUCUUAUCUGGUGAGGUUUAAGCUCAAGGCGAUUUUUUGUUCUCGACAUGGCUCCAAUGCAUACAAUAGUCGACAUGUUGUUGUAAAGGAUAAACAAGAAUAUACAAGUUUUCAAAGAAAAACAAAUUACUUAUCAAAUAAACCUAACCUAUAGCUUAGUAUAGUUUGUAUCUAUAUUAGAUUUAAGUCAGAUUUAAUGCAUGUUACUGAAAAAAUUGCUCCUCAGAUAGUACAGUACAAUGCAUGCAUAUUAGAUUCUGCAGAAAGAUAACUAAAAUCAGAAUAAACAUAAUUUUCGGGAAAAUGCAUAUUAAUGGAAAUCAGCAAAACAAAGAUUAUAAAAAGUUUUAUAUGUUGAAGUAUUUAAUAUUUGAACAGCCCGUUUGUAUGGUUGUUGAAAAAAACAAAACACAUGCAUGAUUCACCAUAACCUACAUGUGUUUAUGUGACCAUAUAUAUUCCUAUUUUAUUAAAUAAUUUAAUCUGCAUGAUCGGUGCCAAUUAAACGGGAUAUGCCUUAGAUAUCUUUCAUUAUGUAUAUCUCCGAUGUUUUUUUUUUGUUUUGUGAUAUAAAAAUAUUAUAUCCGUAUUUUCUCAAUUAUAUAUGUAUAUGUGUAUAUAUAUAUUUGGUGCAAUCUACUAUAUCUGCAGUAUUUUUUAAAGCCAAACCAAAUAUCAAGAUCCACGAAUUGAGCAAUACAAAAUUUUAAGCCAUGGUCUAUGUCUAAUUAUAAUAUAUAUAUAUAUAUAUCCUAACUGCUUAACAUAGACAAUUAUUCUUCAAAUUAAGAUCUAUAAUAUUUGCAUGAGUUAGCUUAUUUUAUGGUACCACUUUCUUAGGCAGCAUAUCUUAAAUUUUACGUAUCAUAUUUGUUGUUAUAUAAAUUUCUGUGAGUUUUAUCACGCAAAUAUCUUGUUAAACAUUAAAAAAAAUUAAGUGGAUAACAUCAAUUCAAAUUAAGAUAAAAGAAAAACUGUACCAAGUCAUAUUUAUAUCUUGUUAUCAUGAUACGAUAUUGAAAUUGCUUAUUAUUUAUAAUUAUAUAUGUGGUUAUCUCGCUCAAUUUUACAGAUAUGGUUAUCUCGUUGGGCUAUAUUAAUUUAAAUCUAUAAUUAACCAAAUAAUUAGAUUUAAAUCCAUGGUAAUUUGAAAUUAGAUAAUUAGAAAAGAGAAAGAAAAUGUAAACCAAAAAUAUCUUUCUUUUUUGGAUUAAUUACUAAAAUGCCACUGAUUAAAAUAAGGUUAAUAUGUGGGUGACACUGUUCAUUUUGACACGAUAAUAUGCAGAUGACACAUGCUAAAUAAUUUAGUAUCGCGAUAAGUUAUAAAUUAUAUGUUAAUAUAAAAUAAUAACGUGCUAACAUAUUACAUAUCUGAAUAAUAUUUGUAUGAACAUGGUAAAAUAUUCGAUAUAUGGAUAAUAUUUAUAUUAACAUGUAACUUAUACAACGUAUGCUCAAAUUUAUCAUAUUAAAUCGUUGACUAUUUGAUUGGUAUCAACUAAUUUAUAUAAAAACCUGUUUAUUUACUCUAAUAAUUAAUUAUAACCGUUAACUUAUAUAUUAGCAUACUUAUUUAUAAUGAUAAUUUAGUUAUCACGUUUAACUUAUACGUUAGCAUUUUUGUAUGUGUUGCUAAUUAAAUUGUUACCCAUAUAAUAAAAUCGAACCCAAAAAAAUGAGACAAUGGUCGUUGCUGCCAAUGAUACCAGUUUCCCUCUUUUGCUCAAUAAACCUCAUCAAAACCCAGCUAACAAAUUAUUCAUUCCACAAUUCUGCUGGGUUUCGAAAUUACCACCGAGAUUUGAAACUACCAUUGUGUCUUGGUUUCAACCUUCAUGGAAUCGAAGUCUGAACAACCAAAAUCGACCGGUUCUCUCUGUCACAAAAUCAAAUCGACCAUUAUCUUUUUUAAACACAGCUUGAACCAUGACGAAUGUGACAUUGAUCGUUUUCUACCGACAAAAUCUAUUCUUCUCCCUUGAUUUUUGUUUUCGCUGAAUUAAAACUACCAUUGUCACAAGUCAACCACACAACUCACGAAUUUGCUUAUCCGGCCAGCUUUGGCUCUCUGCAAUUUUGUUUCUGAAACCAUUUUAAUUUUUUUGUUGAAUUUUUGUGGGUUUAAAUUGCUGUAGAAACCGAAGAGAGAAAUGAAAGAGAAAGAGAGACAUGAAAGAGAAAAAGAGAUACAUUAGGGAUUAGAUUGUCAUUAUGACAUAUACAGUAAAUGUCAAAAAGUGGUGAGGAGAGAGAACUAAAUAACGAGUCGUCUAUGGUCAUAGAUUGUAGAUUCCCUAUCUCGCUCAAUUUUACAGAUAUUAAUUGUAGUGUAUAUUAAACGGUUUCGAAAUUAGUAUUAUGUUUUCCUAAAAAUGAUUUAAGAUUUUUAUAUAUGCCCAAAAGAUUAUUAAACUCUAGUUUCCUUACUAGUUUAUGUUAGUUUAAAAAUUGAUUUUGAAAGAGGAUAAUUUUUUUUAACGGUUCAGAAUUAUAUGGAUUACGUACAAAUAAAGAGAUAUUAUCUGUUUGUUUUUGCAAAGUAAGCGUUAAUUAUUACUCCCUCUGUUUCAUAAUAUAAAGCGUUUUGGAAAAAGUUUUUUGUUUCACAAUAUAAGUCGUUUUCGAGUUUCGAUGCAAAUUUUAUAAUAUUUUAAUAUUUUAUGAUUAUUUAUAUUAUGCAGUCUUUUUUAUGAUUGAUUGAACUUUUUAAUAUUACAUUUUCUUAAUCGGCGUGCUUUUACCUAAAACGACUUAUAUUAUGAAACGGAGAGUAUUUUUUAUUGAUAUAUUAGAUUUUCAAACAGCUAUAUAUUGCGUAUAAUUAAAAGGUUUAAUAAAAUAAUAUACAGAAAGGAAUUUUAGGUCUUAUUGGCUGUCGAGGUAAGUAGCAGGAUCAAAGGGAUUUGAUUCGAGAAAAAUAAUUUUUUUUGUGAAAUCCUUAACAAAUCAAUAAAUUUGAGUAUUAUUAAAUCAUAUACGAGUAAAGAUAGAGAAGAAAUAGACAGAGUGUGAUAUAAUGUAGUAGGGGAAAUGCAUGUGCACACAAUCUACAGUAGAUAUUAUUUCAUAUAAAUAUGCAUCUAAUGAAUUUUUAAUAAAUACUCUCUCCACUAUGCUCUGUCUUUUUUGUUAUUAUGUUCUCUUACUUACUCAUCAAAUCACUUAUUAUCUUUUUUUUUUUUUUUUUUUGAAUAACCGUGGGUCUCCCAAAAGUUUCCUAGGCCCAAAGACUAAUCCCACGAGGCUGGCAAUUCCCCUAUAUAAACCUGCCAGUGGCCGUACCUCAAACCCUGGUGGCGGAAAUCACAGCUGUGACCCCUUUACCACUAGGCCACAAGGCCCGGUUCAAAUCACUUAUUAUCUCAACAUAAUCCCCUGUUUUGAUACACUUUUUGUCUCUAAUUUAUUUUAAUCAUUGCGAUUAUGAACUUACAAUUAAUUUACAUUGUAUACAUUUAUCAGCUUGUUAUAUCAUAUAGUAUAUAUAUAUAAACAUAUUCUUGUAAGUAGGAAAAAUCUGUUUUAAUUAAUGGUUUGCAUUUUUAUUUUAUUUUUGGUAUCAAGAAUUUUGUAUUUUGCUAAGCAUAUUUAUAGAAGAUUGAUUUGAUACCGUUUUAAUAUGCUUAUUAUCGAUCGUUCCAUUAUAUUUGUUUCAAUCCAGAUGAACUGAAUUUACCUCAUAUAUCUAAAGUCUAAACCAUACCAUAACGAUUGAUAUUUGAUAAUAUAAUGAAUUUAGUGGGUGAUUGGUUGGGCUGUAGCUGUAAAGUUUUUGCUGCAGAAAUUUUGCUGUAAUUGUGUUGACUGUAGCUGUAGUGUUUGUUGCUGUAGAACUUUUGCUGUAAGUGAAUUGGUUGUAGCUGUAAGUUUUUGGAUGUAGGUAUUUUAAAAUAAAAAUAUAAUAUUUAUAAUAAAAUUUUAAUUUUUACUUUUUAAAGUAAAUAAACUUGUUUAUAUUAUUAAUUAAAACUAAAAUACAAACAAUAAAUAUUUUUUUAAAAAUCCUAGUCAAAACACAAAAGUCUACGUAUUCUUUGAUAAUUUUAGUUUUGGAACUUAUCUUUGUUUUUUAUUUUUUAAAUUUUUGUUGAUAAUUUUUAAUUUUCAUAUUUAUCAAAUAUUAAUGUGAAUUAAAAAUUCUACAGCAAAGAACAUAGGGCUUUAGGAAUUUACUCUGCUACAGCCUAAAGAAAAAGAAAAGGUGGUAACUUUUUAAAAAUCACUACAAUACGAUUGGCAUAUAAUUUAGGUUUUAAGAAAAAUUAAAACUGUAAGGUGGACUUACAGACCAACCGAUCAAGCCCUUAGUUUUAGCUUGGUUAAAUACUUAAAUAUUGGCAUAUACAGUAAUAGAAAUCGAUGAAAACAAUAAAAAAUCAUAAAAACUAAAUUCUUAUUUACGUGGUAUCAUAAAAUUAAAUAUCAAUCGUAUUUGAGGUUAUCGAGAAUUGAUAGACCUACAUAUAUUAGACCAUCUCUAUUAGACAAAUAAAAUAGGAGGCUUCACUUAUAAUAAGAUUUAAAAAAAAAAAAAAAAAAAAAAUUGAAGGAACAUGGGAGAUUGGUCAUUACUCAUUAGUAUUUUCCCUAGAGACACUAAGACACAUUAAAACACUUUAGGUGUCAGGACAGUAUUGGUCAAUGUAAUAGUGUAUUAUUUUUCUUUUUCUUUUCUUUAUUUUGCAAAAACAAAUAUAAUUAAAACAUCUAUGGGAGAUUUUCUAAUGUAGAUGCUCUAAGAACACCCUCAUUGCAUAAUUUGUAUGGAUGUCUUAAAAAUUUUAAACUAAUUAAAAGAAAAAUUAAUAUGAGUGUCUUCCUAUAAAAUGUCUUUAAUUUUAAUAUUAAUUAAUUUGGAAAACACUUACUAUUUGAGGUUUAGGACAGUAUUGGUCAAUGUAAAACACUUACUUUUUCAACCUUUUCUAUCCGGCAGCUUUCUUCGAGGAGCAUUCUAUCAAAAACUCGUAUGCGUUAAUCGCGCGAGCCGUCUAUGACCACCUGUUUGGUCGAGGAUUUCGCGAAGCCCGUCUUCAUGGUCGAAUCCGCUAUGGCCUCAAUAGAUUUUCAAACACUGCAAGCUUAUGUAAGCGUAGCACCUCUUUGGAAACCUCAUGGAGCAUUUAUCUUUAUUUCCAUUGUACUAUCUCAAAUUCAGUUUGUAUGAACUUCCCUCUUUUGGGAUCCUAAGUGAAUGAAAGUUUUUUGUUUAUUCAAAAUAAAAGGAAUGAGGAUGAUCUAAGGGUCAUACAAAAAAAAAAAAAAAGAAUAUUCAACGUCAGCAGUACUGACACGUGUCUUGCAAAUAUUGGUUUACUAAAAACUGACUCCUCGUUGAUACAUUUCUUACAGAAUUCCCUUGAGAGCUAAUUAAGGCAAAGACAUGUUCGAAGAAUCACAUGAUUCACGACAUAAGUUUAUAAAGAAUUUAUUGGACUAAAAAAUGUGUUUACACAAUAUUAAUAUUCUUUUGAUCGUUAUUGAACGUAGCUUUGAUAGUGAUAGGUCAAUCAAACAACCUAGAGGUUGGACUUUACACAAUCCUGCUUAGAGCAUCCCCAACGGUGAGAAACUAUAGAAGUUUCUCAAAUAUAAUAAUUUAAUAUUUUUGUAAUAAAUGAAUUAUUUGUUUAAAUUUUAAUUAAUUAAAAAAAAUUUAACCAAUCAAAUGAUGUCAAGUAUUAGACACAGUUUCUCAAAUGAGAAACGUUUUUCAUUCUCUCUCUUACUUUAAAUUAUUAUUAUUAUUUUUUUAAUUCUUUAGACACCUUUUGAGAAACCUCUUUUGGAGGUGCUCUUAUAAAGUAAUCAUAAAACAAUUAACAAAAAAAAAGUAAUUAUAAAACUUAAAGAUUUUUUUGUGAGAACUUUCAUAAUGAACAUAUAAAUUUGAAGAACAAAACAAACCAUUAGAAGAAAUCGCUUUGAAUUAAUUUGUUGAUUACAAGAAGAAAUAUUAGAACAUGUUUUUUUUUUUUUUUUGAUAAAAUCUUAAAUUUAUUGAUCUUUAAAACAAACAUUAGAACAUGUUUUUACUGUCAUAGUGUAAUAUAUACAAAUCAAUUUGUAAAUAUAGUGGUCGAUAAAAUAAACUACUGUUGUUAAUCUACUAAAACGAUAAUUCUCGCUUAUAUACAAAUUUUCUGAAAUCUUGUGGACCAUUCAUCAUAGAUGUAAAAAAUUAAUAGUGAGACGAAGGGCAUAUCCAAUAUAGCAAACUGUCGGUCUUAGAACAAAUCCCAAUUAAAUAUGUGAAAUCGACGAUUUUGUCUGUUUUUGUAAGAAAAUUAAAUGUUCAGAUGUUUAAAAUAUUAAUUAAAUAUUUAAAUGAAUACAGAAUCUCAAGAUUUGAUCUGAGGUUUUAGGAUUUCAUGGGAUAAUUUUAAAAUCUGAAAGGCAAAAGGAUUUUAUUUGCUAUAUAUAUAAAGUAUACUGAAGUAUUUAAUUUUUUUAUUCAUUGCAAGGAUAUAACUUCAGAAAAUCAUGAUAUUUAAAUGGUAACUGAACUUGUCACAUCUACAUAUACAUUUUUACAGGGGAUUUUUGCAAAAAGUCUUUUGGAUCCGGGUUUUAUCCGGGAUUAACUCUAUCCGGAUCUUGGAUAAGGAAUUUUAGGAAUGUUGUCUUAAAACCACAUUAAUUCUUAAUUAACACCUAAAUUGGAAAUAUAUAUAAUAUAUCUAAACUAACCAUAUUUGUUAUUUACCUUAACUACUUCUAACCAUAAUUAUUUAACUAUUUAUUUCUAUAUAGAAAGAAUAUGUGAUUAAAAUAAAUAUUUUGUAAAAUAUUUAUUUGGGAAAAAAUUGUUCAUACGAAAAUAAUUUAUUUUGUUAUAAAAAUUAAUAUUUGUUAUUUGUAAUUAAAUUACAUAAAUAAUAAUAAUAAUUUGUCUACACCAUCAAAUAAAAAUAGUUAGUUAUUUAAUUUUUUAUUUAAUAUUACGUAAUUUUUAAAAAAUAAAUUCAACAAUAUAAUGUCAAUGGGUUUAAUUCUAAAGAUUUGAAAAUAUUAAAAAAUAUACUAACCAAAAAUUAUCUAUCCUAAUUUGUUUCUAACAAUUUGGACACAAAUCUUUCAAAUCUUUCAAAAAUUUAAUGUGAUCACAUUUGUUACUAAAAUCUCGAUUAUAUUCCUAAAAAUCUCGAGAAGAUCUUCAUUUAAAUCUGCAAAUUAUAAUUUAUGAAUUAAAUAAACUAACAAUACGAAUAAUCCUAAUAUAUUCGAGUACCAUAACGAAAUUAAUUCUUUAAUUAGACAUAUAUUUUCGAAAUUAUCUUAAAUGCUUAUCAUUCCAAAAAUUAAAUUGAUUUCGAAUAUUUUCACAAUCUAAAUUAAUUACUAUAACAUACUUUAUCUCAACUAUUGUUCCUAAAAUAUUGCUUAAAUCUCGAUUUUAAAGAAACUAAUUACUCUAUAUAUAUUUCGAAAUAAUUAGAUUUGGAUCCUUUCUUUAUUUGAACGGUUUAUCAAAAUUAUAUUCCUAUAAUAGAUUGUAAAACAUUAAUGCACUAUUACGAGAAUAUGAAUUUAAAGGAAAAUCUUUGAUAUUAAUACUCCUAAUAAAUAGCCUAUUUUAAUUGCAAAAAUCUUUCAUAUUAAUGCUCUGAAUAAAUAUGCAGAUUUUAACCGUAUAUAAUAAUUGCAAUUCACAUUUCUUGCCUAAAUAAAAUGAACUAUAUUAAUUCCGUAUUCAAUCCACCUAAAAGAUUUAGGAAAUUUUCUCAUGAUAAACGAUAUUUAAAGAUAUUAUCCUAAAAUGGUUAGGAAUAUAUGUAGCAUAUUCUAGAUUUGUGAUAAUUUAAAGAUUUUCGAAUAUAUCAACGCCUUACUAAUCAAGAUUUUGGAUAUUCUCUAACACAAAACCCUACUAACCUAUCAUAACUCUAUAAAUACUUGAUUGUUUCUACUACUUCUGAACACACAAAACACCAGUUGCAUUCUUUAACUUUCCAAUUUCUAAUCUUAAUGUGUUGUUUGAUUUAAUUUCUUGAAAUUGGAUUCGAUUAAACUUUGAAUUUUUGUUUAUACGUUUAGAAAUAAAUCUAUUUUGAAUUUUCUACGUCAAUCAUUUUAUGAAAUUUGAGGAAAAAGAUACAAUUCUUUUUUUAUAUUCAUCAAUUCUUUUGUUCAUAUACAUCGCUAGAGUCUUUGGAUAUUAUUAACUUUUUUUUUGUUCGUGUGCAGAUUCUUUGUGGUCGAUCAUGUUGGUGAUGAGUUACGACUACUCUCAAUGCUAGAUGCUUUGGUAACAAGUUAAUUUCUAUAUAAUAUGGAUUUUCCACUUACAGAUUUGGAAUGUCAGAUUUUGUGAGUUGAAAAACUAUUUAUGUUUCAAAGUGUAUAUCUAAGCUAUACAAAAGAAGUAUAUUUGACAUCUUUUUCUCUUUUUAUAUUUGAGACUGUAGCCAUUAAGAGUAUAAAAUAUCUGCAAAAGAUGAAGACCAACAUAGAGACACCAAUUUGUAUCAAAAACAGGCAAUUACUCAUUUGACUAACUCUGGUUGUGUUAUACGUACGUUUAUUAUUCUUUCAAUUUGCUAACGACCUUAUAUGUGACUAUUUAGUAGAGCUGCUGAUUUGUAUAGGCAGAUUCUUCAGCUAAAGCCAUUGCUGGAGUACUUUAUUAAAAUUUCUGACUCAAAAAAUUUAUAUGUUUUGUUUUAUAUACGUUUAUUAUAUUUUCACUUUCACUUUGGCUAAUGAUCUUAUGUUUGACUAUUUAGUAGAGCUUAGCCUAAGGUGCAUUAAGUGAAUGCACCAUUUUACUAAAAGCAAUAGACACAGUGAACAAGGUAUCAUCCAUUUGUUUUCAUAUAUUAUACUUGAUUUGACAAAAUUCAUGUUUGUUUUUUUAUUGUAUUCAAACCAAUAAUAAUCAUAUUGAGCUUACAUUUCUUGGGUGUGAAAGUAGCUUGAUUACAUAAAAACUCCAAAAUCAGAAACGUAUAAGAACGGUUGAAGAAGACGAGAAGGUUCUCAAAAGAGAUUUUUAUUUUAUUUUAUAAUGCAACAUUUUCUGUUUUUUCAUAGAUUUUUCAAUUAAAAGUCCAAAGGGUAAAAUACAGAAAAGACAAGUGAAGCCUAAUUAAGGCCCAAUACAUAAUUACACGUCUUUAACAUAAAUUAGUUUUCUUUUUUCGAGUUUUUUUUUUUUUUUUUUCUGUUUUCUUAGGUAAAGCAUGAGACAUUAUUUGACUAUUUUUUAUACAAUUAGAGUAAUUUAAUUUGUCUUUCGAAAUUUUGUCUUUUUGGUUUAUUUUAACACAUUUAUAACACACAUAUAUAACACUAUAUAGCAUUAUCAAACAAUUAUAUAAUAAAGAAAACUUUAUUAUAUUCAGAUUAAAUAAUAAAUUAUAUAAGUAAUGAGUAUAAAUUUUAUCCCACUAAUAAAACUUACUUAGUUUUAAACUUUGGGAUAGUAAUUUAAUAACAUGUAUCUUAUUCGUAUAAAUAUUUAGUCAUAUAAAAGCCAAAUAAUACUUUAGGAAAUGUUUUAAUAAAAUUAUUAUUAAAAAGAAAAUUACAAAAUGAUGUUUAAUUUCACGGGAUGAGAUUAUAUGGUGGGAGGGAUUUGGAUAAAUAUUAAUACGGGAUGGUAUACUACGGAUAAAAUCCUAGAAUUAAUAAUCAAACUAUAAUUAUACAAUCUUACACACUAAACAAAACAAAUAUAACUUAAAAUUUUGAUUUUUAGUUGUAAAAUAUCGUUAUGCGGUAUACUAUAUAUCUAUAGAUUAUCUUAAAAAUUUUAAUUUUUUUAUUUAGUAAAAAUAUAGGCCCGCGGUGUACCGCGGGUUAACAUCUAGUGUCUUGCAUUUGCAUAACAGAUUGGCCUGACACAGCAAAUAAGAACUUCGAAAAUAAAAUUAGAAAAGAAAAGACAAUUUGCAUGUAAGCCAAUCGAGUCAUACAUGAAAUGAAAUGUUGGAGUAAGCUAAAAGAUAGCUUGAACCGGAAGUAAUCUCAAAAAUUAAACUGAGUUAUGGUUUAGAGAGAUAAGAUCAAACAUAAUUAGGAGUUAUCUAAUAUAUAUGUAAUUCUAGUGAGAUUAGAAUUUGUAUGAUCUUAUAAAUAGAGAGGUUGAGUCAUGACCUAAAAUAUGAGAGUUGUGGUUUAAGAGAGCUUAAGUUUUGAGUUAGUUUCUUAAGUAAUAAAGUGAGUUUUACUUUGUUAAAUCGUGAGUCUUAAACAUACGAAUCUCAAUCUAUAUGAAACAACUCAACGACGAUUUGUCUUCCACUAUUAAUGCUAGCUGCAAAUCUUUAGUUUGGGGUUAAUAAAACUAGUUAAACGAAUAAAAAGAAUGGGAAAAUUCCCAAAAAAAACCUCAAGUAUUUUUUAUUUGGAAGUUUAAUGCCCAAUUCUUUUUGGUUGGAACAAAAAUACAUUAUUUAAAUAUUGUUGGUCGAAAAAUACAUCAUGUUAAAAUUAUUGGUAAUUUCAAACCUACGACUUAACAGCCGUUACCGGAUGCUACGGUAUCAUUUAACGGUGUUAAAUUUUAACCUCUCGUAUUUUAAUAGAUAUGUAUAAUAUGUUUGGUAAGUAUUAUUAGGAUAUUACCGUAGUCUGGUGGUGAAAGGUUGGUUUUGCAACCCACAGAACCCAGGUUCGAUCCUCCGAUUUUUUUUUUUAUAUUCUCUUUCUCACCUCCUUCACAAAACCCCUACGGCGAACAUCGCCGCCGAUGUAAGCUUGAGAUUCGAACCUGUACCGUUGCCGUAGGGCUUGAGAUUCGUUUAUGACUGAACUUUUUCUUUUUGUUGUUGAAGGACAUGAUUUCAUCAUCAUCUUAUCUUCUUCUCCAACAAACCUUUGUUUUUUAAAAAUGGUUUUAAAGGAAACGUGAACCAGUGGUGAAAUCUAUGGGAAUUAAAUCCAAUUUGAACUUGUUAAUCCAGAGAAUAUUGUAAUUAAUGGGUGAAUUAGGUAGCUAAUUCUUCAAUUGAAUCUUCAAAUUGGUGAAACGAAUUACAUAACAUCACGAUUUAGCAUAAAUGAGCGAUAUAGCGUCUUGAAGAAGUGAGGAGGAAGAAGAAGAAGAAGAAGGAGAUAAGGCGGGAGGAAGUAAGUCAUGCGACAGCGAUGAGAUUUGCGUAAAUAGCAGAAGGAGAAGGAGCGAUAUAGCAGUCAUGGUACAGCAAAAGAGAAAAGGGAAAAAAAAAACGAAAAGAUGUCAAUGGGUGAGAUUCGAACCCAGAUUAUAUGAGUUACAAAACCAAACCGUCACCACUAGACUACGGUGAUAUGUAGUUAUAGUAAUCUAAACAUGUUUAAUAUAUCUAUUUAAAUUCAUGAGAUUAAACUUUAACACCAUCAAUGAUUCUGUAACGUCCGUUAACGGCUGUUAAGUCGCAAGUGUGAAAUUACCAAUAAUUUUAACAUGGUGUAUUUUUCGACCAACAAUAUUUAAAUAAUGUAUUUUUAUUCCAACCAAAAAGAAUUGGGCAUUAAACUUCCAAAUAAAAAAUACUUGAGGUUUUUUUUGGGAAUUUUCCCUAAAAAGAAUGCUUGAGAUAUUUGUUGACACAAAAAAAAUGCUAGAGAUAUUUUGGUUUCGUACUGAUUGAUUAAUGGAUUCUGCUUUUUUAACCAACGAAAAUAGUUUUUUUUUUUUGUGAUAAAAAAUCCAAAGAAAAAUAAUAGUUAUGUUUUUUUUCCAUAAUCAAUGAAAAAUGUUAGUUUGAUUUUCCAUACUGAAAUUUACCCAGAUUGACAGAAAUCCGGAGAUUAAUAACUAGAUUAACAUUCUAAUUUUCUAGUUUAUUAGAAUAACACAAAUUUUAUGUAAAAUGACCAAAAACCCAUUUGAAUUUUGUUUAGUCUUGAAAAAAAAAAAACUCAAAACAAAAAAACAAAAAAAAAACACAAAAACAUUAACCAUAAUUUUUUUUUUAAUUGUAGACUUAAGCUUCUUUUUUCUCUGUUUCACCCGACAAACACAAUCCCUAACUUUUUUCUCUGUUUCACCCGACUCCGACGAAGAGAAGAAUCUGACUCCAAUUGUCUUCGCCGGUUAGGAUAGCCCAAAACCCUAGGAAAAUAAGGUAAGUUAGAUUAUCUCGUCAUUUAUUAUUUUUCAGUUAUGGAAAUUCAAAAUAAAAAAGUCUGUCGUGUUUAAAAAGUCUGUCAUGUAGUCCAUCAUGAAAAGUCUUUCAUUAAAUAUGUAUAAAAAACCUGUCAUAAUAUGAAUAAAAAUUAAAAUCUGUCAUUGCGUAAAACAUAUCUGUCAUCACUAUAUGAAGUCAUUCCAACAAUUUUUUUUUUCAUCACUAAAUCUGUCGUAAUGUGACAGUUUUCUUUGAACUAAUUCUAAAUCUGUCGUAAUGUAAAUAAAAUCUGUCAUCACAGAAAUAUUUCAUUUGCGAUUGUAUGUUAAUCUAGCAAUUUUUUUCUUUGUAAUGCAAAUCUGCUAUCACUCGACAGUUUUUUUGUUUAAAAAAUAAAAACUGUCAUAACAUCAAAAAAAUCUGUUAUCACUACUAAGUCAUUCUAGUAAUUAUUUUUCCAAAAACAAAUCUGUCACUUGAUGACAUAUAUUUUUAUGAAAAUUAAAAGUCAGAGGCCACUAUGACCAUAAAUCUGCCACUAAUUUUAAUAAAUCUGUCAAAGUGAUGAAAGUCUGUGGUGUUAAAUUAAGUCUGUCACAACCUGUUAAAUUAAGUGGGUGUUAUUGGUUUAUUAGUUUGUAAAUCCAUAUAGGAUUUGGAAAUCUCUAUUAAUUAUGAAAUCAAGAUAUAUGGAUUUUGAAAUAACAUGUGUUUACUCAUGAAUUUGAAUCCUUCUAUUUUUCUCUUUCAAUUCCAUACAAAUCCAUUUAAAACAUAAUUUGGAUUCUCAAAUCCAAAAACAAAUGACUAAACGAAUAACAUAGGAUUUUAACUAGUAUUUAUAAAUCAUAGAACCAAUAACACAUAAUUUUAAUUAGGAUUUUAAAAUCAAUUAUUGAAUAACAAAUGAUUUUUGUUUGGAUUUAUAAUUCUUUAUAAAUCCAUGAAUCAAUAACCCCUGAUAAAUCUAUGAGAGAUAAAAAAUCUAUCACAGAAAAUCUGUCGUUGAAUAAAAAGAAACUAAAAAGACAGAGGAUUUUAGGCACGAAGACCAAGAAGACCCAAGCUCAACGAAAUGAGCCCUUUCCACCGACGUUCCUCCACCGGCAGCCUCCACUUGUGAGCGAAGUUUGCUUAUAAGGUUAGAUCUCUCAGGUGGACCUCUUUUCCGGUGACGUGGCGGUUUUUCCGGCGAGUUUACUACCUGAGAUGACUACCUUCUCUCUCCCGAUGUCGAGCCUCUCUCGUUGCGUACCGAUGUCUUCGGGUUCUUUCUCUAGUCUGAGAUCUCCUUCAGCACCACCAUCGGAGCCUCCGUCCCCACCAACUCCGCCUGAACCACCGGAUCCGCCGGAUCUUCAGUUCUGCCCCUCAUCCGGUGAUGCUCUUGUUCAGCUGCUUCUCCUUCAACAUCCCACCGGUCUUCAACGAGGUCACAUCGGUUCCGAGCGCCCAUCUCCGCUGCCCUCGAGAACUACUCCACCUUGCCGGAAGAAUGCUCCUCUGUCCAUCACCGUACUUGCUCGCCGCCGUCACUUGCUCCUCUCUCCACAUUUCUCAAACGUGAACCUAGGGUUUCACUAUUUGGGCCAAAUUUGGGAUAAUUUUCUAUUGGGCCAUGGUUGCUUAUUGGGCCAAAAGAGUGGGGUUUUCUUAUUGGGCCUUACUUUCCCAAGACUCAGCCCACCUUUUUCCUUUUAUCGUGUCUUCUCUUGUCUCGUCUCCCUACUCCGCUGCAAGCCAUCUCAAUCUCAUAAUCUCGUCGUCGCCAUCAACUUACCUCCUCAGAAGUUUCCCCAGGUAUGCUCUUACUCUUCACCCUCUAAUUCUUCUCAGAUUGGAAGGGUUUGGAUGUUGGUAGAGUUUGUGGCUCUUGUUUUGUGGAAUUCUGAUAUAGCUCAUUCGUCUUCGAUGAGCUUGGAUACUUUUGUGUCUACAUUUGUGCUCUCUUGUAGCACCUUUAUCGUUUUGAUGCGAUCAUUUACCGCAGUAUGCAGAUUCUGGCUCGAUUUAGCUAUGUUAAAAGUUGUCUCGUCGCAACUUGGACAAAGUUCUCUGAGUUUAGAAAACCGACCAGGUUUCCUGGUUCAUUGGGGCUAUCAUAGCCCUCAUCUCUCCUUUAUGGAGUUUAUUAUCUUUCCAACGACCUCACUUGUAUUUAGUGAUAGUGUUACAGGAAGCAUUGAGUGCAAGACUGUUCUGCUUGAAGUAGAAGCGAGAAAUCUACUGGUGUUUGAAAACCGUGCUUUUUCUGAGGAGGACACUGCUUUGAAAGCCAUAACUGCGGCAAAUGAAUGGCAGGAGGCAAACCUUGCAGUCCAUGGCCAAUCGCGGAACAGAGCACAAGCUGUACCUCUUAUUGAGGAUAUACCAACUCCACUACCUCACUCAGAGGAUCCUUCUCUCAUUUUACCUCUUAUUGAGGCUCCUUCUCUCAAUUUACCUCUUAUUGAGGCUCCUUUUCACAGAAUUCCUCGCGAUGAGGUUUUUUCUUGCUACACGGAUGCAGCUUGGAUCGCAUCCUCUGGCUCCUGCGGUAUGGGAUGGAUUUUCAAGACUCAAGAUCAUCGAGUUAUCCAUCAGGGCUCGGCAACUCGCCUCCAUACACCAUCGGCUCUAGCUGCUGAAGCUUUGGCCUUGAGAUCAGCGCUGAUCGCAGCGUCUAGAAUGGAAUUCACCUCCAUCAAAGUUUUUUCGGACUCGCAAGUCCUCAUAUCUCUGCUAAAUACAGAGACCUCUACGAACGAGCUUCAAGGGAUUCUCCAUGACAUUGCUUUCUUUAGUCGUUCGCUAUCAUCUAUCAAGUUUCCUUUUGUUCCACGCAAGUCUAAUAUGUUAGCUGAUGCAUUGGCAAAGGCUGCCUUAUCUUCUUUACCUGUUUUAACUACUUCUGCUUUGUAAGAAUCGUCUAUUUAUCUAUAAAACCAGUUUGACCAAAAAAAAAAAAAAAUCUGUCGUUGAUAAAUAAGUCUGCCAUUUAAAAUAAACCUGUCAUAACGAAUCCAGCAGACUUUUAAAAAUCUAUAAAUUUUUUUCCCACGUUUUUCGGAAAAACUUUAGGGUAAAUUUGACUUUUUUUUUUUUUUUUUUUUUUUUUUUUUUCCUAACAAAGAGAGCAAGUGUAUUAUCGUCAUGAAAAUAACCAAUCUAACCCCCAUAUUUUUAUGAGACAUUCUAGUAAUUAAAGUUAUUAUUUGGGUCAAUCUAGUAAGUUUCCCUUUUCCAUAACCAAAACAUUAAAUUUUGAUACUGUCUAUAUAUCUAAACUAGUGGUGAUUUUAAAUACUUUCCGUUUCUUAAUAAGUCUUUCUGAGAAAUGUUUUCAAAUGCUUUGCUAUAUAUUUGCCAAUUGUUAGCAGUUAAUAUCCUGAUAUAAUCUACUAUUAUGAAAUAAUUUAUGACAACCCCUAAUAAUACGGAGAUAACAAAAAUCGAAAAUAGUAUACAACGUAGAUUAUAGAUUAUAUGAAAAUAUUAUAAAAACACUCAACUAUUCGUUACGUGGGUCAAUAUGAAAAUAGUAUUGUAAUAAGUCCCAUUUUAUAUCAUAUAGUUUUUUGGUAGACCAGAUUUUAUCUUAUAUAAUAUGAGUUUCUCGAAUAGAGAGCAUGAAUAAUUAAUUAUAUAUUAUCAAAAAAUAAUUAAUUAUAUCAAAGACAAAAAGAGCUGAAUAAUUAGAUCGAAUCAACAUCCAAGUCUUUUGUGUUGGAAGUCAUCCAAAAGCAAGAAAUAAUUAAGAAAAUUAAGCUAAUCAUCAAUAUUAUUUUAUUGCACAAUCAUUGUAAUUAAUAAAAUGGUAAAUUAAAUAAAUAAAUAAAAAGAAAGUUGCAAAAUCAAAAUAAGGGCAUAAAAUCUACGUAAUGUAUGUAUUUGUGUGCGUGGCGUAUCUAUUGAAAUCUGGACACAAUCUGAUCCAGCGAUGCAGUAGUUAUACUAAGGUUUUUUUUAUAAAAACUAAAAUGAAAAUUAAUUUUAAUAGAGCUUAUAAAAAAAGAGAUCACCAAUUCACCAUGAAAGAGAUCUCUAAUUUCUUAGCUCAAAGCAAAAUAAGAAAAAUCAUAUCUCUCUCUCCCUCUCUUUCUGUCUAGAGAAGACUUUCUCUCUCUAGUUCUUGCCGGUAUACCUUAAAAUUACAAGAUCGCAAGUGAAAAUUAAAGCCGAGCAAAGAAACAUGGGAAGUAGUUUCUUUGGUAGACCAAACAUGGGAGGAUCUUCGCCGUCCUCAUCAUCUCCGACGUCUUCCUCUUCUUCUCCGGCGACAAGAAGAGGGAAGAAGAAUGGGUCCGAUAAGCCGAAGCAGCCACAAAGAGGUCUCGGAGUAGCACAAUUGGAGAAGAUUAGGUUACACGGCGAAAUGAGUUGCAAUAGCUUCAACAAUUAUAACCCUUCUUUGUAUCCUCAGGUAACAUAUACAAACACUUCUUCAUAUAACCGAGAGAUUCCGAUCCGAAUUAAGACACCAUAAGUUGGUUAACAUAUUCCUAAACAUAUAUACAUGUGUACGUAUAACCUGAUCGAGUUCUUAGGUUUUGCUUAAUUUUGUCGGGUCAUCAGAUCUUUUUAUACGAAUCCGACCAACUUUUUAUUCAUUGUCCCAUGAACUCAUCUAGAUGUUUAACUACUCAAUCAUACGUAAAAUUGAUCCCAAUUUCAUAUAUAAACUUGUUUUUCUUCUUCGUUGGAUUCAAUUAAGCAUAUUGAAAUUAGUCAGCUGAAAUUUUAUUUACAUAGCAUAUAUGUUGUUGUAAAGUUCACGAGGGCACUUUUCACUCAUUUCUUAAGCUAUAUACUUCAUAAGAUUUAGAUUUGUGAAAUAAAUUUAACUAAACUUCUAUCUAAUUAUAUAUUUAAAUCAAUUAUUUUCAAGAGUAUAGUUUUAUAAAACUUCGUAUAUAAAUUUGAGUAUAGGAGGAUGUCAGGAUGCAAGGAGGAUAUUCAUCCAUACCAUCAUCAUCACUAUCACAAUCUUCGUCUCCUUACGGUUUCUAUCCAAACAUGAUGGUAUAUAUAAAUUUCACUUUUAAUGUUGUUGUAUAUGUAUGCGUUAUAGAGAGGAUAUUUUGUUCUUUUUAAGCAACAUAUAUAGGUUUAUGUAUAUAAAGAAUAAAGUACUUGGAUUGGAUCCCUAAUCUUACUUAAUCUAAUUAAGUACUUUGUAUUUCAAACUUCCAUCCUAAUAGGGGAAACCUUCUACAAGAUUUGGUCGAUCAUGUUUUCAUAUUUAACGAAACUCAUUUCAAAUAAUCAUGAAACAAAACAAAAAAAAAUCUAAAGUAAACGAAAAAUAGAUAAACUAUUAAUGGGUUUUUUUUUUUGCUCUUCGCAGAUGGGAGUACAUAGAGAUCAAUACGAAAGAGCAACCAUGAGGUACAUAUAAAAUUACUUAUAUGUGUAGGUGUAACAUGUUAUUAUAUUUUGUUUUGUCUUAAAAAUAAGUUCAUUUCUUUGGUUCAAACAGUUGGAAUCCAAGCUACGGCAUCUUAGAGAGCCAACAUUCUUUGGAACCAAACAUCACAAGACAUGUCUUACACGAGGUUCUUACUCUAUACCCUCAAACAUAUAUGCAUCAUGUCACAAUUAGUAAUAUGUUAGUCACUUGAUCAUCUUUAGUUAAGGGGUUGAUGAAUUAUAUUGUCAGUAAACGCGUUCAUUCACAUGAUCAUUAGUUACAAAAAAAGAACCAAUCAAUUUCACUUAUCUUGCAACAAGAUUUGUUUCAUUAUGAUGUUUUGGCUUAUCGUUGUCCAUUGUAACCAUGGUUCAAUAUAGUUAUGUCAUAAUGAAAUGAGGUUGACCGUUGACACUAACUGUUAUAAGUUUUAGAUGGAUUUGUAUAUAUGUGUUCUAAUAUUUUAUGUUUUUUUUUUAAUGUUAUGUAUUCUAAUAACAAUAAAAUAAAAUGAAAAUUCUUGAAAUAGGAUCCAAACUCAACAAGGCGGAGUAAAUCUUUGGGAUCGGGAAACCAACACUCGGGAUCGAGUGAAAAUCAAGAGCUGGACUUGGAAUUGAGAUUGUCACUUUGAUCAUUACUUUGUAAUGGUUUGGUCCUUAUGAAAUUGAAAAGAAGUCCUAUCAUUUCAAUUUCUUUAUAUCAUCGGGAUUGUAUGAUCGUCUCAGUAGAAAAGAUUUAAAGAAUGGGACUUAUUUGUACAUUUUGGGGGAAAUUAAAAGAUAGAUUAUAUUUAUAUAAUGGCCUCAUAGAAAUUAUGCAUCAUAGGUAGGCUCCCACACGAAUGUUAUACCAAAAAAUGUAACAUCUUGAUUGUUUUCGUUGCGUGGUAUUUCAUAUCUCUUAGUCUACCUUUUUCGGUCUGAAAAACUUAUAGUCCGAACAGUCUUAACCUAAAAGUCCAUUAUUUUUUGGGUUCAAUAUUGUUCAAACUUCGUCUUUUUCAAGGAUCGGGUGGGUUAACCUUUGGAUUUUGGUCUAUAUUGACAUUCAUUCAUAUGUGUAGAUAUCACUUCCAGACUGACCAGAAAAAAAAAAACUGCAACGCAGUGUCAUAGUAGCCUUUCUUUAAAACAUAAAUAACCAAAUUUGCUUAUAUCAAACAAAUAAAGAAAAACAAAAAUGAUACAUCACAUUGCAAAUUUCGAAGUUUUAUUCUAGAGUAAAUGAAUGACAUUAGUAAAAGAAAUAACAAUCAAGCAGUAGCUGGAACAUCAGCAGGUCCAGAGUGUUUCUUUUUGCAACAACAUGUGUUUCCUGGUUUACAAUAUCCUCCUGCAGGAAACCCUAACCCAUGGCAAAGUCCAUUGCAAUCUGGUUUAACAAAAUUUCCACAUACUCCAGGACACAUCGGAUCGUAUAUUAUUACAUUCGAUCUUGCUUCUGAACCUAUGAAAUUAUUACAUUCAUCAUCAGUUGUUUGAUAAAAAAAUCUGUUAAAAAUCAGCUAUAAAAGUUUUAUAUAUGAAAAAAACUUAUUUUGUUAUUUAAGAGAUUAUACCUGAAAUUAAAAGGAUGAGAACAAGAGCAAUCAUCAUGAACGUAUUCUUAUAAAGAUAUGCGACCAUCUUGUUUGCCAUUUUAGUAGUUAUAGAAAGUUUUGUGUUAUGCUUGCUUCUCUUCUUUGAGUGUGUCGUGUUAUAGAAAAUUAAACCAUGUAAACCUACUCACUUAUAUAUAGAGAGAUAUGUGUUUGUGCAUGUAAGCUCUUAUUUCAAAUCCUCAUAUUGAUUUUGAACUUCAAUUUUCGAAAUCAACGGUAUUUAAUUGUGUAGAUCAUCUUAAAGAAGAGAUUUUGGAAGGAAAUGAAUAUUGUUUCCUUUUUUUUUUGAACAAAGAAUAUUGUUUCUUUAUAAGGGCUGAUUCUUUCCUUCAAAAAUUUCAGUAUUCAAGAUUCUGAUUUCUUUUACCAUCCUUAGUUUCGUCAUCUCUUGUAAAUCUUUAAUUUUGCCAAAGAAGAGUCUCUACAUAUAUAGAUUGGGGCCUAUUGGAUAUUUCAGAGCAACUUGUCCUAUAAACUUUGUUAUAAAGUGUAAAGAACCCAUAUAAGAGUUCAAAUAUAGUGCUAUCAUUUGAACAUCAUAAUUAAGCAUAAUAAGUGUACAUUCGAGCCAUAAGUUUUUGAGAAAAAUCAUUUUUUCAUAGAAAUUUUCAAUCAAAAUCACUUUUCAAAAACACAAAUAAUUAAAUCGGUAAAAAAAGAAUGUCUAAAAACAUAGAUAUAGUAUACCAUUCAUUAUUUAAAAACUCAAUCCUUUAUCAUUCCAGGUUGCAAAACCAGACCAAAAAGCUAACAAACCAUGAACCGGUACAGAAACUACAUGCGGGAUUCCUUGUGAUCUAGUAUUCUUAUUGAAAGUGCCAUUUUUAAGAUCUCUUCAACGGUUAAUAGGAGUGUUCAUACGCUCAACGAUCUUAUUCACAGCAUCACGGGACAUCACAAGCGUAUCGUGUAGCAGAAUGCUGUAAACAUUUAGCCCCUGCAAAUGCGUUACGUAAACAAGGUUCAAGAUUUGCUAAGCGAUUAGUAAAGAAACCGCAAGGUUUGAUAUGUGAUUAUGUAACUUACUAUUGAUGGAAUUAUGUUGACAUAGUGUAGAUUUUGGGUGGCUAGCUUCAGCUUUUCAUCAAUAGGACCACCUUCUACAACAAGUACUUUCUUUGUGUUCUCCAUUUGAUUGUAAUAAUUCACAAUGUUCUUUGUUUUAUGCGUAGGCAAUGCCAAAUCGUCGAACACGAGGAGCUGCAUAAAUUUCCCAAUCAGCAGAUACAAUAAGAUCAGUUUAAUAAGAAGGCACGGUUACGGAAAAUCAAGAGCACAUGUUAUGAUUAAGAAGAGAAAGAAGCUGACUUUUCCUUCUGCGGCUCGAGCUGUCAAUGCUAUUUUCAGUCCAAGCCGUCGAACCUGCUUAUUCAUCUUUAUCGCAUGGCUUCUCGGUUUGGGUCCAUGCAUUACACAACCACCUCGGAACUAAUGAUUCAAUAAAGUUCAAUCAGAGUGCUAUAUUUGAUGGGAAGAAAGAAACCUUAAAAUUCAAAAACUGAUUUACCUGCGGACCACGCAGUGUACCAUGUCUAGCUCGACCUGUACCUUUCUGAUUCCAUGGCUUUCUACCAGUUCCACUAACCUCACUUAAUGUUUUGGUGGAAUGAGUUCCCUAAAUAUCAAAGCACAUGUGUCAUACUUAUUGAUUGUUUGCUUAAAAGACUAUAAAUUAAGGCAUUGUGAGAUAACUAAUUAAUUACCUGCUGGCGUUUCGCAAGCUGCCAUCGCACGACAUUGUGAAUGAUAUCUUUCCUUAUUGGAACAUCGAAGACAUCACCUGCUAAAACCAUGAAACCCUUCUCCUCGCUCUGAAAAUUUGUCACAGGAAUGACCAAGUCUUGAUAUUGUCCUAUGGAAAGUAUCAAAUAACAGAACCAGUUAACACAUCCAGAAGUUUCAAAAUGAGAGAAGCAAUAAGGAAAACAUCACUGUUCAAAGGUUUUAUCAUGUCUCAAGCACAAUCACCAAAAAAAAGCAAGGACAUAACAGAGCCCAACACGAGCAAAACACGGGUACUCAAAUAUGCGUUAAACCUUCAUGUAAUAAGCUAAAUAAGGCCUGGAAAACUCUUACUCCUCUCAAAACACAAAGUAACAACAUUAUUCUAACACAGCUACUCACUCUCCAUUUCACCAACAUGAUUCCCAAGAAAGGUACAAAAUUCUCAGCACACCACAUGAAGGGCCAAACAAGUACAUACCUAUGGUUCGGUCUGGUGUAAGCACGGUCUUUUUGGUAAGUAAAUCAGAAGGAAAUGUAUCAUCAGGAGUCAAAAUACAAGUGGAGAGCUUUCGGUUGGAAAGUAAAGCCAUUCCAUACUGCAAUUGAUAACGAAGAUGAAAUCAAAAUAAUGAAAUACCCAGGAAAGGAGAGAAAGUAACAGCGUAAACUAAACACCAACCUUGAGAUCACUAGUAAGAGAAGAUAAACCAUUUCCAGAUGUAUUCGCGGACAAAUCUGUUCGAACGAGGGAGGAGACAGAGAAACAAUCAGAGAUCAAGGUGACACCAUAUUUCAUUAGAAGCUUGGAAAAUGAGAUAAUACUUGGUGAAGAGCAACGUCCUAGAGAUCCAAAAGUGCGAAAAAUCCUUGCUGAGAUUGAAGCAGCCAUUAUCUCUGAACAACAAAAACCCUAGCUGCUCAUCUACAAACACGAAAUAUCCAAUUUCUCACAUACAUUUCCGAGAAUUCUCAAUAGAUCAGAAGAAUACUCACCGGAGUCACAAGCGGCGAUGAUAGACGGCGGCGACUAUUCAAGGAGGCGACGAUUUGGUGGUGAAGGUCUUUAGGCUUGUGGAGGUUCAGUGAAGAGGUUUACUCAUGUUUUGGAUCGGGUCAUUACGAGACGGGUCGGGUCUUCAUGUGUAAAAGCCCAUAAGUCAGGUUUUGCAUUUGCCAAUAAGAUGUCAGUUAUUUUCGGUUUGCCCAUAAUAAGCCCAUCAGGUGGUUAAGGCCCAUGGGCUAUUCUUCAUAAAACCACUUCUCCAUUGGCUUACCCAAUUUGAAAAUAAAAUGUUUACAUAGAAAAUUGGUCACUAAAUCCAAUAAUAAGAGUUCGAGGGAUAAGAGAAACUACUAAAGCUUUUUGGUCUAAAUGAUUUUAUUGAUAGAAUGCGUUUGAGUUAUAAAAAGUCGACAAGGAUCGAAUUCCUUUCGAAAACAAAGCUGCCGGGUACAAAGGAGUGGGGCACUCCUCAAACAAUUACGUUCAUCACCAAUGUUGCAUGGUCCGUCUCGAAAUUCUUGCAAUAUAUCUCACAAGAAAGAAUAUUCACCACAAUCAAAACCACUGCAACGACGGGUUGGUUCAUUCAUUUAUGUAGUAAAUUUGUAUAUUUAUUUUCUAGUUGCAAUUAUUCAUUUGAACUGUUUAGUUUCAUGUAAAAAUGGACUAGCAUUUUUCUUUUUUCCUAUUUUGAUGUGGCUACGCAAAAUGAUGUGAUAUUAAUUAAUGUGAAUCGAGCCAUUAAUGGGAGAUAUCUAUAGCUUCAGUGAGAACUUGCAUAAAGCAAGUACGAGAGCUCAAAUCUGUAACAUGUCACAUGUGUACUGUUGUAUUCCAAAAUACAUGGCUUCUUGACCUCAUCAAAUGUUCUUGCCGCCCAAACGAACAAAAACACUCACAUGCAUGUGAUUGGGUUUGUGUGGUGGGUUGGGAGAAGAAGUUCGAAAUACUUUUUGUCACAAUGAUAUUUGAACAUAGAAAUUUAUUGGUAAUGUUCCGACAUGUUAUGGGCUAAAAGCUACUUGUUCCCACUAUUUACAAGCAUCUUCUAUUGCCACCCACCAAAACCAACAUUUUUAUUGGACAAAACCAACGUUUUUAUAACUUUUAUAUAUUUCUUUAUUUGCUUUUUUAUAGCAAUGAGUUAGUACAAUUCUAUAUUUUUUUCAAUCUAGGGAACAUAGUCAAACCAAUAAUAAUCAAGUGAACAUUUCUCCUUUGUACACUACAGUCUAACACAUUUUCAAAACAAUCAUGCAAUUUAAAAUUCAAGACUUUUUGUAGUAUUUUUACUCAAAUUCCACAGUUUUUCUUGUUUCAAAAAAAUCAAGUUUUCGUCAUUAAACCCAUAAUCUUUUUUUCGUCAAAAACAAGCAUUUAAUAAUACACAUUAAGAAAUUUGAUUUUUUCUAUGAUUUUUCCCUCCGUUUCACAAUAAAUAUCGUUUAGACAUUUGUCACAUAAAUUUUUAAAAAAUAAUAAAUUUUUUGUUAUAUCAAUUAAAAUUAAGUAGACUCUUGGUAUUAUUCUUCUAUAAAUUUGAGGUUAAAGUAGAUCUUUUAUAUUAAAUUUUAUACUAAAAAUCUAAAACAACAUUUAUUUUCAAACAACAAAUAAUCCUUAAACGACACUUUUAAUUUAAACCGGAGGGAAUAUUUCAUUGGAGAGACAUAAUCGUACAAACACAGAUUCAAUAACAUCUUUCAUAAAGACCUUUGCAAAAUAAGUGAGUUAUCUAUUAAAUAUGGAUAAAUUCACAAUCUUUGCCUUAUUUUGGCUAUGAAUUCCAAUAGAAUUUAAUUGGUUUUUAGUUUUUGGAAUUUGGUUGUUGGUUUGUAAAUUUGUUUUUGCUAUAAAUUUUAAAUUUAAUAGAUAAAAAUGAAAUAGAAUCUCGAUGGAUAAAAAAGACUUUGCACAAAAACCUCAAAAUCACGGGUUUAGUUCCUGUUUUUAAAAACUUGUACAAAUCACUCAAAAACUAGUUUUCUUAAUUUUUAAAAAUCUUGAAUAGUAAAAAAAAAAAUUUUAAAAGAAACAAAAACCAAAAACUAGUAAACAUUCAAAGCUUUCAUUAAUUUGCUUAUUCAAUCUUUUUCUCAUGAAUAUAAAAUUACAAGAUCUAAUAAUUGUUGCAAAUAAAUAAAUAAUAACUGUUGGAUUUUUACAAAGUAAGAAGUAGAGAAUAAUAGUUUUUAUAGAUACUACAAAAAGUCAUAAAUCUAGAGUCGUACGAUUCAUUUGCAGUGAAAGAGUUAUUCAAAAGAGUUAUGAACAUCUUUUCUUGUUUGUUGUUAGUGAAAACAAAAAUCUUGUGUUUGGAGAUCAUUUUUAAAGAUGAAAUGAACAUAUAACAAUAAAUAGUAAGUAUAUUAAAUAUGUGCAUAAUUGGUGGAUACAUUGAUGAGGUGGAUCUUUAAUGAUUGAUGUGAAGAUUUGGAUGAAGUUUUUGUUUUUUUUUUUUUUUUUCAGUUUAUAAGGUUUUUUAUAUAAUAUAUAUAUAUAUAUAUAUAUAUAUAUAUAUAUAUAUAUAUAUAUAUAUAUGAUUCUAUAAAAUAAUAGUUGGUGGAAACAUCAUUGACAUUGUAGUUAGUCUAUAAGAAAUUAGCAAACUGUGGAAUAUUCCAAUUAGCAAAUUGAGAUUUACCUAAUAUAUUUUAAACGGUGUGAAUUGUUGGAUACACUCAAAGAUGCAAAUUAUUGGAUAUAUCCAAGAAAGUAAGAGGUUGUCUUUAAUACAACAAUUCUUCACUCUUAGCUGCAAAUCCGACCUUUUGCAUCCUUGGAUAUAUCUGAAGAUGUAGCUGCAGUCUGAUAAAGUUGUUGAAUGAGUCAAGAAGUAAAACAAGAUUUUGUCUGAUGGAGUUUCUGAAUGAUUCAAGAAGUAUGUCAAGAUGCGACUGUUUUUGUGUAAGUGUCGGUUUCUAGAAGGUUUGAGAAGAUGUGUUUGGAGCGUGUUUAGAGGAUGAAUCACAAAGGAAAAAGGACUUAAAGAGAUUUGGAAGACUUGAUGAAAGUGGAGUUUGAAGAGAAAAAGGAAAAGUAUAAAAGGAAAUUUACUUUUUCUUAUGGAAAUUGGAAAUCUUCUCCUAUGGUGAUUAGGAAAUCGUUUUGGCUAUAUAAGGAGGAGUUGGGGACGUCUUGGAGAGGCAAGAGAGCUGAGGCAUAGAGACAAAUCUUUGAGAGCUUUCUAAGGGUGUGUGCAACAUAGUUUUGCGGUUUUGUGCAACUUAGUUUUGGCGGGUUUGUGCUUGUGUGAUCAAGAGGUUUUGUUUUUUGAAGUCUAGGCUCAAGGGGAGUUUAGCUCAGGGUUAGGUUAUCCUGAUUAAAUCUAGACUCAAGGGGGAGUUUAGUUAAGGGUAGAGAUUAUCCUUAAGGUUUCACGUUAUAGAAGGGAGCGGUAAAUCAAGAGGGUUGUGCUUGUUUUACGCGUUUGCGAAUUGGUUGUAAUUUGCUUUCUUGUUCUAGUGGAAUCGAAAUCUGGACGUGGUCCCGGGGAGUAGGAAAAACCGAACCUCGUUAACAAAUUUCUUGUCUCGUUUACUUUCUACAAUUUAUCGUACCUCAUCCGCACUUACAAUUGGUAUCAGAGCGGGUUCUCGAUAGAGAUUUAGUCUUGUUUCGGGUAGAUCAGGGUGAGGUUCAGAAGAUCGUUCAGAAGAUUAUUCAGGAGAUCGUUCAGAAAGUAAGACAGAGCUGAGAAUCGUGUGAGAUGGAGUCAUACAAGGAAGGUACGUCUAUGACAAGAUCACCACUUCUUGAUUCAGCGAAUUAUGGAUAUUGGAAGGUUCGUAUGCAAGCUUUUAUUAGUAAUCUUGAUGAAGAUUGUUGGAAUUCAAUUGAACUUGGUUGGGAGGCUCCUAAAGUUACGGAUGAUGAUGGAGUUGUAAGUCUCAAGCCAAGAGAUAAGUGGACUGCUGCAGAGAAAAAGCUAUCAAGUUGCAAUUCUAAGGCUAAGACUGCGAUUUACAAUGCUAUUGAUUCAAGCCACUUUAAGUUGAUUUCUCAAUGUGCAUCAGCUCAAAAAGCAUGGAAGACAUUGGAGAAUAUGUUUGAGGGUACUACAAGCGUUAAGAGAACGAAAUUAGAUAUGUUAGCUUCGCAAUUUGAGAAUCUAAGGAUGGAAGAAGAGGAAAAUGUGGCUGAUUUUAGUGCAAAGUUAUGUGACAUAUCUAAUGAAUCGUUUGCUCUUGGAAAGGUCUACAAGGACAAAAAGCUAGUGAAGAAGUUGAAGAGAUCAUUACCUGCAAAAUUUGAGUCAAAGGUUUCUGCAGUUGAAGAAGCUCAUAAUCUAGAUGAGAUGGCUUUUGAUGAGUUUGUUGGGAUUCUUCAAGCUUUUGAGUUAAGCAAAUCAUAUGAAACUAAAGGAAAGAUGCAGAAGGUAGAUGAAGUGAAGAAGGAAGUUGACAUUGGAGUUGCUCUUAAGGGAACAUCAACUGAAGAUUCAAUGGCUAUGUUGUCAAGACAGUUUACUAAAUAUCUGAAACGAAAGGGAAAAGAGAGGAAGGAUAGAAUUGAUGAAGAGUUGAGAAGUUCAUCAAAGAAUGUGCAAUGUUUUGAAUGCAAAGGAUAUGGACAUGUUCGUUCGGAAUGCGCCAAUCUACAAAAGCAUAGGAAGAAGGCCAUGAAUGUUGUCACUAGUGAUUCUGAAACUGAUUCAGAUGAAGAAGAAGAAGAUCUGAAGAAUUUUGUGGCUUUGGCAACUUUCAAUUCUAGUUCAGAUAUAGAUUCUGCGUCAGUUUCUGAAUUAGUGUCUGCAUCAGUGUCUGCAACAGGGUCUGCAUCAGCAUCUGCAACAGGGUCUGCAUCAGCAUCUGCAACAGGGUCUGCAUCAGCAUCUGCAACAGGGUCUGCAUCAGCAUCUGCAACAGGACCUGCAAUUAAAAGUGAAAACGAUGAAUGUGAUAGUGAUGCAGUGAGUGUUGAUGAUGAAGAAUUUGCUGAGAAUUAUAGAGCCUUAUAUGAGCAUUGGCUUAAAAUGGUUGAAGAGAAUUCAGUGUUAACUAAGGAGAAACUCAAGUUAGAGGCUAAAGUUAUUGAAGUACAGAAAUAUGCUGCAGAAAAAGAAGAAGAAGCAUCACAAGCCAAAGUACAACUUGAAGAAACUCAAAAGAAUUUGAGGAUGCUUAAUAAUGGCACAAAGAAGUUGGAUCAUAUUCUGAAUAUUGGCAAGAUUGAUAAGUGUGGCCUUGGAUUUGAAGGAAAACUUUCAAAAUCGGAUCCAGUGUUUGUUUAUGGUGGAAAAAUCACGUCUGGAUCAGGAAGUGUGUUAGAAACAGCAACUGUGGCAGAGACUGCGUCAGGUACAAGAACUACUACGAGAACUGGUACAGAGUCUGAUACAGGAAAAGGUAAAGAACUGCAGAGUGCACCUCAACGAAUUUUUCGACCUGUUUGCCAUCAUUGUGGUAUUGUUGGGCAUAUUAGGCCAAGGUGUUUCAGAUUAUUGAGGGAGAGAAAUCGAAUGAAGAAUGCUUAUGAUAAGAGAUUUCAUGGUCCUACAUGUUAUCAUUGUGGAGUUCAAGGGCAUAUUAAGAGGAAUUGUUUCAGAUUCAUUCGAGAAUCCAGUCAUGAAGGCUUAAGGCGCAGGAAGAUUUGGGUUAGGAAAGAUGAUUUCUAUGGAGGUGGUGUACUAGGCUAUCAACCUCGUGUUGCAAAGCGGGGAGAAUUUUCUAAGUAGUUUUGACCAUGUUGUGACUCAUUCAGGGGGAGAAUGAUGAUAUGUUCGUGAUGUUGUUUUGGAGUUAGAACUGUUGAGUUCACAAACAUAGUCAAAAAGGGGGAGAUUGAAGAUGUAGCUGCAGUCUGAUGAAGUUGUUGAAUGAGUCAAGAAGUAAAACAAGAUUUUGUCUAAUGGAGUUUCUGAAUGAUUCAAGAAGUAUGUCAAGAUGCGACUGUUUUUGUGUAAGUGUCGGUUUCUAGAAGGUUUGAGAAGAUGUGUUUGGAGCGUGUUUAGAGGAUGAAUCACAAAGGAAAAAGGACUUAAAGAGAUUUGGAAGACUUGAUGAAAGUGGAGUUUGAAGAGAAAAAGGAAAAGUAUAAAAGGAAAUUUACUUUUUCUUAUGGAAAUUGGAAAUCUUCUCCUAUGGUGAUUAGGAAAUCGUUUUGGCUAUAUAAGGAGGAGUUGGGGACGUCUUGGAGAGGCAAGAGAGCUGAGGCAUAGAGACAAAUCUUUGAGAGCUUUCUAAGGGUGUGUGCAACAUAGUUUUGCGGUUUUGUGCAACUUAGUUUUGGCGGGUUUGUGCUUGUGUGAUCAAGAGGUUUUGUUUUUUGAAGUCUAGGCUCAAGGGGAGUUUAGCUCAGGGUUAGGUUAUCCUGAUUAAAUCUAGACUCAAGGGGGAGUUUAGUUAAGGGUAGAGAUUAUCCUUAAGGUUUCACGUUAUAGAAGGGAGCGGUAAAUCAAGAGGGUUGUGCUUGUUUUACGCGUUUGCGAAUUGGUUGUAAUUUGCUUUCUUGUUCUAGUGGAAUCGAAAUCUGGACGUGGUCCCGGGGAGUAGGAAAAACCGAACCUCGUUAACAAAUUUCUUGUCUCGUUUACUUUCUACAAUUUAUCGUACCUCAUCCGCACUUACAAUAUCUAACAAUUCACACUCUUUGAGAUAUAUUAGGCAUGUCUCGAGGGUGUAACAUCCUUCCAAAAAUUAUCAUUGUCAAUGAUUAUGAUAGCUUACUCGUAUUCAUGUCUAAAAGUUUAGACUUUAGCCUUAUACUUAGUACAUUAUCUAAGCUUUUGGCUUGAUUAAAUGUCGCACCAAUAACCAUGUGAGCAUUAAUUAUAAUCAUGCAAUCUGAGACUAAAAAAAGUUCUAGAAGUUACAAUAGCAUAAUUAGUAAGUAUUAAGCAAAAGUAAACAUAAAAUUAUCUUUAGAAAAAAUAAUGGUUAAGGUUUAAUUAUAAUGGAAUCACUUGUCGAUUAGAGCGUUCCAAGAAUAUAAGAAGUCAGUUGUGCGGCUGAUGGUGGAGAUAUCUUUGAUGUUGUGGUCAGUCGGCUAAGUUAUAAUAUUUGUUAAAUUUAAUUGUAAUCGUGAAACCUUUUUUUACUUGUAAAUGUUGUGUCACCUUUUUAUUUUAUUGUUUACAAUUACAAGUUUGAUGAAUUCAAUAUCUCAUGGUUGUUUUAUUUAAUUAUUAUGAUUACGUUUUACUUUUUUCAGAUUUUGUCCAAUUUGUUUGAUAAACUUUAGGUAAAUAAUUACUUUUUCUUUUUGGACCUUAGUUAACAUUCCAAAAAUCAUUAUAGGUGAUAUUUUGAGUUGAUCAAUAGCAAGUUACUUUUUAAAAAAAAAAGAUCUAAUAUUUCAACUUUUACUUUUGUAACUUAUAAACUUUCUGUUUAAAACAAACAAAUACAAAAAGCUUCAUAAUUGUUUCGCUUAAAAAAAUAUCUACACUCAGGCGAUAAAAUGUGUACUGUCAUAUCAAUUUUAGGUGGUACAAAGCAUGGUAGUAUAACUCUCUAUCGCUAUAUAGACCGUUAUUCUCUACAAACUUCAUAAGUCAUUUUCUUUCUUUACGGCAUAUCAUAAUUGUCUACUCUAAAGAUAAUACACAAAUAAUAAAGUGUCUAUCAUAUCUUGUAAUAUAAAAUGUUCUGAUCCUAGACCCAAAAUCUAUUAGUAAUUCAAAAAAAAUUAAGAAAUUAAAUUAAAAAAAAUUAAUUUUGGUAUGAGUAAUUUAAUUUGUAUACCAAUAAAAGCCUACUAUAUGAUAUUUGGUAGCCGUUUGAAUAAGUGAAACUACUCUCAUGAGAAGAAAUUGAUUAAAUAAUAUAUGUUGUUCAAACGUUAUGUGAGUAUCCAUAAUUUAGAACUUUUUAUCGUUAAUUAAUAUUGAUAUCUUUAAAUUAUGUGGAAUUUCUUAUCAAUCUUGUUAAAUUUGGGUUUAUUAUGGACUUUCAACUCAAAACCAAUUGACAAUAAAUGAAGUGAUUCAUAUCUUUUAUAUAUUGCUUAAAUCCCUUCUCAUCUUUCCAAUGUGGAACAUUGUUCACAUGCUUCUUCAUCAAGAUUAUGAGCCUUAAUCUCAUGGCCCAGUAACCUCAAUCUAAUCUUCAACACCUUCCUCGAGAUAAUGGCUCUACAGUCGUGAGCCUGAUUACGGAAGCAUGUGGAUCACACUCUGAUACCAUAAUAAAGUUACAUAGCAAACAGUAAAUUCAUAAUGUUCAAACAUUGUUACACAUGCAUUUGAAAGAUAUUUAUGAUUCCAUAAACCAUAAAUCCAUGCUAGUUCUUGAUGAUUAAUAACAAAAGCGGGAGCGUACCUGAUAAAUAUAUAGCUUAGAGUCUGAAUUUGGGAUUAUGUCUUCCAAAGCAUACCCUAAAUAGCUUUAGGUCUCUGUUGAUGGGGAUGCAGAGAGUUUCUUUAUUUCUAGUUAGGGUUGCUUUGGGAAACAUAACCCUCUAUUUAUAUGAAGAUGAUUUGUAAUUAGGUUCCUCAUCAAAUUAGGAAUUACUAAGUAUAUUCACACAAUAAUUUUUUAUAACACUUAUACCGCAUGUCAUUUAUUUCAUACUAAAAUGAUCACAUAAAUUUUGACUAAUUCUUACAGCAUUUUUUUCUUAUCUGUGGAUACGUGUAUUAGUUGCAUUUGUAUACAUAUAAGUGGAGUCCAUGUACAGAUAAGCUAGUAAUCAACUACGUAUUAUGAUUUAUGAGUUGUGACGUAUAAAUAUCCAACUAAAUACCCCACAAGCGUAGAAAGCGCUAUUAGGCAUGAUAAGCCAUUUACGUUUCUUUCAUAUGUGUGACCCAAAAACUUUCUCUUAUCUUCUAACUUUCUUUUGACCAAAAUAAAAUGCGAAGAUGACUUGAGAUAAAGCAUCUACAUUUGGAUACACAACUUUUAUAUUCAAAAGAAACCUUAUGGAAAGAUAUAUAUACAUGUACGUAUAAAUAUACCGACCAAAUACAACUAUAUGUCGGCUUAGUUUUUGGAUGGACAUCAGACAAUUUUUAUCGAUUGUCGACUUUCCACCAGUACCAAUUUUCUCUAUAUAUAACCAACAAUAUUAAAAUAAAUAACCAGAUUUAAUGAAUUUAUGUAUUAAAUAUAUAUAAUCAAAAUUGGUCUAUAUAAUUUAGAAUAACAUAUACUAAUGUAUCGAGACUAUUUGGUCCAAUAAUACCACCAUUAAUCACUAAAUUGUUUUUUGCAUGCAAUAUUGUUGAUGUACGAAUUUCAACAAAGUAUAUUUGUAAGUUCUUUGAUAAGGGAAAAACAUUCUCAUUGCGUUGAAGGUCGGGAGCUAGGCCGUUCUCGCGAUAAACAUAGAAUUUAUUUGUUUUAUAGCUGCGUCUUGUGAAAGACUGCCUACGUACCCUUAGAAAGGGAUCAAGCCAUUCGUAAUUCAUAUUAAAAUAAGUAGGAGCUAGGCCAUAUUUGCAGCUAGGUGAUCUGUUGACGUGCUGGAUAGCUUGGGGACGAUUUGGACGAGCCGAGCUGUUAACUGAGAAGCUGGAUGAGCUGAGUAGUCAGCAGAGAAGCUGGACGAGCUGAGCUAUUUAACUGAGAAGUUGGACGAGCUGAGCAGUCAGCAGAGAAGCUGGACGAGCUGAGCUGUUUAACUGAGAAGCUGGAUGAGCUGAGCAGUCAGCUGAGAAGCUGGACGAGCUGAGCUAUUUAACUGAGAAGUUGGACGAGCUGGCAGUCGGCAGAGAAGCUGGACGAGCUGAGCUGUUUAAUUGAGAAGCUGGAUGAGCUGAGCAGUCAGCUGAGAAGCUAGACGAGCCGGGCUGUUUAACUGAGAAGCUGGAUGAGCUGAGCAGUCAGCUGAGAAGCUAGACGAGCCGGGAGAUGAGAUUGACGAUCUGGAUCGUUAGGCGAGCUGAAGAGCUUGAAGACGAGCUGAAGAGCUUGAUGACGAGCUGAGGAGCUUGAAGACGAGCUGAAUAGCUUGCAGACGAGCUAAAGAGCUUGAUGACGAGCUUAAGAGCUUGAUGACGAGCUGAAGAGUUUGAUGACGAGCUGAAGAGCAUGAUGACGAGCUGAAGAGUUUGAUGACGAGCUGAAGAGUUUGAUGACGAGCUGAAGAGCUUGAUGACGAGGUGAAGAGCUUGAAGACGAGCUGAAGAGCUUGCAGACGAGCUGAAGAGCUUGAAGACGAGCUGAAGAGCUUGUAGACGAGCUGAAGAGCUUGAAGACGAGCUGAAGAGCUUGAAGACGUUUUUAGUAUGGAUUUCUUCUCCUUUUUUCCUUUUUCUUUCUUCAAUGAGAUGCCUCUCUAUUUAUAGGAAAACUAAGCUGGUGAGAGAAACAUGGACCAACUUUUAUGGGCUUUUUUGGGCUUGAUGUUUAUUAAGUUAUUCUUGAUUUGGGCCGAGCUAAAAUAAGGGGUGCAAUCCAGCCCCCAACAGUAGCCCCCCAAUUCGUCGAAUGAGAAUUUUUUUUCGAGUUCGGCGAAUUGGUGAGAAUUAUUAGCUCGUCUUGAAUCAAGAUUAUUUUAAUUUAACGAGAUGUGAAUCAUGAAAAAAGAUGAAGCGACGAGCUGAAAUUGGCAAACUGGAACUGACGAACAAAAACCGAUGAACCGAAACUAACGAACUAAAACCGAUGAACUGGGACUGAACUGACGAACUAAAAAUGACGGACCAAAACAGCUGAACUGACAAAUGAGGUGAAACUGAAGCUGACGAGCUGAAACUGAAGCUGUCUAAAAGACGAGCUGAAAAUUGAAGCUAUCUGAAAGACGAGCUGAAACUGAAGCUGAGCUGAAACUGAAGUUGUCUGAAAGACGAGCUGAAACUGAAACUGACGAGCUGAAACUGAAGCUGACGAGCUGAAAACUGAAGCUAUCUGAAAGACAAGCUGAAACUGAAGCUGACGAGCUAAAACUGAAGUUGUCUGAAAGACGAGCUGAUACUGAAGCUGACGAGCUGAAAACUGAAGCUGACGAGCUGAAACUGAAGCUGACGAGCUGAAAACUGAAGCUGUCCGAAAGACGAGCUGAAACUGAAGCUGACGAGCUGAAAACUGAAGCUAUCUGAAAGACGAGCUGAAACUGAAGCUAACGAGCUGAAAACUGAAGCUGUCCGAAAGACGAGCUGAUACUGAAGCUGACGAGCUAAAAACUGAAGCUGACGAGCUGAAACUGAAAACUGAAGCUGACGAGCUGAAACUGAAGCUGACGAGCUGAAAACUGAAGCUGACGAGAUGAAACUGAAGCUGACGAGCUGAAAACUGAAGUUGUCUGAAAGACGAGCUGAUACUGAAGCUGACGAGCUGAAAACUGAAGCUGACGAACUGAAACUGAAGCUGACGAGUUGAAAACUGAAGCUGUCCGAAAGACGAGCUGAAACUGAAGCUGACGAGCUGAAAACUGAAGCUAUCUGAAAGACGAGCUGAAACUGAAGCUAACUAGCUGAAAACUGAAGCUCUCCGAAAGACGAGCUGAUACUAAAGCUGUCGAGCUGAAAACUGAAGCUGACAAGCUGAAACUGAAAACUGAAGCUGACGAGCUGAAACUGAAGCUGACGAGCUGAAAACUGAAGCUGACGAGCUGAAACUGAAGCUGACGAGCUGAAAACUGAAGCUGACGAGCUGAAAUUGAAGCUGUCCGAAAGACGAGCUGAAACUGAAGCUGACGAGCUGAAAACUGAAGCUAUCUUAAAGACGAACUGAAACUGAAGCUGACGAGCUGAAACUGAAGCUGUCUAAAAGACGAGCUGAAACUGAAGCUGACGAGCUGAAAACUGAAGCUGUCUAAGAGACGAGCUGAAACUGAAGCUGACGAGCUGAAAACUGAAGCUGUCCGAAAUACGAGCUGAAACUGAAGGUGACGAGCUGAAAACUGAAGCUAUCUAAAAGACGAGCUGAAACUGAAGCUGACGAGCUGAAACUGAAGAUGUCUGAAAGACGCUGUAACGGAGGCUGACGAGCUAAAAACUGAAGCUGUCUGAAAGACGAGCUAAAAUAGACGAGCUAAAAAUAAAGAUGUUAGAUAGACGAGCUGAAAAGCUGACAAGGCUUAUGGACGACCUGACAUAGACGAGCUAAAAUAGACUAGAUAAAAACAAAGAUGUUAGAUAGACGAGAUUAAAUGCUGACAAGUUGAAGUAUAAGAUGCGAGGCUAAGCUCGGCUUUUUGGUACGAACUUCCAGAAUGAUGCGACGUUCGGGUUGCUCGGCUUAUCGAGUGUUCGACGGAACACGAAUAUGCGAGUAUGAACUCGGCUUAUUUUGUUCGGUUCAUCAAAACAGUGUGAGCACGGAGCUCAGCUUAUGCGAGGAAGACCUCGGCUUUCGAGAAAACGUCUGGAGUGUUCGAGACGGACUCGAGACAUCGUGAGGUGCGACGCUCGAUGAUUGGCUUACCCUGUAAUAGUAUGACGGAUCCCGAAAGGGCGAGUUCAGCCUCGGCUUACAGCAUUCGGUCGUCAAAACUUUGCGAGCAUGGAGCUCGGCUUUCAUACCCUUAAGUGUAGGUUUUAUCCAAGACCGUUUUACCGGUUUUGGCAGACUUAAGUAAGGGUGUGCGUUCUCGGGCGAACGUGUUCGAUCGAAUGCCGGGCCAGGGCAACGAUGUGGGUUAGCGCGAGUGCUACGUGGUCUUUUUAAAGACCAAUUUUUUUAAGAAGAAUAUUUUUAAUAUGAAUAAGAAAAAACUUACAGUGAGCGCAGCUGAAUUGACGAGCUGAAAGUUGACGAGCAGGAACUGUCAAAUGGACGAGCUGACAGUUGACGGGCUGGAACUGUCAGAUGGACGAGCUGACAGUUGACGAGCUGGAACUGUCACAUGGACGAGCUGCCAGUUGACGAGCUGGAACUGUCAGAAGGACGAGCUGAUAGUUGACGAGCUGGAACUGUCACAUGGAUGAGCUGACAGUUGACGGGCAGGAACUGUCAGAUGGACUAGCUGACAGUUGACGAGCAGGAACUGUCAGAUGGACGAGCUGACAGUGGACGAGCAGGAUCUGUCAGAUGGACGAGCUGAGAGUGGACGAGCAGGAUCUGUCAGAUGGACGAGCUGAGAGUGGACGAGCAGGAACUGUCAAAUGGACGAGCUGACAGUGGACGAGCAGGAACUGUCAGAUGGACGAGCUGACAGUUGACGAGUAGGAACUGUCAGAUGGACGAGCAGGAACUGUCAGAUGGACGAGCUGACAGUUGACGAGCAGGAACUGUCAGAUGGACGAGCUGACAGGACCCAAAAAAUGUGAAACAAAUGACGAGCUCAAGGAGAGCUGAAAAACUUCCUAAUCUCGACCUUUUUGGCCAAAGAAUUUGUUUAUUCCCCCUACCUGGCGCGCCAACUGUUGAUGCACGAAUUUCAACAAAGUAUAUUUGUAAGUUCUUUGAUAAGGGAAAAAGAUUCUCAUUGCGUUGAAGGUCGGGAGCUAGGCCGUUCUCGCGAUAAACAUAGAAUUUAUUUGUUUUAUAGCUGCGUCUACGUACCCUUAGAAAGGGAUCAAACCAUUCGUAGUUCAUAUUAAAACAAGUGGACGUGCUGGAUAGCUUGGGGACUAUUUGGACGAGCCGAGCUGUUAACUGAGAAGCUGGAUGAGCUGAGUAGUCAGCAGAGAAGCUGGACGAGCUAAGCUAUUUAACUGAGAAGUUGGACGAGCUGAGCAGUCAGCAGAGAAGCUGGACGAGCUGAGCUGUUUAACUGAGAAGCUGGAUGAGCUGAGCAGUCAGCUGAGAAGCUGGGCGAGCUGAGCUAUUUAACUGAGAAGUUAGACGAGCUGAGCAGUCGGCAGAGAAGCUGGACGAGCUGAGCUGUUUAACUGAGAAGCUGGAUGAGCUGAGCAGUCAGCUGAGAAGCUAGACGAGCCGGGCUGUUUAACUGAGAAGCUGGAUGAGCUGAGCAGUCAGCUGAGAAGCUAGACGAGCCGGGAGAUGAGAUUGACGAUCUGGAUAGUUAGGCGAGCUGAAGAGCUUGAAGACGAGCUGAAGAGCUUGAUGACGAGCUGAGGAGCUUGAAGACGAGCUGAAUAGCUUGCAGACGAGCUGAAUAGCUUGCAGACGAGCUGAAGAGCUUGAUGACGAGCUUAAGAGCUUGAUGACGAGCUGAAGAGUUUGAUGACGAGCUGAAGAGCAUGAUGACGAGCUGAAGAGUUUGGUGACGAGCUGAAGAGUUUGAUGACGAGCUGAAGAGCUUGAAGACGAGCUGAAGAGCUUGCAGACGAGCUGAAGAGCUUGAAGACGAGCUGAAGAGCUUGCAGACGAGCUGAAGAGCUUGAAGACGAGCUGAAGAGCUUGAAGACGUUUUUAGUAUGGAUUUCUUCUCCUUUUUUCCUUUUUCUUUCUUCAAUGAGAUGCCUCUCUAUUUAUAGGAAAACUAAGCUGGUGAGAGAAACAUGGACCAACUUUUAUGGGCUUUUUUGGGCUUGAUGUUUAUUAAGUUAUUCUUGAUUUGGACCGAGCUAAAAUAAGGGGUGCAAUCCAGCCCCCAACAAAUAUUGUUACGUUGUACAAAGUUUAAAUCAUGAAGCUUUAUUGAAAUAAUUUCAAACAUGAUUGUCUUAUUAAAAUUUAGAACGCUUCUACCGGUUGCACCAAUGCAAUAUCACUCAAACAUUAUAAAAUAACUACUAGUAUUAUUAUGUUUAUUUAGUUAUAUUUGGUUUUCUUUGUCGUCUUUGUUGAGUUUUCAAUCAUUAAUACUUAAUUAUAUCUUAAUACUAGUAUAUCUUAGCAUAUUAUGAUCUACCGUACAAAAGCAAUGAAAGGUUAUUAAUUAAUAGGUUAGUGGGAAAUAUAUAUAGAGAAUAAUAAUAAUUAAGUAAUAAUGAGAAGCAAUAAGGGAAAUGAGACACGACGCAAUGCUAAAUAAUUUUGAAUGAGAUUAGGUCGUGACUCGCGAGGGACCAUUUUCGCAUUCAUAACCUCAAAAGGCUUUACGUUUUUUUUUAAAUCUAAUUAUUAUUCAAAUUAAAUGCCUCAACGUGGCUGCCCUUUUCACCUCUCUUCGCCACAUCUUUUCUCACUUAUAAAGUGUCAUUAAAUACGAGUGUGUUAGAUUUUGCUGUUUUUUGUUUUUUUUUAAUACUAGAUGAAUAGCCACGCUACGCGUGGGUUUAUUUUGAAAAUUGUUAAGAAAAAAUGAUGUUGAUUGUUUUGUUGCUAAUUUAUGUUUUUUUUUUGUUAUUGUAUAGUUAAUAAAAUUAGAUCCAUUUACAAUUUUUAUGUUUAAAUUUAUUUUUGACUUAAAAUAUCAAUUUAUAUAUUUUCAUGUAUAAAUAAGAUUAUUUAUAUAUCUAAGAUCCUAAAAAUUUUUUCACUAUUACGAAUACAUACAAAAACAAUAUAAAAUAUUUUGAUAUAAUUAUAUGUAAUUAUGUUACUUGUGUGAUUUGAAACUUGCGUAAUUUGAUCAUAAUUAAGCAAUUCCUUGUUUUAUGUACUCUCAUGAUCUAGUACUCCAGCCAUAUCGUGAUAGACUCAUAAUUAAUUACUGGAUUGACAUGAGUUGAUCUCAAUAGUUUUCAUAUAAAAAUAAGAAAAAAGACAAAAACUAAAGUGUCAUUUUAAUUCAACACUUUUACAUCUUCUGCCUUUACAUAUAGCUAUAUAAGAGAAAUGGUCGUGUCAUAAAUUUUUUGGUAUACCUAACGUCUUAAAGACCCAUUACUUGAAAAACUUGCAUGUAAAUGUAACCAAAUUACAAUAAGGCACAAAAAUGAAAAAAAAAAUGUCAUAUGAAAAGUCGUAUAUGAACAACAAAACGUAAUAACGAGAACAGACUCAAGGUAAAAUUACUAAACUAAUAAAAAGUUAGGUAGCAAACAACUAAAUUAUAACACAAAUAAAUUUCCAGUCAUUAUCGAAUAGUGACUCUUGAUAAAAAAAAAUUCGUAAAAAUGAGAACAAUGAAAGUAGUGCUUGAUUUAGUAACAUAAUUUUCUAAUUUUUUUUAUUUUAAAGAUAUAAGUUAAGAGUAGGAUUGAUGGAUGAUUUAAUGUGAAGAACUAUUAUUUUUUUUUCUCAUUAAAUUUGGCUCAUUUUCUAUUUAAAUAAUGUAGAAGGACACAUGUCAUUUUCUUGUGUGAUGAUGUGAUACUCAUAUGGAGAGAGUCGAUCAACUUUUAUAUAUAUGAUUAUAGGUUUAGGUAAUUAGGUUCAUAAUUUUCUAGGUCGAUUACUAGAAAAGGUAAUUAGUUUUGUCCUCUCCAGUUAACCUUUGCUGAUUUCAAAUAUGGUAAAAUGUAUGUGUGAGUAUAUAAAAUUAUAAACGAUUAAAAGAGAUAUGGGAUGUAGCGGUUUGCGGUAAUAUUGUUAUUGUGUCAUCAUUCGAAUUUAAAUCUUCAUACUAAAUGUUGUUGAUAGGAAAAAAAAUUACUCAACAAAAUUAGUAGCCUAAUAGUUUGUUCUAGUGUCGCCCUUCUAUUAACAUAUGAGUUUUGAAUUCGAUGAAAUGUAUAUUUUCAAAAAGAAAAAAAAUUAUAUCUCAACUAAAAAUACAUACAAAAAUAAUUGUAAAUAGGCAUGGAAAAUUUAUCCAAACUGGACCAAACUCAUCCGAAUCAAAAACACUUUUUCCGUUACAACUCGAUCUAUCAAAACUAACUCGAUCUAUCGAAACUAAAAACUUUAAGUUUAAUUAACAAAUUGACCCCACUUUUAAAUUUUGACUCUGUUGUAAACUGUGUCUUUCAUUAAUAGAAUAAGGGAUAUAUAUACAAGGAUAAUAGCAGGAUACAGAGAAUAAAGUAAAACCCUAAUGGGCCAUGGGCCGGUUAUGGAGUCCAUCUAUAUUGUUUAUAACACUCCCCCUUGGAAGACAUAACCGUGCCCGAUACUAAACCGAAAUCUCUAUAAUGCACUGGGGAAUGUUGCCUCAUUAAAACCUUACCAGGAAAACCCAGUGGGACAAAACCAUGGUGAAGGAAAAAGAGUACAACACGCAAUACUCCCCCUGAUUUGAGCAUCACUGUAGAUCCUUAAGUCCGCGCAUCCCGAUCUGAUGAAUGAGCUUCCGGAACGUUGAAGUCGGCAAUGAUUUGGUGAAUAGGUCGGCUGAAUUCUCACUUGACCGGAUCUGUUGAACUUUGACCUGACCGUCCUUCUGUAAUUCAUGAGUGAAGAAGAGCUUUGGCAAAAUGUGCUUCGUUCGAUCCCUCUUAGUGUAGCCAUCCUUGAGUUGAGCAAUACAGGAUGCGUUGUCUUCAAAUAUGAUGGUCUUUGAUGUAGUAGUAGAUGCGCCUUAAGGAAGGCUGCCUACGUACCCUUGGAAGGGAUCAAGCCACACAUAGUUCCUAUUCAUUGACCAUACCAUAAUCUGAUCUUAUGAAUAUCCUGCAUUAGUAAAUCAAACUAAACCAAAGCAAACUGGACCUUCUUUGGUUAGAUCAGUAUAGAAUAAACCCAAGUAAACAACGCAGGAAGAAUAGACUUUAAAACUUAAUCAAACCUUCCUUUAAACCUUUCCAGUGCCUUUGGGUUGAUCAUGAACUAAAUUUAGAUAGGAGACUCACGGCAAAACAAAUGUUUGGUCUAGUGUGUCUAGCCAAAUUCAUUAGAACUUCUAUGGCACUGAGGUAUGGCAUUUCCGGACUGAAUGGAUCACUAUCCAAUCUGAGGCUUCUCACCACCAUUGGGCCUGGUCAAUGGGCGGGCCUGGUCCUUAUUAAAUCUCCUUGAGUACUCUUUCAGUGUAUGCCAUUUGAUGCACAAGGAUUCCAUUAUUCACGUACUCAGGUUGUAAUCCCAAACAGAACUUAAUUAUUGCCUAGGUCUUUCAUUUCAGAUUCUUUCUUUAGAUAUACUCAACUGUUUGGUCGAUUACCCAGAGGUUUAAAUCAUUCAUAUACACUGCUAUGAUUACAAAUCCUUUGUUUGCAAACCUCUUGAUAAAAAUACAUGGACUGAUCGGAUCGUUUUUAUAGCCUUCUCUGAUGAGAUAUUCGCUUAACCGGUUAUACCACAUACGUCCGCUUUGUUUCAGUCCAUAUAAGGAUUUAUCAAGCCUUAUGCAGUGUUGUUCUCGAGAAUCUUUCUUAUCUUUGAGCUCAAUACCCUCUGGUAAUCUCAUAUAUUAUCCAGUGGACAUAUAUAAAUAUGCAGGCAUUACAUCCAUUAGCCGCAAAUCUUUCUCUUUUAUAUAGCCAGACUUAGCAAAAAUUUAAAUGUCUUAGCAUCCACCACAGAGGAGUAUAUCUCCUCUAUUUCUGGUCUUUGUGUGAAUCCUUGUGCGACAAGCCGUGUCUGAUAUAUCACGCUUUCACUAUGUUUAUUUCACACAAUCACAAAGACUCAUUUGUCCCACUGGCUUUACAUUGAAUGGUAUCCUUUGUAUUGGACCAAACACAUUCUUCUUCUUAAUGAUUCUUAGCUCCACGUUUUAUGGUAUUGUACCAUUUUAAUCAAUCAGGUCUUUGAGUGCACUCUAGAAUAGACGUGGGCUCCUGAUCCUCAUUCAUUUCAGUUGCUACCUUGUGCGCAAAUAUAUUAUCAUUGAUGUCGACAUCUUUUCGGUUCCAUUGUAUUCUAGAUAUGAUAUAGUUUAUAGAGAUCUCUUUACACCUUCAGGACCUUGAGGUUUGGCGUCCCAAACCUCAUUGAUUGGUACCUUAGGGUUAUGUCUAUUAGCCGGCCAUGUCUAUGGUUUCUUGAACCUUCUCGGUUUCCCUUGCACCUUUCUUUGAUUUCCGAGGGUUCUUGUCUUUGGAACCUUUUAGGUCUACCACGUUUCUUACGUGUUGUAGCAACUUGAUUGUGUUCCUUGUGAACAUCAAUACGUACUGGUGCAUUACAAGCUGGUAUGUACGAUUUUGUUACUCUUUUGGGUCAUUAUAGGAAUAUUGGCAACUGUUUUAGCUAGCUUUUGCAGAUAUAUAGUCUUUUGGAUCUCUGAUGGAGUCCGAGGAUCUUGCCAUGUGAAGGAUGUUUGAUUCCAUGUAAGUUCUUUGACCAGCUUGUUAGUCUCUCCACCUAGUGUUGGGAAAACGGAUUCAUUGAGAUGACAAUUCUUGUAUCUGGCCUUUGGCUCGAGAUACGUAAUGAUGGUGGGAGAAUCAUUGUUAAUGUAUAUUCCCAUCCCCUUUUGAGGUCCCAUCAUUUGCUCUCUGUGGUGGUGCUAUGGAUAAAUAGGUGACACACCCAAAUGUCUUUAGAUGGGAAACUUCUGGCUCAUGACCCGUUAGCAAUUGGGAAGGGGAAUAUCUAUGCUAACUAGAUGGCCGAAUGCGUAUUAGUUCAGCAGCGUGUAAAACUGCAUGUCCCCAAGCUGAGACUGGAAGCUGCGACCUCAUGAGUAAUGGUCGAGCAAUUAGUUGAAUUCGUUUAAUGAGGGAUUCAGCUAAUCCGUUUUGUGUAUGGACAUGUGCCACAGGAUGUUCCACACUUACCCCCAUGACCAGACAAUAGUCAUUAAAUGCUUGGGAAGUGAAUUCACCAGCAUUAUCUAAACGUAUGGUCUUAAGAGGAAAAUCUGGAAAAUGGGCUCGCAAUCUGAUGAUUUGGGCCAAUAACCUAAUAAACGCUUGGUUCCUAGAAGACAAUAGGUAAACAUGCGACCAGCGGGUCGAUGCAUCGAUUAAAACCAUGAAGUACCGAAAUGUUCCACAAGGUGGAUGGAUCGGACCACAUAUGUCUCCUUGAAUUCGUUCCAGAAAAUGUAAGGUCUCUUUAGACACUUUGACUGGUGAAGGUCGAGUGAUAAACUUCCCUUGUGAACAGGCUAUGCACGUGUGGUGCUUAGGGAAAACUCGGUUUUCUUUAAGGGUGUGCCCUUUAGAACUUUGAAUUAAUUUACGCAUCAUAUUGGAACCGGGCUGGCCAAGCCGGUCAUGCCAUUAGUGAAUCUCUCAGUAAACCCUUUUGUUUACUUUAUUAGCCUUUAUCAUAUUGAUCUUGGCAUAGUAAAGAUCUAUGACACGGGUAUAGUCUCUAAGACCUUCUCAUGGUCUUGGGUGCUCUUAGUAAUAUAUGGGAAUCCUUUGUUCUCUUCACCCUUAGUUUCAAUGUGGAAACCAUUCAAACACAUUUCUUUGAAACUCAACAAGCCCUUUUGGGCUGGGUGAAUAUGAAGAAUCUGAGGAUGUGUGCCCUUGGGAAUAUGGGCCUGCCCUUAGCCUUCACUAAAUUUAGCUAUACCCGCAAUUUGGCUAAUGAACCAUGUCUUUAGAUAUUUCGUUUAUUAAAUUCUCAUGUCAUCUAUCUCAUGGUCGAAAUCUUCUUCACCAUCGUGAUGAACUAAAUGAGCUUCUAGAUUCUUUUCAAACUCUCUUGAUAGAGAUCAACGAGAUGCUUAGGUGUCCUGCACGUCUUAGUCCAAUGGUUUCCCCAUUCUUCAUCAGUGGCAAACAAGUUUAUUUGAGUGUUGUGGUUUGGGUAUACCGCGGCCUCUACCUCGAUUACGACCAAAGUCGGGUCGGCGGCCUUAACCAUAUGAAUGGUUUCCUUGAUCAUAUAAAUUACAAUUGCCACUUCUACCACGUCCAUUCCAUUUACCAUGAUUGUGGCCAUGAUACUUAUCUCUUUGGACGUGGUUAGACUCUUUAGUCUCUUUAGGCUCUUUAGGCUCUUCAGCCCAAUGGGCUUCUGAUAAUGGGGUAGGACCAGGAGGUCUCAUUUCACUAUUUAUAACUCAUUGUUUUGCUCAGCAAGUAGCAAAACAAGAGUUUAGACUCGCAUAUGUGGUAAAAACCUUUUUCACGAUAUUGUUGCUGAGGUAAUAUAUUGUUUGUGUGAAAGGUCGAGAAUGCUUUCUCUAGCAAGUCAUUCUCAGUAACUUCCUCACCACGGAAUCUCAGUAUUGACACUAUUUUAAAUAGUGCUGAGUUAUACUCAUUCAUGGAUUUGAAUUCCUGGAAUGUGAGAUUCUUUCGAUCGAAUCGGGCUUUUGGGUAAUAGCACCGUUCUUUGGUGGUUAUAUUUAUUUUUUUUUUUUUCAACUCUGUCCUGAGGUCCAGAGGAUUCUUAAUAGUGAGGUACUGAUUUUAAGACUCUCAUUGAGGUGAUGGCGUAUGUUAGUAAUCGCCUUAUAUCUUUCUCUUCUAGUAACAUUGUUUUCUUCUACAAUAGAUUCACCAAGCCCUUUUUCCUUUAGGACAAUCUCAGUGUCGAAAGCCCAUUUUAAAUAAUUGUCACCAGAGGCAUUGAGUACCGUGUAUUCAUAAUAGUUGAUUUCUGAUAUCUAUAAUAUAUAGAGUUAAAUGAGAACUCAUGUAAUCGGUUAGACCAAGUCAUGCGGUAUUUAAGACCGAGCCAUGCUUGUCUUCAGCAAGUGUUUUCUAAACAAUCAUGUUAUAUAUAUAUGGAUGAAAUCAACCCUAGAAGAUUGAUCUAGUAUGCAGCAACCAAACAAUCGGAUCUUACUAGAUUAGGAUAUUAGGAUUUCGCGGUUAAGUUUUAGGGUUUUAGCAUCCACGAUUUAUAGUACUAGGGUUUUUGCUAGGGUUUCGGUUUUAUGUAUGGAAAUUUCUAUUUAUGGAAACUUUCCUUAUAUGGAAACUUUCUAUUUCUCAUCUAAAAAGAAAUCCUAAACAAACAUGUACUUUAGGGUUUUGGAAUAUUUCCUUAUGAAGGGGUUUCCUAUUUUGGUAACUUUCCAUUUUGGGAAACUUGCUAUUUUAGGGAACCUUUUAUUUUGGGAAACUUGCUAUUUUACGAAACUUUUUUUUUUUUUUGGAAACUUUCCAGUUUGAGAAACUUGCUAUUUUAGGGAACCUUUCUAUUUCUGGAAACUUUUCUUAUGUGGAACUUUCUAUUUAUGGAAACUUUCUAUUUAUGGAAACUUUCUAUUUAUGGGAAACUUGAUCUUAAACCAUGACUUAGGAUUUAUUAAACCGGUUUAACCUAGGAUUUAGGGUUUUGGUUUACUUUCGGUUUAACCUAGGGUUUAUAUUAAAACAUUCAAUCUAUCAUACCAUUAAACAUCUUUCCAUUCACUAGCUUCUCAAUUAAUUCUCCAAUCAUAAAUCAAAUCACAUGUGCCAAUUUUCAUGCAAAUUUUAUCUUAUCAAACUUUAAUUGGAUCAUGUAUAUAAAGCAUAAUAAAUAAAUAGCACUUAUCUUAAUUGGAGAACUGAAACAGAGACCCGAGAUCUGAUACGGAGAUUGGAAACAGUUAUGUCUCUUAGCUGGUUGGGACCUCCUACAAAAUCUCAAUAUAUAUAAUCCUGAUUCCUGAGAAACUCAAAAUUUUGCUCAUGGAAACAUGGCUAUUACAUUAGUAAAAAGAAAAAAAAUAGGGUUUCUGUAAUAUAUUGCAUAAAACAGUUCAAAAUCAAUAACAUAUAAUCCGUGCAUAACUCGUACAAAAAUAUAGACAGGAUUGAUAAUAAAUAAUCCAUGCAAAAUUUGUGCAAAUCUACAGACAUAAUUGACAACAGAUAAUCUGUGCAAAAUUCGUGCAGAAAUACAGAUAAAAUUGAUAACAUAUAAUCCGUGCAAAAUUCGUCCAAAACUACAGACAGAAUUGACAACAGAUAAUCUGUGCAAAAUUCGUGCAGAAAUACAUACAAAAUUGAUAACAUAUAAUCCGUGCAAAAUUCGUGCAAAACUACAGACAGAAUAGAUAACAGAUCAUCUGUGCAAAGUUCGUGCAGAAAUACAGACAUGAUUGAUAACAGAUAAUCCAUGCAAAAUUCGUGCAGAAACAAAUAUGAACAGAAAACUUAUCUCGAUAGAGUUUAGAAUUUUGUUUGCAGAGACGGCUAGGGUUUUGGUUUUGGUUUUUUUGUGAGAGAGAUUUAGGGUUUCGAGAUUUUUAAUUUUUAGGGUGAGAGGCUAUCGUGCUGAUAACGUGUUAUAAACUGUGUCUUUCAUUAAUAGAAUAAGGGAUAUAUAUAUAAGGAUAAUAGCAGGAUACAGAGAAUAAGGUAAAACUCUAAUGGGCCAUGGGCCGGUUAUGGAGUCCAUCUAUAUGGUUUAUAACAGACUCGUAAUAUUUUAGUAUUUAACCAACUUUAAUUUCAUUAAAAGUAAACUGAAACUUAGUAAAAUUAAUCAAAAAUUUAUAUCGAAGGGGCACACCAAAAUGAGCAUUUUUAACAAUUUCCAUUUUGUUCAAAUUGUUAAAAAUGCCCCUUUUGGUGUGCCCCUUUUGGUGUGCCCCUUUUAAAAAUGGACAUAUAAAAUGUGCAUUUUUGAAAAGAGACACACCAAAAGGGACAUUUUUAACAAUUUCCCUACUUUUAAAACAUUCUAUUAUUUUUUUUCCUUCAAAUUUUAAUUAAUUAAAAUUUUCACUAAAACAUUCAAACCAAAAUAAAAUGUCUUAGUAAACAAAAAAAUUGAACCUAACUAUAUUAUAAAGCUAAACACAAUCUCUAUAUACAUACUCUUAAAACGUAAUGAACAUUUUUAGCAAAAUUUUAAAGGAAAAUAUGACUCUAUAACCAAAAAAAAAUUAAUAAUUAGGAAACUAACACCAAACAAAAAAAAGAUGAUAUUCUCAAUAUUUUCUGUAUUAAUUCUACUUUUGCCCCUACUAAAACACACACACCUCUCAUCUCCUUCUUUCUACCUCUCUCACCAUCUCUUGGCCAGACCCUAACUCUAAUCAUGAUUCUAGUCUUCUAGAUAUGUCGCAGAGUGAUCGACAACUCCACGAUUUCAUCUCUUUAUCUAUUCAAGUGACUUAAAUGAUUGUUGCAUGCCUUGAAGCUUCGAGUAGAUCUCCGACGGAACUCCGAGAGCAAAAAAGUGCGGCAGCCAAAGUAAACGAGUUUCCAAUUUUUUUUUUUUUUUUUUGAGCAAAGAACGAGUUUCCAAUUUAGUGGCGAAAAACGGUGGAGGAGUGGUAGCGGAUGUGACUUCUUCCAGAUGAAAGAGAAACGAUGCUAGAUAUGGUCCAGAAAUCUCCGAUCAAAAUCGGAGCUAGCAAGGGCUUCUUCUGACGGUGGCGGCUGCGGGGAAGGUAGACCUAAACCAACAAAAUUCAAUUUAGCCGCAUCAGAAAUCACAGCCAUCGUCGAUCUAUCACCGGAACGAUUCAAUUUGAUAGACGUAUUAACCUACUAUAUAUCUCAGCUUGCUCCACGACCUUCCAACCCGAGACUCAUGCGAAGUAAUACUAAAGAAUAUAGCUCAAUUCCCUACUUUUCCAAACCUACUUGCUUCAUUUUUUUCGAUUGGGUUUUCGAAUCAACUAAAUAGCAUGAAUGUAUGUACUAUACUAUUUUGUCGUUAUGGAAUUAACAAAGUAAUCAAUUGAAGUUUAUACCGAUUUUGGUGUUCCUACAUCUUUGUUUUGAUUGGUUGGUCUUACAAAGAACAAAUAUAUAACUAAGAUGAUGGCGAAGACGAACUAUACUAUUUAAGAUGAUGACGUUACCAUCCGUUUUCACUCUCCUCAAGCACACGUACAAAAAGAGAAACGAGUGAGAAGGACUAAGUAGACUUUUUACCCCUCCUUUGUGUUACUCACUUAAUUUCUUUCUUUAUAGUGCUAUAUCCUUAAAUAUUUUAUCAAAAUGUGUUAUUUCUGCAAAAGACCCAAUUUUAAAAACAAUAUAUUUUUUACUAUUAAUAAAACUAUACGUAAAAUUAUAUAGAUUAAGAUUCGCUCAUGCAUAACAUGGGUUCUUACCUAGUAUUUUGGUAUAAUUCCGUUUUGUUAACAAUACUUGGACCAAAAUAAACCAAAUUUAUUUUCGUUUAAAUUCGUAUUUUUAUUUUAAUUAUACACUAAAUCCGGUGGAAGCCCCCUUGGCUCAUUGGUUGACUAAGGGUUGAUUAAUGCUUCUACACCAAGAGGUCUGGGGUUCGAGUCUCAGGUAUUGCGAUUUAUUAAUAAAUUUGCAGAUUAAUGGAGGCAAGUGUGCAAGAGAUCUCCAGCGAUGUACAAUUAUAGCCGUUCGCCAGGAUUCUACGCAGAGAAGGAAGUAUCGCCAGGUCGUGGAUCAUUGAAGGUAUUCAUCAAGAUUACAAAGAAAGGAAGUGUAGUCUGUCGUGGAUCUAGUAAGGGUCGGAAGGAAUUGUCAGUUGUAGAAUCGUCUAUGUAACAGUUCUCAUAAUUUGCAAUUAAUAAUAAAUUUAGACGACAAAAAACACUAAAUCCGAAUUACCCAAACAAAACGAUAUAAAUAUCCUAAUGGGAAGCCUUAUUUUU
Molecule: long non-coding RNA, 277200 nt
Filed under: Arabidopsis lyrata
Lineage: Eukaryota; Viridiplantae; Streptophyta; Magnoliopsida; Brassicales; Brassicaceae
Description: long non-coding RNA (ALYR_LNC002541)
Source: RNAcentral